This 302427-nucleotide long non-coding RNA is filed under the name Sorghum bicolor (sorghum). RNAcentral describes it as "long non-coding RNA (SBIC_LNC008510)". The stretch from base 266336 to 266442 matches the Rfam family "Plant small nucleolar RNA R71". The record is from RNAcentral. Lineage: Eukaryota; Viridiplantae; Streptophyta; Magnoliopsida; Poales; Poaceae.
GGGCUAGGAAGGUCUGACUACGGUCCUACAAACACCGAUCCGAACGUGGUGGAAUACGUCGACCGUUAGGGCUGUCACUACCCUAAGGCUACCACAACAAUCUGCAGGAUUGGGUGCAAUUCCAGGUAAUCGCAAGACUAAACACCACGUCUAAUCUAUUAAUUACUACUCUAGCGUUAUAAAGACUAGAGCACUUGAUGCAAGCGGGAAUCAAAUAAAUAAAUUGAAUGUAAAUAAAAGUAAUUAGAGAACUCAGGAAUUAUGAAUUGAAGAACCUGGAGAACGAUGAAAAACGAACCAGAUGCUGCAAAAGUAUAAUGUUGAGGAAGAUCCGACAGAUUCGGCUCCUCCUCCGCUCUCCUCUUCUCUCUCCCUAUUUUCUAGAUUACAACUAGAACUAACUAGAACUAGAACUAGAGGAACUAGAACUAGAACUAGAUGAACUAGAACUAGAUCUAGAUGAACUAGAGGUAGAACUAGAAGAACUAGAGGGAUCCUCUCUACUUGGAUGAAGAAUUGAAACCCUAACUUUGAUUCUGUAGAAGAGGUAUGAUCUGCAGGGGCCAGGGGGGUCUGGUUUUAUAGUCCCUUCAAAUGAAUCUGGGCCGUCGGAUCAAACCGACAUUGAUCGUGUGGUUUUCCUUGAAGUAUUAGGUCGGUGGAGCAUGAUCCCCGAACUUCACCCUGAUUGGUGGAAAGAGGUGGGCGGGCGCCCUCAGGAUUAGGGCGGGCGCCCUGUCCCUGAGGCCUCUCGGCUUCCGCUUCGGUCCCGUGGCUUCUGGAGUCUUCUAGAUGAUAGAAAAUUGCGCGGCACGUUAAUAUCUCUAUGUAAACCCGACGUGUGGGCCUUUCUUCCGUAUUUUCUGAUAACCCCCUGCAGAAAUAGACAAACACCAAAACUUGUGGAAUUCUGUCAGAUAAAACCCUAAGUCUAGGUGUUGGUUGCAUUUGGAUCCUUUUCUAUGAUUAUUUGAUGGUUAAAUGUGAGCAUUAAGGACCGUCAACAAGCUCCCCCAAGCUUAACCUUUGCUCGUCCCUGAGCAAAGAUGAACUGAAGAGUUUAUGCAGUGGUUUCAUAACUUAAAGAUACACAUGCGUUUAAACAAGAUCUCAUCUCUGGUUAGAGUAAACUGUUAAGACUUAAAACUUACUCAUUUACCUUUCACUAUGGGACUUGUAACCGUCACUUCUGUCUUGAGUAGUUAAAAGAUAGAACGGUCUAGUCAAGCACCAUGUCUCUUAUUCUUGAUCAGCUAUAGCUCUGGAGUUUUUGCAGAUUUUCAAAUAAAACUCAGAGAUUCCUUGUAUGACUCUCUCUAGUCUCUCUUUUGUGGUAUUUCUGGAUCCUUACCAAGGCAUUAAUGGUGUAUGCCUUCUCUCAAAGUAUGUGGUAUUUGUGGUAUAAGGCAUAGUGGCAUUGCCUUCUCUCUCACCCUACUCUAAUAAGGCUUUUGAUAUAUGGAGCUCAUAGGUGGGAGACAGCUAAUACAUACUUACAAGACAUUUAUUGCAUAGUCAAACCAUGGAUCCAGAAGAACAAGUCAAUAAGUCAAAUCAAGAUGCGCAUGUGUGGCGAAUGAAUGGUGUAUGGCGAUGAUGGUGAUAACAAUGGUGAAAGUCUAAUUCUACUUAUGCUCUUUUGAGGGGAUACAUACGUUUCUUGCUGUUUUGAAACUUUUUGAGGAGAAUGAGAUGCUCUAUAUUUUCUUUUUUUUUUCUUUUCUCUUAGGUGGGUAUCUUGUACCCCUAAUUCUACUGUCGGACACUUGUCCAUUUUUACCUCUCGUCUCACUUUUUUCUUUUUUUUUCGAGGUUCCGGGCACUUGCCCCUUUUUAUUUCCUCGUAUCUCUUUUUUUUCUCUUUUUUUUCUCUUUUUUUUAUUAGAGCACUCAUCUCAUGAGAUAAUAUAGCAAGUGGUAGUAACAAGAUAACUUGAGCAUUUAUUUCAUAGGGGAAAAAUAGAAAUAUUUUUGGCUAUUCUCUCCCGGAUUAGGAGUAGAAUAUUUUUGGGUGGUUCUGGAGAUGGAAAUGGAUGGAUAUAUGUGGAUGCGUACUUCUGGAGUAGAAGCAGCAUGUAUGAGUGAACGUGCAAGUGAAUCUUGAUUUUAACCACAUGACAAGCUCCUAAGGGUCUACACAGCUUGACCACACUCAAUGCUCAUAAGUAGUAAAGUAAAUGUGUGGUUCAUAGUCUAGCAAGCAUGUAUAUAUGGCUGUGGUAGGAAUUUAAACUCUCAUCAUACAGGAACUCAUCAUGCAACAUUUUAAAGAUUUUCAAAGAUAAAAUUCUCCAGAAUUCUAGUAUCUCUAGGAACAGAUAAACAGCAGCUCAACCUUCCCAUAUCGUAUCCGUUAACGACUUAGACUUUAGAUCAAGUACUCUCCCCACAAGUUCAGGUUUAGAGCAAAUCUUAAUUAAUAACAGUCAUGUCUAAACUUGAGAGAGAGAUUUCAAUUUUGAGAACUAGUCAUGGUAGAGCAACUAUUCAUCAUUUCCAUAUGAGAGCUUAUCACAAGGGUUCAUAGCAAAUUUUAUUUAUUUAUUUAUUUAGCAAACUAAGCAAAGAUAUAUAUAAGCACAAAAUCUUUAUUUGGGUUUAUAUGAUUAUGCAUAUUUUUAUUAUUUGAGUAAGGUAUAAACAUGAGUAGAAUACUUAGCUGGAUAAAUGGGGGUGCUCUCCCCCAAGCUGGAUUUUGACGUAAUUCCUUUUGAUGUAGCUAGCAAGUGAUGGAGGUGUAUUUGAAUGUCGGCAGCACCCUGAUGGCGAUUAGGAUGUCCUUCGUAUGCUAGUCUUCUUUGAUCCUUGAAUUCUGUGGAGCUCAAAUAGACAACAAAGCUUUGUGGAACUAGUUAAGUGUUAGCAUAAAUAUCUAGCCUUUAUCAUGUUGAGCCUCCUCUAAUAAAUAUUACUCUCUUUAGUAGGAUCAUAAUUUUAUUUUUAUAAUUUUGUUUUUAUAGGACAGGAAUAUAUUUAUUUCAUUUUUACGCCACAACGGUGAAUGUACUUAUGGGUUUUAUGCCAUGAGCAUACUCACGUGGGGCUUACUAUUUUUAACAUUUUUAUUUUCUUUUCAAGAUAGUAUGAACCUGAUUAACUAAGCAAACUACUUUAAAUAAUUGAAAGGAAAAGGAUAACUACCAAGUUUACCUCUUGGCAAGGCGUUCGGUGUUUUUAAGUCCUCCGAACGGGACCCUCCGUUUUCUCAGACGUCCUGGGAUUCGCUGGAUGGCGUAGUCGGUGGUUCCGGUGGCGCCUCCUCUUCAUGUAUAACUAUCUUCUCUCUCCACACCUGACUCGGUGCUAUGGUCUCCUCAGGACAGUUCUGAUCAAGUUGUAUGUCUUCAGACCUUACUACUUCUCCUUCAUAGUCUGCUCAUCCGUCCUUGAUGAUUUUGCCUUCUCUGGUUACGGUUGCGUCGUCUUCUUCUUGUUCUGACCGGCUUAGAGUCUUCAACUAUAUAAUUAAGGUUAAAAUAGCGGCGUACCUUGUUAGAGGGGAAAUGCAUGUGGACUUCUCUGGUUCCAAUCUAGAUGAUUGCUUUAACAGUGCUAAGGAACGGUCUUCCAAGGAUGAUGGGUGGAUUGUACUCGUCUUCUCCCAUGUCAAUAACCUAAAAACCUUUCGGAAUAUCUGAUCUGCCAUCUGAAGCUGAAUGUAUGUUGGUUGUAGGGACAUGGUUCCAUGCAGGAGCUGAUAAGUGACUGCGGCCAUUAUGUUGACGUCAGAUCCGGUGUCGUAGAGUGUCUUUUGAAAAAUAUUCGUUGAUUGUGCACUGGAUGCUUGGAACACCAGGGUCAUCCUUCUUGAUCAAGAAAGGCGACUUGAGUUGACGAUCUUGACCUCCUUGAGCUGCAGUGACCAUCUUAGCUGACUUGGUCCACAUUUGCUUGUUCUUGUUCCUCCUGUUGGUCCUUUCCUUGGUUCAUGUCAGGAUUGCUCUAAGAUUUGUGUAGUCUUGUUCUUGAAGGAAAACGUCUCCGUCCUUUCUUUUGAUGUAGAAACUGAUCUUGGCAGCACUAGCGUAGAUGACGGCUCCCGAGGUGUUCAGGAAUGGCCUCCCUAGGAUGAUGGGUGCCCUCUCAUCAGUAUCAGUCUCUAUCACCACGAAGUCUGCUGGAGCGUAUAAGGUACCAACUCGGACGUAGAGGUUCUUCAAUAUUCCCUUUGGGAAACUUAGUGUCUGAUCUGCAAGCUGCAAACACAUGGUUGUUUCUAGGAAAGGAUGUGUAAAGAAUUUUUCAUAGAGUACCCUGAGCAUAAUGUUGACGCUGGAGCCAAAGUUGCAGAGUGCUUCUAGGAAGUCCACCAUGCCGAUGGAGAUCGGGAUGACGGGGCGUCCUGGAUUGUCUCUCUUGACCGGCAGAAGGUCAGUAAUUACUUCCACUAUGGGGUUACUCUAGUAGUUACGUCCUCAAGCAUCUCAGGGCAGUGAUUGCCUGAGUGUCUAGUAUCUCCAGGGUGUUUGUGCUCUAAGAUCUAGGUUCUUCACUUGGUGGAGUCUGGGAGUUGUAAAACUCCUUCAUAUUUUGUUCGAAGUGUACCUGCUCAUAGAGACAAGGCAGAGAUCAAGUGCAUGGGCCCUGUUGGUGGAAAACACCAAUAGAACCAAAAGUGUAUUUGUUCUUCUCUAACCUUAAGCAUAGUGAGCAAGACAAAGUUAAUGGAUAAUAAGAUCAUGAGUGUAGCAUUUAAAACAUUUGUCAGAUCAGAUCGCUCAACCUAAUGGAAAGAUAAUCUAUCUGUACUUAUGUUUUUAUAUAUAUCUUCCAAAGAUUGAGUGUGCAAUAUUUUAGCUCAUAUGAUUAGGAUUUUGGGAUCACAAAGGUGGAAGGACUAAACAUGUUGAAUUGAUUGGGUUGGUUAAUCUAGAGUUGUAAAUCAUACAUGUUUGUCUUUUUUAUUCUUGUGAACGCCAGAAAUAAGGAGAAGCUUAUAAAAGUGAUAGUCAAGUACCUUAAGAAAUACACCUUAAUUGAAGAGUGAUGGUACAGUAUCACCUUGUGAAAGCUUUCCUUUCUUAGUGGUUGUGCAUCGUGUUUGUGGCACCUCCAUGGAUCAUUUCUUGUGAGCUAUGCCUUCCUUGUGUAAAUUGUUAAACUUCAUGUGUGUCUCUCUUUGUCUCCAAUGUGAGUUUAUCUCAGGACUUCCCAGGUCGAUAUUGAAAGUUUCCCUGCAGGGGUUAGUCCAACAAAAUAUACCCAUGUCUACACAAGCAGUUUUUAGUUCAAUAACCAAACUAGACUCUAUGUCUAAUUAGAUUAAGGAAGGCUGCUUAACCUAAGCACCAUGCUUAAUUUAAAAACCAAUAGAAGUAUGUACAGUACUUCCAAACUAACACUUACUAGGAUAAGCAAAGGUAGCGUGAUGGCUUUUAUAGAGAUCUACUCAAGUGGAGAUGAAGUAGUGUGAUUACUAUUUAACAAAUUGAGCAUGUCUCAAAGGUAGGGACAACCAACAUAGCAACAUGGCAAAUGAUGUUUUUAUAUAAAGCACUCCCCCAAGCUUGAAUUUUCCAAAAUUCAAGUUUGGAUGAAUUUAAUUCAAUGUUGUAUGAUGAUUGGUUGGACAUACCUUGUACUUGUCAUUCAUCCGAUCUUCUUGCUCCGAUCCUGGAAAGGUUAGCGACAAGAAUACCCGAAGGACUAUUUUUACAAUUAUCCUUAUAUGCUCAAUACACAAGGCAGUGUUGCAAAUAAUUAAAAGCACAUGUUACGAUCUGAUCAGUGCUUGUUUUAGGACACUAAGCUUGUCCUUGGGAAACCAUCAAUUUAUGUCAGCGAAGUGGUUUCCCCUCCAACGCUGACCUAUAUCAAGAUCAACUCAACGAGAUCUGCAAAAUUUAUUAUAGACAUAUGCAUCGACAACCGCCCUUUUAAAGUUUUUAUAAAUAGAAAGGAAGUGGGGGUUGGAGAUCUCGAAUGUGGUGAUGUUGGAGAGACCAAUGGAUUGUGAAGAUGUUGCAUAUGAGCAUGGAGUAAAUGAAGUGGCUAUGAAAUAAAUUCCAUGCUCAUUAAUGCUUAGAGUGAAAUCCAUGUGGUGUGGUGAAAAUGGUAAGGUGAGUGUGAUAAAAUAGGAAAAGAAAAAGGAUACACGGACGACUUUGUUCGAAACUAGCACAGCUACCGUUCCCCGGCAACGGCGCCAGAAAGCUUGUUGGGUAUUUUAAACGCAAACAGAAAAAUCCGCAAGCGCACGGAUACCGAUGUAGCCUUCACCCGGGAGUAUUCCAGAGUAUCGAUUUUCCACAGAGAACGUGAGUGUACUAAUUAAGAUCCAAGAUCGCCCAAGGAUAACUAUAUGAAUAUUUUUGGUGGGAAGAGAGGAAGUUUCCUGAGAGUUCUCUAGUUGAUCUAAGAAUCAAGAAUUACUUCAAGAUUAUCUAUAUCGGGACAUCAGAGCACUAACCACAGAAAGAGAUGAGAAGGGGGCUAGGAAGGUCUGACUACGGUCCUACAAACACCGAUCCGAACGUGGUGGAAUACGUAGACCGUUAGGGCUGUCACUACCCUAAAGCUACCACAACAAUCCGCAGGAUUGGGUGCAAUUCCAGGUAAUCGCAAGACUAAACACCACGUCUAAUCUAUUAAUUACUACUCUAGCAUUAUAAAGACUAGAGCACUUGAUGCAAACGGGAAUCCAAUAAAUAACUUGAAUGUAAAUAAAAGUAAUUAGAGAACUCAGGAAUUAUGAAUUGAAGAACCUGGAGAACGAUGAAGAACGAACCAGAUGCUGCAAAAGUAUAAUGUUGAGGAAGAUCCGACAGAUCCGGCUCCUCCUCCGCUCUCCUCUUCUCUCUCCCUAUUUUCUAGAUUACAACUAGAACUAACUAGAACUAGAACUAGAGGAACUAGAACUAGAACUAGAUGAACUAGAACUAGAUCUAGAUGAACUGGAGGCAGAACUUGAAGAACUAGAGGGAUCCUCUCUACUUGGAUGAAGAAUUGAAACCCUAACUUUGAUUCUGUAGAAGAGGUAUGAUCUGCAGGGGCCAGGGGGGUCUGGUUUUAUAGUCCCUUCAAAUGAAUCUGGGCCGUCGGAUCAAACCGACAUUGAUCGUGUGGUUUUCCUUGAAGUAUUAGGUCGGUGGAGCAUGAUCCCCGAACUUCACCCUGAUUGGUGGAAAGAGGUGGGCGGGCGCCCUCAGGAUUAGGGCGGGCGCCCUGUCCCUGAGGCCUCUCGGCUUCCGCUUCGGUCCCGUGGCUUCUGGAGUCUUCUAGAUGAUAGAAAAUUGCGCGGCACGUUAAUAUCUCUAUGUAAACCCGACGUGUGGGCCUUUCUUCCGUAUUUUCUGAUAACCCCCUGCAGAAAUAGACAAACACCAAAACUUGUGGAAUUCUGUCAGAUAAAACCCUAAGUCUAGGUGUUGGUUGCAUUUGGAUCCUUUUCUAUGAUUAUUUGAUGGUUAAAUGUGAGCAUUAAGGACCGACAACAGUAUCGGAGAGUCGCCACUCUCCACUAGUCCUCGUUGGAGCACCCGCGCAAGGGUCUUGCUCCCCCUUGGUCCGAGCAAGGACCAAGUGCUCUCUACGGGCUGAUUCUUCGACACUCCGUCGCGGUGAAUCGCCCAAAACCGCUCACAAGCUUGACACGAGCCACCCACAAGAACUCUGGUGGUCUUCGUGACUCCAAUCACCACCGAACCAUCUAGGUUAUGGCGAUCACCAAGAGUAACAAGCAAAGAACUCUCACUUGACCCAAACAAGGCUCUAGAGAGUGAUGGAUGCACACUUGACUCUUGGAACUCACUAGGGGAGGAUUCUUUCACAAAAUCACUCAAAUCUCAAUCCUCUCUAGGCUCUUGCAACUCUCUUGCUCCACAACAAGGUUCUCUGAUGUUCAAAUGGGCAAGAGAGCUCUCAUGGACGAGAUGGAGGAGUAUAAAUACUAUCCACAAAGUCCAAAGGCCGGCCAACCGUUUUCCACUAAAAAAGGGGUCACCGGACGCACAUUAUGUUGCACCGGACGCACUGCACCGAGCGUCCGGUGUAACAUAACGGCUAACUGUACUUCUCUCUGACAGGUCACCGGACGCUAACUCCCAGCGUCCGGUGCACCGUCUGGUGCUCGGGGAAACUUUACAUACUCCCUGCGCAUGGGACCGGACGCUACCCGGUGCGUCCGGUGCUAGCGUCCGGUGCUCAGGGGAACUUUGCAAGCUCCCUGGGUUAGGGACCGGACGCUACCCGGUGCGUCCGGUGCUAGCGUCCGGUGCCUAACCCUAAGCACCAGCCUGUUCUAACGGCUAAGGACCUCACCGGACGCACUCACAGAGCAUCCGGUGCAGCGUCCGGUGCCCCUUUGGGCACCCAAACUUCGUCGAAACGCGAUCGCUCCAAAACGAAGUAGGUUCCUCUCGAUCUAAGGACUGUCUCUGAGCUGCCUAGUGCUAGGUUCACCAAGUGUGCACCACACCUAAACCUAAAGCCUUGCCUAAGUCAAGCUACUAGAUCAAAGCCCCUAUUAAUAUUACGGUCAAAGGAAAACAAAGUCCUAAACUACUCUAAGUGCCCUUCUUCACCAUAUGGCACUUAGACCUAGUCUAGUCUCGACAAUGUCCUUCCAUCCUUUGAAAACCGAAACGAUUUCCACUAUUAAGUUGCCAUGUACGUCCCUGUCCAUCGAGUACCUAUUUACCAUGACCUUACCUAUGACUUUGCCUCUGCAAAACACACGUUAGUCAAAGUAAUCAACAAUGUCAUUAAUCACCGAAAUCACUAAGGGCCUAGAUGCUCUUUCAUCGGCGUGUUCUCAAGUUCCGUGUGAAUACCUCUUGGCCGUGGCAUCCGGGCGCGUUGCUGUUGUUAGGACCAAAGUAUUUGAGUUACCACCUUUGCCGAUAGUAAGGUCAAAUCGGCUGGCACGCCUUAACGUUUAAAUCGGGUAUUAGCCCUUUGUGUUUGCAGAUCAGCUUUUGCACCAACACAUCUUUUGGCACGCCCAGUGGUACCGAUUCAAGAUCAAGAUCAAUAUGUCGACUUCUGAGUUAGAUCAGGAGAACGUUAUCCCCGUGACGGAAGCCAAUCACAAGGAUGAGCAGAAGCAAGCUAUUGCUAAGGCCAUGGAGGAUUACAAGCAGCAAUGCUUGAGGUCCUUCAGCAUGAACAGGAGCGGUGAGGUAAUCCAGAAGGAUGCAUUGCCGGCACCGCGACAGGUCACUUUUGAAGCUAAUCCUGGCAAGCUCCAAGAGAUGGUUGACAGCGCUAUCAACCGUGCUUUGAUCAACCAAGCUGGCGUACUGUCUAAUACGGUUUUCAAUGCCAUGGCAAAAACUUUCAAGGAAGGACAAUUGCCACUAGAUUAUGUGGGCCCUACUUAUCAUCAGCCAGGAUCACCGGUGGUCACAGCUCCAUCGGCUGCUGCGGCCGCUGCGGGUUCACAAACUAUCAUUCCUCCAAGUACGUUGGGAGUCACGAAUGCACAAUCUACACCGAUGACGACCAAUCCACUGGCUUCAGAUGGGCAGAUUAAACUCACUACAGAUCUGUUGGCAUCGGCAAUGACAGGACUAACUCCUCCUCCCAACUUGUGGGGUUAUGGCAUGCCUCUAGAGUUAACGCCGGGUACAUCGCAGACGACUGAUAUGAGAGGCAAGACUCUUAUGGCAUCGGCACCUCCCAAUAUGCCGAUGAACCAGAGUUCCCAGUAUACUACAACUACUACUGCAAGACCUUACACUGGGAAUUCUCAAACGCCAGCAUUCCAGAUGCCCAACGCAUCGGCAGACUCAAUGCUAAUGCAACAAAGGUCUAUGGCUCAAUCAAGGUAUGUCAAUUCAAUGAUGAUACCCAAUUACGAGACAUCGGCAGGGCCUAUGCCGAUGAACGCUAAUAAUGGAUGGCUUGGUCAGCAAGUCUUUCCGCAAAUGCCCCAACAGAGUCACCAGGCUACAGGGUUCCAGCAAGGACAGAUCUAUCCCGGGUUCCAGAAUCAGGGAAUCCCUAACCAGCCAAUGAAUCUCGGGCAGCAGGCCGACGGACAGCAGAUUGGCGGGCAACAGCUUGGUGGUCCACAGGUUGGAGGCCAGAUGAUCAACCCAAUGUUCUGUGCAGAUCGUGCACCGAACAGACACGUGGAGGCUUACCAGCAGGUGCCGGAUCCACAACCUCCUCAUCGGCCAGAUGCCGAUGCUUAUUGGGUUGAUAAGAUUGCUGAAGUAAUGAGGGACCAAUUUGGGAUAAAACCCAAAGUCAAUACUUACUCUUAUCGGACACCGUAUCCUCCCGCAUAUGAUUUGAUCCCGCUUCCGCAUCGGUACAAGGUAUCGGAUUUUACUAAGUUUUUUGGACAGGAUGACACGUCGACUAUGGAGCACGUCAACAGGUUCAUCAUUCAGUGUGGAGAAGCUGGUAAUAGGGACGAGUUGAGGGUUCAUCUAUUUUCAUCAUCGUUGUCUGGAUCGGCUUUUACUUGGUUCAUAUCACUACCCCCCAACUCAGUGAUUACAUGGGCCAAUCUGGAAAAACAAUUCCACAAAUACUUCUUUUCUGGGGUCCAUGAGAAGAAGAUCACCGAUUUGGUCAAAUUAAGGCAGCGUAAUGAUGAAUCGGUGGAGAGUUUUGUACAGAGGAUACGGGAAGUCAAGAACAAGUGCUAUAGUCUGGUUCUGGACGAUCGGCAGCUAGCUGAUUUGGCUUUCCAGGGUUUUUUGCCACACAUCAGGGACAAAUAUGCAUCUCUGGAGUUUGAAAGCUUAAGUCAUCUGGUGCAGAGGAUUUCUGAUCAAGAUAUCAAGCCUUUUGAGCCCAAGAGAGCAUGGAACAAAAAGGUAUCGUUUGUUAAUGAAGCAACAAGCUCAGAUUCUGAUGAGGAACCAGUCAUCGGCUUGGCAGAGUGGUUGAAAAAUAAGAAGCCGCUGUCUUGUCCUUUUGGGCAGAAGGAACCAGAGAAGUUCGCGUUUGACACCGCUAAGGCCGAUAGGAUUUUUGACUUUCUACUUCAGGAAGGUCAGAUUAAGCUGUCCCCUAAUCAUGUGAUCCCAUCGGCUGAGGAGUUGAAGAGGAUGAAAUACUGCAAGUGGCACAACACAACUUCGCAUGACACUAAUGAAUGCAAGGUUUUCAGACAGCAGCUGCAAUCGGCUAUAGAGUCUGGAAGAAUCAAAUUUGACAGUUCCAAGACCCAGAAGCCAAUGAAGAUUGAUCAACAUCCUUUCCCAACGAACAUGUUGGAUGCUAAGGGAAAGGCCAAGGUCCGGACAUCGGAAGCAGCUGAAAGAAGUGCAUCGGUGGAUCCUCAGCAUCAGGUCACUACUGCCGAUGCCAAAGGAAGAGGCUUAGUCCAGGAAGGAACUAGCUCGGGAAGGCAACCCGAUCUGGUAUUGUGAUAACUCACAGAAGGCCUCGAGAAACUUGGCAACAACGUGAAGACCGAUAUAGGUGCCAGCAGGAGGAUUAUCGUCGGGAAGAGGAAAGACGCCGAGAGGAGUGGAAUCGGCAUAGGGAUCACUGGAAUUGCCCGUUCUUCAUCCAUUGUUGGGAGGAGAAUAUCAAGCUUCCCACUAUCAGAGAUUGCCCUGAGUGCAACGGUUAUGAUCGGUACGACAGAUCCGAUCGGUACUAUCGUGAUAAUAAUCGGCGUUUCAACGGGCCAAUUAGUGGGAGAGCGUCGGUUCACGAUCGGCUGGGGGCAGGCUCAGUGUGCACGACAGGCUUGGCGAUCGUGUGGGAUAUUUUCCCAGGAACCAGGAAGAACUCGAAGAGAUGGCUAAUGCUCGGGUUUCCAAUGAGUUCAUAUUUUGUAGGGAUGCCAAUACUUAUCGGGUAGAGCCAAGGGAGAAUCAUCGCCCAUCGGUAAGGCAGCAGCAACUUCCUGCCUGGUGUCCGGAGGGAUUGACCAGGACUCAGAAGAGAAGAUUGCAGCGUGAAAGGCGAGAGGAAUUGAGCAAAGGGGAGAACUCUGGACAGUCUGGGGAUCAGCAGCAGUCAGGUCCAAAAGGGGAAGGUCCAUCGGCAUACGUUAACAUGGUCUUUAUGUUGCCGAUGGAGUUUCUUGCGCCGUCUAGUGAUGAUGAGCUGGAAUUCUCCGACCAAAUAGCUCAAUUGGCUCUGGAUCCUAUGACAGCUAUCUUCGAGCAGCCUACUGAUGAUGAAAGACAACAUCUCAAGGCACUGUUUGUCAAAGGAAGGGUUGACGGGCAGCCGAUGACUAAGAUCCUAAUUAAUGGAGGAGCUGCUAUCAACAUCAUGCCAUAUGUAGUGUAUCAAAAGCUUGGAAAAGGGGAUCAAGAUUUAACCAAGACCGAUAUGAUGCUUAAAGACUUUGAAGGGAAUGUGUCUCCGGUCAAGGGGGCAAUAUGUGUGGAGUUGACCAUCGGCAGCAAGACCUUGCCGACAACCUUCUUCGUGAUCAGUGGAAAGGGUGCUUACAACUUGUUGUUGGGAAGAGACUGGAUUCAUGCUAAUUGUUGUAUCCCAUCUACAAUGCACCAAUGCUUGGUUCAAUGGGUAGGUGACAAAAUUGAGAUUGUCCCGGGAGAUUCUUCUUAUGUUAUUGCAUCGGCAGAGGCGGACACCUAUGAGAGGACUAGGUGUAUUUUAGGAGAAGUUUGGGAGAAAGAUUUUCUCAAGGUUGCCGAUUACGAGAUUCGACCAAUCCAAGCAGUCGGUUCUAACGAAGGUUUUUAAUGGAUAGGUUCGCCGAUGAUGGGAAAUUAGGCCAGGGAUUCACAUCGGCCGAUGAUCUAGUAGAAGUAGAUAUAGGUAGUGGUGAUAAGCCUAGACCCACUUUUAUUAGUGCUAAGUUAGAUUCUGAGUGUAAGCAACAGUUAACUGAUUUGUUAAAGGAAUAUAAAGAUUGUUUUGCUUGGGAUUAUACUGAGAUGCCUGGUUUGGACCGAUCAAUUGUCAAACAUCGGUUACCUAUCAAGUCUGGAUUUCGGCCACAUCAGCAGCCAGCUCGCCAAUGUAAUCCUAAUAUCCUAUCUGAUAUUAAGGCCGAAAUCACCAAACUUAUUGAAGCUAAGUUUAUUCGGCAGUGUCGGUAUGCCGAAUGGAUUUCCAAUGUUGUUCCAGUUUACAAGAAGAACGGGAAGCUUCGGGUAUGCAUUGAUUUCAGAAAUCUCAAUAAAGCUACGCCGAUGGAUGGAUACCCAAUGCCUGUUGCCGAUUUGCUGGUUGACGCCGCGGCUGGGCAUCGGAUCAUUAGCUUUAUGGAUGGCAAUGCAGGAGACAAUCAAAUAUUCAUGGCAGAAGAGGAUAUUCCAAAGACUGCAUUUAGAUGUCCUGGUCAUGUCGGGUUGUUUGAAUGGAUAGUCAUGACCUUUGGCCUGAAGAAUGCUGGUGCUACAUAUCAAAGAGCCAUGAAUUUUAUUUUUCAUGAGUUCAUCGGCAAGCUGGUGGAGAUUUAUAUUGAUGAUGUGGUGGUUAAGUCUGGAGACUUCACAAAGCAUCUUGCUGAUUUACGAAAGGUAUUGGAAUCCACGAGGAAGCACGGUUUGAAAAUGAAUCCCAAUAAGUGUGCAUUUGGUGUAUCGGCAGGGCAAUUUCUCGGUUUCAUGGUGCACCAGAGGGGGAUUGAAAUCAGUCGAAGAUCUAUUGAUGCUAUCAAUAAGAUAGUGGCCCCUACCAACAAGACUAAGCUCCAGUCCUUGAUCAGCAAAGUAAAUUUUAUCAGAAGGUUUAUAUCUAAUUUGUCUGGUAAAAUUCGUGCUUUCAGUCCUCUUAUUAAGUUAAAGGCCGAUCAAGAGUUUGUUUGGGGGAAGGAACAGCAGUUGGCUUUGGAUGAAAUCAAGAAUUAUUUAGUGAAUCCUCCAGUUCUGAUUCCACCUCAGCAAGGGAAGCCCUUCAGGUUGUAUUUGUCUACCGAUGGGAUGGUCAUCGGCUCAGCUUUAAUUCAAGAAUUUGAAGGGAAGGAGCGUGUAAUUUAUUACUUAAGUAGGAGGUUGAUCGAUGCUGAGACCAGGUAUUCGGCUAUUGAGAAACUAUGCCUAUGCUUAUAUUUCUCUUGUAUCAAGUUAAGGCAUUAUUUGUUAUCGGCCGAAUGCAUCGUUAUUUGCAAAGAUGAUGUGGUCCGGUACAUGCUGUCCAUGCCGAUUAUGAGCGGCAGGAUCGGUAAAUGGAUUUUGGCGCUAUCGGAGUUCGAUCUGCGUUAUGAAUCGGCUAAGGCAGUUAAGGGACAGAUUAUGGCCGAUUUUGUAACUCAGCAUUGCGGUACAGUGGAGACUUUGGAAAUUGUGCCUUGGACGCUUUUCUUUGAUGGAUCUACAUGUGACCGGGGGGCAGGAAUCAGCAUAGUACUAGUUUCCCCUCGGGGAAGGAAAUAUGAGUUUUUCUUGCUGAUUGUUGCCACGUCAACAAAUAAUCAGGCUGAGUAUCAAGCUUUAAUAAAGGGAUUAGAGUUGUUGAGAGAAGUUCAUGCUGAUGCUGUUGAGGUCUUCGGAGAUUCUAUGCUAGUUAUAAAUCAACUGGCUGGGAGCUAUGACUGCCGAAAGUGAAGUUCUCAUAACUUAUUACGAGAGAAGUAUGCAACUGUGUUGACGGUCCUUAAUGCUCACAUUUAACCAUCAACUAAUCAUAGAAAAAGAUCCAAAUACAACCAACAACUAGACUUAGGGUUUUAUCUGACAGAAUUCCGCAAGUAUAGGUGUUUGUCUAUUUCUGCAGGGGGUUAUCUGGAAAUACGGAAGAAAGGCCCACACGUCGGGUUUACAUAGAGAUAUUAACGUGCCGCGCAAUUUUCUAUCAUCUAGAAGACUCCAGAAGCCACGGGAACAAAGCGGAAGACAAGAGGCCUCAGGGACAGGGCGCCCGCCCUAGUCCUGAGGGCGCCCGCCCACCUGUUCUGCCCAAUCAGGGUACAACUCGGGGAUCAUGCUCCACCGACCUAAUACUUCAAGGAAAACCACACGAUCAAUGUCGAUUUGAUCUGACGGCCCAGAUUCACUUGAAGGGACUAUAAAACCAGACCCCCCUGGCCCCUGGAGAUCAUACCUCCUCUACAGAAUCAAAGCUAGGGUUUCAAUUCUUCAUCCAAGUAGAGAGGAUCCCUCUAGUUCUUCUAGUUCUACCUCUAGUUCAUCUAGAUCUAGUUCUAGUUCAUCUAGUUCUAGUUCUAGUUCCUCUAGUUCUAGUUCUAGUUAGUUCUAGUUGCAAUCUAGAAAAUAGGGAGAGAGAAGAGGAGAGCGGAGAAGGAGGAGCCGGAUCUGUCGGAUCUUCCUCAACAUUGUACUUUUGCAGCAACUGGUUCGUUCUUCAUCGUUCUCCAGGUUCUUCAAUUCAUAACUCCUGAGUUCUCUAAUUACUUUUAUUUACAUUCAAGUUAUUUAUUGGAUUCCUGCUUGCAUCAAGUGCUCUAAUCUUUCAAACAUUAGAGUAGUAAUUAAUAGAUUAGACGUGGUGUUUAGUCUUGCAAUUACCUGGAAUUGCACCCAAUCCUGCGGAUUGUUGUGGUAGCCCUAGGGUAGUGACAGCCCUAUCGGUCGAUGUAUUCCACCUCGUUCGGAUCGGUGUUUGUAGGACCGUAGUCGGAGCUUCCUAGCCCCCUUCUCAUCUCUUUCUGUGGUUAGUGUUCUGAUGUCCCGAUAUAGAUAAUCUUGAAGUAAUUCUUGAUUCUUAGAUCAACUAGAGAACUCUCAGGAAACUUCCUCUCUUCCCACCAAAAAUACUUAUCUAGUUAUCCUUGGGCGAUCUUGGAUCUUAAUUAGUACACUCAUGUUCCCUGUGGAAAAUCGAUACUCUGGAAUACUCCCGGGUGAAGGCUACAUCGGUAUCCGUGCGCUUGCGGAUUUUUCUGUUUGAGUUUAAAAUACCCAACAAGCUUUCUGGCGCCGUUGCCGGGGAACGGUAGCUGUGCUAGUUUCGAACCAAGUCGUCCGCGUAUCCUUUUUCUUUUCCUUUUUUACCACACUCACCUUACCAUUUUCACCACACCACAUGGAUUUCACUCUAAGCAUUAAUGAGCAUGGAAUUUAUUUCAUAGCCACUUCAUUUGCUCCAUGCUCAUAUGCAACAUCUUACCAAUCCAUUGGUCUCUCCAACAACACCACAUUCGAGAUCUCCAACCCCCUCAUCCUUUCUAUUUAUAAAAACUUUAAAAGGGUGGUUGUCGAUGCAUAUGUCUAUAUUAAAUAUUGCAGAUCUCGUUGAGUUGAUCUUGAUAUAGGUCAGCGUUGGAGGGGAAAGCACUUCACUGACAUAAAUUAAUGGUUUCCCAAGGACAAGCUUAAUGUCCUAAAACAAGCACUGAUCACAUUGUAACAUGAGCUUUUAAUUAUUUGCAAUAUUACCUUGUGAAUUGAGCAUAUAAAGAUAAUUGUAAAAAAAUUCCUUCGGGUAUUCUUGUCACUAACCUUUCUAAGAUUGGAGCAAGAAGAUUGGAUGAAUGACAAGCACAAGGUAUGUCCAACCAAUCAUCAUACAACAUUGAAUUAAAUUCAUCCAAACUUGAAUUUUGCAAAAUUCAAGCUUGGGGGAGUACUUUACAUAAAAUCAUAAUUUGCCAUGUUGCUAUGUUGGUUGGCCCUACCUUUGAGACAUGCUCAAUUUGUUAAAUACUAAUCACACUACUUCAUCUCCACUUGAGUAAAUCUCAAUAAAUGCUUUCAUGCUACCUUUAUUUGCUUUAGUAUAUGUCUAGGUUUGGAGUAGUUUCAUUUAUCUCUUAUUUAAGCAUGGUGCUUAGUUUAGGAAUGAUGAUCUUACUUCCAAAGGAUUUUAAAUUAAGCAUGAUGCUUAGGUUAAAAUUCCCUCCUAAAUCAAAUUAGACAUGGUGUCUAGGUUGAUCUUUGAGCCGAUAGUAUGCUAUAGUAGAUAUUGGAUAUUUUGUUGGACUAACCCCUGCAGGAAAACUUUCAAUAUCGACCUGGGAAGUCCUGAGACAAACUCACAUUGGAGACAAAGAGAGAGGCACAUGAAGUUUAACAAUUUACACAGGAAGGCAUAGCUCACAAGAGAUGAUCCAUGGAGGGUGCCACAAACAUGAUGCACAACCACUAAGAAAGGAAAGCUUCCACAAGGUGAUACUGUACCAUCACUCUUCAAGUAAGGUAACAUCUUAAGGUACUGGACUAUCACUUCUAUAAGCUUCUCCUUAUUUCUAGCAUUCACAUGAGUAAAAGAGACAAACAUGUAAGAUUUACAACUCUAGAUUAACCAACCCAAUCGAUUCAACAUGUUUAGUCCUUCCACCUUUGUGAUCUCACACUCCUAAUCAUAUGAACUAAAGUGUUGCACAUUCAAUCUUUGGAAGAUAUAAACAAAACAUAAAUAUAGAUAGAUUAUCUUUCCAUUAGGUUGAGUCAUCUGAUCUGACAAAUGUUUUAAAUGCUACACUCAUGGUCUUAUUAUCUAUCAACUUUGUCUUGCUCACUAUGCUUGAGGUUAGAGAAGAACAAAUACACUUUAGGUUCUGUUGGUGUUUUCCACCAACAGGGCCCAUGCACUUGAUCUCUGCCUUGUCUAUGAGCAGGUACACUUCGAGUAAAAUAUGAAGGAUUUUUACAAGUCCCAGACUCCACCAAGUGAAGAACCUAGAUCUACGAGCACAAACACACUGGAGAUACUGGACACUCAGGCAAUCACUGCCCUGAGAUGCUUGAGGACGUAACUACUGGAGUAACCCUGUUGUGGAAGUAAUUACGGACCUUCUGCCGGUCAAGAGAGACAAUCUAGGACGCCCCGUCAUCCCGAUCUCCAUCGACAUGGUGGACUUCCUAGAAGCACUCUAUGACUUUGGCUCCAGUGUCAACAUUAUGCUCAGGCUUGCAGAUCGUACGCUAAGUUUCCCAAAGGGAAUAAUGAAGAACCUCUGCGUCUGUGUUGGUACCUUGUACGCCCUAGCAGACUUCGUGGUGAUAGAAACUGGUACUGAUGAGAGGGCACCCAUCAUCUAGGGAGGCCAUUCCUGAACACCUCGGGAGCUGACAUCUACGCUAGUGCUGCCAAGAUCAGUUUCUACAUCAAGGGGAAGAAGGAGACGUUUUCCUUCAAGAACAAGACUACACAAAUCCCAGAGCAAUCCCGACAUGAACCAAGGAAGAGGACCAACAGGAGGAACAGGAACAAGCAAAUGUGUACCGAGUCAGCUAAGAUGGUCACUGCAGCUCAAGGAGGUCAAGAUCGUCAACUCAAGUCACCUUUCUUGAUCAAGAAGGACGACCCUGGUGUUCCAAGCAUCGAGUGCACAAUCAACAGAUAUUCUUUUCAGAAGACACUCUACGACACCGGAUCUAACGUCAACAUAAUGGCCGCAGUCACUUAUCAGCUCUUGCAUGGAACCAUGUCCCUACAACCAACAUACAUUCAGCUUCAGAUAGCAGAUCAGACAUUCCGAAAGGUUGAAGAUUUUUAGGUUAUUGACAUGGGAGAAGACGAGUACGAUCCACCCAUCAUCCUUGGAAGACCGUUCCUCAGCACCGUUAAAGCAAUCAUCUACAUUGGAAUCGGAGAAGUCCACAUGCACUUCCCCUCUGAGAAGGUACGCUGCUAUUUUACUGACCUUAACUAUAUAGUUAAAGACUCUAAGCAGGUCAGGACAAGAAGAAGACGAUGCAACCGCAACCAGAUAAGGCAAGUCAUCAAGGACGGAUGGGCGGACUACGAAGGAGAAGUGGUAAUGUCUGAAGACAUACAGCUUGAACAGAACUGUCCUGAGGAGACCGUAGCACCGAGUUAGGUGUGGAGAAAGAAGAUAGUUAUACAUGAAGAGGAGGCACCGCCGGAACCACCGACUACGUCAUCCAGUGAAUCCCAGGACGACUGAGAAAACGGAGAGUCCCGUUCGGAGGACUUAAAAGCACCGAACGCCUUGCCAAGAGGUAAACUUGGUAGUUAUCUUUUUCCUUUCAAUUAUUUUAAAAUAGUUUGCUUAGUUAAUCAGGUUCACAUCUUCUUAAAAAGAAAAUAAAAAUGUUUAAAAUAGUAAGCCCCAUGUGAGUAUGCUCAUGGCAUAAAACCCAUAAGUACAUUCACUGUGGUGGCAUAUAAAAAAAUGAAAUAAAUAUAUUCCUAUCCUAUAAAAAUAAAAUUAUAAAAAUAAAUUUAUGAUCCUACUAAAGAGAGUAACAUUUAUUGAGGAGGCUCAACAUGAUAAAGGCUAGAUACUUAUGCUAACACUUAACCAGUUCCACAAAGCUUUGUUGUCUAUUUGAGCUCCACAGAAUUCAAGGAUCAAAGAAGACUAGCUGACGGAGGACAUCCUAAUCACUGUCAGGGUGCUGCUGACAUUCAAAUACACCUCCGCCACUUGCUAGCUACAUCAGAAGAGAUUACGUCGAAAUCCAGCUUGGGGGAGAGCACCUCCAUUUAUCCAGCUAAGUAUUCUACUCACGUUUAUACUUUACUUAAAUAAUAAAAAAAUGCAUAAUCAUAAAAACCCAAAUAAAUAUUUUGUGCUUACAUAUAUCUUUGCUUAGUUUGCUAAAUAAAUAAAGUUUGCUAUGAACCCUCAUAAUAAGCUCUCACAUGGAAAUGAUGAAUAGUUGCUCUGCCAUGACUAGUUCUCAAAAUUGAAAUCUCUCUCAAGUUUAGGCCUAACUGUUAUUAAUUAAGAUUUGCUCUAAACCUGAACUUGUGGGAAGAGUACUUGAUCUGAAGUCUAAGUCGUUAACGGAGAUGAUAUGGGAUGGUUGAGCUGCUGUUUAUCUGUUCCUAGAGAUGCUAGAAUUCUAGAGAAUUUUAUCUUUUAAAAUCUUUAAAAUAUUGCAUGAUGAGUUCCUGUAUGAUGAGAGUUUAAAAUCCUACCACAGCCAUAUAUACAUGCUUCCUAGACUAUGAACCACACAUGUACUUUACUACUUAUGAGCAUUGAGUGUGGUCAAGCUGUGUAGACCCUUAGGAGCUUGUCAUGUGGUUAAAUCAAGAUUCACUUGCACGUUCACUCACACAUGCUACUUCUACUCCAGAAGUACCAUCCACAUAUAUCCAUUUUCAUCUCCAGAACCACGCAAAAAUAUUCUACUCCUAAUCCGGGAGAGAAUAGCCAAAAAUAUUUCUGUUUUUUCCCUGUGAAAUAAAUGCUCAAGUUAUCUUGUUACUACCACUUGCUAUAUUAUUUCACGAGAUGAGUGUUCUAAAAAAAGAAAAAAAAAAGAGAAAAAAAAAUAAAUACGAGGAAAUAAAAAGGGGCAAGUGCCCGGAACCUCGAAAGAAAAGAAAAAAAAAGAAGUGAGACGAGAGGUAAAAAUAGACAAGUGUCCGACAGUAGAAUUAGGGGUACAAGAUACCCACCUGAGAGAAAAGAAAAAUAAAAUAUAGAGCAUCUCAUUCUCUCCAAAAGUUUCAAAAGAGCAAGAAAGGUUUGUAUCCUCUCAAAAGAGCAAAAGUAGAAUUAGACUUUCACCAUUGUUAUCACCAUCAUCACCAUACACCAUUCAUUCGCCACACAUGCACAUCUUGAUUUGACUUAUUGACUUGUUACUCUGGAUCCAUGGUUUGACUAUGCAAUAAAUGUCUUGUAAGUAUGUAUUAGCUGUCUCCCACCUAUGAGCUCCAGAUAUCAAAAGCCUUAUUAGAGUAGGGUGAGAGAGAAGGCAAUGUCACUAUGCCUCAUACCAAAAAUGCCACAUACUUUGAGAGAAGGCAUACACCUUUACUGCCUUGGUAAGGAUCCAGAAAUACCACAAAAGAGAGAUCUGAGAGAGUCAUACAAGGAAUCUCUGAGUUUUAUUUGAAAAUCUGCAAAAACUCUAGAGCUAUAGUUAAUCGAAGAACAAGAGACAUGGUGCUUGACUAGACUGUUCUAUCUUUUAACUACUCAAGACAGAAGUGACGGUUACAAGUCCCAUGGUGAAAGGUAAAUGAGUAAGUUUUAAGUCUUAACAGUUUACUCUAACCAGAGAUGAGAUCUUGUUUAAACGCAUGUGUAUCUUUAAGUUAUGAAACCACUGCAGAAACUCUUGAGUUCAUCUUUGCUCAGGGACGAGCAAAGGUUAAGCUUGGGGCAGCUUGUUGACGGUCCUUAAUGCUCACAUUUAACCAUCAACUAAUUAUAGAAAAAGAUCCAAAUGCAACCAACACCUAGACUUAGGGUUUUAUCUGACAGAAUUCCACAAGUUUUGGUGUUUGUAUAUUUCUGGAGGGGGUUAUCAGGAAAUACGGAAGAAAGGCCCACACGUCGGGUUUACAUAGAGAUAUUAACGUGCCGCGCAAUUUUCUAUCAUCUAGAAGACUCCAGAAGCCACGGGAACAAAGCGGAAGACAAGAGGCCUCAGGGACAGGGCGCCCGCCCUAGUCCUGAGGGCGCCCGCCCACCUGGUCUGCCCAAUCAGGGUACAACUCGAGGAUCAUGCUCCACCGACCUAAUACUUCAAGGAAAACCACACGAUCAAUGUCGGUUUGAUCCGACGGCCCAGAUUCACUUGAAGGGACUAUAAAACCAGACCCCCCUGGCCCCUGGAGAUCAUACCUCUUCUACAGAAUCAAAGCUAGGGUUUCAAUUCUUCAUCCAAGUAGAGAGGAUCCCUCUAGUUCUUCUAGUUCUACCUCUAGUUCAUCUAGAUCUAGUUAUAGUUCAUAUAGUUCUAGUUCUAGUUCCUCUAGUUCUAGUUCUAGUUAGUUCUAGUUGUAAUCUAGAAAAUAGGGAGAGAGAAGAGGAGAGCGGAGGAGGAGGAGCCGGAUCUGUCGGAUCUUCCUCAACAUUGUACUUUUGCAGCAACUGGUUCGUUCUUCAUCGUUCUCCAGGUUCUUCAAUUCAUAACUCCUGAGUUCUCUAAUUACUUUUAUUUACAUUCAAGUUAUUUAUUGGAUUCCUGCUUGCAUCAAGUGCUCUAAUCUUUCAAACAUUAGAGUAGUAAUUAAUAGAUUAGACGUGGUGUUUAGUCUUGCAAUUACCUGGAAUUGCACCCAAUCCUGCGGAUUGUUGUGGUAGCCCUAGGGUAGUGACAGCCCUAUCGGUCGAUGUAUUCCACCUCGUUCGGAUCGGUGUUUGUAGGACCGUAGUCGGAGCUUCCUAGCCCCCUUCUCAUCUCUUUCUGUGGUUAGUGUUCUGAUGUCCUGAUAUAGAUAAUCUUGAAGUAAUUCUUGAUUCUUAGAUCAACUAGAGAACUCUCAGGAAACUUCCUCUCUUCCCACCAAAUAUACUUAUCUAGUUAUCCUUGGGCGAUCUUGGAUCUUAAUUAGUACACUCACAUUCCCUGUGGAAAAACGAUACUCUGGAAUACUCCCGAGUGAAGGCUACAUCGGUAUCCGUGCGCUUGCGGAUUUUUCUGUUUGCGUUUAAAAUACCCAACAAACUGUUAAUGGAAUUCAAAGACUUCCGAUUAGAGUAUGUUCCCCGAUUGCAUAAUGAAGAAACAAACUGGUUGGCUCAGCAUGCUUCGGGAUAUCAGCCUAUGAUCAAUACGAUGUCGACAAUUGGUGCCGAUGAUUGGAGAAAAGAAAUCGUUGAUUAUAUGAAAGAUCCAUCUAAGAAAGUUAAAAGACGAGUUCGGUUUCAAGCAACCAAGUAUGUGCUCCUCGAGGAUGAAUUGUAUUAUCGAACUAUUGAUGGAAUUCUUCUCCGAUGCUUAGGUGAUGAUGAGCCUAAGAGUUUGAUGGAAGAAAUCCAUGAAGGGGUAUGUGGAGCGCAUCAGUCGGCUUUCAAGAUGAAGUGGAUGAUUAGGAGGAAUGGAUAUUAUUGGCCGACUAUACUUGAAGAUUGCUUUAAAUAUUUCAAAGGGUGUCAAGGAUGUCAAAAGUUUGGUAAUAUUCAAAGGGCACCUGCAUCGGCUAUGAAUCCUAUUAUAAAGCCAUGGCUGUUCCGAGGAUGGGCUAUUGAUUUGAUCGGCCAGAUUUAUCCACCAUCUAACAAAGGGCAUAAGUUUAUUCUAGUUGCCACUGAUUAUUUCACUAAAUGGGUUGAAGCUAUUCCUUUUAAGAAAGUCACAUCGGCCAGUAUGAUUGAUUUUGUGAAGGAGCAUAUCAUUUACCGAUUUGGAAUUCCUCAAACAAUUACUACCGAUCAGGGUACUAUGUUUACAUCACGGGAGUUCGAUGAAUUCGCAAUCGGUAUGGGGAUUAAAGUAUUAAAUUCUUCUCCUUACUAUGCUCAAGCCAAUGGGCAGGCCGAGGCGUCUAACAAAGGAAUUAUUAAGCUUAUUAAACGGUAGAUUGAAGAAAAUCCUAGAAGGUGGCAUACAUUGUUAAAUGAGGCUUUAUGGUCAUACCGGAUGGCUUGUCAUGGAUCAACCAAGGUUUUCGCCUUAUCAGUUAGUGUAUGAACAUGAUGCAGUGUUGCCUUGGGAGAUUAAGGCUGGAUCUACGCGACUAUGUUUUCAAGACCAAUUGGCUGCCGAUGAUUAUGCUACUUUGAUGACAGACGAGUUGGAUGACUUAGCAGAGCAUCGGCUGAGGGCUUUGAUGAGUAUAGAAGAGAAUAAAAAGAGAGUUGCUAGAUGGUACGAUAAGAAGGUAAAGGCUAAGGAAUUUGCCGAUGGAGACUUAGUAUGGAAAUUAAUCUUACCGAUCGGGACUAAAAGUUCAAAAUUUGGAAAGUGGUCUCCCAAUUGGGAGGGUCCCUAUCGAAUAAGUCGAUCGGCUCCUGGUAAUGCCUAUAUUUUGGAAACUCUCGAAGGAGUCGAAUUUCCCAGAACAUUAAACGACAAAUAUCUAAAGAAGUACUACCCCAGUAUAUGGGUCGAUGCAUAGAGGUUUAAAUGUCGAUAACACUCCUAUCGGCUGGAUUAGAAUGUUUGGGGCAGGACUUAAUGUUUCGAAAGAUGCCGAUAACAGUCCUAUCGGCUAGACUAAACAUCAAGAAGGCUGGAGAGUAAGAGGAAGCAGGCGUGUUGCCGAUGAAAAGCUCACAUGUUUAGCAGUGCUUGGAUGGCCGAUAUGGCACGUAGGCGGAUCUGGUUGGCUUCUUCUAUCUCCUUGACAUCUUCAUCGGCAGAACCUUCUAUCGGCUUUAAUUUCUUCUUCAGCUACAGUGCUUUGCGACCGUGGGCAUUUCGCUCUUGUUCAAGGAGUUUGAUGGUCUCUGGCAGUUGAAUCUCUUCCUGUUGGGCUUGAGAUAGGGCAUCCUCCACUUGCUUGAGUUCUGCCAACAGGGCUUCUCGUUUUGCCGAUAGGUUGGAAAUCUUCUAUUUCAGUGCACUUCCUGAAGACUUCAAAGUACCGAUGGUCUUGUGCUUCUCAUCGGUCAGGAGCUUCUCUUUCAUCAUCUCCUCAGAAAGCCAGGUCUGAGCAGCUCUAUCGGCAAGGCGCCGGGUGGCCCUCUGGUACUGCAGCUGACGACUCUCCAGAUGUGUGGCCUGGAAGAGGAUUUCUUCGGCAUCGACUGGAAUCUGGCCUCUGAGGGCCUUGAACAGAACUUUGGUCGGGUCAGAGUCGUCGACCAGUUGAGCUGUGUCUUGAUGGAGGAGAGCUGAUAGUUCUUCUAACUUGGCCCUGAUCUCUGCCGAUGCGAUUCCGACUGCCGGGAAGAACUUGCUUCCUCACCUUCGUCUUCGGAAAUGUCAAUUGCAAAGGAGAAUAGGCUGUCGGGAGAAUCCUGCUCCUGAAAAGAGAGACAGAGUGAGUCAUUCUAUGAUCAAGAGCAUCGGCGAAAAAUAUUGAUGGAGAUUGGAUAGCUUACUUGCUUCAAGGCAAUCUCUCGCCUUUGACUGGAAGACGUCGAUGGGGCUACGGAUUGAUCGGCCAGAGUUGCCGAUGGAGCUACGUUAGCCAAAAAUUAAUAGAAGGGGUUAUAAGACCGAAAAGGAAUAGGUUCAUCGGUAGUAAUAAAAUGUGUUACCUUGAGGAAGGGCAGUUCUUGUCUGAAUGGAGGAGACCACUGAUGCUAUGAUGGAACCUGCUGGAUCGGCAGUUGGUUCAUGUACAUUAGCCGAUGUGUCUUCUGGCUGAGGUACCUCUUGUUGAGGUUCUUCCACCUAUGGUGCUUCUUGCAUUGGUGGGGGGAGAUGGUACUUGUUGCGUCUAGACUUCUGGAGAAGAAGGAGGAGGGGGAGUUGCUACUCUCUGGCGCUUUGCCUAUGCUCUGGUACCUUUGGCACCCUUUCUCUUUUGCUGGCUGGACUGGGGGGCAUCGGCACCUUUGCUUUUGGUCCUUGCCGAUGCGCUGGUUUGCAGAUGCAGAAAAGAAAACUGGUGAGUAUUAGUGUAGCGGGUGCAAAAGGAAGAUCGGUAUAAAUGAAAAGGGUUGGCAAUUACCUUGAAAGCCUGUGCCAGAGUGGAAGCAGCUACCGAUGGUGGUGUCUGAGUUCUCUUGGUGGUAACCUUCUUGAGGCGUAUACCUCGAUGAACGAUGGCAGCCAAGGUGGGAGCAUUGUGGCCGAUUGAAGAGAUUGGACCUGAUGCAAACAGAUCGAUCGGCUUGCCACUUCUACUGACCGAUGGAGGGGUGUCAUCGACCUGAAAAAUCACACAAAGAGUCAGUCACUGAUGGAAAUAGAAUUGAGAGGAUUGGAACAUCGGUCUAAAGAUACUUACAGUGUCAGUGGGAACUUCGUACUCAGGAUCGAUCAUGCCGCGAUACGAAAGAGCCGAUUUGCAGAAUAGGUGCUCCUUCCAUUCUGCCCACCAUUGCUUGUACGCCUGAGUGAUGAAGGCGGCUGGUACCCACUCUGACAGGUUUACAUCUGUAUCAGCACUUGAUGGCAGUUGGGCCACUCGGAUCCAUUCAAGAAGGUUAUUAAUGGUUUCUCUGGGCUUUAUCACAUUGGCAUAACAGAGUGCAAUCGGCAGCUGGCCAAAAGCUAAUUGACGAGCUAGUGCCGAUGGAUUAUAGAACUCAUAAGUCUGGGGAGAUGUUUUUCCACUACCAAAGAAGUUCACCGGUAUAGCUCUGGGAGUCACCAGUGCCAUCAGUACUUCGUUGUCCUUGUCAAGAGCUUCAUCAAAUGGGUUGAAAACCAGAGGAAACAUAGUAUCUGGGUCAUCAUAGGCCAACCACGCUCGCUCAUCUCUGGCCAAACCUUCGUACAAGGUCUGAAAGAAUCGGCUAAACUGGUCUGGAUUACUCCCUGUACUAGGCAAAACUAUGACAGCUUCACCAAAGUUCAAGGGAGGGCGUGUUGCCGAUUCUUCUUCACCCAACACAUGGUUCUCGGCUAUGUCCCUUGGAAAACGCUGAGCGAAAAGAUUGAACUCCAGACGCUUGUGCAUGUGGAGAUUGAGCCACAUGUUAAUGAACCACCAAGGGCCUCCCAAGUUACCGAUGGACUGGCCGAGUAAGAGUUUCCUGGUUACUUGGUGGAGGAGGUGAUAAGCUGCUCCAAGCAGGUAUCGGCUGAGGGGGAAUCGGCCACCAUUGGCCAGAUUUUCUGCUGCUGCUGGGUAGACGGAGGUUGGUCCUGCCGAUCGGCCGCAAAAUACGAAUUUGUCUAGCCACAUGUUCAGGAAGCAGGUUUCCUCUUUUGUGUUAACAGGGCCUGUCUUGCUGUAUUUUUGGAUAUACCCCGACCAGCCGCCGAUGGUGCGGGUUUCUACCUUAGCACUGGGUAUGGUAUCAAAGAAAUGGGUGCUAUCGGUAGAAGACACAUCCAGGCCAGUGAGAAUAGCUACAUCGGCAAGUGUAGGGGCAGCAGGACCAUGGCCGAAGACAAAGGCAUUGAGGGUGUCUAACCAGAAAUAAGAUGCAACUAUCAACAGUGAUUCGUUCCUAUGCAUAUCGGCAAUGGACAACCUAAUGCAUUGGUCUAGCUUUCUCUCGCCCCACUGGGCUUCAUUGGAGUUGCUAACCCUCAAGAACCAAUCCUUCCACCCCACGGUAGGGCUGAGCCAGGAACGGAAAGUAUCCUUCCACAGAUCCAAAGAAAAGUUCUCUGCUCUAAAAGGGAUCCUGUUGGUUUCUGCGUUUAUGAGGUCGGUUGGAUCUGGAUCCCCUAGCGGCCGAGGCAUUGGAGGUGUGGUUGAUCGGUGGGGAUGACAAUUUUAUUAGCCAAUUCCUAAUGGUUUUGGUGGAAGAAAACAAAAACACGAAGAAAAAGAAAGAAAAUGUUCAGUGAGAUGGAUCGCGGAUGAACAGAGGUGCGAGAAAAGUACAAGAGAUGGCGCGAAGGACUGACCUCAGGAACGAUGAAGUUAACGGCCAUUUUACCACGGAGAAGAUGUUUGAGAGCUUUGGAAUUGGUGAAGAAGGGGCUUCGACGAAGAUCUUGGAGCUUUUGGAUAGCGCCGCUGCCGGGAAAGUGAAGUUGGAGUUGUGGAAUGAUGUGAUGGAGGAGUACCCGAGAAGGAACUAUUUGUAGGACAAAACGGGCAAGGGCAAAUCUGACUUAUCUCUUUGCCGCAUCCGUGAAAUCCGAGGGUGCUCAGGUAGAUAUGGUAACUGUUCGCACGGUAAUCAAGGGAUUGUACAGGUGAUUUGACAAGAAGUGGUCAUUGUCCAGAGAUAUUUUACUGUGCAGGAUCUCCUGGUCGGUCCAUCGGCAGAGUCUUUGUAACGGUCAUAUUGCCGAUGAGCGAAUAAAGUGAAGAUAGCCGUUUGAUUAAGGUUGUCGGUUACCAGAUUAGGAGCAUUAAUUGCGGAAAAGGGCAUCAUUACUGCAGAGAAUUUCGGAGCAUUAAUGAUUUCAUACUCCAAAAUUGGGGGGCAUGUGUUGACGCUGUUUUUAGGCACGUGUCCAUGUUUUGUGAAGUAUAGGCCGGCAAGAUAAGACGGCGGUGUUUAAUCUGCAGGAUGAGUUGCCGAUGAGGAUGGUUGCCGAUGGAGGAGGGGUUGAACGUGACUGAGUCCAUAAGUGGUGAUGUGUCUUUGCCGAUGGCUACGACAGGGAAGUCUGCCGAUGACUAUGACAAGGAAGUCUGCCGAUGACUAUGACAAGGGAGUCUGCCGAUGAUAUGGAGGGAGAGUCUGGAAGCUGCCGGUCGGCUUGUGGAGGUUUUCCUGUUUGUCACGGGGGGAUAGUUUUAUGUUUUCCUUAGUUAUUUAAAUCGUUUUGUAUACGGAUUCUGUGUAAUUUGGAAUUCGAGUUCUAGUCGUGUCAGGUUGUAGCUCUUUGAGCAGGGUAUAAAUAUAAACUCUAGGGCCUUGUAAUGAGACAUCUAUCAAUCAAUCAAACACACAUUUUUACUCAUAUUUCAAGCAUCUAAUUUUUCGACGACUUCGUCAUACCUUUUUCUUUUCAUUACGAGUUCUUAGGAAUUCGUCGACUUAAGCUCGGCGUGUUCUCAAGUUCCACAUGAAUACCUCUUGGCCGUGGCAUCCGGGCGCAUCGCUGUUGUCAGGACCAAAGUAUUCGAGUUACCACCUUUGCCGAUAGUAAGGUCAAAUCGGCUGGCACGCCUUAACGUUUAAAUCGGGUAUUAGCCCUUUGUGUUUGCAGAUCAGCUUUUGCACCAACAAAUGUUAAGAAUACCCAACAGGAAGAGGUAUGGCUCAUCCCAUAUAUGUGAAUGACUUUCUUGCAUAAGCUUCUUCUUGUUCGCUCCUAGUGGUACAUACCCUGAAACCAUAAAAUUAAAAAUAUCUGCAUACCAGGGGUCAUACCUGUUAAUCCCGUAGAGCAUGUCGUCCCGGAGUGAAUCAUUGAUGGGGGUUUCCUGUGGAUUCUUAAAAUACAUUCUAGACAAGUGAUCAGCAACAAAAUUUUGUACUCCCUUUUUAUCUUUUAUUUCCAAGUCAAAUUCUUGAAGUAAUAAGAUCCAUCUAAUUAGGCAAGGUUUAAUAUCUUUUUUAGUGAGCAGAUAUUUUACUGUAGCAUGAUCAGUGCAAACAAUUAAUUUAGCUCCAACUAAAUAAGAUCUAAAUUUAUCAGUGGUUGCAUAAUUAAGUUGAGCUCCUGUCAAAGUUUUUCAGUGGUUGCAUAAUUAAGUUGAGCUCCUGUCAAAGUUUUACUGGCAUAAGCAAUUGCAUGAUGCUUCUUAUUUUUAGUUUGUCAUAAAACUGCCCGCACAGCAUAAUCACUAGCAUCACACAUAAUGUCAAAAGGCAACGAACAAUCAGGGGGUGAAUGAUUGGUGCAGAGAUGAGUGCAUUCUUUAAUAAAUUGAAAGAUGUAGCAUGCAUCAUCAAAUUCGAAAGGAGUAUCCUUGGCUAGCAAAAGAGCAAGUGGUCUAGCAAUAAAUGAAAAAUCUUUUAUGAAUCUGCGAUAAAAACCAGCAUGGCCAAGAAAGCUUCGAAUUCCUUUUAUAUUCACAGGUCGAGGUAGUUGUUCAAUUACUUCAAUUUUAGCUUUGUCUACCUCAAUUCCUCUUUCAGACACUAGGUGUCCCAGCACUAUUCCUUCCCUAACAAUAAAAUGACAUUUUUCCCAAUUAAGGACUAAGUGCUUUUCUUCACAUCUUUGCAAAACCUUGUCUAAGUUUUCAAGACAACUAUCAAAAGUUUUCCAUAAACAGAGAAAUCAUCAAUGAAAACUUCCAUAAUCUCUUCAAUCAUAUCAGAAAAUAUAGACAUCAUGCAUCUUUGAAAAGAAGCUGGUGCAUUACAUAACCCAAAAGACAUUCUAUGAUAAGCAUAAGUUCCAUAUGGGCAUGUAAAAGUGGUUUUGCUUUGAUCAUCAGGAUGGAUCGGGAUCUGGUGAUACCCUGAAUAUCCAUCUAAGAAACAGAAGAACGAAUGGUUUGCUAAUCGCUCUAGCAUCUCAUCUAUGAAAGCUAAAGGAAAAUGGUCCUUUUCAUGGCUUUGUUUAGUUUUCUAUAGUCUAUGCAAAUCCGCCACCCUGUGAUGGUGUGUUGCAGAAUUAGCUCGUUCUUUUCAUUCGUAACAACAGUCACGCCUCCCUUUUUAGGCAUAACUUGAACUGGGCUCACCCACUCACCGUGUAGCACAGGAUAUAUAAUCCCUCCAUGCAGCAACUUUAUAUCUUCCUUUUGAAAUACCUCUCUCAUCGCGUUGUUAAGUCUACGUUGGGGUUCUCGAGAAGGUGAAACAGAAGGAUCUGUCGGAAUACGAUGGGUACAAGUCAUAGGACUGAUUCCUCUAAGAUCUUGGAGUGAGUAGCCGAAAACUGAGUGAUGUUUCUCAAGAAUGGUCAUCAAUCGCAGAGUUUGUUCCUGAGUAAGUUUAUCACUAAUGAUCACAAGAAACUCUGGAUUAUUGUUUAGGAAAGCAUAGGUAAGACCGGGUGGUAAAGUUUUAAGCUCUAUGGGAGGUCUAGGUGUUUCUGCAAACUCAUCUAAGGGUUCAGGUUCAGAAGUUUCAGCUUCUUCCUCUAUGAAAAAAGGAGCUUCUUCUUCUAAGUCUGGUUCAUCAAAAAGAUCUAGAGAUGCGGGCUUUACCUCCUCCAUAGGAUCAGGGAAAAGAUAUGACUCGGUCUUAUUAUUUAGGGAGUGAGAAAUCGUUAUUGGAAAUUUAAAAGUUUUUCCAAAAGAAAUGUGUAGCUUUCCAGUAUGACCUUCAUAAACGAGUCUUCUAAAAGGUUGUCCUAUCAACAGGUCGAAGUCCCAUGUAUCAAAGAUAUAAAGGUUCAAAUGAACCACGGAGCCUUCUACCAUAAGAGGUAGGACAUUAACGAUUCCAAGACUGGGACUAAUCGUCGCGAAGAUUCCUUUAUGACCUGUAUUGUGGGGGUGAAGACCAAAUUUUUAAAUAAUUUAAGUGCAAAAGCUUCAUAUAUCAUGUUGAUCCCCACAACAGGAUUAUAGAGAGCAUCAAAUUGAUCAGAAUCAUAAGCAUAGCGUAUAGUUAUAGGAGGUGUGUCCAAACAGAUCACAUGAGAGGAAAGCUCCGAUUCCACCAACCAUUCGCUACUCAUGACUGCGAUAAGCUCUCUCAAUUGAUGUUCAGUUGGCAAACAAAUGCUAAAAUGGCCGUUUUGGGGUCUGUCUAUAGAAUGAUAGUUUGAAAUGUUUCCAAAAUCGGCAAAAAGAUCAGAUUCUAUAUCCAGCAUGAAAUCCGGUGGUGAAAUUUCUUCCUUUUGUGGUUCAGAACUUGGGAUAGCUAAAGUAGAUGGAGAAUUUGGCAGAGUGUCUACUUCGGCUUCGUGGGUUUCAUCAUGAUGGGUAUUAUCCAUCUCAGCUUCUAGGAUUCUAUCUAGGAUCACUCUAGCGUCAUCAGUAGGGAUGCGAAAGAAAGAACCACUAGACAUUGUAUGUAGCAUUUGUUUAUGAUCUUUCUGAAGACCUCGAAAAAAGUGAAAUAAAAGAACAAGGUCUUCAAGAUUAAGAUUUGGACCAGAUUCUAAAAGAUCAGAAAAACGUUUCCAGGAUUUUCCCAAAGCUUCAUUAUCUUUUUGUUUAAAAGAUAGGACUUUGAGUCUAAGGUCGCCAAUACGGUCGAGGGAAUAAAAAUCUAGGCAAAAGUUGGCUUGUAAAACUCCCCAUUGUCGAUGAAAGCUGGUCGGCAGUCUACCUUGGGGUGUACCCACGGUAGUAGUUUAUCGGUAGACGGUGCGCAAACUACGAACUCGAUGGUGACGCAAGACACGGACAAGCUUUUUAUCCAGGUUCGGCCGUCGAGUUGGCGUAAUACCUACGUCCUGCGUCUGGUUGUAUUGAUUUGUGUUGAGAGAAUAUGAUGCGAUGUGUGCUAGGGGGGUCCCUUGCCCCUCCUUAUAUAGUCUGGAGGGCAGGGUUACAGAUCUGGAAACUAAUCCUAGUCGGUUACAAUUGCCAUGGAUAAUUUGAUAUCAAUUCCUAUUCUAACCGACUAGAAUCCUGCUUGAUCUCCACAUCUUGUUUCCUUGCACAAAACUCCAGGUUGUCGGAUCAAGCCUUGAACUCGUCUCGUAAUGGACCAAGCCUCCUGGCCGAAGUCUAGCCGUAAGGGUAUAGGGGUUUAUACCCCCACAGCUAGUCCCCGAGCACCAUGUAUUGUGAUGUAACACGCCGUCUUGAGCUUCUUCGAUCAGUGUGGCUUGACGUCUUCAAUAAGCAGGAAAGUCGCCCGAACAGUUGCAACGGUAUUUUGACCAACUCAAAAGACAGUUGAUCAACAUUGACAUCGAAGAAGCAGGUUGUUCGAAGAAUGUAUGGUGCUCUAAAAAAAUUUCUUUCCUGGUGAAGUGUGCCCACUUUACCUUUUUAAAAGGUAUAAACAUCAAAAAAGCAAGCAAAUUCGCCGCUAGGUGAAGUGUGCCCACUUAGUCCCCGAGCCUGGUAGUAGGUGACGUAGGCACGUGGUGCCAGGGUCAAAAGAAAAUUCCCCAAAGUAGUUUUGAGACUGAGAUGCAUCGCUAGAUGCAUCGUACCGAUGUAGUCCCCGAGCUUGCUGGAAGGCGAAGUAUGAGCCUUGUAGCAAGGUCAAAAGUGAAUUUACCAGUCCCCGAGCAUGUCAUGCUCGUCUGCAAUUGAAGAGACCAAUCGACCAGUCCCCAAGCACUAAGUGUGCUCCUUGGAAUUAUAUGUUGCUAUACCAUACGACCAGUCCCCGAGCGUCGAGUGCUCGGUGGUCGGUGCAUGCUUUAAAGCUUUGAGCUGAUAGACUGGGCGACCAGUCCCCGAGCGUCGAGUGCUCGGUGGUCGGUGCAGUCCUUGAAGUUCCGAGCUGAUAGACUGGGCGACCAGUCCCCGAGCGUCGAGUGCUCGGUGGUCGGUGCAGUCCCCGGAUUGUUGACUCAAUGGCGUAUGUGUCUUCUUAUUUUUGAAAAACUCUUUCCAGUUAAAGUUGACGUGACGAGGCCUCCUGACGGGGUGUCAGACGGAUGCAUGAAAAGUUGCGCCUGACAACUGUACAGCCGCCCUUUGCAUGGUUUGAGAAAAGGAAACCAUCAAUUGGUACGAAAACUCCGCCGCAUUAAUUGUCUAUAAUCAUUGUAAACCGAAACGCCGCGUCCGCCGCAUGGCCUGCCCACUUCCCGAGAAUACAGGAAGUGGGAGAGGUGGAGUUGCGGGCUAUAAGAGCCUAAUAGUUCCGCCUGUACCGCUUACCCUGCCAUUGCCUUCAAACCUUCCGCUCUCAUCUCCUCCAAUCUCCUGCAUCUUCCUAACUCAAGCCCACAUUCGCACCUCUAAUGGCGAAGAGCGACUCUAGGAAGAGGGCCGAACUGAUGGCCAAGGAGUGGAAGAAGUCUCGCAGCACCACAAAAUCUCUUGGUGACCUCGUCGAUAUGGGGCUUCUGCACGGCCCGGAGCUCGGCGGCUGGAGGGCACCAGAGGGGGAGAGCUACCCCGACCCUCGCGCCGGUGAGAUCGUCGUAUUUGAAGAUUUCAUUAAGAGGGGUUUUGGUGUUCCUGUUCAUCCUUUUCUUCAAGGUCUUCUUUUGUAUUAUGAGAUCGGGAUUUGCAAUCUGCACCCGAACUCAAUUCUCCUCAUUUCUACCUUUAUCCACCUGUGCGAGGCCUAUGUUGGCAUAGAGCCGCACUUCGAUCUUUUUCGGUAUCUUUUCUGCUUGAGGAAGAAGGGAGCAGUUGGAGGCUCCAAGGUUGCAGGUGGAGUAUACCUCAACCUUCGUGAUGGAAUGAAGAAUCGCUACCUGCACUGCCCAUGGAACACUUCCUUGACCGAAUGGUACAGGAAGUGGUUCUACAUCAGGGAGGAACCGGGCAGCUCCACGUUCUGCGACGUGGGAUACAUUCCUGAGAGGAGGACGAGCUGGACCGACCGCCCGGAGUUCGACGGUCCAGUGGCGGAUCUCAUGAAGCUGAUCGACUGGUCGCGCCUGGACGGGCUUGGCGUGGUCGGCAACUUCAUUUUCCGCCGGGUGAUGCCCUGCCAGAAGAGGGUGCACUCGGCGUACGAGUAUGCCGGAAGCGCGGACCCGACCAGGAUGCGGCCGGAGAUCUUGGAGAAAGCGGAGGUACAACAGCUGUUGAACGAGCUGUUUAACUUCGCGGAUGGGGGCUUCAUCCGUGGCAGUGAUCGGGUGCAAGCCUUCAAGUUAGGACGACCAGCACCAAAGGUAUGUAGCAGAUUCUGUUUUAGCAUUCGUAUAUCGUCUGCAGUUGACUCAUCUCUGUUGCUUUUGCAGAUCGGCAAUGUCGACCGGUGCACAGUGUAUGUAUCACUGGCACCGGGGAUGGAAAAUCCUGCGGGAGAGGUCCCGCCAGAGGAGGACGCUGCUCGGUGUACUCAUUACACCAGCAGUGAGGAAGACCAAGCCCGCCCCGUCCCGACCUCCGAGGAGAGGGUAGCGGGGAAAAGGCCAUUGCUGGCAGAUCCCUUGCCGACACCGGAGCUGCCAGCAGAUCUACCGGCGGAGAGCAGCCAAGCACCGAAGCGUCGUCGGCUCGUGCGGAUCGUCGACGACGACGACGACGAGGAGGCUGCGCCGUCGUUGGUCCGACGGCCUCGGAGCCGCCCAGACAAUGCGCCGGUCGCCACUGAUCGAGUGGCCAGCGGCGCCGCUGCCCCGCAAGCUGUCGAGAUGGGGGCACAGGUGCCGACCGGCCGGGCGAGGAGGAGGUUCACCGCGACCCACCGUCGGUCAGACCUGUAAGUGUUCGACUUACGUAUUUUGGACUCCUCUUUGACUUUUUUUUUGAAAUUUAACUUUUGUUCCUGUAGUGCGGCAUCGGAUGUCGACCCCGGCCAAACUGCCAGCCAGGGAACGGGCGAGCCUGCCCGCGGUUCUGGGGAUGCGGCCCCCCAGACCACAGAGCAGCCAACAGCUGCAGUCGCGGCUGGGAGCACCGAGGGGCUCUCGAGCGCGGCACCGACUACGACAAGCAGCCCGACCAGGGCUGGAGAGGUUCCCCCAACUGACUCCUCAGAGAAGGGAAGAUCUCCGACCGCUCCUCCUGCCGGGGGGAGUGAAGUCCCCACGCCGCCCCGAGCAGGAGCCUCUUCGGCUGCGGGCUCCCCAGGUCUGGUCCAAGGGCCAGUAAUACCUGGGACCACCACCGGGGGUGACGCAGCACAGGAGGAGGAAACCCGGGCGGCCUCCAAUGAUGAGGUGGAAGAGAUUGAGGGUCGUCCCCGUGAUGGCCGCCAACACGUGUAUGUGUGGCGCCAACGCGGGGAUCACUUUAUCGGGCAUGAGGAGCUCGCCGAGACCGAAGAGGCCGCCAGGGUGGAGCGCGCGGCCAAGCGCCUCGUCGACGAAGUCAAGGUAAGCGGCUUUUUGUACUGCUGUACAUUCUAUGCCUUGUCUUGCAUGGUCGUUAUAUGCUUGCUUUGUAGGGCGCAAUGAAAACGGCGAAGUACCGGAAACGGUGCUUUGACCAGAUAGAAGGCGUCAUGGCCGAGAACAAGGCCCUUGCCGCGGAGGUAGACCGGUUGCGGUCGGAGGUCGGGAAGAAGGUGGGCGAGAUGAGUGCCGAAAAGGAGCGUCGUCUCGACCUCACUCGUCGUUUGGCCGACCAGUACCAGCUGCAAGAAGGUUAGUCACACGCUCCGAGCAGCUUUGCGUACUUGUAUAGUUUGCUUUGCUGACCAGUUUAUGAUUCACGCAGACUUGGAGGAGGAGGUGGCGCGCCUCCGACAAGAGAAGGAGCAGCUCAGCCAACAGCUCGCCGGUGCGCUGGAGUCCGGGCGGCGAGCAGGGGAGGAAUUGGGUCGAAAAGACCGGGAGCUAUCUGGUAAUGGGUGCCGCCUUGUUGGUUGCUGCCUGCCCCUUUGUUUGUUUGGUAUGCCGAAAAUAACGCUUCGUUUCGUUUGCAGUGCUCAAGGUGAACGCCAAAAAGCACCUGGAUGAUCUGAUCAAGGACCGGGACUCCUGGAAGGUCAACUGUUGCAGGAUCUGGAAAGGAGUGUCCCCGGUACUAGACCUGAUCAGUCCCGAGCUCCCGGAGAGCCAGCCCCGCGCGCCGCAGUUGACCCCGGUCGAGAAGGCGCAACGGGCGUGGGACUGGCUCCAGUAGUUUGUGAAGGACGCCGGGGAGUUUGCCGGCGCGCACGUCCUCAGCAUGGUGCGCGCCCACUACCCCCUGGUCGACUUGAGCAGGCUGGAGAAGGGGUACCCGAAGGAAGUCGGCCCACAGGAAGCGGACGAGCUUCGGGGUAGUCUGCUGGACUUGUCGUCGACAGUGAUCGGCGACAUCAAUCUGUGCGGAACGGCCACUCCUCCAGACCAGCCGAGUUCAGAUAGGUCGGCCAGGGAGUUGUCGGGCGCGUCCGUUGCGGGAGAUGGGCGGUCGACGCCUGCGGUCUCGACCAGCCAGGCGCCGGUGGCCCCGACCCCUUCGUCCGGGCAGCAGGGCCAGGCGGGUGAUCAGCCCGAGCAGCUAGCCCAAUAAAGUAGUCUGUAGGAAUAGACUAGUGUCUGCCUAUCAGGGUAUUUAUUGUAAACUUUGUAUGUAAAGUUUGUAAUAAAGUUUGCUUUUUUGUCAUGACUGUUGUUUUGAGCGCUGUAAGAAUAUCUGAGUGACGUGUCACCGUAUUUGUCUUGGUUGUCGCUAAGAGCAUCCAUUGCAGGAGUUUUGCCGAGUGCUGUGUGUGACAAGGUAUAGGCAAAAAAUAGAGAAUUUCAUUAUCAAAAAUUAUAAGAUACUUACAAAAGAAAGUCAUUAAAACUUUAUGGAUAGAAACGUCGCAGUUUGUCGAUGUGCCAAGAGUUAGGCACUCGUGUUCUGUCUGGGUAUGCCAAUCUGUAGGACGUAGGUCGUGUGACCUCGGUCACCACGAAGGGUCCUUCGCAGGGAGUGGAUAGCUUGUGCAUUCCCUCCUGGCUUGUUUUCCAUCGAAGCACCAGAUCGCCGACCACGAAGGAACGGUCCUUGACGUUCCUGUUGUAGUAUCGCUUGACUGCCGCGAGAUAUUUUGCUGUUCGGAGACAUGAAACUAAACGCUUUUCCUCCAUGCAAUUGAUUUCGAGUUCUCUGGCGUUGUCGGCGGUCGCCUGGUCGAAGUGCUCGAUUCUAGAAGAUCCGAAGUGUAUGUCAGACGGCAGGACCGCCUCUGCACCGUACACCAUGAAGUAGGGAGACACCCCUGUGUUUCGACUGGUCUGAGUUCGGAGGCCCCAGACCACUGCCGGCAAUUCUUUCAUCCAUCGACCGGGUGCUCUGUCGUUUUCGGUGUACAACCUUUUCUUUAGGGCGUCAACGAUCAUUCCGUUAGCACGUUCGACUUGACCGUUGCCACGUGGAUGUGCCACUGACACAUAUUUUAUGACUAUGCCUCUGUCAUCGCAGAAAUCCCAAAAAGUGGUGCCAGUAAACUGAGUGCCCAGGUCGGUGAUUAUGCUGUUCGGGAUGCCGAAUCUGUGUAUGAUUUGAUUGAGGAACUCCACAGCCUUUUCGGAGGUUGCCUUGACCAGGGGCAUGUAUUCAAUCCACUUGGAGAACUUGUCGAUUAACACGAAGACAAACUUGAAAUUGCCCGGGGCUGGUUUAAAUGGUCCGAUCAUGUCAAGCCCCCAGCAAGCAAAGGGCCAAGACGACGGGAUGGUUUGAAUUUCAUGGGCAGGUACGUGGGUCCUCUUAGCGAAAAACUGACAUCCUUCGCAAUGCCGAACCAGUUUUUCUGCGUCGCCGACCGCGGUUGGCCAAUAAAAACCUGCUCGGAAAGCCUUUCUGACCAGCGUUCUAGAUGCGGCGUGAUUGCCGCAGGAUCCAGCAUGUAUGUCCUCCAAGAGCUUGAUACCAUCAUCUUGGGGUAUGCACUUGAGCAGUACUUCGGAGCUUGCGUUUUUCCGCAUGAGUUUUCCGUCGACCAGGAUGUAGUUCUUUGAUCGUCGGAUGAGGCGCUCGUUCUCUGUUUUGUCCUGAAAGCCUGUCCCGUCUGAUAUGUAUUUGAUGAACGGGGUACGCCAGUCACGCCCACCGGUUGUCGGAGUGGCGUCAUCUAUGAGCAUUGCCUCGGUGGGUUGCUUGUCGACCAGGGGGGAGCUUACGCUCGGCUCAUGGAUGUCCUGGACGAAAAUACCCCGCGGGAUUUGGGCCCGAGAUGAGCCUAACUUUGACAACGCAUCUGCUGCUUGGUUCUUAUCCCGGACCACGUGGAUGUACUCUAUGCCAUAGAAGUUAGUUUCCCAUUUGCGAAUUUCUUUGCAGUAGAGAUCCAUCUUCUCGUGGGUUGCGUCCCACUCCUUGUUGAGCUGGUUGAUGACCAAAGCGGAGUCGCCAUAGACAUAGAGGCGCUUGACCCCCAGUUCAACGGCUAGUCGUAUGCCAUGCAAGCAUGCUUCGCAUUCGGCGACGUUGUUUGACGCCGGAAAAAGGAUCCGAAGGACGUAACGGAGUUUGUCCUUGUUGGGUGAUACGAACAAUAUCCCAGCGCCUGCACCGUUGAUGUUCAAGGACCCGUCAAAGAACAUUGACCAGUGGUCUGAGACAUCGGGAACGGAAGGCUCGUUGAGAUCCGUCCAUUCGGCAAUGAAAUCGACCAGGGCUUGAGACUUGACAGUGGUGCGACUCUGGAACUCCAGGGAAAAUGGACAUAAUUCCAUUGCCCAUUUCACGAUUCUGCCAUUGGCGUCUUUAUUGCGCAGGAUGUCCCCGAGAGGGAAGCUGGUUGUCACCAGGACUCGAUGGCCGUCGAAGUAGUGCUUCAGCUUUCUUGACGUUAUCAGGAUGGCGUAUAUAAGCUUCUGUAUUUGUGGGUACCUGGCCUUGGACUCGUUUAAGACUUCGCUUAUGAAGUAAACGGGUCUUUGGACCUUGAAGACGUGACCUGGUUCAUCUCGCUCGACCACUAUUGCCGUGGAAACAACCCUGUUGGUUGCAGCAAUGUAAAGGAGUAGGUCUUCAUUGGGCUGAGGCGCUGUGAGGACAGGUGGUGAAGUGAGGAAGGUCUUAAGCUGAGUGAACGCAGCGUCGGCUUCCUCUGUCCAAGAAAAUUUUUCUGACGCUUUCAAUAGUUUGAAGAAAGGGAGGCCUUUUUCUCCCAGCCUUGAGAUGAAACGACUGAGGGCGGCCAUGCAUCCGGUUAGCUUCUGAAUAUCCUUGACGUUCUUCGGUGAUCGCAUGUCGAGUACGGCUUUGACUUUUGAAGGGUUUGGUCGUAUGCCGUCGUGACUGACGACGUUGCCGAGCAGUAGACCGGAAGGAACGCCGAAAAUGCAUUUCUUGGGGUUGAGCUUCCACUUGUACCUAUUGAGUGCCUUGAAGGUUCGGUCUAAGUUGUCGAUUAGGGUGCUCGCGUCCCUUGUUUUUACGACCACGUCAUCCACAUAGGCCUCGACGAGGUCAUCGCGAAUUUCGUCGUGGAGGCAUUGCUGGAUGGCCCUUUGAUAAGUGGCCCCGGCGUUUUUAAGUCCGAAAGACAUGGUAGUGUAGCAGUAUGCGCCGAAGGGUGUGAUGAAGGAUGUUUUGAUCUGAUCUUCUUCCUUUAGCGAGAUCUGGUGAUAACCAGAGUAGCAAUCUAGAAAGGAGAGGAGUUCGCAUCCGGCCGUUGAGUCGACCACCUCGUCGAUGCGAGGAAGACCAAAAGGAUCUUUAGGACAGUGUUUGUUGAGAUCGGUGUAAUCAACGCACAUUCUCCAUUCAUUAUUCUUUUUGCGUACAAGAACCGGAUUGGCGAGCCAAUCGGGGUGAUACACUUCUUUUAUGAAUCCGGCUGCUAGAAGCCGUGUUAUUUCUGUCCUAAUAGCCUCCUUUUUGUCACGAGCGAACCGUCGCAGUUUUUGCUUGAUUGGUCUUGCGGUCUUCGAGACAUUUAAGGAGUGCUCGAUCAGGUUUCGUGGGACACCGGGCAUGUCUGCGGGUUUCCAUGCGAAAACGCUCACGUUGUCCCUUAGAAACCUGAUGAGCGCGUCUUCCUAUUUUGGAUCCAGGUUAGCCCCGAUGAGGGCUGUCUUCUCGGGGUUGCCUUCGACCAGCUGCACUUCUUUGUACUCCUUGGAUUUCGAGUUCUUUCUGGCUGUCUCCUGCUCAGGUAAUCGGAGCUGGUCGGGAGGCAGCUGUGCGGCUUGGUUUGCUGUUUCCGCCAUGCGGAUUGAGAGGUCGAUUGCCUCGGUGAUCUUGAAGCUUUCUUCUUCGCAGGUGUACGCAGUGUAGACGUUGCCUCUGACGGUUAGGACACCCUUCUCCGUGGGCAUCUUAAGGACUAGGUAUGAGUAGUGCGGGACUGCCAUGAACUUUGUCAGCGAUGGGCGGCCCAGUAUGGCGUGAUAGGUCCCGUCGAAAUCCGCGACUACGAAGUUGAUGAACUCCGUCCGGAAGUGAUCGGGUGUGCCGAAUUGGACAGGCAAUGUUAUCUGUCCGAGGGGCACCGAACUUUGACCUGGCAAAACCCCCCAGAAUUGGGCGUCGUAAGGUUUUAGUUGUGCCGGUGAUAUCUUGAGGGCGGGCAGGCUGUUGCGGAAGAGGAUGUCGAUGGAGCUUCCCCCGUCCACGAGCACGCGCUCGAAUCUGAUGCUGUUGAUGCAGGGGUCAAGAAUCAGUGGGAAACGACCCGGCUCUAGGAUAGCAGCCCACUGGUCCUUCCUGCGGAACGAAAUCUCCCUGUGGGACCACGUGGGAAAUUUCGGAUCUGCGAUCAUCCCGUCCGUGCUGUCUAUGUUGAGGCAGGCUCUCUUUAACAGCUUUCUUUCUCGCUUGGACUCAGUGGAGACCUUGCCUCCGAAAAUGGAGUGGACCACGUCAGUGGGGCUGACGUAUUGGUGUCGGGGGUCCCUAUCUUGGUCCUCAUCCUCAUCUUCGUGGUCGUGCCCGUCGCGCUUGUUAUUUUUCUUGGCGGAGUCGUCUUGGGCGGCCCGCCGUGUAUAGAUACUUUUGAGGACGCGGCACUCUUCCAUGGUAUGAUUGGACUUUGGGUGUAGUUGGCAUGGUCCCUUCAACGUUUUGUUGUAGUCUUCUUGGUAGUCCCCUCGUCCAUUGGGACGUUUGACCGUAUUUACUUCGUGGUCGUAGUCGCGGGGGCGUUUUCCUCUGAAGUCGUCGCGCCGCCGAUCCCAACCCUCUCGGUGAUCGCGGUUGUCGGAGCGGCGGUGAUUUCUGCUGUCGUAGCGACCACGACCGUCAUCUCGCCGGGGAGGCUGGUCGGUUCCUCUCGCAUCGUCUCGGAUUAGUUUUUCUGCGUCGUCGGCAUCGGCGUAAUUUUUAGCCGUGGCGAGGAGCUCUUCUACCGUUGUUGGACGUUUACGCAACAGCUUGUUCCUCAGCGCUUCGUGGAAUCGCAGGCCCUUGAUGAAGGCUGAGAUGGCCUCGUCAUGAGAAAUCUUCGGGAUUUUGAGGCGCAUAUCCGAGAAUCGUCGGAUGUAAUCGCGCAGAGGUUCGUUCCUCCUGUCCCUUAUCCUUUCAAGGUCAUACUUGUUUCCAGGCUACUCGCAUGUGGCGAUGAAGUUGUCGAUGAAAGCCUGGCGCAGCUCUUCCCAAGAGUCAAAGGAGUCCUCGGGCAAGCCGAGAAGCCACUGAUGACCAGCCUGGUCGAGGACUACGGGGAAGUAGUUGGCCAUGACGUGCUCAUCCCCUGCCGCUGAUCGGACGGCGAUUUCAUAGAGGCUGAUCCAGUUCUCUGGAUUUUCCUUGCCGUCGUAUUUUUUAAGUUUUUCGAGCUUGAAAUUGCGGGGCCACACGACCUGGCGGAGGUGUGAGGAGAACUGUCUUAGGCCCGGAGGGCCGUGCGUUGCAUCGUACUCGAUGCGGCACAGGUUUUCGUGGACUGCUCUCUCUGCGGCGCGCCUGUUGAUGCGGUCCCGGGCAUCUUUGGGAGGGAUGUUGUGGCGGAGAUCCCUGUGUUGAUCUUGUUCUUGGCCACGUGCGCGGUUCUGCUGGCGGCGGCCAUCGGCGUCCCGACCACCAUCGUCGCGCCGUGAGUCCCCUCGACGGUUGUCGGGGGAGCGGCUGCGGUGACGCCUGCUGGGUGAGGCCCGGCUACGAUUAGUCUGGUCGGAGGCGGCUCCCGUAUAAGAGACGUCCUGGACUCUCUUGAGCAGAGUGGCUGUCUGUCCCAUUGCGGCGAUCAGGUGUGCUCGGAUGCUGGUCCGGACUCCCUGGCAUUCGGGGGUAUCAGGAAGCCGAUCUAGGUUAGCCAUGGCAACAGCCACGUUGGCGCUUGGCGUUUUGUAGACUGGCUGGUCCCCGACCAUGUCAAAGGCAUCGUUGAGAUUAUUUGGUGGCAUUUGUUGUUGCUCGUCCGCACGUCGUCGGGCGCGCUCGGCGUUACGCUGUUCGCGGAGUUGCCUCUGGUCAUCUGUUUCUCCAUCAACGUCCGGUUCGUCGGCGCUGACAUUAAACACAAUAUCCCCUCGCCGGAGGGUGUGAAGGAAAAUCCAGGUCGUAGUCCUCGUCUUCGGUGUUUAUAACCUCGGUGGGAACGGAGCCGGUGCUUGAGUUGGUGCUGGAGACCUGGCCGUCCCGUAUUUCUCGGAUUGUCACCAUGUUGACGUGGUGACGAUUGUUCCUUGUCGGCGACCAACCCGCCUUGCUGAAAACGGAUUGGGUGUGCCGUGAGUAAACAGAGGCCGAGUUGUUCAGGCCGCAAGGAUAGUCUUCCUUCCUGAGCUCGACGGAGCGUCCUGAGGGGGUUGAGGUUAUCGUCAAAGACGUUCCCAGCCGUUCGUGUGUGGCGACACGAGUUGGCCGGCGGGAUUUGAAAAAAUCCGCUGGAGCAGCUUGGUCGGGCCGACGUAGAACCCCAUCUAUGAGUUGGGAAACUUCGAGUAGCUUGGAGUCAACGUGAUCGAGUGCUCGGAGAAGGUCCGAGCAGUCGAUCGCCUUUCCCUUGUAGGGUGGGAUCGGUAGUCGGGCGCUUGGUGCCGUCGUGCGCGUGGUCGGAGACAGCGUGAUCUCAGAUUGGAUCUGGGUCUCUUUCGAAACCGUGGUCGCGAAGCCGCCGCUGCACGUCGUCCACGUGAUCUGGCCGACGGUGAACGUGAGGCCUUCGGGCACGGUCGCGGAAGCUGGGAUCGUGACCAUCUUGUUCGCCGGAAAAGUUGCACGCACACCCCCUACCUGGCGCGCCACUGUCGACGAAAGCUGGUCGGCAGUCUACCAUGGGGUAUACCCACGGUAGUAGUUUAUCGGUAGACGGUGCGCAAACUACGAACUCGAUGGUGACGCAAGACACGGACAAGCUUUUUAUCCAGGUUCGGCCGCCGAGUUGGCGUAAUACCUACGUCCUGCGUCUGGUUGUAUUGAUUUGUGUUGAGAGAAUAUGAUGCGAUGUGUGCUAGGGGGGUCCCUUGCCCCUCCUUAUAUAGUCUGGAGGGCAGGGUUACAGAUCUGGAAACUAAUCCUAGUCGGUUACAAUUGCCAUGGAUAAUUUGAUAUCAAUUCCUAUUCUAACCGACUAGAAUCCUGCUUGAUCUCCACAUCUUGUUUCCUUGCACAAAACUCCAGGUUGUCGGAUCAAGCCUUGAACUCGUCUCGUAAUGGACCAAGCCUCCUGGCCGAAGUCUAGCCGUAAGGGUAUAGGGGUUUAUACCCCCACACCCAUUCACCUCGUUGUUGACUUACCUUCUGAAUAUACCAUUGUCUAGCUUCUCCCCCUUAAAGAAAAAGGAAAAAGCUUCCAACAUAAAGUCUUAUCAGAAAUGCCGUCAAUGCGAAGACAAUCACAUGUUUGCUCAAAAUCUCUAAUAUGAAGGUAAGGAUUUUCGUCUUCCUUUCUCAAAAAAGAUAGGUUUUGAAUCAUGGCAAUUAACCUGGAACUUAACCUAUGCUAGGAUGUCUGGAUAGGCUGUGAUGAAUCCCAUGGUAAAAGGUCAGUUUCUGAAGGUAUUGCAAAUUGAUAGAUUGAUUUAGAAUCUUGGUUUUCCAUAAGGUAAGAGUAAAUAAAAUAAAGAAUAUAAAAUGAUAAGAAAAGAUAAAAGUAUAAAUACAAGCUAGUAGUAAGACUCUAGGUUAUCUCAGCAAACCAUCUUUCUCCCUGACAACGGCGCCAGAAAUGCUUGUUGAUAUUUGGUAACGCAAUCAGAAUAAUCCACAAGCGCACGGAUAUCGGUGAGCACUUCACCCGAGAUGUUAUCCAGAGUAUCGUAUUUAUAUUUUUACCACUAGGAGAAAGCGUGCAUCUGACUAACCCGGUCUAUUACUACUAACCUUUAGGCUACAAACUAUGUGACUCGAUGUGAGUGAUGUAUAGAGAAGACUACAACUGCACUCUCGUUCUAACCUUGGUAAGGAUGAUCUACUGUUCUCUUGGAGAGGCUCACGGAAUCUAGACACCACAAAGGAUGUUCGACCCGCACCUAUAAACCCUAUCGAUCCUACUAACGAGAUAUGGGCUACAAAGGUAACUAGGAAAUGUCAUGUUCCUCGCUACUACCACGGUCCAGCUAGUCAGGGGAUAUCUAUGAGUAUCCUAGCCCAAACACCACGUUUACGCUAGAGAUGAUUACUCUAAACUCUACACGAAGAGAACAAAGUAAACUCAUAAACCAAAGAACAAUAAAACAAAGAACUUACUAGAAUUUAGAAGUCGAAAUACUAAAUAAUCCUAGGAGCAAGCCUUGGGUUAGGAGACUUGAUCCCGUAGGUACAACCUCGAAGUAGACACCGACAGGCUGGGCUUCCUCCAAUCUACACCUCCACUCUAUCUCUCUCAAUCCAGUAGAACUAGUCUACUCUCACAUUGGAUGCUACGCCCUAUGAGGUGGGAACCUUAAGGAACCUCUCUCUCUGAAUCCUCUCUGGAAAAUAUGCUAAUGAAUAAUUGGAUUCUCCCCUCCAGGGGUAGGGGGCCUUGCUUAUAUAUUCUUUUCAAAUGAAUCUGGGCCGUUGGAUCAAACUGACAUUGAUUGAACGGCUCUCCUUGAUCCUUUAGGUUGGUGGAGCAUAAUCCGCGAGGUUGAACAUGAUUGGCCACCAGAGGUGGGCGGGUGCCCAAGGGGGGAGGGCGGGCGCCCUGCCCCCGGGCCCGAUCGGCCUCCCGUUCGUUCCCGUGGCUUCUGGAGUCUUCUAGAUGAUAGAAAAUUGUGCGGCACAUUAAUAUCUCUAUGUAAACCCAACGUGUGGGCCUUUCUUCCUUAUUUUCUGAUAACCCCCUGCAGAAAUAGAUAAACAACAAAACUCGUGGAAUUCUGUCAGAUCAAACCGUAAUUCUAGGUGUUAUUUGUAUAUUGGUCCUUUUUCUAGUUUAUUUGAUAAUUAAAAUUGAUACUUAAGAACCGUCAACACCUACGGAGCCUCUACUCCUAUACGUCGCAGCAACAACCUAGGUCGUCAGUGCGGCUGUGGUGGUCAAAAGGUCAGAGGAGGGACACGCGUUACCAGUCUAGCGACCGGUCUACUUCAUCAGCAAGGUGGUCUCGGAAACCAAGGUACGGUACCCCCAGGUUCAGAAGUUGAUAUACGCCAUGAUUCUCGCCCGACGCAAGCUGCGACAUUACCUUCUCGGCCACCCGAUAACGGUAGUCUCGUCCUUCCCCUUGGGAGAGAUCAUCCAGAAUCGAGAGGCCACUGGGAGGAUCGCCAAAUGGUCGGUCGAGCUCAUGGGUGAGACCCUCACUUAUACACCUCGCAAAUCCAUCAAAUCCCAAGCACUGGUGGAUUUCAUCGUAGAAUGGACGGACACCUAGCCCCCCCUAGUUCAGGUUCAAGCUGAGCUGUGGACGAUGUUCUUCGAUGAAGCCCUCGUCAACUAGUUAAAAAUCGCUAUCGAGCUAGUGGUUCGACGCCUCCACGUUCGAGGUGACUCUCAGCUAGUCAUCGAUCAAGUGAUGAAGGCCUCGAGAUGCCACGACCUAAAGAUGUAGGCGUACUGCAAGGAAGUACGCGGGCUCGAGGACAAGUUCCACGGCCAUGAACUCAUUCAUGUCGCACGACGAUACAAUGAAGAAGCCGACGAGCUCGCUAAGAUUGCAUCCACUCGAGGCACCGUCCCACCUGAUGUGUUCACAAGAGACUUGUAUGAGCCGUCCGUGAAACUAGGCAUGGAGGCUAACACUGAAGCUUCUACCCCCAAGCUCACCGACACUAUCGAGGCCUUGUUAACGACGGCAGAAGUAAUGGAGGCCGAGCAACGACUCGGCCGGCCGUUCGACUCACGUAUGCCGUUUCUUGAUUGCCUAAUCUAUGGUGAAAUGCCGGAGGAUCGGUCCGAGGCCUGUCGUACCGCUCGACGGGCCAAAUCGUAUGUAAUUUAUGGCAAAAACAAAGAACUAUACCGACGAAGCCCAACAGGGAUCCUGCAGCGCUGCAUCACCAUAGAGGAAGGUCGAAAGCUCCUCGAGGACCUGCACUCGGGGGCUAGCGGCCACCGUGCUGCUCCGAGAACCCUUGUGGGAAACGCCUUUCGACAAGGUUUCUACUGGCCAACGGCCGUCGCUGACGCCAUAGAACUCGUUCGCUCGUGCCACAGGUAUCAAUUCUAUGCCAAGCAAACCCAUCUCCCAGCUCAUGCUCUCCAGAUGAACCCCAUCACCUGGCCAUUCACAGUAUGGGGCCUCGACCUCAUGGGCCCUCUCCAGAAAGUGGCUGGAGGGUACACCCAUUUGCUGGUAGCCAUCGACGAGUUCUCCAAAUGGAUCGAGGCUCGACCAUCACAAACAUCCGCUCCGAGCAGGCAGUCCUCUUCUUCACAGACAUAAUCCACCAGUUUGGGAUACCCAACGUCAUCAUCACCGACAAUGGCACCUAGUUCACUGGCAAAAAGUUCUUGGACUUCUGUGACCGGCAUCACAUCCAUGUGAACUGGUCCGCAGUAGCUCACCCUCGAACUAACGGCCAGGUCGAGCGUCCCAAUGGUAUGACUUUGCAAGGACUCAAACCUAGAAUCUACAACCGGUUGAAGAAAUUCGGCAAGAAAUGGGUUGAAGAGCUCUCCUCGGUCUUGUGCAGCUUGAGAACAACGCCAAGCAGAGCCAUGAAAUAUACCCCGUUCUUCAUGGUGUAUGGCUCUGAGGCUAUGCUCCCAACUGACCUCGAGUAUGGGUGAUGAGACCAUACCAGGGCAAUCAACAUUCAAGCAUCCACUCAAGGUGAAAGCUAAACAUAAUUCCAAAUUAUUAGGUUUCCACAUUCAAGGCUACUACUUGGUUUAUAUGAUUAUAGAUUCAAACACCUUGCUAUCAUGGGACAAGAAGAUUGCAAUGUUAUCACAACAUUACAAACCGAUGUCCUAGCACAACUCUUUGGAUCUGAAGAGUUAGAGUCGAGGACGACUCCUUUUCAAGAAAGAGUGGCACCAGCCAUAGAACUCUAUUUGAGAGUGAUCCACAAAAAUUCAGAGAAAAAAGAGAUGAAUCAUGUGAGGAAUUAUUUACUUCUAACAUCAUAAUACCUUCUAUUCCUAUUCGUUUUGCGAUGCAGGUUCAUGAAGAAAAUGAUGUUGUGAAUUAUGAUCAGCCCCCAAUGUUUGAUGAGGAAGAACAAGUGAUUGUCGAUGACAAUGAUACACAUGCAUAUGUGGCUUCACAAGACGUUGAAGUAAUUGUGCAUCAAAACCUAUGUGAGAAUGAGAGCUACAUUGCGAAAAUGAGAGAGAGUGAAGACAAAGGAGAGUUGAGUGAUUCCACCCACUGUUGACGGUCCUUAAGUAUCAAAUUUAAUUAUCAAAUAAAUAAAGAAAAGGAUCCAAAUGAAAUCAAGAUCUAGACUUAGGGUUUUAUCUGAUAGAAUUCCACGAGUUUUGGUGUUUGUCUAUUUCUGUAGGGGGUUAUCAGAAAAUACGGAAGAAAGGCCCACAUGUCAGGAUUACGUAAAGAUAUUAACGUGCUGCGCAAUUAUCUUACAUCUAGAAGACUCGAGAAGCCACGAGACCGAAGCGGAGGCGAAACGGGGCCAGAGGCAGGGCGCCCGCCCUGUCCUACUGGGCGCCCGCCCCCUGUUGGAGUCCAAACAGGACUCUGCUUUGCGGGAAGUCUCCACCGACCUAAAGGAUGAAUCUAAACCAUACAAUCUAUGUCGGUUUGAUCCAAGGGCCCAUAUUCACUUGAAGGGACUAUAAAACCAGACCCCCUGGCCCCUGGAGGAGAGAGCCUCUCAACCCUAAUUCAUUGUUCCAUCAAGGGAGAAGAAGCCUCUGAUCAAGAUUAGAGCCACCACAUCAAUUAGACAUCUAGAUUAGCAUAGCUACAUAGGAUUAGAACUAGAAGGAGUCAAUCUUCGAUUGGUUUCCGGAUCUGUCAGGAGGAUUCUUGGUAAUUCUCUAAUUGUGCUUCUAAUUGCUUUCUAAUUAUCUUUGUUCUUCAAUAUUAUGAAUAUGACUUUGUUCUACUUCAGUAUAUUGCUUAUGACUUUGCUCUACUUGCUUAUAUUCAAGAUUAUAUUUUUCUUAGUUUAUCAUAGUUAUGUACUUAGCUUAGUUAGAUACGAUCUACAUACAUGCUUAGGAUCGUAUAGCGUUUAUCCAUCGGAUCCAUGGGUAAAUGAUAGAUAUUGUGUAGGCGUGGUGCUUAUACCGUAUUUAUCUGCGAUUGUACCCAAUAUGCCAUAUCGUGGGGUGGUUCGUGAUAGUGACAGCUUCAUUGAUUCUUAUAUAGUCCCCCUCUCGUGUAUUGGGCUGGCAGAGCAACAUUAUUACAGGGGAGUGAUUGCUAUGUUUCUCAUAUUCCUUGCUAAUAUCACUAUGCAUGGGCGUAGUCUUGUCUCGCAAUGAUUGCUAAGUAUGCUUGCACUAACUAUGAUAAUGCUAGACUAUAUAGUUAAGAAUAACUUAGGGAAUAUUCUUGUAGUUCGUUCUAAUACCAUGCUAAUGACUUUCUAGAGUAUCUAAUUGAGGUGCUUAUCAUAUUUAUUAUGUGGCUAGAUCAGAUUAGUUAUCCUUGUCACUAUUAUUAUUUCAUAUAUCUUUUAUGUGACACUUAUCCCUGUAUGAAGAGUUAGAUAUAAUGUUCUCAAUUAUACAUGCAAUGAUAGAUGCUCAAUCUCAUAUUCUAUUCUGUAGUCAAUAGUGAUGAUUGCUAAUCCCUUCCCAGUGGUAAAAAUAUAAAUAACGAUACCUGGAAUACUUCCCGGUUAAAAUGCUGCAUCGGUAUUAAUCUGUGCGCUUGCAGAUCCCAUUCAUUAUUUAUUUGGAAGAGCAAUUGCAUAUUUCAAUACCGCGUCUCUCAUGUCAUGCUGGGGAUGACAACUUGGCUUAAGUGGUGUGAGGGUUAGGUUUGGCAUUUUUGGCACCGUUGCUAGAUUUAGAACUUAGUCUACUUUUAGUAAUGAUGUUAAGAAUACCCAACACCCACUAUAGGGUUGAGAGUGUCAACAAUGAGAGUGUGAGGGAUACACCACAGAAAAAUAGAUAUUUAGAAUGCAGGCCAAGUGAGGAUAUCUUUGAAACUAACACUCUCAUCUCUACUUCUAGUUUUGUCUUUCCAAAUGUGCAGGUUGGUGAUGAGAAUAGGGAAGAGAUGGAUGCUCAAGACAACACCAUAAUUGUUGAGAGAAAUCAGAAGGUAGCCAUUCAACUUAACCCAUUGUGUGUUGCCCAAAACCUGAACCAUGACAUGGAUAACGGUAAGAUUUCAGAGGUGCAAUCGUUGGUGCUUGCACCACCAAAAAGUCUAAAAGUGAUUGAAAAUAAAUCAGAUUGGAGUUUGCAAAAUAAAAUGGCAUGUAAUUAUGAUAAUACACAUAGUUUAAAUGGGAUUAACCAUAACGACAUAUUUGCAAUGAUUUGAUUAUUUCACAUGUUCACCCGUGUGCUGAAAUUUUGCAAGUUGAUAACCAAAGUUCAAUCAUACAUGAUCUUUGCUAUGGUUUGAUAUGGUUCAUGUACAUGAUGAUUUGCAUUCACAUGUGUGAUACGAUGCAUUAUGUUUCAAUACUUAUACAUCUUAGAGAUGGCUGCACAUUUCUCAACCCUUUAGUUAAUUCAUCAAAACCAUCUAAGAUUAACGAUGAAGGUAAAUAUUCAGAGAUUCAAACCUUGGUACAUGUAGAAUCAUUGGAUUUAAAAUACAUGAAAAAUAAAUCAAAUCUCAUUGUUCAACACACAUUGAGUACCUGUGAUAUUACUGUUUCAGCAAUAAAACAUAACCAAAACAUUUGUGCUGAUUUGACUGGAACUCAUGUUGAUACAAGUAUUGAACUUCUUUUUGAUGAGAGUCUUUGUGCUUUGAGUGAUCCUUGCAACACUUCAUAUAACAACAAACAAUACCUCAUCCAGUCGGUUACUUGUGCUGAUUUGAUUACAAGGAUAUCUCCUCUUCAAUGUUUGUGUUAUACUAUGCUUAACAUGCCUAUCAAUAUUGAACAAAUGCUUGAGAAAAUUUCUAACAUAACAUCUUUGAGUUCAAUGAAUACUACUCAUAGCUUCCAGUUUACAUUUGUCUUGAUUGGAGAGCAUGUUGUAGAUGCCUUCCAGGUUCAUGCAAUUUGUGUAACAUAUAACAAGCUUGCUGAUUUGGACUCAACAAUGUUGAGAGAUAAACAAAGUGAGAAAUCUUUUAAGAUGCAACAAAUGCUUGGUGCUUAUGGUUUCGAUCAAUUCAUGUUGUCAGCAUGUUCGUACCAUCCACUUAAAGAUAGAAAUCUUGUGCAAAGCAAAGCCUAUACACCGAAAAGUUUUUCAUUCACACCUUGGAGCAUUGAGUUUAAAAAUUAUACUUCUAAACCCUUCAAUAAAUUUUUGCUGCCACAAUAAUUUUUGGAAUAACAUUAGUUCUCAACAUCCAUUUGAUGAAAAGUUUGAUCUUCUAAAGAUAAAACAUGACAACAUGAAUCAAAUGAUUGGAUUGGAAGAAUUUUUUGUGAUACCAUCCUCUAAACUGUUUGCAGGUUCACCAAAGUUGAGAGAAUGUUUCUUACAUGGAAAAGGAAAUAAUGCAAAAAUCAUUCAAAAUGAAACAAAUGAACAGAACAAAAGGAAUGAUUAUUGGAAUUAUCAAGUACGUCCACCCUCUAUUUUGGCUAAGCUGAUUUCAGGUAAACAAAAGUCGUGGACGACUUUUCUUGAAGAGAGGGAGGAUGAUGAGACCAUACCAGGGCAAUCAACAUUCAAGCAUCCACUCAAGGUGAAAGCUAAACAUAAUUCCAAAUCAUUUAGGUUUCCACAUUCAAGGCUACUACUUGGUUUAUAUGAUUAUAGAUUCAAACACCUUGCUAUCAUAGGACAAGAAGAUUGCGAUGUUAUCACAACAUUACAAACCGAUGUCCUAGCACAACUCUUUGGAUCAGAAGAGUUAGAGUCGAGGAUGACUCCUUUUCAGGAAGGGGAUGAUGUGAAAGAGCAUCAAGGCCCCUAGUGAUUUCGGUGAUUAAAAGCAAUGUUGAUUACUAUGACUAAUGUGUGUUUUGUAGAGGCAAAGUCAUUAGUGAGGUCAUGGUAAUAGGUACUCGAUGGAUAGGGACGUACAUGCCUACUUAAUAGUGGAAAUCGUUUCGGUUUUCAAAGGAUGGAUGGACAUCGUCAAGACUAGACUAGGUCUAAGUGCCAUAUGGUGAAGAAGGGCACUUAGAAUAGUUUAGGACUUUGUUUUCCUUUGACCGAACUAUUAAGAGGGGCUUUGAUCUAGUAACUUGACUUAGGCAAGGCUUUAGGUUUAGGUGUGGUGCACACUUGGUAAACCUAGCACUAGGCAGCUCAGGGAUAGUCCUUAGAUCGAGAGGAACCAACUUUGUUUUAGAGCAAUCGCAUUUUGACGAAGUUAGGUGCCUAAAGAGGCACCGGACGCUGCACCGGACUCUCUGUGAGUGCGUCUGGUGAGGUCCUUAGCCAUUGGAAUUGUUUGGUGCUUAGGGUUAGGCACCGGACGCUGGCACCGGACUAACUGGGCAGCGUCCGGUCCCACACCCAAGGAGGUUGCAAACUUCCCUUGAGCACCGGACGCUAGCACCGGACGCACUAGGUAGCGUCCGGUCCCAUACUCAGAGAGUUUGUAAAACUCCCCAAAGCACCGGACGGUGCCACCGGACGCUAAGAGGUAGCGUCCGGUGACCUGUCAGAUGCAGAUACAGUUAGCCGUUGUGUGUCACUGGACGCUCGGUGUAGAGCGUCCGGUGCAACAUUAACAGCGUUCGGUGACCCCAUUUUCAGUGUAAAAUGGUUGGCUGACCUUUGGACUUCGUGGGAUGUAUUUAUACUUCUCCACCUCAUCCAUGAGAGCACUCUUUCCCAUUUGAACAUUAGAGAAACUUGUUGUGGAGCAAGAGGCUAGCAAGAGCCUACAGAGGAUUGAGAUUUGAGUGAUUUCUUGAGAGAAUUCUUCUCUAGUGAAUUCCAAGAGUCAAGUGUGCAUCCACCACUCUCUAGAGCCUUGUUUGGGUCAAGUGAGAGUUCUCUGCUUGUUACUCUUGGUGAUCGCUAUCACCUAGAUGGUUCGGUGGUGAUUGGAGGCACGAAGAGCGCCCGGAGUUCUUGUGGGUGGCUCGUGUCAAGCUUGUGAGCGGUUAUGGGCGAUUCACCGCGAUGGAGUGUCGAAGAAUCAGCCCGUAGGGAGCACUUGGUCCUUGCGCGGACCAAGGGGGAGCAAGACCCUUGCGCGGGUGCUCCAACGAGGACUAGUGGAGAGUGGCGACUCUUCGAUACCUCGGCAAAACAUCGCCGAGCACUUUCUUCCACUACUCCUUUACAUUCUAACAUUUACUUUGUGUUUCUACAUUAUUAGAUCUAUCAUGCUAGAAUAGGAUUGGAACUAGGUUGCAAAACUUUUAUCCGGUAGCUCUCUAGUCACACUAGGCACAAGGGGUUGAAUUGGAGCUUAUAGGUUGCUUAAAUUUUUAGAGAAGCCCAAUUCACCCCCCUGUUGAUAUUUGGGAACGCAAUAUGGAAUUGAUCCGCAAGCGCACGGAUAUCGGUGAGCACUUCACCCGGGAAAUUAUCCAGAGUAUCGUAUUUAUUUUUUUACCACUAGGAGAAAGAGUGCAUCUGACUAACCGGUCUUUUACUACUAACCUUUAGGCACAAAGAAUGUCUUUCGAUGUGAGUGAUAAAUAGAGAAGACUGCAACCGUAGUCUCCUUCUAACCUUGGUAAGGAUGAUCUACUGUUCUAAUGGGGAGGCUAACGGAAUCUAGACACCACAAAGGAUGUUCAACCCGCACCUAUAAACCCUAUCCUUCCUGCUAACGAGAUGUGAUCUACAAAGGUAGCUCGGAAUUGUCACGUUCCUCACUACUACCACGGUCCAGCUAGUCAGGGAAUAUCUAUGAGUACCCCAGCCUAAACACCACCUUUACGCCAGCAAUGAUUACUCUAAACUCUACGCGAAGAGAUUAAAGUAAACUCAUAAACCAUAAGAACAAUAAAACAAGAACUUACUAGAAUUUAGAUGUCGAAUUACUGAAGAAUCCUAGGAGCAAGCUUCGGGUUAGGAGAACUUGAUCCCGCAGGUACAAGCUUGGAGUAGACACCGACAGGCCGGGCUUCCUCCACUCUACACCUCCACUCUAUCUCUCUCAAUCUAGUAGAAACUAGAAGAUCUAUUUCUACCUUACAUUGAUUGCUAAGCCUAAAAAGAAAUAUUAAUUAGAGAAGAGGUUUUCCUUCGAGGGCACCCCUCACUCUCUAUGAUAAUUUCUUCAUGUCUUCUCCAGGGGCCAGGGGGCCUUGCUUAUAUAGUCCUCCCCUUCUAUGCGUUUUUGGGUCGAUAGGCGAGGUGGUACUAUGUUUUUCUUGAUCCAAUAGGUCGGUGGAAUAUCCCGAACGAAAGAGUCCUGAUUUGGCUCCAGCAGGGGGGCGGGCGCCCAGGCUACCAGGGCGGGCGCCCUGGGCCUGGCCCAGUUUUGCCUCCGCUUCGGUCUCGUGGCUUCUGGAGUCUUCUAGAUGAUGUAAAAUUACGCGGUGCGUUGAUAUCUCAAUGUAAUCCCAACAUGUGGGCCUUUCUUCCUUAUUUCCUGAUAACCCCCUGCAGAAACAGAUAAACAACAAAGCUCGUGGAAUUCUGUCAGAUCAAACCCUAAUUCUAGGUGAUGGUUGCAUAUUGGUCCUUUCUCUUGUUUAUUUGAUAAUUAAAAUUGAUACUUAAGAACCGUCAACAUAUACCCCCAUACUUAGGCUUUUACUCGUCCUCGAGAAAAAGGAUGGUUAAGAAAAAUAUCUAGGGUAAACUUUUUAAAGUAUUCUCUUUAUAAUUGCAGGGUGUUAAAAAUUUCCACUGUGUACCAUAGCCAGGGAUAUAUAUGAUCAAGAGUAAAGAUCCUUUCUUCUCAAUCUUGCCACUUGGAGCUUUUGUAUAUUUUUGAAAGAAAGUUAGCAUACCUUUUUAUCCUCAUAGGUUCUCUCAGAUCACUCAUUAUCUUUUAUAUAUCUCACUGAGGCUAUUUUAUUUUGCAAAAAUUCUCAAGCAUACUUACUUUGCAUUUAUUGCCUGAUCAAAACGGGAUCCGAGGAGAGGAAUGUCAUACUCUUAGAUCAAAGACUUUUGAAAUUAAAAUCUUUGUCAUCUCUUGCUGGUAUAUUGCUUAUUAGAGGGACCAUGGGCUAUCAUUUUUUUUAAGUGGAUACCGAGGUACCCCUAAUUCUACUGCCGGACACUUGUCCAUUUUUUCUGCGAGGUUGUCGAGCACUUGCUCCUUUUUAUUUCCUCGAAAUAUCUUCUAUUUUUGCAUAGCCCAUGCCUCUAGUGCAAUAAUACUUCGGAAGAGUGAAUCUUACUGAAAUAAUGUCUUGAUCUUAGGAGCAUGAUAAAUCUCUCAACAAGGGUCUAACUCAUUUUGAACAAACUCAAUAUAGAGCAGAUAGCUUUUAUAAUCAUAAUUAAUAUUUCAGUAUUAUCAGGCAUAUAAAACACUGAGGAUGGUAGCUAGAAUUUUGAAUAUUUUGAAAUAAAUUCUCCAAGCAACAAUGAUAUCAAGAACAAGAAACUCAUACUCUACCAUCACAUAUUCCAUAUUGACUUAAGUAACACAGGGUUUUAAAAUGAUUUUAUAACAAUUGCAAGUUUUCAGGAAAUAUCAUAGAUUGAGAUUAAUCAUGAUUAGAAAUAUUUUAAUCCUUUUAUUUUAUCAUGUCGGAAACAAUAAUCUGCAUAAUCCAAAAUAUAUAUAUGUGUAAAGUAAAGUGUGCAGAGUGUGUACCUGAAUGGUGGAGUGGUGUAGUUGGAGUGUGUUUGGUAUGUCGAGGGAUAUCCCCCAUACUUGUUUUAUGCUUUCUUGCACAAAAAUAAAGUAGAGACACACAAGACAUAAUAAUAAUAAUAAUAAUACUCUUUAUUGAUCUUGAGGCAUUGCAAAAGACUAGUAGCAAACUGAUAAUAAAAGUAAACCUAAACCGAAUUUAAAGAUAAAUGACUAAGAUGUAUUGCCUUAAGGUCUAAUCUAGAUAACUUAGCGGCGCUCUAAUUCCUUAAUCUUCUUGUUGGCACUGGCAAGAUCCUGCCUAAGGCCUAGUAUAAUGGUGUUGUGGUUAGAGAGCUGCCUAGUGAGGGAAUUAAUUGAGGACUGGAGGUCUAUGAUAACUCUAUCUAGCCUGCGAACUUCCUCAUCAAUAUCUAUUAUAGUCUUGCGACGCUUGGGAGGUGUCUCAAAAGCAUUGAGAGAGUGCUUCGGGGCUGCCUUUGGAGGGAUGAAACGGACUUUGGAUGCUCUAAUCUCUUCAAAGUAAGGCCUUUCCUCCUCCGUAGUGUAGCGAACACUGCUGAUCUCGCCGCUCCGGCUGGUCUUGACUCCAACGACCCUCUCAUUGGGUCUAGGUGGAAGGAUCCUUGUGCCGAUUGGCACCUUGAUAGUGGUCUUCGUCUUGGAUGAUGGUCCUUUGAGGAGUAGGGGUUGUGGUGGUGCGGUGAGAACUGGUUGAGCAUGGUAAGAUUGGGCGGAGCUACGUUCGCAUGAUGGCAUGGCUUCUAGCUGACGCUCUGUGUUGGCCGGGACGAGAGCACGGGCAUCGGGCUCUUCCACUGGCUCCAUGUUGAGGUUGAAGGGGACGACUUCCCAAUCGUCGUGGUACUUGUCGGCCAUUGGAGCAGCAAGGAACUAAUAAAAUUUUAAUUGAAGUAGAGCUAAUCAAGCUCUAAUUGAAGGAGAGCUAAUCAAGCUCUAAUUGAAGGAGAGAAAGCUUGGUGGCCUGGUGUUUGAAAACUGAGGUCAGGGGUCUGUUUAUAUAGGGGUGAAAAGGAUGCCUCUAUGGGUUGUUCGGGUUGCUCCCGUCGAUGUGCGUGCGAAACUUUCCAUCCGAGGGAUUAUUUGGAUCACCCUAGGUGCAUUUUCCAUAACAGAGAAAGUCGGGACCGAGGGGGAACAGGGGCUGGGCGCCCGCCCUCUCUCUGGCCCCUCUGUGGGCCCACUUCUCCGAGCGCGUUUCUAGAUGCAGAAUUAUAUAGAAAAAUAUAUAUAUGACCCAAAACCAUCAGACCAAAAGUGUCGGGCUCUAAUUCUCUAUGGGAAGGUAAAAAUGGACUACGUCUAUUUCUUCAAAUUCCUCAUUGGGCUCUAAAAAUAAUUUAAGACGUUGACCAUUUACCUUGAAUAACGUACCUUCACUAUUUUGAAGUGUGAUAGCUCCGUGGGAUGAUGAGUUGAUUACCUUGAAUGGCCCUUCCCAUUUGCUCCGGAGUUUUCCAUGCCCGAAAAGCUUUACCCUAGAAUUAAAAAGUAAUACCUUAUCUCCGGGUGUGAACUCCUUCUUCUUGAUUCUCUUGUCAUGCCACCUCUUGACUCUUUCUUUGUAGAUCUUUGAAUUGUGAUAUGCCUUCUCUCGCCAUUCUUAUAAUUCUGAUAGUUGCAUUCUUCUAUAAUCUCCAGCAAUAUCUAGGUCCAUAUUCCAUCUCUUUAUGGCCCAGUGUGCUUUGAACUCUAGUUCAACAGGUAGAUGGCAAGUCUUCCCGUACACCAAUUGGUAUGGAGACAUUCCGAUUGGGGUCUUGUAUGCUGUCCGGUAUGCCCAGAGUGCAUCGGGUAGCUUGUCUUUCCAUGCCGUUCCCAUUUCAUUUACUGUCUUCUGAAGAAUAUUCUUGAUUUGUUUGUUGGAAGUCUCUGCUUGGCCACUUGUCUGAGGAUGAUAAGGGGUAGCAACGUUGUGACGGAUUCCAUGUCUUGAUAGAUAUUGCUUGAAGCGUUUGUCGAUGAAGUGUGCUCCUCCAUCACUUAUCACUACUCUGGGAACUCCAAAUCUUGGAAAUAUAAUUUCUUCAAACAUCCUCUUUGAACUGACGUUGUCGGCAUGCUUGCAAGGUAAUUCUUCUACCCACUUGGAGACAUAGUCAACCGCCACCAAGAUGUACUCGCACUUCUUUGAUGGAGGAAAUGGACCCAUGUAGUCUAUUCCCCAGACAUCAAAGAGCUCAAUCUGAAGGUUGUUGGUGAGUGGCAUUGCAUCCCUUGUAUUUAUGUUUCCGUGUCUUUGACAUGGCCCACAUCUUCUGAUAUAUUGCUUCGUGUCUUCAUACAUUGUAGGCUAGUAGAAUCCACACUGCCAGAUCUUUGAAUGUGUACGGAAUGCUCCAUAGUGACCUCCAUAUGGUGAUGAAUGACAUCUGUCGAUGAUCUUCCAUCCUUCCUCAGUGGUCACACAUCUCCUGAGUAAGCCAUCAGAGCAUACUCGGAAGAGGUAUGGCUCGUCCCAUAUAUGUGAACGACUUUCUUGAAUAAGCUUCUUCUUGUUUGCUCCUGGUGGUACAUACCCUGAAACCAUAAAAUUAACAAUAUCUGCAUACCAGGGGUCAGACCUGUUAAUCCCGUAGAGCAUGUCGUCCCGGAGUGAAUCAUUGAUGGGGGUUUCAUGUGGAUUCUUAAAAUACAUUCUAGACAAGUGAUCAGCAACAGAAUUUUCUACUCCUUUUUUAUCUUUUAUUUCUAAGUCAAAUUCUUGGAGUAAUAAGAUCCAUCUAAUCAGGCGAGGCUUAGCAUCUUUUUAGUGAGCAAAUAUUUUAAUGCAGCAUGAUCAGUGUAAACAAUUAUUUUAGCUCCAACUAAAUAAGAUCUAAAUUUAUCAAUGGCAAAGACAACAGCCAGAAGCUCUUUUUCAGUAGUUGCAUAAUUAAGUUGAGCUCCUGUCAAAGUUUUACUGGUAUAAGCAAUUGCAUGAUGCUUCUUAUCUUUAGUUUGUCCCAAUACUGCCCCCACAGCAUAAUCACUAGCAUCACACAUAAUUUCAAAAGGCAACGACCAAUCAGGGGGCUGAAUGAUUGGUGCAGAGAUGAGUGCUUUCUUUAAUAAAUUGAAAGAUGUUAGAAAUGCAUCAUCAAAUUCGAAAGGAGCAUCCUUGGCUAGCAAAAGAGUAAGUGGUCUAGCAAUAAAUGAAAAAUCUUUUAUGAAUCUACGAUAAAAACCAGCAUGGCCAAGAAAGCUUCGAAUUCCUUUUAUAUUCACAGGUGGAGGUAGUUGUUCAAUUACUUCAAUUUUAGCUUUGUCUACCUCAAUACCUCUUUCAGACACUAAGUGUCCUAGCACUAUUCCUUCUCUAACCAUAAAAUGACAUUUUUCCCAAUUAAGGAUUAAGUGGUUUUCUUCACAUCUUUGCAAAACCUUGUCUAAGUUUUCAAGACAACUAUCAAAAGUUUUUCCAUAAACAGAGAAAUCAUCCAUGAAAACUUCCAUAAUCUCUUCAAUCAUAUCAGAAAAUAUAGACAUCAUGCAUCUUUGAAAAGAAGCUGGUGCAUUACAUAACCCAAAAGACAUUCUACGGUAAGCAUAAGUUCCAUAAGGGCAUGUAAAUGUGGUUUUGCUUUGAUCAUCAGGAUGGAUCGGGAUUUGAUGAUACCCUGAAUAUCCAUCUAAGAAAUAGAAGAACGAAUGGUUUGCUAACCGCUCUAGCAUCUCAUCUAUAAAAGGUAAAGGAAUGUGAUCCUUUCUCGUGGCUUUGUUUAAUUUUCUAUAGUCUAUGCACAUCCGCCAUCCUGUGACGGUGCGUUGCGGAAUUAGCUCGUUCUUUUCAUUCAUAAUAACUGUCAUGCCUCCCUUUUUGGGCACAACUUGGACUGGGCUCACCCACUCACUGUGCGGCACAGGAUAUAUAAUCCCUGCAUGCAACAACUUUAUAACUUCCUUUUUAACUACCUCUCUCAUAGUGUUGUUAAGUCUACGUUGGGGUUCUCGAGAGGGUGUAACAGAAGGAUCUGUUGGAAUACGAUGGGUACAAAUCAUAGGACUGAUUCCUGUAAGAUCUUGGAGUGAGUAGCCAAAAACUGAGUGAUGUUUCUCAAGAAUGGUCAUUAAUCACAGAGUUUGAUCCUGAGUGAGUUUAUCACUAAUGAUUACAGGGAACUCUGGAUUAUUGUUUAGGAAAGCGUAUGUAAGACCGGGUGGUAAAGUUUUAAGCUUUAUGGGAGGUCUAGGUGUUUCUGCAAACUCAUCUAAGGGUUCAGGCUCGGAAGGUUCGUCUUCUUCUUCUAUGAAGAAAGGAGUUUCGUCUUCUAAGUCUGGUUCAUCAAAAAGCUCUAGAGAUGCAGCCUUUACUUCCUCCAUAGGAUCAGGCAAAAGAUAUGACUCGGCCUUAUUGUUUAAGGAGUGUGAAAUUAUUAUUGGGAAUUUAAAAGUUUUUCCAAAAGAAAUGUGUAGCUUUCCAGUAUGACCUUCAUAAAGGAGUCUUCUAAAAGGUUGUCCUAUCAACAGGUCAAAGUCCCAUGUAUCAACGAUAUAGAAGUUCAAAUGAACCAUGGAGCCUUCUACCGUAAGAGGUAGGAUAUUAAUAAUUCCAAGACUGGGGACUAAUCGUCCCGAAGAUUCCUUUAUGACCUUUGUUGUGGGGGUUAAUAUAAGAUUUUUAAAUAGUUUAAGUGCAAAGGAUUUAGACAUAAUGUUGAUCCCCACAACAGGAUUAUAAAGAGCAUUAAAUCGAUCAGAAUUAUAAGCAUAGCGUAUAGUUAUAGAGGGUGUGUCCAAUCGGAUCACAUCAGAGGAAAGCUCUGAUUCCUCCAACCAUUCGCUACUCAUUACUAAGAUAAGCUCUCUCAAUUGAUAUUCACUUGGUAAAUAAAUGCUAAACUGGCCGUUUUGGGGUUUGUCAAUAGAAUGGUAGUUUGAAAUAUUUCCAAAAUCGGCAAAAAGAUCGGAUUCUAUAUCCAGCAUGAAGUCCGGUGGUGGAAUUUCUUCCUCUUGUGGCUCAGAACUUGGGAUAGCUAAAGUAGAUGAAGAAUUUGGCAGAGUGUCUACUUCGGCUUCGUAGGUUUCAUCAUGAAGGGUAUUAUCCAUCUCAGCUUCUAGGAUUCUAUCUAGGAUCACUCUAGCUUCAUCAGCAGGGAUGCGAAAGAAAGAACCUCUAGACAUUGCGUGCAGCAUUUGUUUGUGAUUUUUAUGAAGACCUCGAAAAAAGUGAAAUAAAAGAACAGGGUCUUCUAGAUUAAGGUUUGGACCAGAUUCUAAAAGAUCAGAAAAACGUUUCCAGGAUUUUCCCAAAGUUUCAUUAUCUUUUUGUUUAAAAGAUAGGACUUCGAGUCUAAGGUCGGCUAUACGGUCAAGGGAAUAGAAAUCUAGACAAAAGUUGGCUCGUAAAACUCCCCAUUCACCUUGUUGUUGACUUACCUUCUGACUGUACCAUUUUCUAGCUUCCCCCCUUAAGGAAAAAGGAAAAAGCUUCCAACGUAAAGUCUUAUCAGAAAUGCCUUCAAUGCGAAGACAAUCACAUGUUUGCUCAAAAUCUCUAAUAUGAAGGUAAGGGUUUUCGUCUUCCUUUCCCGAAAAAGAUAGGUUUUGAAUCAUGGCAAUUAACCUAGAACUUAACUUAUACUGGGAUGUUUGGAUAGGCUGUGAUGAUUCCCAUGGUAAAAGGUCAGUUGCUAAAGGGAUUGCAGAGUCAUGGAUCGAUUUAGAAUUUUGGUUUUCCAUAAGGUAAGAGUAAAGAAAAUAAAUAAUAAUAAAGAUAAGAAAAGACAAAAGUAUAGAUACAAGCUAAUAGCAAGACACAGGUUAUCUCAACAACCGUCUUUCUCCCCGGCAACGGCGCCAGAAAUGCUUGUUGAUAUUUGGGAACGCAAUAAGGAAUUGAUCCGCAAGCGCACGGAUAUCGGUGAGCACUUCAACCGGGAAAUUAUCCAGAGUAUCGUAUUUAUUUUUUUACCACUAGGAGAAAGAGUGCAUCUGACUAACCGGUCUAUUACUACUAACCUUUAGGCACAAAGAAUGUCUUUCGAUGUGAGUGAUAAAUAGAGAAGACUGCAACCGUAGUCUCCUUAUAACCUUGGUAAGGAUGAUCUACUGUUCUAAUGGGGAGGCUAACGGAAUCUAGACACCACAAAGGAUGUUCAACCCGCACCUAUAAACCCUAUCCUUCCUGCUAACGAGAUGUGAUCUACAAAGGUAGCUCGGAAUUGUCACGUUCCUCACUACUACCACGGUCCAGCUAGUCAGGGAAUAUCUAUGAGUACCCCAGCCUAAACACCACGUUUACGCCAGCAAUGAUUACUCUAAACUCUACGUGAAGAGAUUAAAGUAAACUCAUAAACCAUAAGAACAAUGAAACAAGAACUUACUAGAACUUAGAAGUCAAAUUACUGAAGAAUCCUAGGAGCAAGCUUCGGGUUAGGAGAACUUGAUCCCGCAGGUACAAGCUUGGAGUAGACACCGACAGGCCGGGCUUCCUCCACUCUACACCUCCACUCUAUCUCUCUCAAUCUAGUAGAAACUAGAAGAUCUAUUUCUACCUUACAUUGAUUGCUAAGCCUAAAAAGAAAUAUUAAUUAGAGAAGAGGUUUUCCUUCGAGGGCACCCCUCAAUGUCUAUGAUAAUUUCUUCAUGUCUUCUCCAGGGGCCAGGGGGCCUUGCUUAUAUAGUCCUCCCCUUCUAUGCGUUUUUGGGUCGAUAGGCUAGGUGGUACUAUGUUUUUCUUGAUCCAAUAGGUCGGUGGAAUAUCCCGAACGAAAGAGUCCUGAUUUGGCUCCAGCAGGGGGGCGGGCGCCCAGGCUACCAGGGCGGGCGCCCUGGGCCUGGCCCAGUUUUGCCUCCGCUUCGGUCUCGUGGCUUCUGGAGUCUUCUAGAUGAUGUAAAAUUACGCGGUGCGUUGAUAUCUCUAUGUAAUCCCAACAUGUGGGCCUUUCUUCCUUAUUUCCUGAUAACCCCCUGCAGAAACAGAUAAACAACAAAGCUCGUGGAAUUCUGUCUGAUCAAACCCUAAUUCUAGGUGAUGGUUGCAUAUUGGUCCAUUCUCUUGUUUAUUUGAUAAUUAAAAUUGAUACUUAAGAACCGUCAACACCCCCCUCUUGGGCAUCUUGAUCCUUUCAAUUGGUAUCAGAGCCUAGUGCUCAUUUUUUAGGCUUCACCGCCUAGAGAAAGAUGUCUAACGGGGAUGGACCGCCACCCAUGUUCGAUGGGGAUGACUUCCCGUAUUGGAAAAUACGGAUGGACUCAUAACUUGAGGCAUGUGACAUAAAGUGCCUAAAAGCCGCGACCGAAGGGUUUACCCCUCCGGCAAAGGACACCACUCUUACUCCACAAGAGCAAGAAAACGAGAAGUGGAAUGCGAAGGCCAAAAUCCACAUCUUUAGAGGCCUUUGCAAAGGGUUGUUCAAGCGCGUUCGGAGCCACAAAACCGCCCAUGCUCUAUGGAAGGAACUUUGUGCGCUCCAUGAGGGAUCAAAGAGUGAACGCGAGGAACGCUAUCACUUGGUGAUGAACAAGCUUAAUACAUUUGAAAUGCUCCCUAAAGAAAAUGCUAAUGAAAUGUAUUCUCGCUUGAAUGUGAUUGUAGAGGAGGUUAAUGGACUUGGGCUCACUCAAAUGAGCGCGGCGGAUGUCGCAAGGAAGAUACUAUGUGUGCUUCCCAUUGAGAAAUAUGGGCACAUAGUAACGGUGCUUCAUCAAGGCGAUCUCUCCACAACUACACCAACCGCCAUAUUGGGGAAGAUCAAUGCACAUGAGAUGUAUUUGUACACGAACCCCCAAGAUGGCUCCUCAUCGGCCAAGAAGGAGAAGAAGGACUUGGCCCUCAAAGCUUCUCACAAGGGCAAAGCCAAGAAGACUGAAGUCGAGUCAUCAACUUCAAGUGAUGAUGAUGCAUCCGUUGCCCUCUUGGUGAAAAGAACCACCAAGAUGUUGAAGAAGCUCAACAAUCAACUUUGACUCCAAGAAGAAAAAGUUCUUCACAAGUAGCAAGAGGAAGCCCAUCUCCGAGAUGGAUUGCUACAAUUGUGGUGAGCUUGGCCAUCUUGCUCAUCAAUGUCCAGAGCCCAAGAAGAACAAAUACAAGAAGAAGAACAAAGAGCAAGAUGACUCAAGUGAUGAUGAGAUGAAUGAAAAGAAGCCAUACAAGAAGAUAGGUGGCAAGAAGAAGGAGCACUACAAGAAGAAGAAUGGCAAAGCUUUCAUUGUUGGUGAUUGGCUCACCGACAUUGAGAGCUCAAGUGGUGACUCCUCCGGCAAUGAGAGCGAUGAUGAGAAGGUUGCCGCCAUUGCCAUUGAUGCUCUAUCACCAUCAUCUUCACCAUCAUCUACAUCCUCUACACACCUAUGCCUCAUGGCUAAAGGUGACCGGAAGGUACAAAGUGAGGAUGAGAGUAGUGAAAGUGAUAGUGAGUAUGAAUCACCUUCUUAUGAUGAACUUGUAAAAUUGCUAAACAAAUACACAAAAGUCAUAAGAAAGACUAGAAGUGAAAAGGAGAAACUUGAACUUGAAAAUGAAACACUUCUAGCAAAGCACAAGUCUAAUGAUGAGCUUAGAGAUCAAAAUGAUAUCAUGACCACUAAGCUCAAGGAGCUCAAACUCUCUUUAAAAGAGCUCAAAGAAAAACAUGAUAAACUUGAGAGUGUUCUUGAUGAGCUUAUCACUAGAUAUAGAGCAAUGAAAGAAGAGCUAACAACUCUAAAAGCCAACUAUGACAACCUAGAGAUUGCUUAUGAGCUUGCAAUUGAUGAAACACAUGUUGCUACUAACCAUGUUGCUAAGCUUGAUGUAGGUACAUCAUGUGAUGACUUGUGAAGAGCACAAGAAAAUGUGUUGAUUGCAAGGGCAAGAAAGUGGUAGUGGCCGAGAGCUAUGAGGACACUAUCAAGCUCAAGGAUGAAAUUGUCAUGCUCAAGAAAGAGUUGCAAGAGCAAGCCAAGCACAAGACCAUUGUAAUUGAGUCACUUGAUCAAGACAAGAAGCUUGCAUAUGAGAACAAGUUGCUCAAGGAAGAAAACCAAUAUCUCAAGCUUGGUUUGAUGUAUGACAAGCAAGAAGAGGAUGAGACAUUCAUCUUGGAUGAGUUAGCUAGCAACAAUGACCCAAUCGUCAAGAAGCUAACUCAAGAGAAUAGCAAGCUCAAGAAAUAGAAGGAACAUCUAACCAUGGGGUUAGCAAAGUUCACAAAAGGGAAGGACCUUCAAAGUGAGCUUUUCAUGAACACCGUAAUGAAGAUGGACAAGAGUGGGAUUGGCUACAAGGCUCAUCAAACAAAGCUCAUCAAGUCACUAGCCACUCAUGAUCAACCAAGCAAGCCAAAGCCAAAGAGAUGCUUUGAAUGUGGUCAAGAAGGACACUUUGCUCAUGAGUGUAUGGCACCACUACCACCACCCUUGCCCAAGCAUGCAAGACCAUUUGCAUUCAAUGCUCACUACAUUGUAAGGAAAGACAAGAGUGGCAAGGUCAAGGUUAGCUUCAUGGGGCCGCCCAAUAAGCAAAGGCCAAAGAAGAUUUGGGUGCCAAAGAAACUAGUAGAGAAGGUCAAGGGCCCUAAGCAAAUGUGGGUCCCUAAAUCUCAAGUCUGAUCUCUUGUGUGUAGGUGAACUACAAGACCGGUGGAUCACAUUGGGUAAUUGAUAGUGGUUGCACUCAACAUAUGACCGGAGAUCCCCGGAUGUUCACCUCUCUUGAUGAAGAUGUUGACGACCAAGAGAAGAUCACAUUUGGUGACAACUCAAAAGGCAAGGUCAUGGGUCUAGGAAAAGUUGCAACUCCAUCACCAAUGUGCUCUAUGUGCAAUCGUUGAGUUUCAACUUGCUCUCGGUUGGACAACUUUGUGAUCUUGGAUUUGAAUGCAUAUUCAAGAAGAAAGAAGUAAUAGUGACCAAGGAGGAUGACAAUGAAGUUAUAUUCAAAGGCUUCCGACACAACAAUCUAUAUGUAGUUGAUUUCUCAUCCGAUGAAGUUGAUGUCAAGACUUGCCUAUUCACCAAGACUUCACUUGGUUGGUUGUGGCAUAGAAGGUUAGCACAUGUUGGAAUGGGCACACUCAAGAAGUUGAUGAAGAAAGAAUUGAUUAGAGGCUUGAAGGAUGUGACAUUUGAAAAGGACAAGCUUUGUAGUGCAUGUCAAGUGGGCAAGCAAGUUGCAAACACUCAUCCAACCAAGGCCUAUUUCUCUACUUCAAGAGUGCUUGAGCUACUUCGCAUGGAUCUAUUUGGACGAACCACAUAUGCUAGCUUUGGAGGUGAAAGCCCUAGUUUGGUUUUGUAUAAUUAAUGAAACCCUAAUACUAACCUCUAUGCUAAGUGUGUGUAGACUUAAUGAGGUUGGUACAUGCCAAGUGAUAGAGCAAGAGAUGAUCAUGGUGAUGAUGNNNNNNNNNNNNNNNNNNNNNNNNNNNNNNNNNNNNNNNNNNNNNNNNNNNNNNNNNNNNNNNNNNNNNNNNNNNNNNNNNNNNNNNNNNNNNNNNNNNNAGGGUUUGGCUUUGGUGAUCAGACACCAUAGAGAGUGUGAUCACAUUUAGGAUAGAUAGCCAUACUAUAAAGAGGGGAAUUCUUUGGCUAAGUGGUUAUCAAGUGCCACUAGGUGUCUUUGUUCUUGUGCAUGCAUUUAGAACCUAGUGAGCUAACUUAACUCCUUCGAAGAAAAUGUUUGUGAAAAUGCUAACACACGUGCACAUGUUGGUUUACACGUUGUGGUGUUGGCACACUUUGAGAAGGAGGUGGAGUUUGAAGAGUAGAGAGAGGAAAAUGAAGUGCAUAAUUCCUAUUGCGCCGGUGGAAACUUUGGAGAAGUCGCGGGAGUGUUUCUCACUGAGAAACACUCACCGGACGCUGGCUUCUGGAGCACCGGACGUUGAGUCUGAGCAUCCGGUGCAAACAGUGCCUGGCCCAGCUAGGGUAAGGCACCGGACGACAGGCACCGGACGCAGGCCUGUGCGUCCGGUGGUUAGCCUUCGGUGUGUGGGCGUCCUGUGACCCUCUCUGCGCAUGGGUCCGGUGAGCACCAGACGCUACCGGUGCUUAGCGACCGGUGACCCGCAGGUUUGCGGAACUCUCUCCGCAUGAGUCCGGUGUGCACCGGACGUACUUGCUCAGCAUCUGGUGCACUGCAGGUGACCGUUAGACUCUGCCACCAGCGUUUCAAAAGAUGACACGUGGCUGACUUAGGAGCACCGGACGCAGGUGUUGAGCGUCCGGUGCCCCUUUUAGAGCGUCCGGUGAGCCCGCAGUUUGCCCAGUGAAAAGAGCCAACGGCUCUAUUUGUUUGAGGGGCUUAUAAAUAGUUGUUGGCCGGCUUAGGGCUUACUCUCUUGGCAUUCUAACAUACUUGACAUCCUAGUGAGCCUAAGAAAACACCUCCCACUCAUCUCCUUCAUAGAUUAAACAUCUUUGUGAGAUUGGGAGUGAUUCCAAGUGCAUUUGCUUGAGUGAUUGCAUCUAGUGGCACUUGGGGAUCGAUUUGGCUGCAGUUUUCUUGUUACUCUUGGUGGUUGCUGCCACCUAAACGGCUUAGAGCAGCGAAGGAGCAUUGGCACGAGUUGGUGAUUGUUCGUGGCCAUCUCCCGGUGAUUGUGAGAGGUUUGUGUCUACCUCGGCAGAGUGCCAAAGGCAACAUUAGUGGAUUGCUUGUGUCAUUGAGCUACCUCACUUGUGGGUAGGCUCUUGUGGUGUCCUAGUGAGGAUGAGGUUCGUGCUACACCUCUUAGCCACCGAACCACCAAGUGUUGGUCAACACAACGGGGACGUAGCGUGCCGGCAAGCACGUGAACCUCGGGAGAAAAUCGUAUGUCUCCUUUGUGAUUGUACUUUGGAUUUCUCCCAGUGAUUGGACUUCAUAUUAUUGAUUGGUUCAUCCCCUCUACGCGGUGGUAUAAAGAUCAAACCUUCUCUCUUAAUUUCUUGCAAACUAGAGUAGCUUACUGACUUGUAUAGAAACUUUAGGUAGCUCUCUAGUGUAAGUAGAGACAUAGCUCUUGUGUGCCUAGUGAUAAUAUCAACUAGAAUUGUUGGAUAGAGCUAGAGCAAAAAGCUUCGCUUUGUUAUUUACUAACCUCUUGUUCUAGUGAGUUUGUAGGAUUUUUAAAUAGGCUAUUCACCCCCCUCUAGCCAUAUUAAGACCUUUCAGGAGGCAACAAAUAUUGCUUGGUCAUAGUUGAUGAUUUCUUCCGGUACACUUGGACAUUCUUCUUGCAAGACAAGACCGAAGUUGCAUCCAUAUUCAAGAAGUUUGCCAAGAAUGCCCAAAAUCAAUUUGAAGUCAAGAUCAAGAAAAUUAGAAGUGACAAUGGCAAAGAGUUUGACAACACCAACAUUGAAGAGUAUUAUGAUGAAGUGGGAAUCAAACAUGAGUUCUCCUCAACAUACACACCACAACAAAAUGGGGUUGUAGAAAGAAAGAACCGGACAUUGAUCACCUUGGCAAGAACAAUGCUAGAUGAGUACAACACUUCGGAGAAGAUGUGGGCCGAGGCAAUCAACACCGCAUGCUAUGCAUCAAACUGGCUCUUUCUUCAUAAGUUCCUAGAGAAGACACCAUAUGAGUUGCUCAAUGGGAAGAAGCCCGAUGUCUCAUUCUUUAGAGUGUUUGGGUGCAAGUGCUACAUCUACAAGAAGCGCCAACACUUGCGCAAGUUCCAAAGGAGAUGUGACAUUGGCUACUUGGUUGGCUAUUCAUCAAAGUCCAAGGCAUAUAGGGUCUUUAACCAUGCCACAAACAUGGUUGAAGAAACAUUUGAUAUUGAAUUUGAUGAAACUAAUGGCUCCCAAGGAGCAAGUGAUAAUCUUGAUGAUGUAGGUGGUGAACCAUUGAGGGAUUCCAUGAAGAACAUGCCCGUGGGAGACAUGAAGCCAAAAGAAGAUGAUGAUGUGCAAGUCAUUGAUCCACCAUCCACCUCACUUGUACCAAAAACGAAGACAAGGAUGUGAGAGAUGCUCAUGAAGACACCCAAGUCACUCAUGAGCAAGCUAUGGCACGAGCACAAGUUGUUGAUGCUCCCCAACCAACCCCUCAAGUGGCGCCAAGAAGAACAUCACAUCUCCUCCAAGAUCACUCUCAAGAUCUCAUCAUCGGGAGUCCAUCACGUGGUGUAACUACACGCUCUAGACAUGCUUUAUUUAGCGAACAUCACGCUUUUGUGUCUCUUGAAGAUGAACCAAAGACUGUAGAGGAAGCUCUUCGUGAUGCGGAUUGGAUCAUGGCCAUGCAAGAGGAGUUGAACAACUCACGCAACCAAGUAUGGACACUUGAAGAGCAACCCAAAGAUGCAAGAGUGAUUGGAACAAAGUGGGUCUUCUGGAACAAGAAGGAUGAUCAAGGCAAAGUGGUGCGCAACAAGGCAAGGCUCGUGGCAAAAGGCUUUUCACAAGUGGAAGGUCUUGACUUCGGUGAAACCUUUGCACCAGUGGCAAGACUUGAAGCAAUCCGUAUCCUACUUGCAUAUGCAUCUAGUCAUGAUAUCAAGUUAUUUCAAAUGGAUGUGAAAAGUGCUUUUUUGAAUGGCUAUAUCAAUGAGCUUGUCUAUGUUGAGCAACCCCCCGGUUUUGAAGACCCUAGGUACCCCAAGCAUGUCUACCAGUUAUCCAAGGCUCUCUAUGGUCUCAAGAAAGCUCCUAGAGCUUGGUAUGAGAGGCUUAGGGACUUCCUCAUUGAGAAGGGCUUCAAGAUUGGGAAAGUUGACACAACACUCUUCACCAAGAAAAUGAAUGGGGAAAUCUUCAUUUGCCAAGUUUAUGCUGAUGAUUAUUAUUUUUGGCUCUACUAAUGAAGAUUUUUGCAAGGAAUUUGGUGAUUUGAUGUCCAAGGAGUUUGAGAUGUCCAUGAUUGGCGAGCUAUCCUUCUUCCUAGGAUUUCAAGUCAAGCAAAUGAAGGAAGGAGUCUUCAUCUCUCAAGAGAAGUACACACAAGAUCUUCUCAAGAGAUUCAAGAUGAUGGAUUGCAAGCCAAUCAAGACUCCCAAGGCAUCAAAUUGGCAUCUCGACUUGGAUGUGGGAGGUAACCUAAUUGACAAGACUCUCUAUCGUUCCAUGAUAGGAAGUCUACUCUACCUCACCGCAUCUAGGCCCGAUAUCAUGUUUAGUGUGUGUAUGUAUGCUAGAUAUCAAGCGAUGCCUAUGGAAUCUCACUUGAUUGCCGUCAAGAGAAUUCUUAGGUAUCUAAAAUACACACCUUGCCUAGGUUUGUAGUAUCCCAAAGGUGCAAGAUUCCAACUUGUAGGCUAUUCCGAUUUGGAUUAUGCCGGGUGCCGGAUUGAUAGAAAAAGCACAUCCAGAGGGUGCCACUUCCUAGGUAGAUCACUUGUCUCUUGGAUGUCAAAGAAACAAAAUAGUGUUGUCUUGUCAACGGCCGAGGUGAAAUACAUUGCCACCGGUGCUUGUUGUGCACAAAUACUCUACAUGAAACAAACUUUGCUAGACUAUGAAGUAGUACUAGACAAAGUACCUUUGUUGUGUGACAACGAAAGUGUCGUAAAACUUGCUAACAACCCGGUUCAACACACCCGCACCAAACACAUUGACAUCCGCCACCACUUCCUUAGGGAUCAUGUUGCUAAAGGUGACAUAUCUCUAGAGAAUGUGGGAACAGAAAAUCAAUUGGCGGAUAUCUUCACAAAACCCCUAGAUGAAGCUAGGUUUUGUAUGUUGAGAAAUGAACAUGAUGUGCUUGAUCUCUCUAACUUCAUUAAAAAAUGAAGUUGUGUGUUGAAACUUGUAAAUAGCUUUAGCUUUGCAUAUCAUGCACACCAAAACUAAAAUUGAAAAAGAAUUGUGUGUAGGGCUUGUCUAACAUGGUUAAGAUAACCCCCUUGUGUGUGUGAAAAAGCUUAACCUUGGAGCAAACUUGACAAGCAUUAGUUUACUUUCAAGUAUUGCAUUUCACCUCAUAUCAUAUGCAUGCUUGUUAGUUGACCAUUUCUUUUUGGUUAUUCUUUGAGCAUCCGCUGUGUUCGUCCAUAGAUAGGGGGAGCAUUCCAAGCUCAUUAUGAUUUAAACCCCUAGCUUUAAGGCCAUACGAUGCUCCUUGGUGUUUUCUCGUGACUAUUUUCAUAAAAACUACUAAGCCUAAGGCUAAAUAUUUGUGAAAAUUUGAGGGUUUGAGAGAGGUCACUCAUACCAGUUCCACUUGGUGUUUAUUUGUGUGUCUUUGAAGUUGGAACUUGGUUGGGUCAAAGUCGGACGUAGUGUUAUGUUGAAAAAGGACUCAGAGGUGCACCGGACGCUGUCUCGGUGCGUUCGGUGCAGUGAGUCUGCUAGAUUGCACUCACCGGACGCAGGAACAGUGUCCCUACAUUGUCUGGUGAGGUGCGUCCGGUGCUCAGCCCGGCAUACCCUAGGGCACCGGAUGCUAAGGCCAGCGUCCGAUGGCCAUCGUCCGGUGGUAUGCCGAUUUGAAAACCUCUCUGCGCAUGAGUCCGGUGGUCACCGGACGCGUCCAGUGCCACAUAAAGAGCGUCCGGUGACCCCGCGGCGGGCGCAUAUAACCCAUGCCCAGGGGUUUGGGUCGGCAUUUGUUUCUUCGCCUCCGUGAUUCUCCGGCCGCAGCCUGUGCCCUAGACGCCGAACCGCCGCCGCGCUUGGUCUCCAUCGAAUCUCCGGCGGCCUUGGGUUCUUCUCCUCACGCAGAUCUUCUCCAAGGGCAUCUUCCCCAUCCCUCUUCACGCCGUGGACCUUUCCUUCGUGAUCUUCUAGGGUUUGGGGUGAGUCUCCAUGUCUGCGCACUCAGGGUGUUUGUUUUUAUGUGUCAAAGGAUCCGAAUAAGAUUUUGAUCUCGAUCUUGUUCGUCUCAUCCGUGCAGCACCAUGAGGAGUCGUUUCGUGUUCCCCGGUGGUUCUCGAUUGCAAUAUUUCAUCCGGAACGCGACCCGUCAUCGGAUUGUAAGCCGUUCGCGCCCAUUCUUUAUCUAAUCUUGCGAUCUAUAGGGUUCUCUCACCUCUAGCUAUUAUGUUUGCUUAUGUAUGCCCUAUUUAUUCUAUCUCUUGCAGCGUGUUGAUCACUCAUGCCAGUUUGUCAGUUGUCGGCACUUAGUCAGGCAGUGAUUCUUGCGAUGGCUCGUUGCAAGAAUGUCAGUGGCCCGGCACCGAGCACUGGUGUUUCACCAGGAGGUGAUGGUGGAGGUGAUCCUCCUCGUCGCCUGUCAGCGGUAGAGAAGGGCAAGGGUAAAAAGUUAGCCACCAAGAAGAGGAAUGCCAGCGACAGAGAGGCAGAGAUAGCAGAGGCAGUUACUACAGCGGCUGAGGCAGCUGCGAGAGGUGGUCGCUCAGGUGCCCUGAGGAUUGGGGCAGAUCUCAUGCCAUGUCAGCGGCAUGCAGUUCUUCAGGCAGAGGCACUCCAUGGAUCCCCUCCUGGCACAAUCAUGCUAGGAGGACAGCGUGUCAGGAUUGCAGUCCGUGAGCCAGCUCAGGAGGACCCGAACACAGACACAGAGGUAGAGGCCUAGGUAGAGGGUCCGGCAGAGGCUCAGCAGCAGAAGCAGCCCCUUAGGAGGUCGACACACACUCGUACUCAGGCCAUCCCUAGGACUGGUACGCAGGGCCAGUCUACCACUGUUGCUCGCUCUACUCUAGCUAGAGGGACUCCUGCUCCUCGUCAGGCACCGGUGAGGAUACACAGAGACUAUACUCAGGUGUCAGCUCGGGAGAUCUAGCAGCUGCGGUUCGUUACGUUUUCUACUUGGUUUCCAGCUGCCAGGGAUCCGAGAGCUAGUGCCGAGUUCAACACAGUGGUUCAGGAGGAUAUAUACGAGGCACUAGUUCGCUCUCAGGCUCAGUUCCGGGAGCACAGGGUGCUGACCUUGAGAUACUGGGGAACGUGGUUGGUGCAGACAACAGGCAGUACAUCACAUAUCUCCACGGUCUCCCAGAGUUACUUGCUCUCCCUGGUACUUAUUGUGGGUAGUGGGUCAGAGAGUCCAAUGCUUCAGUAUGGGUUUCUCCGGAUCAUAGCUAUAUUCACUAUGCACUGGCAGAGACAGACUACAGGGUCACAGCACAGAGUGCCAGAGAGGUCCUUGGGUUGAGAGCCUACUCCACCAGGAUUCACCAGCUGUGCUACGGGAACUUCGAGCCCCCUCGACGUCCUCACGGUGGUGAGCUACCACCGGUUGACUUUGUGGCUCCUUGUUUCCGUCAGCCAUUAAGAGAGGGCUCUAGCAGGACAGUUGGAGAUCUCACACGCCCAGCCAAGAUCCUCGACUUUGUGUUGAGGAAGACACUCUUUCCCAGGACAGGUUACUGUUGGGUAUUCUUAACAUCAUUACUAAAAGUAGACUAAGUUCUAAAUCUAGCAACGGUGCCAAAAAUGCCAAACCUAUCCCUCACACCACUUAAGCCAAGUUGUCAUCCCCAGCAUGACAUGAGAGACGCGGUAUUGAAAUAUGCAAUUGCUCUUCUAAAUAAAUAAUGAAUGGGAUCUGCAAGCGCACAGAUUAAUACCGAUGCACCAUUUUAACCGGGAAGUAUUCCAGGUAUCGUUAUUUAUAUUUUUACCACUGGGAAGGGAUUAGCAAUCAUCACUAUUGAUUACAGAAUAGAAUAUGAGAUUGAGCAUCUAUCAUUGCAUGUAUAAUUGAGAACAUUAUAUCUAACUCUUCAUACAGGGAUAAGUGUCACAUAAAAGAUAUAUGAAAUAAUAAUAGUGACAAGGAUAACUAAUCUGAUCUAGCCACAUAAUAAAUAUGAUAAGCACCUCAAUUAGAUACUCUAGAAAGUCAUUAGCAUGGUAUUAGAAUGAACUACAAGAAUAUUCCCUAAGUUAUUCUUAACUAUAUAGUCUAGCAUUAUCAUAGUUAGUGCAAGCAUACUUAGCAAUCAUUGCGAGACAAGACUACGCCCAUGCAUAGUGAUAUUAGCAAGAAAUAUGAGAAACAUAGCAAUCACUCCCCUGUAAUAAUGUUGCUCUGCCAGCCCAAUACACGAGAGGGGGACUAUAUAAGAAUCAAUGAAGCUGUCACUAUCACGAACCACCCCACGAUCUGGCAUAUUGGGUACAAUCGCAGAUAAAUACGGUAUAAGCACCACGCCUACACAAUAUCUAUCAUUUACCCAUGGAUCCGAUGGAUAAACGCUAUACGAUCCUAAGCAUGUAUAUAGAUCGUAUCUAACUAAGCCAAGUACAUAACUAUGAUAAACUAAGAACAAUAUAAUCUUGAAUAUAAGCAAGUAGAGCAAAGUCAUAAGCAAUAUACUGAAGUAGAACAAAGUCAUAUUCAUAAUAUUGAAGAACAAAGAUAAUUAGAAAGCAAUUAGAAGCACAAUUAGAGAAUUACCAAGAAUCCUCCUGACAGAUCCGGAAAACAAUCGAAGAUUGACUCCUUCUAGUUCUAAUCCUAUGUAGCUAUGCUAAUCUAGAUAUCUAAUUGAUGUGGUGGCUCUAAUCUUGAUCAGAGGCUUCUUCUCCCUUGAUGGAACAAUGAAUUAGGGUUGAGAGGCUCUCUCCUCCAGGGGCCAGGGGGUCUGGUUUUAUAGUCCCUUCAAGUGAAUAUGGGCCCUUGGAUCAAACCGACAUAGAUUGUAUGGUUUAGAUUCAUCCUUUAGGUCGGUGGAGACUUCCCGCAAAGCAGAGUCCUGUUUGGACUCCAACAGGGGGCGGGCACCCAGUAGGACAGGGCAGGCGCCCUGUCUCUGGCCCCGUUUCGCCUCCGCUUCGGUCUCGUGGCUUCUGGAGUCUUCUAGAUGUAAGAUAAUUGCGCAGCACGUUAAUAUCUUUACGUAAUCCUCACAUGUGGGCCUUUCUUCCGAAUUUCCUGAUAACCCCCUGCAGAAAUAGACAAACACCAAAACUCGUGGAAUUCUGUCAGAUAAGACCCUAAGUCUAGAUCUUGAUUUCAUUUGGAUCCUUUUCUUUAUUUAUUUGAUAAUUAAAUUUGAUACUUAAGGACCGUCAACAAACUCCCCCAAGCUUACCUCUUGCUCGUCCCUGAGCAAGGAUAGACUCAGCUAUGGACCAGAAGUAGUUGCAAUAUCUUUAAAAUUUGACAGUACACAUGCUUUUUAAAUAAGAUCUCAUCUCUGAGUGAGAGUAAACUGUCAAGACUUAAAACUUACUUACUUUACCUUCACCAUGGGACUUGUAACUGUCACUUCUGUGUUGAGUAGUUAAAAGAUAGAACAGUCUAGCCAAGUGCCAUGUCUCUUAUUCUUGAUCAGCUAUAGCUCUAGAGUUUUUGCAAAUUUUCAAAUAAAACUCAGAAAUUCCUUGUAUGAUUCUCUCAGGUCUCUUUUUUGUGGUAUUUUUGGAUCCUUACCAAGGCAUUGAUGGUAUAUGCCUUCUCUCAAGAUAUGUAGUAUUUGUGGUAUGAGGCAUAGUGACAUUGCCUUUUCUCUCACCCUACUCUAAUAAGGCUUUAAUAUCUGGAGUUCAUAGGUGGGAGAUAAAGUAUACAUACUUACAAGACAUUUAUUGCAUAGUCAAACCAUGGAUCCAAAGAAACAAAUCAAUAAGCUAAAUCAAGAUGUGCAUGUGUGGCGAAUGAAUGGUGUAUGGUGAUAAUGGUGAUAACAAUGGUGGAAACAAUGGUGGUGGAAGUCUAAUUCUACUUUACUCUUUUGAGGGGAUACAUACCUUCCUUGCUUUUGAAACUUUAUGAGGAGAAUGAGAUGCUCUUCUUUUUCUUGUCUCUCAGGUGGGCAUCUUGCAACCCUAAUUCUACUGUCGGACACUUGUCCAUUUUUACCUCUCGUCUCACUUUUUUUUUCCUUCUUUCGAGGUUCCGAGCACUUGCUCCUUUUUAUUUCCUCGUAUCUCUUUUUUUUUCAGAGCACUCAUCUCAUGAGAUAAUAUAGCAAGUGGUAGUAACAAGAUAACUUGAGCAUUUAUUUUACAAAGGGAAAAAUAGAAAUAUUUUUUUUUUGGUUAUUCUCUCCCGGAUUAGGAGUAGAAUAUUUUUGGGUGAUUCUGGAGAUGGAAAUGGAUGGAUAUAUGUGAAUGGUACUUCCGGAGUAGAAGUAGCAUAUAUGAGUGAACGUGCAAGUGAAUCUUGAUUUAACCACAUGACAAGCUCCUAAGGGUCUACACAGCUUGACCACACUCAAUGCUCAUAAGCAGUAAAUAAUAAAUGUGUGGUUCAAAGUCUAGCAAGCAUGCAUAUAUGGCUGUGGUAGGAAUUUAAGCUCUCAUCAUACAGGAACUCAUCAUGCAACAUUUUAAAGAUUUUCAAAGAUAAAAUUCUCCAGAAUUCUAGCAUCUCUAGGAACAGAUAAACAGUAGCUCAACCUUCCCAUAUCAUAUCCGUUAACAACUUAGACUUCAGAUCAAGUUUUCAUCCCACAAGUUUAGGUCUAGAGCAAGAUUUAAAUUAUAACAGUUAUAUCUAAACUUGAGAGAGAACUUAAAAUUCGCAAAUUAGGCAGAGCAACUAUUUAUCAUAUCCAUGCUUAAGUUUUAUUUAGAUACAGAUUAGCAUAGCCACUUUAUUUAUUUAUUAAACACACUAAGCAAAAGGCAUAUAUAUAAGCAUAAAAUCUUUAUUUGUUUUUUUUAUAGUUAUUUAUAUUCUAAAAUAAUAUAAGUAUAAAGAUAGAUAGAAAGAAAUACUUAUCGGGAUAAAUGGGGGUCCUCUCCCCCAAGCUGAAUUUUGACGUAAUUUCUCUUGGUGUAGCUAGCAGGUGGUAGAGGUGUAUUUGAAAGUCAGCAGCAUUCUGACAGCGAUUAGGAUGUCCUCCGUCUGCUAGUCUUCUUGAUUCUUAAAUUCUGUGGAGCUCAAAUAGACAACAAAGCUUGUGGAACUGAUUAAGUGUUAGCAUAAAUAUCUAGCCUUUAUCCUGUUGAGACUCCUUAAUAAUUAUUACUCCCUGUUUUUAUAUUUUUGUUUUUAUAAAGCAGAAAAAUAUUUAUUUUAUUUUUAUGCCACCACAGUGAAUGUACUUAUGGGUUUUAUGCCACUCGUCUACUCACAUGGGGCUUACUGUUUUUAACAUUUUUAUUUUCUUUUUAAGAUAGUGUGAAUAUGAUUAACUAAGUAAACUAUUUGAAAUAAUUGAAAGGAAAAUGAUAACUACCAAGUUUACCUCUCGGCAAGGCGUCCGGUGUUUUUAAGUCCUCCGAACGGGACUCUCCAUUUUCUUAAUCGUCCUGAGGUUCGUUGGGUGGCGUAGUCGGUACUUCCGGCAGUGCCUCCUCUUCUUGUAUAGUUAUCUUCAUUUUCCAUACCUGACUCGGUGCUUCAAUCUCCUCUGGAUAAUUAUGUUUAAACUCUAUGUCUUCUAACCUUACAACUUCUCCUUCAUAGUCUGCCCAUCCGUCCUUGAUGAUCUGCCUCCUCUGGUUGCGGUUGCGUCGCUUUCUUACCUGCUUAGAUUCUUCAAUGAUAUAGUUAGGGUCAGUAAAAUAACGGCGUACCUUCUCUGAGGGGAAGUGCAUAUGGACUUCUCCGGCUCCAAUGUAGAUAAUUGCUUUAAUGGUGCUGAGGAACGGUCUUCCAAGGAUGACGGGUGGAUCAUACUCGUCUUCUCCCAUGUCAACAACUUGAAAGUCUGUGUAGACAAAGUGAUCGUCUAUUUUGACUGGGACAUCAGUUACUGUUCCUUUGACUUCUCGGAAUGUCUGAUCUGCCAUCUGGAGCUAAAUGUAUGUUGGUCUUAGUGGCAUGGUUCCGAACAAGAGCCGAUAGGUGACUGCGGCCAUUAUGUUGACGCCUGAUCCGGUGUUGCAAAUCGUCUUGUAGAAGUUGUAUCCAUUUAUGGAGCAGUAGAUGCUUGGCAUUCCUGGGUCGUCCUUCUUGGUCAAAAACGGUGACUUAAGUUUAUGAUCUUGGCCUCCAUGAACUACAGUGACCAUCUUAGCUGACUCGGUCCACACUUGCUUGUUCCUGUUUCUCCUGUUGGUCCUCUUCCUUGAUUCACGUCUGGAUUGAUCUUAAAUUUGUGUAGUCUUGUUCUUGAAGAAAAAUGUCUCCUUCUUCCCUUUGACGUAGAAACUGAUCUUGGCAGCACUAGCAUAGAUGAUAGCUCACGUGGUGUUUAAGAAUGGCCUCCCUAGGAUGAUAGGUGCUCUCUCAUCAUUUCCGGUCUCUACCACUACGAAGUCUGCUGGGGCAUAUAAGGUACCAACUCGGACACAAAGAUUCCUCACUAUUCCUUUUGGAAAAGUUAUCGUCUGAUCUGCAAACUGCAAACACAUGGUUGUCUCUAAUAAAGGAUAUGUAAAGAAUUUCUCAUAAAGUACCCUGGGUAUAAUGUUGACGCUAGAGCCAAAGUCACAGAGUGCUUCUGGGAAGUCCACCAUGCCGAUGGAGAUCGGGAUGACGGGGCGUCCUGGAUCGCCUCUCUUGACCGGUAGACGGUCAGUAGAAAAUUCAAUGACGGGGUUACUCCAAUUACCUGCAUCAAACACGUCUACAAGAUUUGUAGAUUCUAAUCCUUCCGGUUGUAAUGGUAUACCGGGGUUAGUAGUAGGAACAGCAGCAGCUAUUUGAUUUAACUGAGAUUCAAUCAUUUUAUUGAAGCUAAUUUGAUUCUUGAUGGCAUUAGAAAAAUUAUCCAUUCUAUUAUUUAUAUUUUCUAGCAUUUUAUCAUUAGACGCCAAUUUCUUAGAUAGGUUAUCCAUUAGCUUUCCUUGAUUAGACACUAACUCUCUCAAAGGUGGAAAAUUACUAUUGUUGUUAUAAGAAUUGUUACCUUGAUAAUUACCUGAGUAGUUAGGCCUCUGUUGAUUCCAACCUUGAUUUUGUUGAGGACGGUUGUAGUAGUUGUUGUUGUUGUUGUUGAUGUAGUUCACAUCCUCAAGUAUCUCAGGGCAGUGGUUGCCUGAGUGUCCAGUGUCUCCACACUCCUCACAAGUCAUGUGAGAGUCGUAGAUGUGCAUAACUUCUUUCUUGUCUCCAGCUCUAUCAUGAGCAGGUCUAGCUUUGCAGACAGCAUGUCUACCUCCUUCAGCUGAUGCAUACCUCCACCUCUCUUGCGUGUCUGGGUCCUCUCUUCAUUCCAGCUUUGGUUGGACGCCAUCUUCUCCACAAGAGCUGUGGCUUGUGGUAUAGUAAGUGAUAAGAAUGCUCCUCCAGCUGCAGCAUCCAUGGUUUCUCGGGCACUGUUGUUGAGCCCAUGAUAAAACGUCUGCAUCAAUAGCCAACUCUCCAUUCCAUGAUGGGGACAUUCUAGGAUGUAGUCUUGAAAGCGCUCCCAUGCUUCUGGAACAGAUUCAUCAUUUUGUUGCUGAAAACUUGUAAUCUUCCCACGGAGAGCAUUGGUCUUGCCCAUGGGAAAGAACUUAGCCAGGAAGUUUGUUGAGCAGAGUGCCCACGUAGUAUUCUUCUCCUUUGUAGCGUAGAACCACUGCUUCGCUCUUCCUAACAGUGAGAAUGGGAAGAGGCGAAGUAGUAUAGCGUCUUUGGAAACUCCUGUUAUGGUGAAUGUGUUGCAAAUCUCCAGGAAGUGUUGUAAAUGAGCACUAGCAUCUUCGUGUGCCUUCCCACAGAACUGGUUGGAUUGCACCAUGUUGAUAAGUCCAGGCUUGAGCUCAAAGUUGCCAUCGAUCUCUGCAGCAGGCCCAGUGCGGAUGUUGUCCGUAGUGGGAGCUGAGAACUCGCGGAUCGAUUUGUUCGCCAUGGCUUCGAACUCUGAAGACAAGUUCCGGUGAUCUUCUUGAUUGGAUGAAGCUUCUUCGUGAAGUGUUGAUGAUUUCUUUAGCUUGGCUCUCGUCUUCUUGAAUAAUGCUUCGGGAUUGUCAACAAAAUUUCCUGGAAGAUGUCUUCUAUUCAUGCAUUCCCCUGCAUAAGAUAAAAUAGAAAAAUAUUGGGGUAAAACUGUAUGAGAGAAUAGAUAAGCUCAAUCAUAUUAGUGAUGCGGAUGAUAACUCGAAAUCUUUUAUUCUAUCCCUGAUUAGUAAUCAACCUUCCCCGGCAACGGCGCCAAAAAUGCUUGUUGGGUAUUCUUAACAUCAUUACUAAAAGUAGACUAAGUUCUAAAUCUAGCAACGGUGCCAAAAAUGCCAAACCUAUCCCUCACACCACUUAAGCCAAGUUGUCAUCCCCAGCAUGACAUGAGAGACGCGGUAUUGAAAUAUGCAAUUGCUCUUCUAAAUAAAUAAUGAAUGGGAUCUGCAAGCGCACAGAUUAAUACCGAUGCAGCAUUUUAACCGGGAAGUAUUCCAGGUAUCGUUAUUUAUAUUUUUACCACUGGGAAGGGAUUAGCAAUCAUCACUAUUGAUUACAGAAUAGAAUAUGAGAUUGAGCAUCUAUCAUUGCAUGUAUAAUUGAGAACAUUAUAUCUAACUCUUCAUACAGGGAUAAGUGUCACAUAAAAGAUAUAUGAAAUAAUAAUAGUGACAAGGAUAACUAAUCUGAUCUAGCCACAUAAUAAAUAUGAUAAGCACCUCAAUUAGAUACUCUAAAAAGUCAUUAGCAUGGUAUUAGAACGAACUACAAGAAUAUUCCCUAAGUUAUUCUUAACUAUAUAGUCUAGCAUUAUCAUAGUUAGUGCAAGCAUACUUAGCAAUCAUUGCGAGACAAGACUACGCCCAUGCAUAGUGAUAUUAGCAAGGAAUAUGAGAAACAUAGCAAUCACUCCCCUGUAAUAAUGUUGCUCUGCCAGCCCAAUACACGAGAGGGGACUAUAUAAGAAUCAAUGAAGCUGUCACUAUCACGAACCACCCCACGAUCUGGCAUAUUGGGUACAAUCGCAGAUAAAUACGGUAUAAGCACCACGCCUACACAAUAUCUAUCAUUUACCCAUGGAUCCGAUGGAUAAACGCUAUACGAUCCUAAGCAUGUAUAUAGAUCGUAUCUAACUAAGCCAAGUACAUAACUAUGAUAAACUAAGAACAAUAUAAUCUUGAAUAUAAGCAAGUAGAGCAAAGUCAUAAGCAAUAUACUGAAGUAGAACAAAGUCAUAUUCAUAAUAUUGAAGAACAAAGAUAAUUAGAAAGCAAUUAGAAGCACAAUUAGAGAAUUACCAAGAAUCCUCCUGACAGAUCUGGAAACCAAUCGAAGAUUGACUCCUUCUAGUUCUAAUCCUAUGUAGCUAUGCUAAUCUAGAUAUCUAAUUGAUGUGGUGGCUCUAAUCUUGAUCAGAGGCUUCUUCUCCCUUGAUGGAACAAUGAAUUAGGGUUGAGAGGCUCUCUCCUCCAGGGGCCAGGGGGUCUGGUUUUAUAGUCCCUUCAAGUGAAUAUGGGCCCUUGGAUCAAACCGACAUAGAUUGUAUGGUUUAGAUUCAUCCUUUAGGUCGGUGGAGACUUCCCGCAAAGCAGAGUCCUGUUUGGACUCCAACAGGGGGCGGGCGCCCAGUAGGACAGGGCGGGCGCCCUGUCUCUGGCCCCGUUUCGCCUCCGCUUUGGUCUCGUGGCUUCUGGAGUCUUCUAGAUGUAAGAUAAUUGCGCAGCACGUUAAUAUCUUUACGUAAUCCUGACAUGUGGGCCUUUCUUCUGUAUUUCCUGAUAACCCCUACAGAAAUAGACAAACACCAAAACUCGUGGAAUUCUGUCAGAUAAAACCCUAAGUCUAGAUCCUGAUUUCAUUUGGAUCCUUUUCUUUAUUUAUUUGAUAAUUAAAUUUGAUACUUAAGGACCGUCAACAGUUACACGGACGGCUUCACCAGGAUACAGCAGUGGCUGGUAGCCUACCUCAUCUCGAAGACUCUAUUUGACUUGUGGGAUCUAAUAGUCUCUGAGAUCGAGGAUACUAUUUCAGAGUGCUUCAGGGGAUGGCGUUAGUUGCCGUAUGCACAUUGGAUCAUCAUGAUUAUUCUCCGUGCUAGGCCAGUAUCCCUUCUAGCUCACCUGCAGAGAGAGUUGUCGGACUCAGACACGGUGUUCCCUCACUACGACCCCAGGCAGAUGCUGAGAGCACACACCGAUCUCAGAGCUCCACCUCCUCCUAGUGCACCACGUGGCCAGGUGCCCCCUCCUUCUCCUAGGGGCACUCGCAGUUCAGGAGCAGUACCAGAGACCGAGGAGGAGCAGGACAUAGCUAUUGGAGCGUUUGCUGAUGCAGAAGCUGAGGAGGAGUUCGACUUUGCUUCGGACAGCUCGGAUGAUGAUUAUCGUCUUCCAGUGCCCGACCUUCCUCCGCGGACGCAUGAUCACGAGGCAGGAGGCUCCUCGAGUGCUUCAGACCCCGCUGUACUUGCCAUACUAGAGGGGAUGAGAGCCGAUCAGCGGCGGGCAGCUGUGGAGCAGGCGAGGAGAGACAGGGACCAGGCUGCCAUCAAUGCAGCCAUGCAGGCUUGGUAGGAUGAGCUGCAGCGACAACUUCUAACCUUCCAGGAGUAGCAUCUUGCAUUCCAAGCUCAGCAGACAGCGAUGAUGGCCGCUCUUAUGGCCGCCUCAGGUAUUCAGCUUCCACAGAUCCAGCUCUCAGGCACUUCGUCUGUGAGGCCUCCUACCCCAGCACCUCAGAGUCAGUCCCAGCAGCCACUUCAGCUCCCUGCUCAGAGUCAGCCGUUCUCGACGCCACAGCACCAGGUCUCUCAGGGUGCUAUCUCGUCUGGCUUUGAGCAGGUGCCGCAGUUCACGCCUCUUCGCUCUGGUUUCACACCUCAGUCAGUGACAGCCUCUCAGCUCGUGUUGGACUCGUCGGCAGGCCAGCACAUCAGCUACUCGUACAGUGCUCUGACUAGUGAUCCUACGCCUCCACCCCUGCAGGCUCCUGUAGCUUUUACGGUCCCAGUUACCACCACAGAGUGCCUGUCGUCGUCGGUAGCUUCGUUUGAGCCGCUUGCACAGUCUUCUACCGUGCCAGAGACGUCCGCUAUAGCGACUGAGUCCGUGCCAGCCUCGUCAGCAGGUCUUGAGCAGCCACCUCAGUCGGUGACAGUUUCAGCGCCCCUAGAGGAGACCCAGACAGCUUUGCCAGCACCUGCAGCUUCAGAGGGUCACUCCACCUCCUCCGCCUCGACGGCCGAUGGUUCAGACGAUGCAGCUCGUUUUGAGGCCGUGCCGAGGGACUCCACUGCUCCGCCUCCACCUCCGUCUUCUUAGGUUUUGGCGCUUGAUGCCAAAGGGGGAGAGAGUUGUGAGUAUGAGAGUUAGGGGGAGCUAGAGAGAUCUAGAGAGUGUGCUACUCCAUCAUGCAUCUUGUUUACUUUUAUGCAUUGCACAUGUGUGAGAUACUCUAUGGUUGUGAGACAUGACUUAUGCUUAUUUGUGAUUUCUCUAUGUCAUGUGUUUGGCUCAUAUUACCUUUGCUUCCGCGUUUUGCUCCGAUGUACUUAUGAGCCAUUUGUGAUUAUAUCCUGUUGUAUACAUCUCACUUAUUUGGAUGCAGGAUGUUAGACUUGGUUGAUAUAAGCAUGCCUAUCCCCUUUGCUCUUAUUGUAUCAUGCUUAUAGAAAGCAAGUCAUUUGAAAACCUCAUUUCCUUUCAUUCUCAAGGUUAUUAUCAUCAAUCACCAAAAAGGGGAUAUUGAAAGAGCAUCUAGGCCGCUAGUGAUUUCAGUGAUUAAUGACAAUGUUGAUUACUAUGACUAACGUGUGUUUUGCAGUGGCAAAGUCAUUAGUGAGGUCAUGGUAAUAGGUACUCGAUGGACAGGGACGUACAUGCCUACUUAAUUGUGGAAAUCGUUUCGGUUUUCAAAGGAUGGAUGGACAUCGUCAAGACUACACUAGGUCUAAGUGCCAUAUGGUGAAGAAGGGCACUUAGAGUAGUUUAGGACUUUGUUUUCUUUUUACCGUACUAUUAAGAGGGGCUUUGAUCUAGUAGCUUGACAUAGGCAAGGCUUUAGGUUUAGGUGUGGUGCACACUUGGUAAACCUAGCACUAGGCAGCUCAGAGAUAGUCCUUAGAUCGAGAGGAACCAACUUCGUUUUGGAGCGAUCGCGUUUCGACAAAGUUAGGGUGCCUAAAGAGGCACCGGACGCUGCACCGGACGCUUUGUGAGUGCGUCCGGUGAGGUCCUUAGCCGUUGGAAUCGUUUGGUGCUUAGGGUUAGGCACCGGACGCUUGCACCGGACUCACCGUGCAGCGUCCGGUCCCACACCCAAGGAGGUUGCAAACUUCCCUUGAGCACCGGACGCUAGCACCGGACGCACCGGGUAGCGUCCGAUUCCAUACUCAGGGAGUUUGUAAAACUCCUCGGAGCACCGGACGGUGCCACCGGAUGCUAAGAGGUAGCAUCCGGUGACCUGUCAGACGCAGGUAUAGUUAGCCAUUGUGUGUCACCGGACGCUCGGUGCAGAGCGUCCGGUGCAACAUUAACAGCGUCCGGUGACCCUGUUUUCAGUGGAAAACUGUUGGCUGACCUUUAGACUUCGUGGGAUGUAUUUAUACUUCUCCACCUCGUCCAUGAGAGCACUCUUGCCCAUUUGAACUUUAGAGAAACUUGUUUUGGAGCAAGAGGCUAACAAGAGCCUAGAGAGGAUUGACAUUUGAGUGAUUUCUUGAGAGAAUCCUUCUCUAGUGAAUUCCAAGAGUCAAGUGUGCAUCCACCACUCUCUAGAGCUUUGUUUGGGUGAAGUGAGUGUUCUUUGCUUGUUACUCUUGGUGAUCGCCAUCACCUAGACGGUUCAGUCGUGAUUGGAGGCAUGAAGACCGCCCGGAGUUCUUAUGGGUGGCUCGUGUCAAGCUUGUGAGCGGUUUUGGGCAAUUCACCGCGACGGAGUGUCGAAGAAUCAGCCCGUACAGAGCACUUGGUCCUUGCACGGACCAAGGGGGAGCAAGACCCUUGCACGGGUGCUCCAACCAGGACUAGUGGAGAGUGGCGACUCUCCGAUACCUCGGCAAAACAUCGUCGAGCACUUUCUUCCACUACUCCUUUAUAUUCUGGCAUUUACUUUGUGUUUCUACAUUCCUAGAUUUGCCAUGCUAGAAUAGGAUUGGAACUAGGUUGCAAAACUUUUAUCCGGAAGCUCUCUAGUCACACUAGGCACAAGGGGUUGAAAUGGAGCUUAUAGGUUGCUUAAAUUUUUAGAGAAGCCCUAUUCACCACCCCUCUUGGGCAUCUUGAUCCUUUCAGGAUGAUAUGACCAUGCCAGUAAGCAAGAUGUCACAAGCUCUAAGUCAAGCUACAACCACUUAAGUUUUACCUACACCGACACCAUCCCAAGUCAUCGAUGGACCGGUUACAUGUAGUCAUGCAAAGAAGCUACAACAAGAGGUCCACACGCUACUUUGCGAGAUUCAUUUUAACAUUAAUGAGAAUUAUAUACUACCUAUGUCGGUGUUUUUCCCCCGGGGGGUCACACCAACGAGUAAAUUUGUAUGCGUGUUUCCUUUUCCGGAUGGUGAUGCAAGAAGACACAGAGAUUUAUCCUGGUUCGGGCAAGAGAAGGCCCUACGUCCAGCGGGGGGAGAGAGUUUGUAUUAUCUUGCACCUAAGUGCUUGUACAGGGGCGAAUACAAGCGUGGUAUGAAGUGUGUAGCUCUACUGCGUGUGUGUGUGUUCUUGUGUUGUGAUGUCCCGUUCUUCUAUUCCUGAGUCUCUCCUUUUAUAGCUCCAAGGAGAGACACAGGGUACAUGCAUAGAUGUUAGAGUAGGGAUCGAUAGCCGCAUGGAGCGCUGACCUACUCGAGGCUUCCGUACGGCAUGGCCUCGAGCCGUCCCAUCUUGAUAGCCCGGUGAUGAUUACGCGUGCUCCUGUGUUCUGCCCUGCCAGCCGCCUUGUGCUGGUUCUGAGGUCGCAUGCUUGUACGGUAUGGUGGCGGAUCCGGCGGGGUAGCUGUGGUGUAGUCAGUCGACGCCCAACUUGUCCCUAGGAAGGGACCCUGUUCGGUCGAGGGUCGGAAGCCGUGUAAUAUGCUGGUAUCUGGAGCGCUGACCUUGGGCGUCUCGAGGGGGUCCCGAUUAGACGUUCCAUCCUUGUUUCCUGCGUCCUGACACGCCCUGGGUUGUUCGGUGGGAAGGCUGCAAAAAGUACGAUGGGACAGAAGCUUGUUCCCUAUCACGCCUUCCGUGACCUGUGUGUUAGGUGGGGAAGCGUCAGGUGCAUUUAAUGCUCCGGCCCGCGUGCGCGCGUCGGGCGGCGGACAGUGUCCUUGCGCCCGACGCCUCUCGGUUCGCUCGAGCCCGCUUCCCUUUUCGACGGCAGUCGUCGCUCGAGCCCUGACCGAUUCGCUCGACGCUAUUUCCGUCUUCGAGGCUGCGACCGUCGAUGGCGGCGCAUACGUAAGAUUAGAGCGUCGAAAUAAGGGUCUCGACCUUCUUACGGGCAAUCUCAUAAUGCGCAUCGCUGAGGGUACCCCUUACCGAUACCCUCGACAGUAGCCCCCGAGCCCUCGGAGGAGUUUUUGACUCCUUCGAGGGCUAUGUUGUCUAAUUCGCAGAAACGCUUUCGACACCAGUGGUGGAAGAUUCCGAUUGGCUCGUUUUUGCCCGGGGGUUUCGACGUACUCUCGAUAGAGCGAGCGUCUUCCAUCCCAAAUUGAGUUCCUAGUGGGUAGUCCAAGUGAGAACCUGUGCCCCUUUCGAGGGGGUCAGCUGUAGCCCGGAGGCGUCCUCAUAAAGCAGGGUCGACGUGGUCGGGGAUACCAGUCUCAUUCGAUAGAGACCGGCGGCUCGAUGCCUCCCGUCGGGGGGAUUCCUCUCGACUGUCUCGACCCUACCUUGAACAUCGCCAGCGAGUCCUCGAGGCGGGCCUCGAUCUUCGACCGCUCGCUGGGGAUCCCUGACUCUGGCGCUCGAGAUCGGCUGUCGAACCCUUUUGGCGGGCCAGCCAUCGACCUCUCGAGACUUUUGUGGUUACGUCCCUUGGCUUACGAGGGAAGGAAACGGCCGUGGCGGUUCGCCUUUCUGCCCGUUGGGCGCGCCUUUUUAGGCGGAUGACGUUACGACACCGUAUCGGCGAGGAAUUCGCAGAGUCCGGCCUGUGAGGAGAGAGAGAGGACUGUCAGGCGGCUCAUUUAUGGGGGGAGUUACCUUACUUCUCGGAUCUGUCCGUUGGCGGACAGCUGCCUAUAAAUACGUCGUCGCGUCACCGCCGUUCCUCUCCCUUCCGCCUUCUCGCUCUUGUUCCUUCGCUGCCUUUGCUUUCUCGCCAUCUCACGCGCACACGCCCCCUCGAGCUGUAGCAAACCCACCGUCCCUUUAGCCGAGAUGCCUGUAAGACUCGUCGCCGCCGACGACUGGCGCCCGUCGUCGAUGACGGAGCGUCGGCUGUUAGAGCUUGAGAAGGAGGGACUGCUGCGCCGCCGCACCUCGCUGUCGUCGCCAGAGUGGAUCGCGCCGCCGGCGAGCCACAGGGCGCCUCAGCCGCCCGAGGGCUACGUGGUGUCGUUCGCCAAGUUUCACCGCCACGGUCUGGGCGCGCCUCCAAGCCGCUUCAUGCGGGCCCUCUGCUUCCAUUAUGGGGUGGAGCUCCAGCACUUCUCUCCGAACGCCAUCACCGUAGCGGCGGUCUUCGCCGCCGUGUGUGAGGGCUUCCUGGGGAUGAUGCCGCACUGGGAGCUGUGGCUCCACCUCUACAGGGGCGAGCUGUUUCACGCCUCCACCGGAACCACGGGCGUAAGGAAGCCCGUGCGGGCGGGUUGCCUCAAUCUGGUGCAGAAGACGGGGAAGACGGACCGGCCGCGGGAGUACAUCCCGGUAGGGUUGUCGACCAACCACGCCGGCUGGGACUCCCAAUGGUUCUACCUGCGGAACGACGACAACCUCCUGCCUUCUUACUUGGGCCGUCUGAUCUUGGAGCGUCCAGCGGACUGGACGUACGGCGUCGUCCAAGCUCAUCAGUCUCGGCUCGACCCUCUCCUCGACGCCCUGAAGAAGCUUCGCCAGGAAGGUUUGACCGCCGCCCUCGUCCUCUCGGCCGUCCAUCAUCAGAGAGUUCUCCCUCUGAUGUCACGACCGUUGAGGAUGGACGAGAUGGGCCCUGGCGUCCCAUCUCGGGACCUCGAGGCAUGUCGGAUGUCCAACGAGCCUCCGGCGGACGACAAAGUCGCGGCCCGAGUCAGGGCCGCAAUUGCCGGUGAUUUUCAGCCGGAGCAUGUCAACGGCUUCCCCAUGAGACCUGACGCAGGCUCGAUCGAUCUGGUACGCUUUCUUCUUACGCGCAUCCCCGAUUCUAGGUUUCCUUUCUCCCCUCUCUUUUUUCUAAGUCUACCUUAGUUUUGGCAGGGUCGGAUUGAUGUCCGGUCCUCGAGGCCUCCGGUAAAGGAGGACGAGGUCGAUCGCGACAAACGGCGCCAAUCCGCCGAAAAGCUGAAGUCUGCCAAGGACUCCGCAAAGAAGGGGGAGAAGAAGAAGAACCUCGACCGCCAAGUAUUAGAGGCGCGUCGAGCCAAAUCCAGGCAGAGGGGGGAGCCUGAGGAAGAAUCCCCCAAUGAUGAUGAUGACGACGACGAGGGUAGCGACGACUCCGAGGGGAUGGCGUCGCGCCUCGAUCGGAUUCUCGAGGGCUCGCCUCGAGGUGACGUCGACGCCCCCCGGACGGAGGCGCCAGAGGAGGGUCCGAGCGGAUCUCGUCGUCCCCGGGCCGACGCUCCUUCCGCGCUCAAGGCGGGCCAAGACGCACCGCGCCCUCCCCCGGCGCCCAGGGAGAGCGGUCCGGCUAGGUCCCAGGCGUCGGGGCCGCUAACUCGCGGUCGCGCCGCGGCCUCUGAGAAAGGAGGCACCGGCCGUAGGAGCGCGAGUCCCGGCGUCCGCCAGGCGGGGACCGACGUACCUAAGCCAGUUCCUGCCCUCGAGGGGCCUAGAGCCCCGACGCGGGGUGGCUCGAGGCCCGCUGGUCGGGGUGGCGGAAGGCGAGCCGUUCUCCCCGUGGGGUAAGCCCUUUUGAUGUUGCAGUCUUUGUCCCCCCAUUCUUUCACCUUUCCUCACAUGCCGACUUUUUCUCAGGCUGAAACGGACCCUCGAGCAGGCCCAACCGUCAAUGGCCAAGAGGCUCAGAACGGGUGCCGCCUCCACGGAACCAGGUUCGUAGUUAAUUCCUGGGUGUCGCGAUAUUCUUACGUUGGUUAUCAUAACGUCUGACCCUUACCCUUUGUUUUGUAGGCUCAUCCAGCACCCAACCUCCAGCCGGCGUCGAGAGGGCUUUAUCUCGUCCCGCGCCUACUCCGCCGCCGCCGACUCAUGAUGCGGCCCCCCAGACGCGAGCGUCAGAGGGAGCCCCCGAGCCCUCUCGAUUGGGGGUCGAGGCGGAACCCAUCACCAUCAGCGAUACGUCUGAUGGCAACGAAGCGUCUGGGGGCGCUCGACCUAUGGAGGAAGAAGCAUCGACCCCCAACGUCGCGGGACGGACUCCCUGGCCUGCAGGCCUUCGAGCUCUCGAGGCGCAAAGGAAGAUGGUGGAGGAGGAGGAGCGGGAGCGCGAGGUGACGCAGCCGUCACUGGAGCAGCAGCAGCAGCGACCCCAGCCGGAGGAGCAGCUGCAGCACCAGCAGGAGGAGCAGCAGCAGCAGCUGGGGCAACAACAGCAGCUGGGGGGCCAAGAGGACGAGCCACUCGAGCCCCCGCCUCAAGUUUUGACCGAACCGGCGCCACUGGCGUCGCAAGAGCCCGGCGAUCAAGAGGGAAAUUUGCCGGUGUACGGACCUCCCACCCCAGCGUGGCUCCUCCCGGGGGCGCCUGCCGCGAUCCGGGCAGAGUCGGGGCGAGCGGACGGAGUGGUGGCGCUCGCCUGCAUGAUGCGCACCCCCACCGACCCCGAGUCCGAGAUCAAGAGGACAAUCUACGGCAUGGACGGGAUCGCCCCAGGGUUCCUCCGGGAGCGUCGAGCAUGGGAGGACCGCUUUCCCUCUGAGGAGGAUGAGAUCGGGUCGUCUGGGAGCAAGGACGGUACGUGGAAGACGGUGGACGACGACGGGCGGUUCCCUUGCCUCGCUGACCUGUUCUUGCACCAUGGGGGUUCCCUCGAGACCGUCGAGAACUUUCUCCGCGGCGUCAAGGUGUGGGCUGAUCGGGAGAUGGAGAACUGGUGUCCCGAUCGGAUUCGUAUCCGAGCUUCCAGCGACCCGUCCGAGCCCAAUAUGUCGAGGAGUGGGAGCAUGUCGAGGAGCUCCGCCUUUGGAUGAAACACGUGGUGGGGCUCCUAUCGGACGUCAUCAACAACGGGCUUGGGCCAGCUUAUUUUGUAAGUGUUUCUCGAGCUCCAAUCUUUGUGGCGCUUUCUGGUUUCUGUGUUCUAAUCCGUCUGACCCCUGAUUCGCAGGAUAUGAAAGAGACCUCUCGCAUCAAGUCCAGCUUCAUACAUGCCACGAGGGGCGGAUGGGAGCAGCUUCCCCUCCUCAAGGAUCAACUCCUCGAGUCGCAGGAAAAGCUGCUUAAAGCUUACAAAGAUCUCAUAGCACUCGAGGAGGAGAAGAAGGUGAGGGAGGCUGCUUUGGCCGAGGCCCGAGAGGUCUCGAAGAAGGCGGAGGAGGAGGCGAUGCAGCUACGGGAGCGGGCUCUCACGGUCGAGGAGGCCGCGUCCAGAGCCCGGGAGGAGGCCCUGUCCCACAAGAGCGUCAUCGCGGACCUGGACAAGGAGAAGGGCCUUCUCCAAACCGACCUGGACUCCCUCCGCGAUACCUUCCAAAAGAUGAAAGUGGCGUUCGUGGACAAUGAGGUCGCCAGGGGUGCCGCCGAGGACGCAAAGAAGAAGGCCCUCGAAGACCUCGAGAUGGAGCGAGCUCGAUCCCGCAGUCUCUCUGACGACGUCGAGCGUCUGAAGGGAGAAUUGCUGGAGAAGAGUGGAGCCGUCGCUCAGGCUGGCAGGGUGAUCGAAGAUCUCCGCGUCGCCAAUACUGAGCUGGCGCGUUCCAACAGAGAGAUCGAGCGUGCCAACACCAGAUUGGUCGGCGAGAACACGGCCCUAGAGGAGAGCAUCAAAGGUAUGUUUCCUUUGUCGAAUUUCCUUUUCGAGGUGUGCUUGAGUUUUUCCUAAAGCUUCUUUGUAUUGGUAUUUAUAGGGCUCAAGGACGAACUCCUGGCCGCCCAAGCCGAGGCUCGCAACGCCAAGGCUCAGCUCGAGGCUGAGGUUGCUUUGAACCGUCGAGUGCGGACGGCGAUAAGCGAUCUCUCGACCUCUUGGGAGGUCGAGCCUAUGGAUGAGUCGAGGGAGGACACUCGAGGCGACGCCCUGAUCGACCAGUUGUGCUACAUAGGCGCAACGCUGCGAGAUCAGGUGCGGGAUGCCCUCCACAUCGGGGUGAAGCGGGCGAUGGCGGUUGUCUGCUCGGGCUUCUCCUACGACAUGGAGGUGGUGUCCCAUGGCUUCGUCACCGAUAUCUCCAAGACCGACGCGGAGAACGAGGAGAGGCUCCAUGCCUUGAUCGACGACGCGGAGGCUCCUGGGGAAAGGUUGGCCAAGCUCUUCGAGCCUGAGGUGCUCCCUCCUGAGGCUAGCUCGGGCAGAGGCGAGGGCGGUGAGGAUCGUGCCGUUGACUGAGGCCUGCGAGCCUGCUCAGGGCGCCUGAGGCCCCUUGUACGAUACUUUAUUAAUUUUGCUAUUACAUGAUAUAGUAUCUUUUCGUAAUUGUUAACUGCUUAUUUGUCUUUCCGCUCGAGGUUCCUUUGUUUCUCUUUAUUCCUACGUUUGUAUCCCUUGCUCGACCUUUCGUCAGAAACAAACUCGAUUUCCGUAGCCCAGGGGCGUGGGAGUUUUCCGGCUCAUUAUCCCUCGGCCUUUGAGGGGCUCGAGGUGCCUUAGCUACUCGAACCGUGCAAGGUUUACCAAGCAAGAAAAGAAAAUUUCUUGGCUUUUUCGACGCUUGGGGAGGGGUCGUCCCUCUGGUAGCCCCCGAGGGGGUGCGGACUAUGAUGGGUCAUGGUCGGCAUCCCCUUUUGACGUCGAGACUAUAACUCGUAACUACUUUUGGUACAGAAAGAAGCCGCUCGAGGGAAAGACUUUAUUUAUUCAUGCGUUCAUUUACAAAGUCUUCGUUCAAAAAGUAGGAUCGUAAAUCUAGGACUUCUAGGGGUAGAAUCGACGUAGCUGUUCGAUGUUCCAUGCGUUGGUGAAGACUGCCCCCUUUUCGUCCGCCAAUUUGUACGUUCCUGGCUUAAGGACCUCGGCCACCACAUACGGGCCUUCCCAAGGUGGGGUCAGCUUGUGGCGUCCUUGGUUGCUUUGCCGGCGUCGUAGGACAAGGUCCCCUACGUUGAGGUCCCUCUUGCGCACGUGCUUGUCGUGGUAGCGUCGGAGUCUCUGCUAAUAUCUAGCAGAGUUGAGGAGGGCCAUGUCUCGAGCCUCCUCGAGUUGGUCGACCACGUUUUCCUGAGUCUCUUUGUUCGAUUGCUCGUUGUAAGCCUUGAGUCGUGGUGACCCAUACUCGAGGUCUGUGGGGAGGAUAGCUUCAGAGCCGUAGACCAUGAAGAACGGGGUGUAUUUUGUGGCCCUGCUUGGCGUUGUCCUAAGGCUCCAUAGGACUGAGGAAAGCUCCUCGACCCAUUUCUUGCCGAAUUUCUUCAAUCGAUUGUAGAUCCUUGGCUUGAGUCCUUGCAGAAUCAUGCCGUUGGCACGCUCGACCUGGCCGUUAGUUCGAGGGUGGGCUACUGCGGACCAGUUCACACGGAUGUGAUGCUGAUUGCAGAAAUCCAAGAACUUUCUGCCAGUGAACUGGGUGCCGUUGUCGGUGAUGAUGACAUUGGGGAUCCCAAACCGAUGGAUGAUGUCGGAGAAGAAAAGGACGGCCUGCUCGGAGCGGAUGUUGGUGAUGGGUCGAGCCUCGAUCCAUUUGGAGAACUUGUCGAUGGCCACCAGCAAAUGGGUAUACCCUCCUUUCGCCUUUUGUAGAGGUCCUACUAAAUCGAGCCCCCAUACCGCAAACGGCCAGGUGAUGGGGAUCAUCUGAAGAGCGUGGGCGGACAGAUGCGUCUGUUUGGCGUAGAAUUGGCACCCAUGACACGAGCGUACGAGCUCGAUGGCAUCCGCCACGGCCGUUGGCCAGUAAAAGCCUUGCCGAAAAGCGUUUCCUACAAGGGUCCGUGGGGCGGCGUGGUGGCCACAAGCCCCCGAGUGCAGGUCAUCGAGGAGUUUUCGGCCUUCCUCUACGGUGAUGCAACGUUGUAAGACCCCCGUAGGGCUCCAUCGAUAUAGCUCGUUGUCUUCGCCAUAGAUCACAUAUGAUUUGGCCCGUCGAGCGAUACGACGAGCUUCUGUCUUGUCUUCUGGCAACUCACCGCGGAUAAGGCAGUCGAGGAACGGUGUGCGCCAAUCGAAUGGUCGACCCGGUCGUCGUUCUAUUUCCAUCACCUCUUCCUCCAUCAAGAGCGCAUCGACAGCAUUGGUUGGUUGGGCGAUGGUGGUGUCGACGCCAGCCCCUGUGCCUAGGUCGACGGAUGGCUCGUGAAGAUCCUUUGAGAAUGCAUCAGGCGGCACCGUGCCUCUGGUAGAUGCGAUCUUGGCGAGUUCGUCGGCUGCCUCGUUGUAGCGUCGAGCGACAUGGACAAGCUCGAGGCCGUGGAACCUGUCUUCGAGUCGACGGACCUCCUUGCAGUACGCUUCCAUUUUUGGGUCGUGGCAACUCGAGGUUUUCAUUACCUGGUCGAUGACGAGUUGGGAGUCGCCUCGGACGUCGAGGCGUCGGACUCCUAACUCGAUAGCGAUCUUGAGACCGUUGACGAGGGCCUCAUAUUCUGCGACAUUGUUAGAUGCGGCAAAAUGAAUCCUGAUUAUGUACCUCAUGUGGACGCCCAAAGGUGAGAUGAACAGUAGGCCGGCCCCGGCCCCAGUUUUCAUGAGUGACCCGUCGAAAUACAUUGUCCACAGCUCCGCCUGGACCUGAGUUGGGGGAAGCUGGGAGUCUGUCCAUUCCGCGACGAAGUCUACCAGGGCUUGCGAUUUGAUGGCCUUUCGAGGCGCGUAAGUGGCCUCCUUGCUCUGGAUUAUCUCGCCCAAGGGGAAAGAAUAGACCACCGUGAUAGGAUGACCAAGGAAGUAAUGUUGCAGUUUGCGGCGGGCAAGGAUUACGGCGUAGAUCAGCUUCUGGAUUUGGGGGUAACGCGCCUUGGUCUCCGAAAGCACCUCGCUGACGAAAUAAACUGGCCUUUGGACCGGCAGCGCGUGACCCUCCUCUUGUCUUUCGACCACCACCGCCGCGCUGACGACCUGGGUCGUCGACGCGACGUAGAGGAGUAGCGGCUCCGCAGGUUGAGGUGGAACCAGGACUGGUGCCGAGGUCAGCGUCUUUUUCAGUUUUUCGAGUGCUUCCUCGGCCUCGGGGGUCCAAGAAAAGCGCUCAACCUUCUUUAGGAGUCGAUAUAACGGUAAUGCCUUUUCUCCUAGUCUUGAGAUGAAACGGCUCAGAGCCGCCAGGCACCUCGUGACUCUCUGUACACCCUUGACGUCUCGGAUCGGCCCCAUUCUCGUGAUGGCCGAGACUUUCUCGGGGUUGGCCUCGAUGCCGCGCUGCGAAACGAUAUAGCCUAGGAGCAUGCCUCGAGGUACACCGAAGACGCACUUCUCGGGAUUGAGCUUGAUCUGGCUGAUGCGUAGACAGCUAAAAGCAAUCUCGAGGUCCUGGAUCAGGUCUCCUCGUUGCUUUGACUUGACGACAAUGUCGUCGACGUAGGCUUCGACCGUCGACCCUAUGUGUUUGCCGAAAACGUGGAGCAUGCAACGUUGAUACGUGGCUCCGGCGUUUCGAAGCCCGAAUGGCAUGGUCACGUAGCAAUACAUCCCAAAAGGCGUGAUGAAAGAGGUCGCGAGCUGGUCGGACUCCUUCAUUUUUAUUUGAUGGUAACCGGAAUAUGCAUCAAGGAAAGAAAGGGUUUCACAUCCCGCGGUAGAAUCGACAAUCUGAUCAAUGCGUGGUAAUGGAAAGGGAACUUUUGGACAUGCUUUAUUCAAACUAGUAUAAUCGACACACAUCCUCAUUUUCCCAUUCUUUUUCUUAACUAAUACAGGGUUCGCUAACCAGUCAGGAUGAUGAACCUCCUUGAUGAAUCCGGCCGUCAAAAGCUUGUGGACUUCCUCGCCGAUGAUCUUGCGCUUUUCCUCGUCGAAUCGGCGCAACCGCUGCUUCACUGGCUUGGAACCGGCUCGAAUCUCCAAGGAGUGCUCGGCGACUUCCCUCGGUAUGCCCGGCAUGUCCGAGGGACUCCAUGCAAACAUAUCAGCAUUUGCACGGAGAAAGUCGACGAGCACGGCUUCCUAUUUGGGGUCGAGGUCGGCGCUGAUCGUCAGCACCUUUCCGUCGGAGUUGUUGGGGUCGAGCGGGAUCUUUUUGGUUCCUUCCGCCGCCUCGAAGCUGCCCGCGUGGCGCUUAGGCUCUGGAGCCUCAGCGGCCAGGGCCUCGAGCUUCGUGAUGAUCUCGGUGGAGCUCUCGACCGCCUCCCCGUACUCGACGCACUCGACAUCGCACUCGUAGGCAUGCUCGAAGGAGGAACUGACAGUGAUGACGCCUUUGGGGCCAGGCAUCUUCAGCUUCAAGUAUGUGUAGUUAGGUAUGGCCAUGAACCUGGCGUAGCCCGGGCGCCCGAUGAUGGCGUGGUACGUGCCUCGAAACCCAACCACCUCAAAGGUGAGGGUCUCCUUCCUGAAGUUGGCCGCCGUGCCGAAGCAGACCGGUAGGUCGAUUCGACCUACUGGCAGUGCCUUUUUCCCUGGCACGACGCCAUGGAAACCGCCGGCGCUUGGCUGGAGGCGUCCUCUAUCGAUGCCGAGGAGAUCGAGGGUCUCGAGGUAGAUGAUGUUGAGGCUGCUGCCACCAUCCAUCAGCACUUUCGAGAGUCGGGUGUUGACGAUGAUGGGGUCGACGACGAGCGGGUAGACGCCUGGGGCGACUACCUUGUCAGGGUGGUCUUCUUGGUCGAAAGUGAUGGGAGUGCUCGACCAGCUAAGGUAUUGGGGCACCGCCAUUCUUGCUGCAAAGACUUCGCGACGCUCCCUUUUGCGCUGCCUCGUGGUCAACUGAGUCGAAGGCCCGCCAUAGAUCAUGUAGCAGUUGUGGACGGCGGGGAAGCCGUCGUCAUCUUUGUUGUCCUCCUUGCCGCCAGCCUUCUCCUUCUUGGAGUCAUCACGCGUAUCUUUUUUGAACCCCUGACCGUCGAAAUGCUUUCUCAGCAUACGACAGUCCUUGAGUUUGUGGUUGGCGCCCCCCUUAUGGUAAGGGCACGGCUCCUCCAACAUCUUGUCGAAGAUCCCUCCCUCCGGAGGGCCUCGCGGCUUCUUUCGAUCCAUGGCGGCGACGAGGUUGUCACCUGAAUCUUCCUGGUGGAACUGCCGCACUUUCUGCUUCUUUUUAUUUUUCUUAAGGCCUCGACUGGAAGUCCCAUCUUCAUCGACAGGCUGCUUGCCUUUUCUUCCCUCUGAGCUGAAGAAGGCGCCGACUGCCUCCUCCCCUGCUGCGUAGUUAGCUACUACGUCCAUCAGCUCGUCGACGGUCUGAGGUCGAUUGCGACCUAAUUCCCGCACCAAAUCUCGACUGGUAGUGCCCGAGACAAACGCCAAGAUGACGUCGUGGUCAGGGAUGUGUGGCAACUCAGUGCGCUGCUUCGAGAAGCGUCGAGCGUACUCCCGAAGAGUCUCUCCUGACUUCUGCAUGCAUUUGCUGAGGUCCCACGAGUUCCCUGGCCGUAUGUAGGUCCCUUUGAAGUUACCCUCGAAGACUCUGACCAGAUCAACCCAGUUGUGGAUCUGAUUGGCAGGGAGUUCCUCGAGCCAUCGAUGGGCGGUGUCGGAGAGGAAAAGGGGUAGCUGUCUGAUGAUGGCUCGAUCAUCCCCUCGAGCGCCACCUAGCUGACAGGCCAGCCUGAAAUCGGCCAGCCAUAGCUCUGGCUUGGUCUCUCCAUUGUACUUGGCGAUGCUGGUUGGGGGUCGAAAUGGAUUAGGCAGGGGCGUGCUGCGAAUCGCCCUGCUGAACACCCGCGGGCCCGGUGUCUCGGGGGCCACCCGGUCCUCGUCGCUGUCGUAUCUCCCACCGCGAUGCGCGCUAUAACCACGUUCUUCCGCGUCUCCGUGCCGGCGGCGUCUAUUUUCUUUGAUGUCGUGCCGCGCGUCGUGUCGACGUUGAUUGUCGGCAGGGAGGAUGAGAGCGGUCUUUCUACCUCGAGGGGGAGGUUGUUGAUGGACUGACACCUCCUCUUCGUUUAGAGGCUGUUCGUCGCGCUUCUCUGUGGCAGCUCCUCGUCGUCGAGACGCCGAACUUUCGGCUUGUUGAACUGCUGCCACCUGGAGCAAUGUCUGAACCUCAUCUCGAAUGCGUCGGGCCUGGGAAUUUGACGGCUCUGGCAUGUUACGUAGCAGCAUCGUCGCUGCCACUACAUUCUGGCCUGCUCGAGGGAAACGGCUGACAGGUUGCUCCGCCUCUGCGUCACCGACGAUCUGUCGAUGUACCUCUCGAGCGCGUCUGCGGAUACUUCCGCCCGGCGGGUAGGGCAGGUCUUGUUCGAGGAUUUGCUCGAGCAGGACGAGGCGCUCGCGAUCUUCGUCGAGCUUCAUCUUGAGCUCCCGCAGCUGCGCGAGCUGCGCAGUUCUAUCUUCCUGAGGAAGAGGGUCGAGCCGUCCGUCGUUCCCAGGCGUCCUGGGGUCUUCUUGCGCCGCGGGGGCUUGACCACCCGCAGCAGCAUCCCGUGUCUCGUCGGUGGUUUCUGCCGCCCCAUCGAUGUGAUAGCAUUCCCUCGUAGGGUCAUAGCUGUCUGUCUCGGAGUCGGAGUCCGGUUCGGCGGCGUGGAAACACCCACGUCCUUCCUCCAGCAAUCGUUGCCUGAGGGAGGUGAUCGAGUAUCGUCCGGGGCCUAGACGGCGGAGUCCUCGUACUCGGGAAAGGUCCGGCAACUCGGACGCCGGCCGCCGCGCUUCAGAGCUACGUGGGAGGACCAUUGGUCUUUCUACGUACGUCUGGGCGUUUGGGCAUAUCGCCUUGGCGAGCGACGCCGCGGCGUUGUCCAACCCGAACGGCAGUGCCGCCCUUGGAGAGAACAACCCGUGUGGAAGUAGCCUAGCUGCGGUGGGGGAGGGCGCGCGAGACGCGUCUCCCCCCGUCGUCGCGCGGUGCUGAGUCGUCGUGCUUGUUGCUCCGUCACACGGCGUUGCCGACUUGUGGCCCACAUCCUGCCUUGCACGAGUUGUUGGUCGUGCUGAAGCAGAGGGGCCGCGGUGGUGCUGCCCGCGCCUCUUCUUAGGCGGGGAGGCAUGGUGGUGAGGGCGUCUCGGAGCCUUCAACCGUGCUGGCGUAACGCGGACUCCUCCUGGUCCUUUGACUGAGAGCAAGAUCAUGUCGUAGCCGGAGCCCGUAGACAUGAACUCGAGACUCCCAAACCAAAUCACCGUGGAGCGUGGAAGCGGCGAGGCAAGAGUAGCCAUCCGGAAAGUGGUGGGAAAUCGGUGAAAAACACGCAGGACCCCUACCUGGCGCGCCAACUGUCGGUGUUUUUCCCCCGGGGGGUCACACCAACGAGUAAAUUUGUAUGCGUGUUUCCUUUUCCGGAUGGUGAUGCAAGAAGACACAGAGAUUUAUCCUUGUUCGGGCAAGAGAAGGCCCUACGUCCAGCGGGGGGAGAGAGUUUGUAUUAUCUUGCACCUAAGUGCUUGUACAGGGGCGAAUACAAGCGUGGUAUGAAGUGUGUAGCUCUACUGCGUGUGUGUGUGUUCUUGUGUUGUGAUGUCCCGUUCUUCUAUUCCUGAGUCUCUCCUUUUAUAGCUCCAAGGAGAGACACAGGGUACAUGCAUAGAUGUUAGAGUAGGGAUCGAUAGCCGCAUGGAGCGCUGACCUACUCGAGGCUUCCGUACGGCAUGGCCUCGAGCCGUCCCAUCUUGAUAGCCCGGUGAUGAUUACGCGUGCUCCUGUGUUCUGCCCUGCCAGCCGCCUUGUGCUGGUUCUGAGGUCGCAUGCUUGUACGGUAUGGUGGCGGAUCCGGCGGGGUAGCUGUGGUGUAGUCAGUCGACGCCCAACUUGUCCCUAGGAAGGGACCCUGUUCGGUCGAGGGUCGGACGCCGUGUAAUAUGCUGGUAUCUGGAGCGCUGACCAUGGGCGUCUCGAGGGGGUCCCGAUUAGACGUUCCAUCCUUGUUUCCUGCGUCCUGACACGCCCUGGGUCGUUCGGUGGGAAGGCUGCAAAAAGUACGAUGGGACAGAAGCUUGUUCCCUAUCACGCCUUCCGUGACCUGUGUGUUAGGUGGGGAAGCGUCAGGUGCAUUUAAUGCUCCGGCCCGCGUGCGCGCGUCGGGCGGCGGACAGUGUCCUUGCGCCCGACGCCUCUCGGUUCGCUCGAGCCCGCUUCCCUUUUCGACGGCAGUCGUCGCUCGAGCCCUGACCGAUUCGCUCGACGCUAUUUCCGUCUUCGAGGCUGCGACCGUCGAUGGCGGCGCAUACGUAAGAUUAGAGCGUCGAAAUAAGGGUCUCGACCUUCGUACGGGCAAUCUCAUAAUGCGCAUCACUGAGGGUACCCCUUACCGAUACCCUCGACAACCUAACUGUUCUACCUAGAUUGUACUCUGGUAUAUAGAAGAAGAGAAGCAUGAAUCGGACCAUGAAGAACGGACCAGUGCAAGUUCUAGAAGAAGUCAAAAACGGACAAGUGGAAGUCAAAAACGGACCAGUGCAAAGAAAUCUUCAUAACUUUUUACUCACAAAAGCUAUGAAGGUCCAUGUGCACUUGAUUGAAAGCUUGACGAGUCUACUUUCCAAUGCAUCUAGUGGCGACCGAUUUGGAUACUUCAUAUUGCCUGCAGACCAGAAUUAGUAUAGACUGCUCAGAAGGUCAACAGUCUGCCGUGACAGAAUGUUGGUACAAUUUGCCAUGCAAAACUGUACAAAUCCACAAAGUUUCAUGGUGCAUGGCAAACAUUGCUAGAAAGUUCUUCGAGUCUAGUUUCACACCCAAGAAAUGGUUCGUCAUUUGGACUUCCCAAUAAAAAGGUAUGGUCAGUUUAUUGGAAACUGCUCUGGAGACCAACAGUCACACGAAGCCAGUUCGGGAAUCCAUUCCGAGGGGUCCUUUCACAUUGCCUUGCCCCAGAAACUCUAUUUCAUUUUCAUACCUAUCUAGGAGGGUUGUUCCUAGUAUAAAUAUCCCCUACCUCUAAGCUAUCAAAAACCUUUGAUCAUUUGAUAAACUACUUGAUAUUGCAGCCGUGAUGCUGAGUGUCUUACUCAACCUUUGUUAUUCCUUGUUCUUCUUCGACUUGUGAAGUGAAUCCUCUGGGUUCCCCUACUUCGUGCUCUACGGCUUCCGUUCGGCUGUGCCGUAUUGUGUGGAUUAGUUCCGGAUUGUGGUUCUGCAGUCGUUCAGAGAUCGAGUCAAAGUAUUCGUGGUUUCGGUGCCUCUCUCCCCGUCGCUUGGUCGCAUCCAACCUUUGUCAGGUAUAAAGCUAGUUACCCGCUGUUCGCAGCAAGUUAUCCUUGUUCUUUGAUCUACUGUCAUGAAGAUCGGGCCACCCUCGUGCCGAUUUAUAUCGGUACCCUAUCAAUGGGUCACCUCGGCUCAAAGCCUACAACGAGGAAACAAACAUGGAAACUCGAGAAAACUCGGUCGACCAGCUCGAGGAAGCUCGAGACAUGGCCCUCCUCAACUCAGCAAGGUACCAGCAGAAGCUUCGACGCUACCACGACAAGCACAUGUGCAAAAGGGACAUGAACGUAGGUGACCUUGUCCUACGCCGAUGACAAAGCACUUAAGGACGCAACAAGCUAACUCCACCCUGGGAUGGCCCAUAUGUGGUGGCCGAAGUCUUGAAGCCAGGGACAUACAAGCUCGUGGAUGAAAAGGGGCGGUCUUCACUAAUGCAUGGAACAUCAAAUAGCUACGUCGCUUUUACCCUUAGAGCUUCGAUGCUUUACAUUUUCACGCACAUCUUGUACUGAGACCCUGUGAACGAAUAUGUGAAUAAACGAGAAUACUUUUCCAAGUAGUACACGCUAUCACUAGUCAAAUCUCGACGAUAGAGGAAGUCCCGACUACGACCCAUCAUAGUCGACACUUCCUCGAGGGCUAGCAGGGGGGACCCCCCCACAGGUUCCUAAAAAUCAAACGAUUUUUUUUCAAAAGCUCAACGUUAUCUCUCCCCUUUUUCCAAGCCCUAAAGAAAACCCCACAUGAUCGAGUAGUAAAGGCACCUCGAGCCCCUUAAGGGCCGAGAGACGUUGAGCCUGAGAAACCCUACGCCUCCGGGCUAUGGUAACUCUACUCACUUCCUCACCCUCAAGGCAAUCGAAAUCGCCCCAAUGAAAGAUCAGUCGAGGAACAUAAACUUAGGCAGCAAAAGAAAUAAAAGAAACUCAGACAUAAAAAUAACAGAUGUAUAGGGUGUUGAUAUUUGGUAACGCAAUUAGAAAAUAAUCCGCAAGCGCACGGAUAUCGGUGAGCAUUUCACCCGGGAGGUUAUCCAGAGUUAUCGUAUUUAUAUUUUUACCACUGGGAGAAAGAGUGCAUCUGACUAACCAAAUCUAUUGCUAGUAUCCCUUUAGGCUACAAAGAGUGUCUCUCGAUGUGAGUGAUGUAUAGAGAAGACUGCAACCGUAGUCUCGCUCUAACCUUGGUAAGGAUGAUCUACUGUUCUAUUGGGGAGGCUCACGGAAUCUAGACACCACAAAAGAUGUUCGACCUGCACCUAUAAACCCUACCCGUCCCGCUAACAAGAUAUGGGAUACAAAGGUAACUCGGAAAUGUCACGUUCCUCGCUACUACCACGGUCCAGCUAGUCAGGGGAUAUCUAUGAGUACCCUAGCCUAAACACCACGUUUACGCCAGCAAGAGAUUACUCUAAUACUCAACCGGAAGAGGAUUAAAGUAAACUCAUAAACCAAAGAACAAUAAAACAAGAACUUACUAGAAUUAGAAGUCGAAUUACUGAAGAAUCUUAGAAGCAAGCCUCGGGUUAGGAGACUUGAUCCCGUAGGUACAACUCGGAGUAGACACCGACAGGCCGGCCUUCCUCCGAUCCACACCUCCACUCUAUCUCUCUCAAUCUAGUAGAAACUAGAAGAUCUAUUUCUACUUUACAUUGGUUGCUAAGCCUAAAAAGAAAUAUUAUUUAGAGAAGAUGUUUUCCUUCGAGGGCACCCCUCAAUCUCUAUGAUAAUUUCUUGUCUUCUCCAGGGGCCAGGGGGGUCUCCUUAUAUAGUCGUCCCCUUCUAUGCGUUUUUGGGUCGGUAGGCGAGGUGGUACUACGUUAUUCUGAAUCCAAUAGGUCGGUGGAGAUCUCCCGAGAGAAAGAGUCCUGAUUGGGCUCAACAGGUGGGCGGGCGCCCAAGGAAACUGGGCGGGCGCCCAGGUCCUGGUCCCGUUUCGCCUCCGCUUCGGUCUUGUGCCUUCUGGAGUCUUCUAGAUGGUAGAAAAUUGCGCGGUGCGUUGAUAUCUCUAUGUAAUCCUGACAUGUGGGCCUUUCUUCCUUAUUUCCUGAUAACCCCCUGCAGAAAUAGACAAACACCAAAACUCGUAGAGUUCUGUCAGAUAAAACCCUAAGUCUAGAUGUUGAUUUCAUUUGGAUCCUUUUCUUUAUUUAUUUGAUAAUUAAAUUUGAUACUUAAGGACCGUCAACAAACUCCCCCAAGCUUACUUCUUGCUCGUCCCUGAGCAAGGAUGAACUCAAGAGUUUAUGUAGUGGUUUCAUGCCUUAAAAGUACACACGCAUUCAAGCAAGAUCUCAUCUCUAAGUUAGAAUAAACUGUUAAGACUUAAAACUUACUCAUUUUAUCUUUCACCAUGGGGCUUGUAACCGUCACUUGUGUCUUGAGCAGUUAAAAGAUAGAACGGUCAAUUCAAGCGCCAUGUCUCUUAUUCGUGAUCAGCUAUAGCUCUGGGGUUUUUGCAGAUUUUCAAAUAAAACUCAGAGAUUCCUUAUAUGACUCUCUCAGAUCUCUCUUUUGUGGUAUUUCUGGAUCCUUACCAAGGCAGUAAUGGUAUAUGCCUUCUCUCCAAGUAUGUGGUAUUUUUGGUAUAAUGCAUAGUGAUAUUGCCUUCUCUCUCACCCUACUCUAAUAAGGUUCUGAUAUCUAGAGCUCAUAGGUGGGAGACAGCUAAUAUAUACUUACAAGACAUUUAUUGCAUAGUCAAACCAUGGAUCCAGAGAAACAAGUUAAUAAGUCAAAUCAAGAUGUGCAUGUGUGGCAAAUGAAUGGCGUAUGGUGAUGAUGGUGAUAAUAGUGGUGAAAGUCUAAUUCUACUUUUGCUCUUUUGAGGGGAUACAUACCUUUCUUGCACUUUGAAGCUUUUUGAGGAUAAUGAGAUGCUCUAUAUUUUCUUUUUCUUUCCUCUCAGGUGGGUAUCUUGUACCCCUAAUUCUACUGUCGGACACUUGUCCAUUUUUACCUCUCGUCUCACUUUUUUCUUUUUCUUCGAGGUUCCGGGCACUUGGCCCUUUUUAUUUCCUCGUAUUUUUUUUCUUCUCUCUUUAUUUUUCUUUCUUUUUUUUAGAGCACUCAUCUCCUAAAAUAAUGUAGCAAGUGGUAGUAACCAAAAUAACUGGAGCAUUUAUUUCACAGGGAAUAACAGGGAUUGGAAAAUGUUUUUGGCUAUUCUCUCUCGGAUUAGGAGUAGAAUAAUUUCGGGUGAAUGUGGAGAUGGAAAUGAGUGGAUAUAUGGGGAUGGUACUUCCGGAGUAGAAGUAGCAUGUAUGAGUGAAUGUGCAAGUGAAUCUUGAUUUAACCACAUGACAAGCUCCUAAGGGUCUACAUAGCUUGACCACACUCAAUGCUCAUAAGCAGUAAAAAGUAAAUGUGUGGAUCAAAGUCUAACAAGCAUGUAUAUAUGGCUGUGGUAGGAUUUUAAGCUCUCAUCAUACAGGAACUCAUCAUGUGUUAUUUUAAAGAUUUUCAAAGAUAAAAUUCUCCAGAAUUCUAGCAUCUCUAGGAACAGAUAAACAGCAGCUCAACCUUCCCAUAUCAUAUCCGUUAACAACUUAGACUUUAGAUCAAGUACUCUUCCCACAAGUUCAGGUUUAGAGCAAAUCUUACUUCAUAACAGUCAUGCCUAAACUUGAGAGAGAUUUCAAUUUUAAGAACUAGUCAUGGCAGAGCAACUAUUCAUCAUUUCCAUGUGAGAGUUUAUCAUGAGUGUUCAUAGCAAACUUUAUUUAUUUAUUUAUUUAGCAAACUAAGCAAAGAUAUAUAUAUAUAAAAGCAUAAAAUUUUUAUUUGGGUUUUCAUGAUUAUGCAUCUUUUAUCAUUUGAGUAAAGUAUAAACGCGAGUAGGAAUACUUAGCUGGAUAAAUGGGGGUGCUCUCCCCCAAGCUGGAUUUUGACGUAAUUUCUUCUGAUGUAGCUAGCAGGUGAUGGAGGUGUAUUUAAAAGUCGGCAGCACCCUGACAGCGAUUAGGAUGUCCUCCAUCUACUAGUCUUCUUUGAUCCUUGAAUUCUGUGGAGCUCAAAUAGACAACAAAGCUUUGUGGAACUGGUUAAGUGUUAGCAUAAAUAUCUAGCCUUUAUCAUGUUGAGCCUCCUCAAUAAAUAUUACUUAUUUAGCAGGAUCAUGCACUUAUUAUUUUUAUAUUUUUAUUGUAAGAUGAAAAUUUAUUUAUUUUAUUUUUAUGCCACCACAGUGAAUGUACUUAUGGGUUUUAUGCCAUGAGCAUACUCACAUGGGGCUUACUAUUUUUUUUAACAUUUUUAUUUUCUUUUCAAGAUAGCAUGAACCUGAUUAACUAAGCAAACUAUAAUUGAAUAAUUGAAAGGAAAAGGAUAACUACCAAGUUUACCUCUUGGCAAGGCGUUCGGUGUUUUUAAGUCCUCCGAACGGGACUCUCCGUUUUCUCAGUCGUUCUGGGAUUCCUGGAUGGCGUAGUCGGUAAUUCCGGUGGCGCCUCAUCUUCGUGUAUAACUAUCUUCUCUUUCUGACUCGGUGCUACGGUCUCCUCAGGACAGUUCUAUUCAAGCUGUAUGUCUUCAAACCUUAUCACUUCUCCUUCAUAGCCUGCCCAUCCGUCCUUGAUGAUUUGCCUCCUCUGGUUGCGGUUCCGUCGUCUUCUUCUUGUCCUGACCUGCUUAGAGUCUUCAACUAUAUAGUUAAGGUCAGUAAAAUAGCGGCAUACCUUCUUAGAGGAGAAGUGUAUAUGGACUUCUCCGAUUCCAAUAUAGAUGAUGGCUUUGAUAGUGUUGAGGAACGGUCUUCCAAGGAUGGUGGGUGGAUCACACUCGUCUUCUCCCAUGUCAAUGACCUGAAAAUCGUCUGGAGCUGAAUGUAUGUUGGUUGUAGGGGCAUGAUUCCAUGCAGGAGCUGAUAAGUGACUGCGGCCAUUAUGUUGUCGUUAGAUCCGGUGUCGUAGAGUGUCUUCUGAAAAGAGUAUCCAUUGAUUGUGCACUCGAUGCUUGGAACACCAGGGUCGUCCUUCUUGAUCAGGAAAGGCGACUUGAGUCGACGAUCUUGACCUCCUUGAGCUGCAGUGACCAUCUUAGCUGACUCGGUCCACAUUUGCUUGUUCCUAUUCCUCCUGUUGGUCCUCUUUCUUGGUUCAUGUCGGGAUUGCUCUGAAGCUUGUGUAGUCUUGUUCUUGAAGGAAAGUCUCCUUCUUCCCCUUGAUGUAGAGACUGAUCUUGGUAGCAUUAGCGUAGAUGACUGCUCUGGUGUUUAGGAAUGGCCUCCCUAAGAUGAUGGGUGCCCUCUCCUCACUACCUGUCUCUAUCACCACGAAGUUUGCUGGAGCGUACAAGGUACCAACUCGGACACAGAGGUUCUUCAAUAUUUCCUUUGGAAAACUAAGUGUCCGAUCUCCAUUGUGUUUUGUGCUUGUAGAUCCCGGUUCUUCACUUGGUGGAAUCUAGGAGUUGUAAAACUCCUCCAUGUUUUGUUUGAAGUGUACCUGUUCAUAGAGACAAGGCAGAGAUCAAGUGCAUGGGCCCUGUUGGUGGAAAACACCAACAUAACCAAAAGUGUAUUUGUUCUUCUCUAACCUUAAGCAUAGUGAGCAAGACAAAGUUGAUGGAUCAUGAGUGUAGCAUUUAAAACAUUUGUUAGAUCAGAUGGCUCAACCUAAUGGAAAGAUAAUCUAUCUAUAUUUAUGUUUUGUUUAUAUCUUCCAAAGAUUGAAUGUGCAACAUUUUAGCUUAUAUGAUUAGGAGUGUGGGAUCACGAAGGUAGUACUAAGAACAAAGAUUAAAGGACUAAUCAUGUUGAAUUAAUUGGGUUGGUUAAUUUGGAGUUAUAAAUCAUACAUGUUUGUCUCUUUAUUUAUGUGAAUGCUAGAACCAAGGAGAAGCUUAUAAAAGUGAUAGUCAAGUACCUUAAAAUGUUACCUUACUUGAAGAGUGACGGUACAGUAUUACCUCGUGGAAGCUUUCCUUUCUUAGCGGUUGUGCAUCGUGUUUGUGGCACCCUCCAUGAAUCAUCUCUUAUGAGCUACGUCUUUCUUGUGCAAAUUGUUUAAACUUCAUGUGUCACUUUCUUCAUCUCAAAUGUGAGUUUAUCUCAGGACUUCCCAGGUUGAUAUUGAAAGUUUUCCUACAGGGGUUAGUCCCACAAAAUAUACCAAUAUCUACUCAAGCAGUUUUUAGUUCAGUAACCAAACUAGACUCCAUGUCUAAUCAGAUUAAGGAAGGCUGUUUAACCUAAGCACCACGCUUAAUUUAAAUGCCAUUGGAAGUGUGUCCAGUACUUCCAAACUAACACUUACUUGAAUAAACAAAGGUAGCAUGAUGGCUUUUAUAGAGAUCUACUCAAGUGGAGAUGAAGUAGUGUGAUUAGUAUUUAACAAAUUGAGCAUGUCUCAAAGGUAAGGACAACCAACAUAGCAGCAUGACAAAGGAUGUUUUAUGUAAAGUACUCCCCCAAGCUUGAAUUUUACAAAAUUCAAGAUUGGAUGAAUUUAAUUUAAUGUUGCAUGAUGAUUGGUUGGGCAUACCUUGCGCUUGUCAUUCAUCCGAUCUUCUUGCUCCAAUCCUGGAAAGGUUAGUGGCAAGAAUACCCGAAGGAAUAUUUCUAUAAUUAUCUUUAUAUUCUCAAUACACCAGGCAAUGUUGCAAAUAAUUAGAAGUUCAUGUUACAAUCUGAUAAGUGCUUGUUUUAGGACACUAAGCUUGUCCUUGGGAAACCAUCAAUUUAUGUCGGCGAAGUGGUUUCCCUUCCCACGCUGACCUAUAUCAAGAUCAACUCAACGAGAUCUGCAAUAUUUAUUAUAGACAUAUGCAUCGACAACCGCCCUUUUAAAGUUUUUAUAAAUAGAAAGGAAGAGGGGGUUGGAGAUCUCAAAUGUGGUGAUGAUGGAGAGACCGAUUGAUUGGGGAGAUGUUUUAUAUGAGCAAGGACUUGGUAAGGUAUUUAUGAAAUAACUUCCAUGCUCACUGUUGUUUCUCUCAUUCUCAAACUCCAAGGAUGAUUCUUCAUGAAUGCUUAAAAUUCCUCUAGGAUUGUCUCUCAAGUUUGUUUUAUCUAUCCAUUUAAUGGUGAUAGCACAUGGAUUUUUAAUGCCCUCUAGCCAUUGAUGUUGCUCUUCUCGAUCCUCCUUGUGGUCUUGAUGCCUCUUAUGCAUGGGAUGUCUAGAGAGAUUCAUAGGAUUAUCGGGAGGUUCAAGAGAAAGAGCAUAGUAGAAAUUAUUAAGCUCAAGGAUGGGUUGGAUAGCCGAAUCAUGGGAUUGAAAUGUUGGGAAAUUGGCUAUUGAAACUUCCUUUCCUCAUCUGGGAGAUGAUUCCUUCUCUAUCUCUAAGAUUAUUCUAUGGAGACAAGUACAAUAAGGAUGUCCACGAAUGAAGACAUACCUUCCUUUACUAAUAGAUAAAGAAAGAAGGACUCUACCAAAGGUUAUAUGAUUAAGACCAAUGUGAAAAUAUUUAGGAAAAACAUGGUCUUGUAGGGCUAGGUCUAAACCAAAAUUUAUAGAAAGAUUAACAGAUUCCCUAGGUGUAGCUAAAAGUGCAUUAUCUUCUUGAUUAAAAGAUAGGACCUCAGCUAUAGAAAAGGGUUGGUUUUGACCUAUUGCAAUCAACUCCGGACACAGAUCAUAAUUAGGGGCAGGACAUGUUGACUCCCAUGGUCUAUGGCUGGUCUCCGAAGGUGCAAAGAAUUUAAUAAUAAGUAUGGAAUUUGAGUUAUCAAUAAAGAUAAAAACAAAAAGAUAAAAGAAUAAAAGUAUAAAAGUAUAAUACAAGAUAAUAGCAAGACUCAAAGUUAUCUCAGCAAACCGUCUUUCUCCCCGGCAACGGCGCCAGAAAUGCUUGUUGAUAUUUGGUAACGCAAUUAGAAAAUGAUCCGCAAGCGCACGGAUAUCGGUGAGCGUUUCACCCAGGAGGUUAUCCAGAGUUAUCGUAUUUAUAUUUUUACCACUGGGCGAAAGAGUGCAUCUGACUAACCAAAUCUAUUGCUAGUAUCCCUUUAGGCUACAAAGAAUGUCUCUCGAUGUGAGUGAUGUAUAGAGAAGACUGCAACCGUAGUCUCGUUCUAACCUUGGUAAGGAUGAUCUACUGUUCUAUUGGGGAGGCUCACGGAAUCUAGACACCACAAAGGAUGUUCGACCCGCACCUAUAAACCCUACCCGUCCUGCUAACAAGACAUGGGAUGCAAAGGUAACUCGGAAAUGUCACGUUCCUCGCUACUACCACAGUUCAGCUAGUCAGGGGAUAUCUAUGAGUACCCUAGCCUAAACACCACGUUUACGCCAGCAAGUGAUUACUCUAAUACUCAACCGGAAGAGGAUUAAAGUAAAGUCAUAAACCAAAGAACAAUAAAACAAGAACUCACUAGAAUUAGAAGUCGAAUUACUGAAGAAUCUUAGAAGCAAGCCUCAGGUUAGGAGACUUGAUCCCGUAGGUACAACUCGGAGUAGACACCGACAGGCCGGCCUUCCUCCGAUCCACACCUCCACUCUAUCUCUCUCAAUCUAGUAGAAACUAGAAGAUCUAUUUCUACUUUACAUUGGUUGCUAAGCCUAAAAAGAAAUAUUUCUACUUUACAUUGGUUGCUAAUUCCUUUGAGGGCACCCCUCAAUCUCAUGAUAAUUUCUAUGCGUUUUUGGGUCGGUAGGCGAGGUGGUACUACGUUAUUCUGAAUCCAAUAGGUCGGUGGAGAUCUCCUGAGAGAAAGAGUCCUGAUUGGGCUCAACAGGUGGGCGGGCGCCCAAGGAAACUGGGCGGGCGCCCAGGUCCUGGCCCCGUUUCGCCUCCGCUUCGGUCUCAUGGCUUCUGGAGUCUUCUAGAUGGUAGAAAAUUGCGCGGUGCGUUGAUAUCUCUAUGUAAUCCUAACAUGUGGGCCUUUCUUCCUUAUUUCCUGAUAACCCCCUGCAGAAAUAGACAAACACCAAAACUCGUGGAAUUCUGUCAUAUAAAACCCUAAGUCUAGAUGUUGAUUUCAUUUGGAUCCUUUUCUUUGUUUAUUUGAUAAUUAAAUUUGAUACUUAAGGACCGUCAACAUAGGGAAACCAUGAAUCUUAAGGCGACUCAAGCCACAACAUUCAGUUAAGACAAGUGCUAAAUAUUUUACAAUGGGUCUAAAUACCCAGAAUAGGCUCGCAAGGCCUUAGUCCGCAUCUAGGCCUUCACCACCGUCUUCCGCGCGUAGGCUAGUCUCAGGAGAGAGUACCUCUAGCUCGAACAGCUUCGCCAGCCUUUCCCCAGGGACCUCUGCGUCGUCGAUCAAGGCAUGGAGCCUCUCCUCGUUCUCGGCGAAGGUCUUGGAAAUGUCGGUGACGAAUGUAACACCCCAGGUGUUUGUCUUGAGUUUCGGCACUUACAUUUCAUGAGCAUAAGCAUCAUUUGUUCAUAUAUGAUAGUAUGAAACAUACUUUGAUGUUGUGACAAGUGAAUGCUUAAUGAUCCUACAUAAUAAAGCUUGUGGUUGCUGAUGGUGCUUCUUUCAUGUGUAUCAUCUCCAUCUCUACCUAGGUUGAUCACACAAAAAGUUUCGUGAAGUUUGGUUUCAAAAGGUCAAAUGAAAGGAUAAGUUACAUGAUUGUUGAAAUGACCUUAUUAAGUGAACGGAACCUUGGGAUACUAAAAUAACCUUGCAAUCUUGACCAAGUGACUCUAGAUGAACUCUACAACAAAGGUCAUGAAGGGUUCAUGUUAAGCUUGUGCCAAGAAAAUGCUUCAAUUGCUCUAAAACCCUAGUUUGAGCUUUAUCAAGUUGCUACUUUGACCAAAGUAAAAGUUUGACUUUGGUACCAGUUAUGAGGUUUGACCUUAAAUAAAAGUUGUAGUUUUGCUUCUGUAGAACAAACUUGCUUUAAAGUUCAAGAGCUAGUUUGGUACCUAUCCUAGUCAAAUUAAGCUCACAAGAUUCAAAUGCAGUGCUGUUAUGGAUCUCAGAAAUUUGGCCAAGUCAUCUGUGUUUCAGUUUCGGGUGUUCUAAUUGGGAGCUUUGUAGGUUCCUAACCAAGCUGAAACAGUCUUUGAGCCUUUAACAAAAGUUGUAGCUCAGUUUAUAUUUUACAAACUUUGUUUAAGGCCUCAUAUCUGAAUCAUCAUCUAUGCAUGUCAAAUAAUGGCCACAAGAUUGAAUCUGCUAUAGUUUCUAGCACUUAGAAUUUCUAAGUCUGGGAUUGCACUUCAUCGCGUUGGCAUUCCGCGUUCUCCAAAUUUUGUCAAACAACUUGAGUUGAUCACUUAAUAAAAGUUGGAGUAUAUAUUGUGGCCAAGAGCAUACCAAAAUAUGACACCAGUUGGAUUUCGUUUUGGUCAUCAAUUUUGAAUUUUGCUAAUCUUUAUCAAUUCAUUGACACUCAAGGGUUGGCAUCAUGUUAUCUCUUAAUCUGUUACUCUAAUAGCUUUGAACUCUUAAUCAAAGUUGGAGAACAGAACGAGUUGAGCAAACUUCAUUUUCGGCCCAUGUCCAAAUUCAGCACGUAGCUGGCCCAAAAUCACGCUCCACCGCUCCCACACCGUCACCCGCCACGUGCUCGACGAAAGGCUUCAAUGAGUGACACCUACUCUGGACGUGGCAACCAUGCACAGAGUAUCUCCUCCAUUGCUGCCACCUCCACGUUGCUCUCUGCCUCUCCCAUGCCCCAAAUGUGGAUGGCAGACCGUCCUCUAUCUCCCCCAGUCGUCCUCUCUCGCUCUCGUCGCCCUUGCUUGUCUAGUUCCUCGCCAUGGCCAUCCAUGUCCAUGGAUGGUCGAGCACAGAGCUGCUGCUGCUGCAGCAGCUGUGCUGCUGCCCUGCUUAUACUCGCCUCUCUCAGAAGCCUUCAGCAGUGUCGCCGAGCUCUACUCCCUCCUCUAUAUGCGCCGGUGCUCUCCUUGCCUCCAGUGUAGCCUUGACCAGUCCGGAGCCCGACCUCCAUCCUUCUCUGUUCGGUAAGCAGAAAACAGAGGACCUGUGGUUAGAAUAAGAAACAACUCAGGGUUCCAGAUGCGAAGCCAAGACUCAUAUGAACAGUGUUUCUGGGUUAUAGCGUGAGUCAUGGAAAAUCCAGGGUUCCCGGUGCAAGAUCUGUUUUCCUUUUUCUUUUGUUUUAGCAGAUUUCAUGGAUGAUCUUUGAAAAUGCAUAGUAAUUCGUAGAAAUUCGGAAAAUAGCAAAUGUGGACUUUUUGGAAUCCUUAUGAAAUUCUCUAUGCAGUAGAUCUAUAUUAUUGCAUGUUUUAGUUUGAAGUUUUAACGGUAAAAAUAGAUUUGUGCAGUUCGAUUUUAAUUGCUUGCUAUAUUUGUCUUUUUCAUAACCACUGUAUAUUGCUCAAAUAAAUGUGAAAAUGUUGUGACAAGCUUUUCAUAUUAUAUUUGAUAUCUGGUAAAAGUUUGAUGAAUUUAGGCAUGACAGAUUAGGAGUUAUAAAAAUAACAAAUGAUCUGUGUUGCUUUGCUGCUAUUCUGAGUGGAUCUGCAUGUUUAUAUUGUUUGGCUCAGUUAGGUUGUGAAUCAUGCCUGGAUGAAAAUAUAUGAGUUGUAGUACUUUUCAUAAGCUUUCCAAAACGAUAAAUAGCACAAUUUUUGGUCGAGCAUAUAUUUAUUUAUAGUAGUUUCAAUUAUUGUUCCAGUUUCUGUCUAAACCCAGACUGGAUUGCAUUGUUUGUAAUGUAAGACCUUGUUAGUGGUAGGUUUAGCUCUAGAUGUUUAUAACAAAGUUGUUCACAAUUUCGUAAGCUUUCUAGAAAGUACACAACCAUAAAUUAUGGACAUGUGAAACUCAUGUUAUGGCUGUUUAAUGUGGCAUGAUAGAUUCUGUCCAUGUUUUGAACAGAGAUGUCUUCAUGGGGCUUGAUAAAUGGUUUAUAAUUAUAAAUAAAAAUGUAAAAAUAGAAAAUUUUGUUCCAGUACAAUUCUAUGAUAUUUGUGUAUCAUGUUUAUAUAUGAUAUGGUCAUGCGUUUGAAGAAAAUAUGGUUUGUGCAUUUAUCUUGCUCUCACAUGGUUAAUUGCAAUAGUAAUUUGUCUUUUUUUAUAGAUGUUGCUAUGUUUAUUCAAAUGCAUUGAAAUUUAUAUAGUAGACUAUGAAUAGCAUGUAGAAGCUACUGUAAUGUUUGUAGAAUUUACUGUGCAUGUUUGGUAUAUGUUCUUUAAUUCACCUUGUUAUCCAAAUAAAUUAAGAAAUGCAUUAAAUAAAUUUAUUUGGUAAUGACCACUAUGUUUUCUAGUGUUCUUUAGAUAUGUGCAAACUGUUGGUAACAAUGGUUUUGUUAAAAUGCAUGUUUGAAACAUAAGUUAAUAAUUAAUUGUUUGCAAUUAUUGUUUCUGGACAGUUUGUGGAACUGUUUGGAUUACAAUAUGUAAAUGAUGUUUUCUGGGAAUCUUGUUUAUAGAAAAAUUGUAGAAAAUUCAGUUAUCUACAUGCUGUUAAAAUUUGGUAGUAUUUGGCCUUGUGGUUUGUGAGUUAUGUCUGUUCAAAAUUGGAUUUCAGAAAUGGUUGCUCUCUGUCUUGUUAGGACCUGAUUCUGUAAUCCAAAUAUUUUGACCUGCCAAACUUAUGAAUCAUGCUUUGAUGUCUAAAGAUGAAAUAUAGAUAAUUUAUUAAGCUUUGGAGAAUGUCUUCUUGCAUGUCUUUUGGAGUUGUGUAACUCCAGUUAUGUUUGCUUGAAGUGCCUAUCAGUUUUCUGUCUUUAUUUGUACCCUACUGUUUGGGGACAACAUGAGCUGUUUUAAUUGUGCAACUAAUUCCAUAGUAUAAAUUAUGUUUGCUUUGAAACUUGUCUAUACAAAAGUUGUAUAUAACUCUUUCAUAUAGCUUGUGUUAGAGUUUCAUAUCAUUUGGACAAAUGGUUUCUGAGUUAUAAGGGUAUUAAGUUUAUCUGUCAAAAUGCUUGUUCUCUGGUAUUCCUGGACCAGAUUCUAUAAAUAUGCAUGUUUGACUUAGUUAACUUACUAAUCAUGCUAAGAUGAUUAAAUAUGAAUUGUAUACAAUUUUAUAAGCUUUCCAUAAUGUCUUGUUGCAUGAAUUUUGGAUCUGUAGAACUCUGGUUAUGAUUUAUUUACUCAACUGUGCAUGUAUGUCCAGAAUUGCUAAAAAUGCAUUAAUGCUUGAUUAACUUACAUUGUGUGUGGUUUUAAGUGACUCAUGUCUUGGUGGUGUUAAUUAGUGUUAUGUGAUCCUAUGAAACAUGUGUUCAUGCACUUGCAUCUUGCAUGUCAUUUAGGUACGCUAGAUGAACCACGUGAAGGGCAUGACGGUGGACCUAUCGGGAUGAUGGGAGGACUAAACAAGUGUUGUGAACUUGGAUGCCGUCAAGACGGAGCAAGCUAACUAAUCUGACUCGUUGUCACAUUCCAGGCAAGCCCCGGAGCAUUAUAAGCCUCCUACUUUUUAAAAGUGAAUGAGUAUAUAUGUGUUGUAUAUGUAUUGUUGCAUUAAGUAUAGGAGUUGGAUGAAACCCUUGCUGCAUAUAUAUACCCUUCCUUGUCUAGUAUAUAUAUAACCUGAAUCCUAAUUAGACAGGAUCACGUCUAUGCUUAGCCAUGCUUAGCUCGGUAGAAGACAGGUGAUUUCCUGUCACCUGCGACAUAUAGGUGGAUUCCAGAUCACGGUUGGCUAUAUUUGCUAUCGUGGAAAAGAACCAUGUGUUAAUAAUAUGAAAGGAGACCGGGCGGGAUGAUGAUAGUGACGCAACAAGGCAUGGAGGUCUUGGGUGUGGAUCUAUCCCCGUCUGUGUCGAUUAAGGACCGAUCGUUGUACGUCCUCUUGUCAUGUUGAACGCAUGGCUAACACUUAGUUGGACGGAUAAGUCGUUCCGACCGCGAAGCCUAGUAGUAUGACUCAGGCCGGAAGACCUUCAAGUAUAAAGUGCGCACUACCGGAGGAAGUGCGGUGUGCGGUGGACCAUUGGCGUAAGUCCAAAGGCAGGUGAGUUAAAAUUCCUGACCUUCCUAGCAGAGUGGUAGCCCUGGGAGUGCGGCGCUGUUCGGAACCGCGAUUCCUGAGUCGUACCAAAGGUGACCCGUUGGCUCUCCGACGGGGGAUGCUUGGGUGAGUGCUAGGAAUACCCCUCCAGCUGGAUAGGAAUUGAUUCGAAUCGCCGUCUCUCCCGGAUAGUGAGAACUUGACAGAGCAGCGGCAAACGUAGCAUUCACUAAAUAACUUAAUGGUUUUAUGAUGAUGAUGAUGAUGAUCACAGCCUUGAUAAACCUGAUAUGGUUAUUAUUGAUUGAUAUUAAUCUAGUGAUUGCUAUAGUACAGGUGCUAAUCUAGUUGAUAGGUUAAGGAGAAUUAAAUGGAUGCUAAAUAAGAAUGGUUUAACUAUUUACACUUAAGCUUUUUAUGCAAAAUGUUGUCCAACAUGCUCGACUUAUAUAACAGCCUUGCGUACUCCUUGGUGUCAUUUAUUUCUGGUUUAUGACGGGUAAGUCUAGCUGAGUACAUUCUCGUACUCAGGGUUUAUUCCCACUUGUUGCAGGUUGUGAUGUAUCAUAGCUACUGCAAGAUUUGGAUGACUCCUGCUUUAGGGAAGGAGUAAGGUCAUGGGCAUGAUCCUUCCUACUUACCUCAUCUAUGAUGCUUUUGUUGGAAUGGACCAUGGUACUGGCAUGUAUUUGAAAUAAAAGUGAUAUUAAUUUCAAAUUACUUUGCUUCUGCUAUUUGUAAACUUGAGUUGUAAUAACCUUAUCGAACUCCGAUGUAUUUGAACUACUUGCGAAAUGUAUGUAACGUGUGACUUGUUAUGCUGAAUCACUACGAUCUUGGGUUGUAUGUUGGUUGGUUUGAAAUCCCUCGUGAUUUUGUUGGACUACCAGAGUUAUAUGGGCUCAAGUAUGAUAAAUUGAUCACUUCGGUGAUUGUUUUUGUACUUGUGCUCUUAUAUUUUGGACGGUUCCGUGACAGCUGGUAUCGGAGCAAGGUUCAACAGUAAACAUGUCACAUGUGUAUUUGAAACAAAGCUUUUCCUUAUAAAAAUCAGUUUUGACAACUUAUAGCUAUAUAUAGGUGUGUUCAAAUCUAAACUUUUAAUCUAAGUAUGCCAGUGGUCAUUUCUCUAUGCCCAACUAAGGACCUUUAGGUGGCUUAGUUAAGUACUAACUAUGGGGGGAUUUACUUACUGCAAUUUUUAUUUCGUCGUCCAUACGGCGUGCUAUUGUAUGGAUGCCAUUCACUUGAGUGGUAAUGUAUGGAUCAAUUUACAUCUACGCCCAGGCCAAGGUAUGUAUGUAUGAUGACCGCACUAUGCUACCCUGUGGUCAAAUGGUAGAGGUAGCCCUCAUAUAUGAAUUAGCCAUAUAUGUUGAUAGAUUCAAAUUUUGCAACAUUGCAACUACGCUCAGGUAAGUGUGAGUUGUGAGAGAAUGAUCGUCCAACCGUCGGUCUAGGGGAGAGCUAGUUUUGGUUACUGGAAUAUUUACAUGUUACACACAUGUAUAUAUGAAGGUACUUAAUUGUGGGUUAGUGGUACGGCCAUAUAUACAUGUCUCUAUGUAUGUGUAGCCGUAUUUCAUUUUGGAUAGUUUGAUGCUGAAAUAUAUAUAUUGGGAUAUAUAUAUAUGGAAGCAUCUAGCUUUCAACCUAGAAUCCAGUAUUUCAUUUAAUGCACUUAAAUCAUUGUUGGGUUGGGCUGAAAUGAAAUUCUCUGCAGGUACGCUGACCACGAAUGCGUAGAUUGUUUGUAGUUAACGACUAGCUUUAUGUCGAGAGUGUGCGUAUUAUGCCACCGAUAUAGAACGUGAUUACCACCUUAGGCUGGUAAUUUUGUGAGGACGAAUAGGACGAAGCAUGCAUCAUCAUGAUUGAUUGUCCUGUGCAUAGCUUUUCUCUUGUCACCCUUGUUCUAACAAUAAGUAACUUGUGAAUUAAUAUGAUGUGACUUUGCUUGUGUAAAGUUAGAUAAAAUGCCUUGCACUAUGUUGCUUGAGUAGCUAUGCUUGAUGUUAGGUUCUUCCUUUCUAGUUACCUACAUAGUAGUUCUUUUUAUGUGUGGUUGCCUUGCUUUCUAGGUGUGGUUGCAGCACAAGUUGUCUAACCUCUUGUCCUCAGUGAGUCCAUGAGUUUUCAUCCAGCCUUAUCAUUGUGCUUAUCUCAUAAGUUGCCUCAAAAACACCUUCUUGCUUAGAGCACAUGAGCUUAUGCAUCUGUACCUAACCAAACCUCAUUGGGUUCUCUUGAAUAUCAACUUUUGCCCAUGAUAUGUCCUGGAUUGAGCUUUGCCCAAAUUCUUUUGGAACCUUUGCUACCUAUCUAAAAAAAAAUCAUCUUGUUCCUAAAGACAUGAUCAUAUCUACCAACUUUGUGGUACAAUCUCGUAUCAUGAUCCUUGUCCUAAGAACCAGAUGUUGGGUUGCAUAAUGGUUAUCUGUCAAAUCAUGAAUCUCAUAUCAUGAUGCCAAUCAUUCUUAAUCAUGCAACUUACUGGAUUGGUUAUGCAUCAAUGUCAUAAUUCCCUAAAUCCUUGAACCACAUGCACACGUGCAUGUAGAAGGAGGUAUGCUCACAGUUAGUGGGGUACACCAUAUUCAUGUUGUAUCCUAACUGCAAUCAUAUUAGUAAGUAUCUUUCUAAAGAUCAUUCUUCAGAUCUUGUGCUUUCUACCCAUUUAACUGGGUUACCCUUUGAUCUGUCUCAAUGGCUUGCUUAUGUAUUAGUCAAUCUGUGCCAUCCGUCAACAUGAUGCACAUGUUUGAGAUGGCUGGCCUUUUUGGACAUAAGUGAGAUUUAUCUUCUCGACUGAAGAAGAGUAUGCACCUACUCAGCAAAGGAUAACAACACAUUCCCAUCAUGUUGUGUUUACUCUCUACCACCUUUGCUUAUAGUAAUGGUUGCUGGAGAUAAUUUCAUUGAUGUUUUCGCAUGCUUGCUUAUGUCUUGGGUGUCUUGCUUCUAUGUGCAAAAACCUUACCCCAAGAAUACUCUCAGACCACUUGGUUCCUUGUCCUACAGUUGAUCUAGUGCAAUGCUUAUCUGUUGUUGCAUGAGCCUCAUAAUCUUUUCAUAACAGAUCAUGUUGCUGCUGUGUCGAUCAAGCCCUAAUCUAAGUAUCAGCUUGGUGUUGACGGUCCUUAAUGCUCACAUUUAACCAUCAACUAAUCAUGGAAAAGGAUCCAAAUGCAACCAACACCCAGACUUAGGGUUUUAUCUGACAGAAUUCCACGAGUUUUGGUGUUUGUCUAUUUCUGCAGGGGGUUAUCAGGAAAUAAGGAAGAAAGGCCCACACGUCGGGUUUACAUAGAGAUAUUAAUGUGUCGCGCAAUUUUCUACCAUCUAGAAGACACCAGAAGCCACGGGAACGAACGGGAGGCCGAUCGGGCCCGGGGGCAGGGCGCCCGCCCUCCCCCCUUGGGUGCCCACCUAGCUACAGUAACCAAUCAGCUUCAACUUUGCGGAUCGUGCUCCACCGACCUAAGGGACCAAGGAAAACCGUGCGAUUAAUGUCGGUUUGAUCCGACGGCCUAGAUUCAUCUGAAAAGACUAUAUAAGCAAGGCCCCCUGGCCCCUGGAGAGCAUACCUCUUCUACAGAAUCAAAGCUAGGGUUUCAAUUCUUCAUCCAAGUAGAGAGGAUCCCUCUAGUUCUUCUAGUUCUACCUCUAGUUCAUCUAGAUCUAGUUCUAGUUCAUCUAGUUCUAGUUCUAGUUCUAGUUCCUCUAGUUCUAGUUCUAGUUAGUUCUAGUUGUAAUCUAGAAAAUAGGGAGAGAGAAGAGGAGAGCGGAGGAGGAGCCAGAUCUGUCGGAUCUUCCUCAACAUUAUACUUUUGCAGCAUCUGGUUCGUUCUUCAUCGUUCUCCAGGUUCUUCAAUUCACAAUUCCUGAGUUCUUUAAUUACUUUUAUUUACAUUCAAGUUAUUUAUUGGAUUCCCGCUUGCAUCAAGUGCUCUAGUCUUUAUAAUGCUAGAGUAGUAAUUAAUAGAUUAGACGUGGUGUUUAGUCUUGCAAUUACCUGGAAUUGCACCCAAUCCUGCGGAUUGUUGUGGUAGCCUUAGGGUAGUGACAGCCCUAACGGUCGAUGUAUUCCACCUCGUUCGGAUCGGUGUUUGUAGGACCGUAGUCAGACCUUCCUAGCCCCCUUCUCAUCUCUUUCUGUGGUUAGUGCUCUGAUGUCCCGAAAUAGAUAAUCUUGAAGUAAUUCUUGAUUCUUAGAUCAACUAGAGAACUCUCAGGAAACUUCCUCUCUUCCCACCAAAAAUAAUUAUAUAGUUAUCCUUGGGCGAUCUUGGAUCUUAAAUAGUACACUCACGUUCUCUGUGGAAAAUCGAUACUCUGGAAUACUCCCGGGUGAAGGCUACAUCGGUAUCCGCGCGCUUGCGGAUUUUUCUGUUUGCGUUUGAAGUACCCAACAAGCUUUCUGGCGCCGUUGCCGGGGAACGGUAGCUGUGCUAGUUUCGAACCAAGUCGUCCGUGUAUCCUUUUUCUUUUCCUUUUUUACCACACUCACCUUAUCAUUUUCACCGUACCACAUGGAUUUCACUCUAAGCAUUAAUGAGCAUGGAAUUUAUUUCAUAGCCACUUCACUUACUCCAUGCUCAUAUGCAACAUCUUCACAAUCCAUUGAUCUUUCUAACAUCACCACAUUCGAGAUCUCCCACCCCCUCAUCCUUUCUAUUUAUAAAAACUUUAAAAGGGCGGUUGUCGAUGCAUAUGUCUAUAUUAAAUAUUGCAGAUCUCGUUGAGUUGAUCUUGAUAUAGGUCAGCGUUCGAGGGGAAACCACUUCACUGACAUAAAUUGAUGGUUUCCCAAGGACAAGCUUAGCGUCCUAAAAUAAGCACUGAUCAGACCAUAACAUAAACUUUUAAUUAUUUGCAACAUUACCUUGUGUGUUGAGCAUAUCAGGAUAAUUGUAAAAAUAUUCCUUCGGGUAUUCUUGUCACUAACCUUUCCAGGAUUGGAGCAAGAAGAUCCGCUGAAUGACAAGCACAAGGUAUGUCCAACCAAUCAUCAUACAACAUUGAAUUAAAUUCAUCCAAACUUGAAUUUUGCAAAAUUCAAGCUUGGGGGAGUACUUGACAUAAAAAUAUCCUUUGCCAUGUUGCUAUGUUGGUUGUCCCUACCUUUGAGACAUGCUCAAUUUGUUAAAUACUAAUCACACUACUUCAUCUCCACUUGUGUAGAUCUCUAUAAAUGCUCUCAUGCGACCUUUAUUUCCUUUAGUAUAUGUCUAGGUUUGGAGUAGUUUCAUUUAUCUCUUAAUUAAACAUGGUGCUUAGUUUAGGAAUGAUGAUCGUACUUCCAAGGGAGUUUAAAUUAAGCAUGAUGCUUAGGUUAAAAUGCCCUCCUAAAUCAAAUUAGACAUGGUGUCUAGGUUGAUUUUUGAGCCGAUAGUAUGCUAUAGCAGAUAUGGGAUAUUUUGUUGGACUAACCCCUGUAGGAAAACUUUCAAUAUCAACCUGGGAAGUCCUGAGAUAAACUCACAUUGGAGACAAAGAGUGAGACACAUGAAGUUUAACAAUUUACACAAGGAAGACAUAGCUCAUAAGAGAUGAUCCAUGGAGGGUGCUACAAACACGAUGCACAACUGCUAAGAAAGGAAAGCUUCCACAAGGUGAUACUGUACCAUCACUUUUCAAGUAAGGUAACAUCUUAAGGUACUUGACUAUCACUUUUAUAAGCUUCUCCUUAUUUCUGGAGUUCACAUGAAUAAAAGAGACAAACAUGUAUGAUUUACAACUCUAGAUUAACCAACCCAAUCGAUUCAACAUGUUUAGUCCUUCCACCUUUGUGAUCCCACACUCCUAAUCAUAUGAGCUAAAAUGUUGCACACGCAAUCUUUGGUCAGAGGUGAGAAGACGCAUGGAUCUGAAUUUUAUCAAGUUUAAUGCAGAAUUGAGUGGUAAUUGGUUGAAUACUUGGAACUGUUGUGGUUAUCCAAUUCCUACAUGUCUUGGGUACCCUCAAUCUGUUACCUAAGAAGUUGCACCUGAUUCCACCCAAAUAACUUUUGUUGUUUGCAUACGAGGAUCCCCUUGAAGUAAAUGAUCAUGGAAGGUGUUGAACCCACAAAGUCAGCUAUCACAUUCAUCAUUCUCUUAACCAGGUUGGCAAGUACAAUUUUGUCAUCAGAGAAAGCGAACUGCAUGCUUGGAAAGUUGUACUCCAACCAUUUUGGUAGAAGACUACUUUUCAAACAUUGGAAUGAGCGUGGAACCACUAUAAUGAGCAACCCUUAGAAGCUUGUGACUUGGUGCAAGGUUCUUAUGGCUUGCAUUAGUUUCACAAAAAGACUGAUGAUACAAGUAGCUCCUUAUGCUCUGAACCACCCUUCAUACUUUGAGAACAAAGUGCACAAAACAGUGCUUUCUUGGAUUCCUCCCAAAGUAACAAUGCUUCAUCUUCAGACCAAAGCUUACUAGGAAAAGUAAGUAUCAGAAAACUUUUGGUCCAACUUAGCUUAUCUGAUGUUCGAAUGCUAUCGUUGAGGUUGGGAAAUGCUUGACAUUGUUUCUCUUCCCUUGAAAGUCUUUCGCACCGAAUCUUGGGACAAGAUUCUUUUUAAGGGGGGAGGGCUGUAACACCCCAGGUGUUUGUCUUGAGUUUCGGCACUUACAUUUCAUGAGCAUAAGCAUCAUUUGUUCAUAUAUGAUAGUAUGAAACAUACUUUGAUGUUGUGACAAGUGAAUGCUUGAUGAUCCUACAUAAUAAAGCUUGUGGUUGCUGAUGGUGCUUCUUUCAUGUGUAUCAUCUCCAUCUCUACCUAGGUUGAUCACACAAAAAGUUUCGUGAAGUUUGGUUUCAAAAGGUCAAAUGAAAGGAUAAGUUACAUGAUUGUUGGAAUGACCUUAUUAAGUGAACGGAACCUUGGGUUACUAACCUAACCUUGCAAUCUUGACCAAGUGACUCUAGAUGAACUCUACAACAAAGGUCAUGAAGGGUUCAUGUUAAGCUUGUGCCAAGAAAAUGCUUCAAUUGCUCUAAAACCCUAGUUUGAGCUUUAUCAAGUUGCUACUUUGACCAAAGUGAAAGUUUGACUUUGGUACCAGUUAUGAGGUUUGACCUUAAAUAAAAGUUGUAGUUUUGCUUCUGUAGAACAAACUUGAUUUAAAGGUCAAGAGCUAGUUUGGUACCUAUCCUAGUCAAAUUAAGCUCACAAGAUUCAAAUGCAGUACUGUUUUGGAUCUCAGAAAUUUGGCUGUCAUCAGUGUUUCAGUUUCGGGUGUCCUAAUUGGGAGCUUUGUAGGUUCCCAACCAAGCUGAAACAGUCUUUGAGCCUUUAACAAAAGUUGUAGCUCAGUUCAUAUUCUACAAACUUUGUUUAAGGCCUCAUAUCUCAAUCAUCAUCUAUGCAUGUCAAAUAAUGGCCACAAUAUUGAAUCUGCUAUAGUUUCUAGCACUUAGAAUUUCUAAGUCUGGGAUUGCACUUCAUCGCGUUGGCAUUCCGCGUUCUCCAAAUUUUGUCAAACAACUUGAGUUGAUCCCUUAAUAAAAGUUGGAGUAUAUAUUGUGGCCAAGAGCAUACCAAAAUAUGACACCAGUUGGAUUUCGUUUUGGUCAUCAAUUUUGAGUUUUGCUAAUCUUUAUCAAUUUAUUGACACUCAAGGGUUGGCAUCAUGUUAUCUCUUAAUCUGUUACUCUAAUAGCUUUGAACUCUUAAUCAAAGUAGGAGAACAGAACGAGUUGAGCAAACUUCAUUUUCGGCCCAUGUCCAAAUUCAGCACGUAGCUGGCCCAAAAUCGCGCUCCACCGCUCCCACACCGUCACCCACCACGUGCUCGACGACAGGCUUCAAUGAGUGACACCUGCUCUGGACGUGGCAACCAUGCACAGAGUAUCUCCUCCAUUGCUGCCACCUCCACCUUGCUCUCUGCCUCUCCCACGCCCCAAAUGUGGAUGGCAGACCGUCCUCUAUCUCCCCCAGUCGUCCUCUCUCGCUCUCGUCGCCCUUGCUUGUCUAGUUCCUCGCCAUGGCCAUCCAUGUCCAUGGAUGGUCGAGCACAGAGGUGCUGCUGCUGCUGCGGCUGUGCUGCUGCCCUGCUUAUACUCGCCUCUCUCAGAAGCCUUCAGCAGUGUCGCCGAGCUCUACUCCCUCCUCUAUAUGCGCCGGUGCUCUCCUUGCCUCUAGUGUAGCCUUGACCCGUCCGGAGCCCGACCUCCAUCCUUCUCUGUUCCGUAAGCAGAAGACAGAGGACCUCUGGUUAGAAUAAGAAACAACUCAGGGUUCCACAUGUGAAGCCAAGAAUAGUGUUUCUGGGUUAUAGCGUGAGUCAUGGAAAAUCCAGGGUUCCCGGUGCAAGAUUUGUUUUCCUUUUUCUUUUGUUUUAGCAGAUUUCAUGAAUGAUCUUUGAAAAUGCAUAGUAAUUCGUAGAAAAGUCGUAAAAUAGCAAAUGUGGACUUUUUCGAAUCCUUAUGAAAUUUUCUAUGCAGUAGAUCUAUAUUAUUGCAUGUUUUAGUUUGAAGUUUUAACGGUAAAAAUAGAUUUGUGCAGUUCGAUUUUAAUUGCUUGCUAUAUUUGUCUUUUUCAUAACCACUGUAUUAUUGCUCAAAUAAAUGUGAAAAUAUCAUGACAAGCUUUUCAUAUUAUAUUUGAUAUCUGGUAAAAGUUUGAUGAAUUUAGCCAUGACAGGUUAGGAGUUAUAAAAAUAACAAUUGCUCAGUGUUGCUUUGCUCCUAUUCUGAGUGGAUCUGCAUGUUUAUAUUGUUUGGCUCACUUAGGUUGUGAAUCAUGCCUGAAUGAAAAUGUAUGAGUUGUAGUACUUUUCAUUAGCUUUCGAAAAAGAUAAAUAGCACAAUUUUUGGCCGAGCAUAUAUUUAGUUAUAGUAGUUUAAAUUAUUCUUCCAGUUUCUGUCUAAACCCAGACUGGAUUGCAUUGUUUGUAAUGUAAGACCUUGUUAGUGGUAGAUUUAGCUCUAGAUGUUUAUAACAAAGUUGUUCACAAUUUCGUAAGCUUUCUAGAAAGUACACAACCAUAAAUUAUGGACAUGUGAAACUCAAGUUAUGGCUGUUUAAUUUGGCAUGAUAGAUUCUGUCCAUGUUUUGAACAGAGAUGUCUUCAUGGGGCUUGAUAAAUGGUUUAUAAUUAUAAAUAAAAAUGUAAAAAUAGAAAAUGUUGUUCCAGUACAAUUCUAUGAUAUUUGUGUAUCAUGUUUAUAUAUGAUAUGGUCAUGUGUUUGAAGAAAAUAUGGUUUGUGCAUUUAUCUUGCUCUCACAUGGUUAAUUGCAAUAGUAAUUUGUCUUUUUUUAUAGAUGUUGCUAUGUUUAUUCAAAUGCAGUGAAAUUUAUAUAGUAGACUAUGAAUAGCAUGUAGAAGCUACUGUAAUUUUUGUAGAAUUUACUGUGCAUGUUUGGUAUAUGUUCUUUAAUUCACCUUGUUAUCCAAAUAAAUUAAGAAAUGCAUUAAAUAAAUUUAUAUGGUAAUGACCACUAUGUUUUCUAGUGUUCUUUAGAUAUGUGCAAACUGUUGGUAACAAUGGUUUUGUUAAAAUGCAUGUUUGAAACAUAAGUUAAUAAUUAAUUGUUUGCAAUUAUUGUUUCUGGACAGUUUGUGGAACUGUUUGGAUUACAAUAUGUAAAUUAUGUUUUCUGGGAAUCUUGUUUAUAGAAAAAUUGUAGACAAUUCAGUUAUCUACAUGCUGUUAAAAUUUGGUAGUAUUUAGCCUUGUGGUUUGUGAGUUAUGUCUGUUCAAAGUUGGAUUUCAGAAAUGGUUGCUCUCUGUCUUGUUAGGACCUGAUUCUGUAAUCCAAAUAUUUUGACCUGCCAAACUUAUGAAUCAUGCUUUGAUGUCUAAAGAUGAAAUAUAGAUAAUUUAUUAAGCUUUGGAGAAUGUCUUCUUGCAUGUCUUUUGGAGUUGUGUAACUCCAGUUAUGCUUGCUUGAAGUGCCUAUCAGUUUUCUGUCUUUAUUUGUACCCUACUGUUUGGGGACAACAUGAGCAGUUUUAAUUGUGCAACUAAUUCCAUAGUAUAAAUUAUGUUUGCUUUGAAACUUGUCUAUACAAAAGUUGUAGAUAACUCUUACAUAUAGCUUGUGUUAGAGUUUCAUAUCAUUUGGACAAAUGGUUUCUGAGUUAUAAGGGUAUUAAGUUUAUCUGUCAAAAUGCUUGUUCUCUGGUAUUCCUGGACCAGAUUCUAUAAAUAUGCAUGUUUGACUUAGUUAACUUACUAAUCAUGCUAAGGUGAUUAAAUAUGAAUUGUAUACAAUUUUAUAAGCUUUCCAUAAUGUCUUGUUGCAUGAAUUUUGGAUCUGUAGAACUCUGGUUAUGAUUUAUUUACUCAACUGUGCAUUUAUGUCCAGAAUUGCUAAAAAUGCAUUAAUGCUUGAUUAACUUACAUUGUGUGUGGUUUUAAGUGACUCAUGUCUUGGUGGUGUUAAUUAGUGUUAUGUGAUCCUAUGAAACAUGUGUUCAUGCACUUGCAUCUUGCAUGUCAUUUAGGUACGCUAGAUGAACCACGUGAAGGGCAUGACGGUGGACCUAUCGGGAUGAUGGGAGGACUAAACAAGUGUUGUGAACUUGGAUGCCAUCAAGACGGAGCAAGCUAACUAAUCUGACUCGUUGUCACAUUCCAGGCAAGCCCCGGAGCAUUAUAAGCCUCCUACUUUUUAAAAGUGAAUGAGUACAUAUGAGUUGUAUAUGUAUUGUUGCAUUAAGUAUAGGAGUUGGAUGAAACCCUUGCUGCAUAUAUAUACCCUUCCUUGUCUAGUAUAUAUAUAACCUGAAUCCUAAUUAGACAGGAUCACGUCUAUGCUUAGCCAUGCUUAGCUCGGUAGAAGCCAUGUGAUUUCCUGUCACCUGCGAGAUAUAGGUGGAUUCCAGAUCACGGUUGGCUAUAUUUGCUAUCAUGGAAAAGAACCAUGUGUUAAUAAUAUGAAAGCAGACCGGGCGGGAUGAUGAUAGUGACGCAACAAGGCAUGGAGGUCUUGGGUGUGGAUCUAUCCCCGUCUGUGUCGAUUAAGGACCGAUCGUUGUACGUCCUCUUGUCAUGUUGAACGCAUGCCUAACACUUAUUUGGCCGGAUAAGUCGUUCCGACCGCGAAGCCUAGUAGUAUGACUCAGGCCGGAAGACCGGAAAGUAUAAAGUGCGCACUACCGGAGGAAGUGCGGUGUGCGGGGGACCAUUGGCGUAAGUCCAAAGGCAGGUGAGUUAAAAUUCCUGACCUCCCUGGCAGAGUGGUAGCCCUGGGAGUGCAGCGCUGAUCGGAACCGCGAUUCCUGUGUCCUACCAAAGGUGACCCGUUGGCUCUCCGAUGGGGGAUGCUUGGGUGAGUGCUAGGAAUACCCCUCCAGCUGGAAGGAAUCGAUUCGAAUCGCCGUCUCUCCCGGAUAGUGAGAACUUGACAGAGCAGCGGCAAACGUAGCAUUCACUAAAUAACUUAAUGGUUCUAUGAUGAUGAUGAUGAUGAUCACAGCCUUGAUAAACCUGAUAUGGUUAUUAUUGAUUGAUAUUAAUCAAGUGAUUGCUAUAGUACAGGUGCUAAUCUAGUUGAUAGGUUAAGGAGAAUUAAAUGGAUGCUAAAUAAGAAAGGUUUAACUAUUUAUACUUAAGCUUUUUAUGCAAAAUGUUGUCCAGCAAGCUCCACUUAUAUAACAGCCUUGCAUACUCCUUGGUGUCAUUUAUUUCUGGUUUAUGAUGGAUAAGUCUAGCUGAGUACAUUCUCGUACUCAGGGUUUAUUCCCACUUGUUGCAGGUUGUGAUGUAUCAUAGCUACUGCAAGAUUUGGAUGACUCCUGCUUUAGGGAAGGAGUAAGAUCAUGGGCAUGAUCCUUCCUACUUACCGCAUCUAUGAUGCUUUUGUUGGAAUGGACCAUGGUACUGGCAUGUAUUUGAAAUAAAAGUGAUAUUAGUUUCAAAUUACUUUGCUUCCGCUAUUUGUAAACUUGAGUUGUAAUAACCAUAUCGAACUCCGAUGUAUUUGAACUACUUGCGAAAUGUAUGUAACGUGUGACUAGUUAUGUUGAAUCACUACGAUCUUGUCUUGUAUGUUGGUUGGUUUGAAAUCCCUCGUGCAAUACCAAGCAACAGCAAUACAAGGAAUCAGCCAUUUUUAGGACUGUUAACAGCAGCUGAGGUAAUAAAUCAUAACUGGAGUUAUACAACUCCAAAAGACAUGAACUAAGACAUUCUGGAAAGCUUAAGAAAUUAUCUACAUUUCAUAUUUAGACAUCAAAGCAUGAUUCUCAACUUAAGCUGGUUGAAAUUAUAAAGUUCCAGAAUCUGUCCCUGACAAACGGAGAGCAGCCAUUUCUGGAAUCAAACUUUGAACAGACAUAACUCACAAACCACAAGGCCAAAUACUACCCAAUUUUAACAGCAGCUAGAUAGGUGAAUUAUCUACAACUUUGCUAUAAACAAGAUUCCCAGAAAACACCAUUUACAUAUUGUAAUCCAAACAGUUCCACAAACUGUCCAGAAACAACAAUUGCAAACAAUUAAUUAUUAACUUAUGUUUCAAACAUGCAUUUGAGCAAAACCAUUGUUACCAACAGUUUGCACAUAUCUAAAGAACACCAGAAAACAUAGUGGUCAUUACCAAAUAAAUUUAUUUAAUGCAUUUCUUAAUUUAUUUGGAUAAUAAGGUGAAUUAAAGAACAUAUAACAAAAUUGCUCAACAAAUUCCACCAAAAUUACAGUAGCUUCUAAACACUAUCCAUAGCCCACAGUAAAAAUUUCACUGCAUUUGAAUAAAGAUAUCAACAUCUAUGAAAAAGACAAAUUGUUAUUGCAAUUAACCAUGUGAGAAUAAGAUAAAUGCACAAAUCAUGUUUUCUUCAAACACAUGACCAUAUUAUAUGUCAACAUGAUACAACAAUAUCAUAUAAUUGUACAGGACCAACAUUUUUCCAUUUUCACAUUUUUAUUUAUAUAAACCAUUUAUCAAUUCCCAUGAAGACAUCUCUGUUUCAAAACAUGGACAGAAUCUGUCAUGCUACAUUAAACAGCUAUAACUUGAGUUUCAUAUGUCCAUAAAUUAUGGUUAUAUACUUUCUAGAAAGCUUACUAAAUUGUGAACAACUUUGUUAUAAACAUCUAGAGCUAAAUCUACAACUAACAAGGUCUUACAUAACAAACAAUGCAUCCCUGUCUGGGUUUAGACAGAAACUGAAACAGUACUUUAAACCACAAUAACUAGACAUAUGCUUAACGAAAAAUUAUGAUAUUUAGCUUGAUGUAAAGCUUAUGAAAUGUACUACAACUCAUAUAUUUUCAUCCAGGCAUGAUUCACAACUUAACUGAGCCAAAUAAUACAAACAUGCAGAUCUACUCAGAAUAGGAGCAAAGCAACACAGGGUAUUUGUUAUUUUUAUAACUCUUAAUCUACCAUGCGUAAAUUCAUAAAACUUUUACCAGACAGCAAAUAUAAUAUGAAAAGCUUGUCACAAUAUUUUCACAUUUAUUUGAGCAAUAACACAACAGUUAUGAAAAAGACAAAUAUAACAAGCAAUUAAAACCUAACUGCAGAAAUCUAUUUUUACCGUUAAAACUUCAAACAAAAACAUGUAAUAAUAUAGAUCUACUGCAUAGAGAAUUUCAUAAGGAUUCCAAAAAGUCCACAUAUGCUAUUUUACGACUUUUCUACGAAUUACUAUGCAUUUCCAAAGUUCAUCCAUGAAAUCUGAAAAACAGAUCUUGCACCGGGAACCCUAGACUUUCUCGGAAUCACGCCACAGCCCACAAAUACUAUUCAUAUGAGUCUUGGCUUCGUAUCUGGAACCCUGAGGUCCCUGGCUUCUUGUUACGUAACAGACGGACGAAGGAAUGGAGGUCGGCCGGUCCACAUUGGAGCCAAGGACGCCUUAGGGCUUGGCCACACCCAGCCUUGGCCAUGCUAAGCCGCUGCAUCCGCACGGCCAUGAGCAGCAGCAGUGCAGCAGCUUGAGCUCAGCUCUGCCAUGGGCCAUGGCGAUGGGAACAGAGAGUGGACAGGGAGGUAGAGAGUGAAAGAGGAAGAGAGGUGGAGGAGACCGUGGGCAAGUCCUCGGGAGUGGAGGGCGACAGGGCUGGCUCUCUGGUGCUCGUCCACAAUGGUACAGAGAGAGGACAAGGCAAGGUGGAGCUCGCAGCCAUGGUGGGAGCGCCCUGCUGCAUGGUCGCCACGCACAGGCCAGGUGUCUUCGGUUGGGGCAUUCUGUCGAACACGUGUCGGGUGACGGUUUGGAUAGAGUGGAACGCGAUUUUGGGCUUCUUGCAGGCCGAAUUAAACCGUGGGCCAAAAAUGAAGUUUGUUGCACUCGGCCUGCUAUACAACUUUGAUUAAGGGUGCAAAGCGAUUAGAGAAACAGAUUAAGAGAUAACAUGAUGCCAACCCUUGAGUGUCAAUGAAUUGAUAGUAAUUAGCAAAACUCGAAAUUGAUAACCAAAACAAAGUCAAACUGGUGUCAUCUUUUGGCAUGCUCUAGCCCACAAUAUAUACUCCAACUUUUAUUUUGGGACCCAAGCAAGUUGUUCAUAAGAAUUAGGAGAACGCGGGAUGCCAACAUGACGAACUGAAAUUCCACACUUAGAAUUUGAAAUGCUGGAAUUUACAGCAGAUUCGAUAUUGUGACUAUUGUUUGACAGGCUUGUAAGAUGAUUCAGACUUGGGCACUUUAAUAACGUUUGUAGCAUACAAACUAUACUACAACUUUUAUUAAAGGACCUAUACUUUUUUCUGCCUGGUUAGUAAGAUACAAGGCUCCCAACUAGGGUACCCGAAACUGAGCACCUUGAGGACUUAGCCCAAUUUCUGGGGUUCCAAAAUAGCACUGCAUUGAAUAUUGUGAGCUUAAUUUGACUAGGAUAGGUACUAAACUAGCUCUUGACCAUUAAAUAAAGUUUGUUCUACAGAAGCAAUACUACAACUUUUAUUUAAGGUCAAUCCUCAUAACUGGUACCAAAGUCAAACUUUCACUUUGGUCAAAGUAUCAACUUGAUAAAGCUCAAACUAGGAUUUUAGAGCAAAUAAAGCAUUUUCUUGGCACAAGCUCAACAUGAACCCUUCAUGACCUUUGUUGUAGAGUUCAUCUAGAGCCACUUGGUCAAGAUUGCAAGGUUAGGUUAGUAACCCAAGGUUCCGUUCACUUAAUAAGGUCAUUCCAAUAAUCAUGUAACUUAUCCUCUCAUUUGACCUUUUGAAUCCAAACUUCACAAAACUUUUUGAGUGAUCAACCUAGGUAGAGAUGGCGAUGAUACACAUGAAAGAAGCACCAUCAACACCCACAAACUUUAUUAUGCAGGAUCAUCAAGCAUUCACUUGUCAUGACACCAAAGUAUGUUUCAUACUAUCAUAUAUGAACAAAUGAUGCUUAUGCUCAUGAAAUGUAAGUGCCAAAAUGCAAGACAAACACCUGGGGUGUUACAAUUUUGUUGGACUACCGGAGUUAUAUGGGCUUAAGUAUGAUAAAUUGAUCACUUUGGUGAUUGUUUUUGUACUUGUGCUCUUAUAUUUUGGACGGUUCUGUGACAACGAAGCCGUGGGACACCACCUCCAUGUCGUAGGAGAAGCCUGAGCAGAUGACCGCCAUCGCUCGCUUCACCCUGGUAUAAAGGGCAUCCCGCACUCGAUCCCUCAACGUGGCCCCUAAGUAGCACAACUGGUCGACUAGCGCAUCACCUCGAGCCGCCUCCCUCGACUCAUCCAAAGGCUCGAGCUCCCAGGAGGCCGAAUGGUCACUUAUCACAGUCCUUAGUCGACUAUUCAGAGCAACCUCCCCCUCGAGCUGAGCCUUGGUAGAACGGGGAUCGAUCUGUGCGGCCAGGAGAACAUCCUUAAGCCCUACAAAGAUCGAUAAAGGAAAGUUAGAAAGUACGCGAAAUAAGCUUGACCAAAAGAAACACGAAAGCCAGAUCAUACUUACCAGGAAUCUUUUCUUCGAGAGCCGUGUUCUCGCCCACCAAGUCGGUGUUGGCCCUCUCGAUCUCCUUAUAAGAAUGAGCCAAAUCAGUAUUUGCGACCCGCAAGUGCUCGAUCAUCUUACCCGCUUGUAAGACAGCUCCCUCCUUCUCCAGCAGCAUUUUCUUCAGACGGUCAACGUCGUCAAAGAGGCUGCGAGAACGGAUUCGCUCUGCCUCGAGGUCCUCACGGGCCUUCUUCUCGGCCCCCUCCGCGGUGCUUCGAGCGAUCUCGCUCUUCACACGCUCCUCCUUUAUCUCACGAUAAGCCUCCCGGGUAGAGGCGAGGUCUGAUUUAACGAGGUUCUUCUCCUCGACGAGCUCGACAGCCGCACCUUUGUAGCGUGCAGCCUCCUUUCGGGCCUUGGAAGCUGCCUCCUCAGCUAAGGCGGUCGCUCCCUCAACUACACGACCUCCUCUUUUGCCUUCUCUGAGGCCUCCCGAGCCUCGGUCAGGGCAGCCUCCCUCUCUUUUUUCUCCUCCGAGGCCACCAUGAGAUCGUUGUAAGCCUGGAGCAGCUUUUCUUGCGACUCAAGGAGUUGUUCUUUAGGAAGAGGGAGCUGCUCCCAACCACCUCUCGUCGCAUGGAUAAAGCCCGACUUUAGGCGGGAGGUCUCUUUUAGAUCCUACAAGCAGAUAAUCAAACGAUAAGAAUACGAGACUAAGCACCCAAGUAGGUAAGGUCCAAAGAUACUUACGAAAUAGGCCUGGCCAAGCCUGUUGUUGACAAUGUCAGACAUAAGUCCCACAACGUGCUUCAUCUAGAGACGAAGCUCCUCGAGGUGCUCCCACUUCUCCGCCUCCUUUCGGUCAUCCAUCAUAAUAUUGGGCUCCUUCGGCCAGGUAGAGGCUCGAAGGCGGAUCUUCGCAGGGCCCCAGUUCUCCAUCUCCUCUUCCGUGCGUGCUUUGUUGCCCCGGAUGAGCUCUUGAAUGGUCUCGAGCGACCCCUGUUGACACUAGCUAACACCACUUAGAUACUAGGUUGUCAUCCCCAGCAUGGUGCCAGAGUGUACAAAGGUAUUUAUAAAUGUAAAGGCUUUCUAGAAAAUAAUCUAUUCUAUCCGCAAGCGCAUAGAUAAAACACCUCAUUGUAGCAUUUCACUAGGAUAAGUAUUCCAGGUAUUGUUAUUUAUAAUUUUGCUUACGAGGACAAAAGUGUGAAAUUAAGAUAAGGACUAAAUCUAUCAAGGCAUAGACUAGAGAUGGACUUGCAAGAAUAUGAUUACUAAUGAGAAACUCGUCACACAGUCACUUACUUUGGCAGGGGGUAAACCAUAAAGAUAAUGAUAAUGAGUUAUAAGUUCAUGGGUAAAUAACACAGUGAUUAGAAAAUAGACUACUCCUCAUAUAUGUAGGUGAUGUCGGAUUAGCUAGAGAAUGGAUUCUAAGUUAUCUACUAUCUACUAAGUCAUAAUCUACUCUAGUUAUCUACAAGAUCAUGUAUAGCAUAAAAGACUCUUCAUUUAUGUAUAAGGAACAUUGCUAAAGUAAAUCAGAACAUCGUAAGACUUACUCCGUAAUACAAAUUCUGCCUGUCCUAUCGACAGAGGGUGGACUAUAUAAGAAUCAACGAAGCUGUCACUAUCGCGAACUACCACACGACCCGGCCAAUAGGAUACAUUUGUAGGUAAAUAACAUCUAAGCACCAUGCCCACAUCUCCUGUGUUGGCUCUUGUGGUUGUGCUUGUCAAACCCAUGGGUCUCGAAGGACUCGAGGGUUGUAGUCGCAAUAGUAUAGGUGCGCUUCUUCUUCUGGUCCGAGAUCAGCUCCAUACCAAGUGCGUUCUCGAUGGGUGGUCAUCCUUUCAGAUGCCACUCGCUGUGGAGCUCUCUGGUUCACCGGUGUUACUGCAAUCUCAAUAAAAAAAAUUUGAACAACAUAGAGGCCAAGGUUCGGGUUAGGUAACCGAAUCUUGCCUUUAUUAUCAUAUAGCAUAUACAUUAUGUUCCCCUCUUUCUUUAACAUCCGAGCUUGUCUAAAUGUGUCAUAGCCAUGAUAAAUUCUUAACUCAUCUAUGAAUUCCAGUGAUGAAUUUUCUAGUAAAUGAAGAUUAAAGGCUAGACGAGUGAUAAGUGAAGUGCAUCCUACCGGUACCUGAAGACUAGGUAUACUAAGCCAAUGAGAAAACAAAAGUGUAAUAGGUGAAGUGGGUACUUUAUUAAUAGCAGCAUAUAAAAGUUGUAAAUCUUCUACUCUUACUUUCCUAAUGUCAUCACGAUAGAAAAGAUUGUACCCAAGCCAUUUGUGGAACAUCCUAAGAGUGGGGUGUUCCAUGUCACUGGUCCGGGCUUGACUAUAAAAAUUAUCUCUAGAUAUCUCUCUCCAGAACUGGUGUCUCUUAAAAUUAGGUAAGUCGGAGUCAAUGUUCAGGAUGCAUCUUGAAGAGAAACCAAGAUGGUCGCUGAGUUCUCUCCAAGACAACAUAAUCUCCUGUUUGAACAUCCGAAAUACAAUUCCCCCCUCGUAAUAUUGUAAAGUGCAAAGAAAUUCAAGAGUGAGAAGACGAGAACCUAGCUCAGUUAUGUUCCAAAAAUUUGUCCAACCUAACAUCUGGAAAAUUAAGUCGAAUUCAAUGUCCAUACCUGUUUCUUGUAGUAAGAUUGGAUCGAGAGUAGCGGUGUGAAUGAAAUCUUUGUUCUUUAGUUGCUAGUGGACUUCCUUUUACCUGCGGGUCUUCAGUCCAAGGUCUCCUAUCUUGAGAAGGACCUUGACUUGCUGAUCAGAUGAAGAUGACGGAGCUUGUGUGGGCGUUGGAUCGACGCUCAUCUCUAACGGGUGUGAGGAGUGUCGGGAUAAACUCCUUGUACCUAUGUUCUUGAGGGCCUUCCGUGCGUUCUUCACCUUCUUGAACAUCCUGUAAACAAAAGUUGGCAAAAACACAACUAGUGGAAAAUGUGAGAGAAAAUGUUAGUGGUCAGUUGUCCGAAAUGUCAGUAGUCCAGGGGUUAGUCGUUCAAGACAAGUUUUUAUUUUGGCAGCACCUCCCCCUAAACAACUAUUACUUCCGCUUGGACAGGAGGAUCACUACUUACUAGGUGAAAUUCACUCUCUCACUCAAAAACUACCAACUUCUUUCCCACUCUUCUCUUUCUCUCUACUCUCUUCUCACUUCACUACAAAAGCUCCUUCUCUGAAAAUUGAAACUUGCGUGGUUUUCUAGAAUGCUUGUGUGAUGGAGAUGGAGGCAGGAGGUGGCAAUUUAUAGGAGGAAGAGGGGGCGGCGCGGGCACCCUUGGUAGGUGGGCGGGCGCCCACUUGUGGUGCUCAUCCUGGCUGCCCUUUCUCCACUCCCUCCUUUGCUUAAUCUUUGAGCCAAAAAAUAAUUCAAUGGUGGUGGCUGGUUGGUGGAAAAGUGCUGGUGAGUGGAGAUAUGUUGGUGAAUCAAAUAAUGUGAUGGGAUGUGUAUGAGGUGUGGUGUAUGACAUGUGGGACCCAAGGAGUGUGGGUCAUGCUUCUAUAAGGUUGCUAUAAUUAAAUAUAAUGUAGGAAAAUCUAUGAGAAUUGAAACUUAUUAAAAAUGAUCAUGGCAAAAUAUUUUUGUGCCUCCACAAUAACUAAUAAGUAUGGGUUGUUACACACCACAAAUAUUAUUUAUAUGGGGCUUUUCAUUAUUGUAAUAAUGCUAUAAAUAAAUAUGGAUAAUGCAAGAAUUAAAUAUGAGAGAAUUAAUAAUGCGGAUAAAUACCAAUUUACGUCCCGAUGAGGGUUUGGGAUUUUUAGGUCCCCCAAGCUGGACCUCCAAAUCUUUUAAUCUUCUGAAUUACCUUCAUCCGGAGAUGGUGUCUCCAGUGGUCCUUCUUUAUGAACUUCCUUCACUGUCGAGUCUCUCUCUAGUCUGAGCUUGAAUGUGAAGUGUUCUUCUUGUCCGUUUAUGUUGAAUUUGAUUUCUCCUUUCCCAACAUCAAUGUGGGCGUUGGCGGUGCUCAGAAAUGGCCUUCCAAGGAUGAUGGACACUUUUGAGUCAGGACCCAUGUCUAGUACUACGAAGUCUACUGGCACCAGGAAAUCUCUGAUCUUGACUGGAAUGUUUUCGGCGAUGCCCAACGGGUGUCGAACCAAUUGAUCUGCUAGUUGCAGGUACAUUGAUGUUGGUUCUAGGGUUGUAUGCUCAAGCUUUUUGUAGACUGAUGCUGGCAUCACGCUGACACUUGCUCCGAGAUCACAAAGUGCAUUGUUGAAGUGUUGGUUUCUGAUUGAGCAAUCAAUAGUGGGACAUCUAGGAUCUUCCUUCUUCUUUGGUGGUUUAUUAAGGAUGGCCGCACUACAUUCUUCUGUCAGCUUGAUAACCUCAGUGGUGGGCAGUGGUCUCUUCUUGUUAAGAAUAUCUCUGAUGUACUUUGCAUAUGUGGGUACCUGUAUGGCAUCAAGCAGAGGUAUGUUGACAUAUAAUUUCUGAAUGACCUCUACAAACUUAGCAAACUGCUCAUCCGACUGCAGUCCUCUGUUUCUACUGGGAAAUGGCAAAUAGUUGGUGCCGUAAAAAUCUUUCCUCAUUUCUCUAGUUCUUGGUGAUUGCAGCAGAUCUUCUGCUUCAACUGGGCUUUCUUCUUCUAUCACUGCUGGUUGCACUGGUGCUUAUGUUCUUUAUUUCUCUUUAGGGUAUGGGGGAUCCCUGGUGACUUUGCCUCCUCUAGUAGUUAUGUUCUUUACCUGCUCAAUGUUAGUAGCAACAGGCAGUGCAGCAGCUAACUUUAUUAAUUUAAGCUCUACCCUUUUAUUAAGAGCGUUUUGCUCAUCAAAGGCAGUUAAUAGAAAAUCCAUUUUAUUGUGUAUAUCUUUUAGAGAUGAUUCAUUUGUGUCUAGCCUUUGUUUAACUUCAUCAUUAAUUUUGGUUUGUUGAGCAAUUAUCUCUUUUAAUGAAAGUUGCUUGAAAGUAUUACCUGAAUUCUUACCUUUGCUAUUGGUUUGACUCGAGGUAGGCUGAUAUUUGUAUGCUGUCUCAAUGGCCCUUUGAUCUUCUUUGAACUUGGCCCUCUGGUCAAUCCAAUGGAGCAAAUUUUCCAUCUUGGUUUAUAGUGCUUUUACUUCUUUUGGUAUUUCUUCAGUUUGAUGACAUUGUUGAGCUUUAUUUUGGAACCAACUUUGGUUUUCUGCUAUCUUAUCCAAAAGUAUCUCUUCUUUUCCAAUUGUAAGCUCCAAGAAUGAUCCUUUAGCAGAUGCAUCUAGGCACUCACGAGCCUUCUGGGUUAAUCCAUGGUAGAAGGUCUGCAUAAGUAACCAUGUGGCCAUUCCAUGGUAAGGACAAUCUGAUAUAUAUCCUUGAAAAUGCUCCCAUGCUUCUGAAAUGGUUUCUGUCUUCUGCUGUUGGAAACUGACAAUAUUUCCUCUUAAGGCAGUAGUUUUGCCUAUAGGGAAAAACUUUGAUAGAAAGGCAUCUGACAAGUUCGUCCAGUUGCUGAUGUUAUCUUGAUGAGUGUAAAACCACUUCCUCGCUUUUCCUUCUAAUGAGAAUGAAAAAAGGUGAAGCAGUAUGACAUCUUUGUCAACUCCGUUGAUGUGGAUUGUGCUUCCAGUCUCUAAGAAAUUCUGCAAGUGUGCACUAGCAUCUUCAUGUGUCUUUCCCCUGAAUUGUGUAGCUUGUACCAAAUUCAUGAGGCUUGACUUGAGCUCAAACUCGGGUACUCCUUCUUCUACUGCAAAUCUUGGACCAGUUGGAAUGUUCUCAAGACUUAGAGCAGAGAAUUCUUGUAGGGUCUUCUGUGCCAUAGCUUCAGCAAUUGGUAGCUAGCUUCUUCUUCUCUUGAUUGCUUUGGUUCUGAUGAUGAAGAGUUGAAUGUACCCAAAGUCAAUCCUGAUAUACCCUGUAUAAAAAUGUAAACAUAGAAAAACAACAGGGUGAACCUGCCAAAGCAGAGGUGCCUUGUUAUGAUUUCUCACUUAGUAUCUGUUUAUGCAAUUAUUUAUCUACAGUCUAGUCUAAUAUUUUAUGUGAAUAACCUUGACUGAUUUCCUGACUUUCCUUAUCGUUCCUAUGUAUUACCCUUUUGGUCCCCGGCAACGGCGCCAGAAAUGCUUGUUGACACUUGCUAACACCACAUGAAUACUAGGUUGUCAUCCUCAGCAUGGUGCCAGAGUGUACAAAGGUAUUUAUAAAUGUAAAGGCUUUCUAGGAAAUAAUCUAUUCUAUCCGCAAGCGCAUAGAUAAAACACCUCAUUGUAGCAUUUCACCAGGAUUAGUAUUCCAGGUAUCGUUAUUUAUAAUUUUGCUUACGAGGACAAAAGGGUGAAAUUAAGAUAAGGACUAAAUCUAUCAAGGCAUAGACUAGAGAUGAACUUGCAAGAACAUGAUUACUAAUGAGAAACUCGUGACACAGUCACUUACUUUGGCAGCGCCUCCUCUUCAUGUAUAGUUAUCUUCUCUUUCCACACCUGACUCGGUGCUACGGUCUCCUCUGGAUAAUUAAACUGUAAGUCUUCUGACCUUACAACUUCUCCUUCAUAAUAAGCCCGUCCGUCCUUGAUGAUUUCCCUCCUCUCGUUGCGGUUGCGUCGUCUUCUUCUUGUCCUGACCUGCUUAGAGUCUUCAACGAUAUAGUUAGGGUCAGUAAAAUAGCGGCGUACCUUCUCUGAGGGGAAGUGCAUAUGGACUUCACCAGUUCCAAUGUAGAUGAUUGCUUUAACGGUGCUGAGGAACGGUCUUCCAAGGAUGAUGGGUGGAUCAUAUUCGUCUUCUCCCAUGUCAAUAACCUGAAAGUCUGUGUAGACAAAAUGAUUGUCUAUUUUGACAGGGACAUCAGUUACUAUACCUUUAACCUCUCGAAAUGUUUAAUCUGCCAUCUGGACCUGAAUGUAUGUUGGUUUUAGGGGCAUGGUUCCGAACAAGAGUCGAUAGGUGACUGCGGCCAUUAUGUUGACGCCCGAUCCGGUGUCGCAAGUCGUCUUGUAGAAGUUGUAUCCAUUUAUGGAGCAAUAUAUGCUUGGCAUUCCUGGGUUGUCCUUCUUGGACAAAAACGGUGACUUAAGUCGAUGAUCUUGAGCUCCUUGAACUGCAGUGACCAUCUUAGCUGACUCGGUCCACACUUGCUUGUUCCUGUUCCUCCUGUUGGUUCUCUUCCUCGGUUCAUGUCGAGAUUGCUCUGGGAUUUGUGUAGUCUUGUUCUUGAAGGAAAAUGUCUCCUUCCUCCCUUUGAUGUAGAAACUAAUCUUGGCAGCACUAGCGUAGAUGACAGCUCCCGAGGUGUUUAAGAAUGGCCUUCCUAAGAUGAUGGGUGCCCUCUAAUCAUUACCGGUCUCUAUCACCACAAAGUCUGCUAGGGCGUAUAAGGUACCAACUGGGACACAGAGGUUCUUUAAUAUUCCUUUUGGGAAACUUAUUGUCUGAUUUGCAAACUGCAAACACAUGGUUGUUUCUGAUAAAGGAUAUGUAAAGAAUUUUUCAUAGAGUACCCUGGGCAUAAUGUUGACACUGGAGCCAAAGUCGCAGAGUGCUUCUAGGAAGUCCACCUUGCCGAUGGAGAUCGGGAUGACGGGGCAUCCUGGAUCGCCUCUCUUGACCGGUAGAAGGUCAGUAGUAACUUCAGUGACGGGGCUACUCCAGUUACCUGCAUCAAACAUGACUACAAGAUUUGCAGAUUCUAAUCCUUCCGGUUGUGAUGGUAUACCAGUGUUAGUAGCAGGAACAACAGCAACUAUUUGAUUUAACUGAGAUUCAAUCAUCUUAUUAACACUAAUUUGAUUCUUGAUGGCAGUAGAGAAAUUAUCCAUUCUAUUAUUUAUAUUUUCUAGCAUUGUAUCAUUAGAUGCCAAUUUCUUAGAUAGGUUAUCCAUUACUUUCCUUGAUUAGACACUAACUCUCUCAUAGGUGGAAAAUUAUUAUUAUUGUUGUAAGAAUUGUUACCUUGAUAAUUACUUGAGUACUUAGGCCUCUGUUGAUUCCAACCUUGAUUUUGUUGAGGACGGUUGUAGUAGUAGUUGUUGUUGAUGUAGUUUACAUCCUCAAGUAUCUCAGGGCAGUGAUUGCCUAAGUGUCCAGUAUCUACACACUCCUCACAAGUCAUGCGAGAGUCAUAGAUGUGCAUAACUUCUUUCUUAUCUCCAGCUCUAUCAUCGAGCUUCUUCAUGAGCAGGUCUAGCUUAGCAGACAGCAUGUCUACCUCCUUGAGCUGAUGCAUACCUGCACCUCUCUUGCGUGUCUGGGUCCUUUCUUCAUUCCAGCUUUGGUUGGAUGCCAUCUUCUCCACAAGAGCUGUGGCUUGUGAUAUGGUAAGUGAUAGGAAUCCUCCUCCAGCUGCAGCAUCCAUGGUCUCUCGGGCACAGUUCCCGAGCCCAUGAUAAAACGUCUGCAUUAAUAGCCAACUCUCCAUUCCAUGAUGGGGACAUUCUAGGAUGUAGUCUUGGAAGCGCUCCCAUGCUUCUGGAACGGAUUCAUCAUGUUGUUGCUGAAAACUUGUAAUUUUCCCACGGAGAGCAUUGGUCUUGCCCAUGGGAAAGAACUUAGCCAGAAAGUUCGUGGAGCAGAGUGCCCACGUAUUAUUCUUCUCCUUUGUAGCGUAGAACCAUUGCUUCGCUCUUCCUAACAGUGAGAAUGGGAAGAGGCGAAGUAGUAUAGCAUCUCUGGGGACUCCUGAUAUGGUAAAUGUGUUGCAAAUCUCCAGGAAGUGUUGGAGAUGAGCACUAGCAUCUUCGUGUGCCUUCCCACAGAACUGGUUGGAUUGCUCCAUGUUGAUAAGUCUAGGCUUGAGCUCAAAGUUGCUGUCGAUAUCUGCAGUAGGUCCAGUGCGGAUGUUGUCCAUAGUGGGAGCUGAGAACUCGUAGAUUGAUCUGUUCGCCAUGGCUUCGAACUCUGAAGACAAGUUUCGGUGAUCUUCUUGAUUGGAUGAAGCUUCUUGCUGAAGUGUUGAUGAUCUCUUCUUGAGCUUGGCUCUUAUUUUUUUGAAUAACGCUUUGGGAUUGUCAACAAAAUUUCCUGGAGGAUGUCUUCUACUCAUACAUUACCCUACAUAAGAUAAAAUAGUAAAAUAUCGGGGUAAAACUGUACGAGAGAAUUAAUGAGCUCAAUCAUAUUAUUGAUGCGAAUGAUGACUCAAAAUGCUUGUUGGGUAUUCUUAACGUCAUUACCAAAGUUAGUUUUGUAAUUUUGAUAACGGCGCCAAAAAUGCCAAACCUAUCCCUCAUACCACUUAAGCCAUGUUGUCAUCCCCAGCAUGACAUGAGAGACGUGGUAUUAAAAUAUGCAAUUGCUCAUCUAAAUAAAUAAUAAAUGGGAUCUGCAAGUGCACAGAUUAAUACCGAUGUAGCAUUUUAACCGGGAAGUAUUCCAGGUAUCGUUAUUUAUAUUGUUACCACUGGGAAGGGAUUAGUAAUCAUCAAUGUUGAUUAUAGAAUGGAAUAUAUGAUUGAGUAUCUAUCAUUGCAUGUAUAAUUAAGAACAUUUAUCUAACUCUUUCAUACAGGGAUAAGUGUCACAUAAAGGAUAUAAAGCAAUGAAUAGUGACAAAGAUAAUUAAUCUGAUCAGCAUAACUUAGCCACAUAUAAAUAUGAUAAGCACCUCAAUUAGAUAUUCUAGCAAGUCAUUAGCAUGGAAUUAGAACGAACUACAAGAAUAUUUCGUAAGUUAUUCUUAACUAUAUAGUUUAGCAUAUUAUAGUUAGUGCAAUUAUACUUAGCAAUCAUUGUGAAACAGGACUACGCCCAUGCAUAGUGAUAUUAGCAAUGAAUAUGAGAAACAUCGUAAUCACUCCCCUAUAAUAAUGUUGCUCUGCCAGCCCAAUACACGAGAGGAGGACUAUAUAAGAAUCAAUGGAGCUGUCACUACCACGAUCUACCCCGCGAUCUGGCAUAUAGGGUACAAUCGCAGAUAAAUACUGUAUAAGCACCACGCCUACACAAUAUCUAUCAUUUACCCAUAGAUCAGAUGGAUAAAUCCUAUACGAUCCUAAACAUGUAUAGAAAUCCAAUCUAACUAAGCCAAAUAUAUAACUAUGAUAAACUAAGAACAAUAUAAUUGCGAAUAUAAACAAGUAGAGCAAAGUCAUAAGCAAUAUAUUGAAGUAGAACAAAGUCAUAUUCAUAAUAUUGAAGAACAAAGAUGAACAAUUGAAGAACAAUAGAGAAUUACUAAGAAUCCUCUUGACAGAUCCGAAAACCAAUCGAAUAUUGACUCCUUCUAGUUCUAAUCCUAUGUAGCUACGCUAAUCUAGAUAUCUAAUUGAUGUGGUGGCUCUAGGCUUGAUCAGAGGCUUCUUCUCCCUUGAUGAAUAAUGAAUUAGGGUUGAGAGGUCCUCUCCUCCAGGGGCCAGGGGGUCUGGUUUUAUAGUCCUUCCAAGUGAAUAUGGGCCGUCGGAUCAAACCGACAUUGAUUGAACGGUUAUCCUUGAUCCUUUAGGUCGGUGGAGCGUAAUCCCGAAAGAGAGUUCUCAUUGGACUCUAACAGGGGGCGGGCGCCCUGGUCCCUAUGGCGGGCGCCCUGGGCCAGGCUCCGUUUUGCCUCCGCUUCGUUCCUGUGGCUUCUGGAGUCUUCUAGAUGUAAGAUAAUUGUGUAGUACGUUAAUAUCACUAUGUAAUCCCUAUGUGUGGGCCUUUCUUCCAUAUUUCCUGAUAACCCCCUACAGAAUUAUACAAACACCAAAACUCGUGGAAUUCUAUCAGAUAAAACCCUAAGUCUAGAUGUUGAUUUCAUUUGGAUCCUUUUAUUUAUUUAUUUGUGAAUUAAAUUUGAUACUUAAGAUCGUCAACACUAUUCUCAAGGUUCCUCCACCUGGCCGGUCUUCUGCACUAGGUUGAGGCAGCUGUCCCACAUCGGCUUCCUCACCCCUGUGGCCCCACCAUUGGCACGGAAGAGCUCACCCCGGUAAAGAUGGAGCCACAGGUCCCAGUGCGGCAUCAUCCCCAAGUAGCCUUCACACACUACGGCAAAGAUCACCGCGGUAGUGAUGGCGUUCGGCGAAAAGUGCUGGAGCUCCACCCCGUAGUGAUGGCAAAGCGCCCUCAUAAAGAGGCUUGGGGGAGAGCCGAGGCCGUGGCGAUGAAACUUGGCGAAAGAGACCACGUACCCCGUAGGCGGUCUUGGCUCCCAGUGGUCCGCCGCCGGCGCGAUCCACUCUAGCCGCGACGAAGAAGUGUGGGGGCGCAGGAGCCCCUCCUUCUCUAGAUCCAACAACCGACGGACGCCAAUCGUCGGCGGCAACAAGUCUCACCGGCAUCUUGGCAGAAGAAGAAAGGUGGCUCUGCUGCUGUGUGCUCGAGGGUGCGAGCGCGUCAAGAAGGCAAGGAGAGCAAAGGCGAGAACAAUGGCAGAAAGCAGAAGGGGUAGCGGCCAAGAGAUUCGGCAAUAUUUAUAGACGUCCAACCCCAACGGGCAGAUCCGACAAAUGUGGUAACCUCCCUAGUAAAUGCACCGACUAACGGUCUUGUUACUCCCCCUGACAGGACGCUACAAAUUCCACAACGGCACAGUGCUGCAAUGGCACACUCCUAAAAAGGCGUGGCCAAUGAGCGAGAAAACAAACCACCAUGGCUCUUCCUUCCACAACAAGGUAAAAUAGGCGUGCGCCGCCAUAAGAACCUCAACGAGAUCUCCGGCGGUCAAGUCGCGCCUCUGCUCUCGGGUCGCUGGCAUGUGGGGUCCGUUGACUUGCGGGUCCCCCCUGUCAGUCUCUCUUUCUCCUUUGUUUAACUUAGGGUUUGAGCUAUUUUUGCAAAAAUCAUAUCUCCUGUUUCUGAGAUCCAAAAAUGGUGAAACUAAUUUUGUGGUGUUCCUUGAGAUGGCUAGUUUUUAAUAAAAAUAUAAAAUGAACCAUGUUUUCUGGGAAAAUAUUUAUUAGGAUUUAAUCUUGUUAUUCAUGAAUAAAUUCAUAUCUCUGGUUACACUGCUUAAUUUGCUCUGAAAAUUUUUUGGUAGUCUCUGUGUGAUACUAGAAUGCUAUGAUAAAUAUUUCAUGAUUUUUGGAGUACCGCAGCUUUGUUAUGUAAAUUAUGUUUGAGAUUUGGCUUGUUUCCUUGAUUAAAUCAUAUAAAAUAAUUGGUGCGUAUGCUGGUGUUCUACUUUGAUGGUAAACUUGUUUAUGACAUUCAUAAUAUGUAAAUAAUCUGAAAUCUGUUGUUUGACAUCAUAUAAGUCAUGUUUCUGAAUUUAUGAAAUAAACACCUUGUUACAUGUUAAAUGCAUAUCUUCAAUGUGGUAUGUGCAAUUGCUCUAAAAUUUUUAUGGUGAUGCUUUGAUGCUAUACUUGUGCUUCUGUAAUUUUUGUAGAUUUUUCUGAGCACUUUGACCAGUAUCUUGUAAUUAUGCUCCUUUCUUGAAUUAAUUAAUAAAUGCCUUGUUAAGUAAAUGUUUGAGGGUUAUCAUCUGGUGUUCUGGUUGUCUUAUGGUAUGCUUGUGCUCAUAAGCCAUGUGGUUGGCAUGGUUUAUGUUUUGGUUAUGUCAUCAAAUAAUUAAUUAAAGGGUUAAAGGCUGUUCUGGACAGCAAGGGAGUAAUUUAACUUUUGCUUAAUGAUAAAUUGGCUUUCUGGGAAACUUGUCUAAAUCAAAGUUGUUGUAAACUUAUUGAACUAGCUGUGGUUUAAAUUUGGGAUCAUUUGGUCCAGUUGUUUUGAAGUUAUAAUCUUUCCAAGUUAGGUUCCAGAAAUAGGUGUUCUCUGUUUUUCUGGGACAGAACCUGGAACUUUGUUUAAAUGACUUGUUUAAUAUAUGAAUCUUGCUAUGAUGUUUAAAGAUGAUUUGUAGACAAUUUCAUAAGCUUUCCAGAAUGUCCUCACUUAAGUUUGUUGGAUCUUUGUGGCAAUAGUUAUGAUCUGUUUACUGAGCUAAUCCUGCUGUUUGAUGCUUGCUGUUAUAAGAUAUCAUGUUAGGUUUUGGGCUAAGUUAACUUGUUAACUUGUGUGAACUUGUUAUAUCUAUUGCUCCGUAAAUGAGUGUCCAGUGGGUCACUUAUGUUAUCAAGCAUUCAUUCUUUUGUAUGCACACCUUCUCAUUCACUGAGCAUGCAAUAGGUGCAUCGGACGUGGCAGCCUCCUUCGAUCUGCAAGUGAACCCCGAAGGCCAAGUGGGCAGCCAGGAGGUGGAGGUCCAGCAAGUCGGACUCGAGGAGCCCGAAGAAGAAGUUGAGUGCCCAAAUCACGAGCCAGCCUCGUUCGUGAAAGGCAAGCCCCGGAGCAUUUUAAACCUCCCUUUACUUUCGAAAGUGUAUUUAAUAUGUUAUAUCUAUUGCUGCAUUUAAUUAUAGGAGUUGUGAUGAAACCUUUGCUGCAUUUUACUCUAUCCUUGUCCAGAUAACUCACCACACCUUGGUUAUAGAGUUAGGAUCGAGUAGCAGCUUAGCCAUGCUUAAUCGGUAGAAGUCGGGUGAUUUUCCGUCACCUGCGCGAUAUAGGGUUGUGUCGGAUCACGAUGGUCUAUAUGUGCUAUCGUGGAUGGAACCUGAUUAAUUUGACUUAAGUCGGGCGGAGUUUUGCAAGGUUGUAGUAACUCCAUCUGUGGCAGCUAAGGACUGAUCGUUGUACGUCCUCUUGUCAUGUUGAACGCAUGCCUAACACUUAGUUGGCCGGAUAACUCGUUCCGACCGCGAAGCCGAGUAGUAUGACUCAGGCCGGAAGACCGGCAAGUAUAAAGUGCGCACUACCGGAGGAAGUGCGGUGUGCGGGGGAACAUUGGCGUAAGCCCAAAGGCAGGUGAGUUAAAUUUCCUGACCUCCCUGGCAGAGUGGUAGCCCUGGAAGUGCGGCGCUGAUCGGAGCCACGAUUCUUGAGUUGUACCAAAGGGGACCCGUUGGCUCUCCGACGGGGGAUGCUUGGGUGAGUGCUAGGAAUAACCCUCCAGCUGGAUAGGAAUUCAAUUCAAAUCGCCGUCUCUCCCGGUUAGUGAGAACUUGACAGAGCAGCGGCAAAUGUAGCAUUCACUAAUGAACUUGGUUCAUGAUAAUGAUGAUAGCAAGGAAGAACAUAUGAUGAACUUGAUAUGGUUAUUAUUGCUUGUAAUAAUCAAGUGAAGUGCUUUAGUUCAGGUGCUAAUCUAGUGGUAGGCUGAUGAUAAAUAAAUAUGAUGCUCUUACAUUGGGUUAGUCAUAAUAAAGGCUUUUGGCAAAAUGUUGAGUCAUCCAGCUCUACUUUUAUUUUUAGCCUUGCAUGAUCCUUGGUGUCUUUUAUGUUUUACUAGAUGGGUAAGUCUAGCUAAGUACAUUCUCGUACUCAGGGUUUAUUCCCACCUGUUGCAGAUGACAUCUUUUAUGACGGCUUCUGCAAGACCUGUCUCCAUCCCGCUGGGGAUGAGGACUAACCGUUGGGCACGGUUCUCUAACAAACUCGUACCUGUUGCUUUUGGAAGGAUGGUGUAGACUCUAGCAAUAACAAAAACUUGUGAACUGAACUUUGAACAAGUGUGUGUAAUUAUUUUGCUUCCGCUACUUCGAACUUGGGUUGUAAUAACUUAAUGACUCCGAUGUGGUGCCGCUUCGAUGACAAUGAAUGACUAUGUAACAUUCGCUGUGUUGUGCUGAAUUAUUACGAUCUUGGUUUGUUGCAAGUUGGUUUGAAGUCCUUCAUGAUUUCAAUUGACUACCGGGAUUAUAUGGGCUCAAGUUUGGAAACUUGAUUGCUUGUUGAUCGUUUCUACACUUGAACUCUUAUAAUUUGGUCGGUUCAGUGACAGCGGCAAGGGUUCUCACUUGGGUUACCCGAUAGGAGCUCAUCUUGGGGUGAUGACACUCGCUCCACCAGGAGCACGUCACAACCCCAACCUCAAAAAGGCAAAACUGGUCAGCAAAGGCUCAAUGCCCUUCUUCUAUAACGAACGUCUUUCGGUGAAAGGGGGGAUCGGGAGCGAACUCAUCAGAAAAAGCAGUAUAGCCUUCUAAGGAGCCCAAGACUCCUUAAAAGACAUGGGGGCUACCCCCACGAGGGUCGCUCGUGCGACCCCACGGAAACUCGACCAACGGAAAAGCCUCUACUCGAGCGCAAGCUGUCACAGAACCGACCAAAUUAUAAGAGUUCAAGUGCAGAAACGAUCACCUAGCAAUCAAGUUUCCAAACUUGAGCCCAUAUAAUCCCGGUAGUCAAUUGAAAUUACGAAGGACUUCAAACCAACUCGCAACAAACCAAGAUCGUAAUAGUUCAACAUAAACACAGCGAAUGUUACAUAGUCAUUCAUUGCUGUCGAAGCGGCACCACAUCGGAGUCAUUAAGUUAUUACAACCCAAGUUCGAAGUAGCGGAAGCAAAAUGGUUACACACACUUGUUCAAAGUUCAGUUCACAAGUUUCUGUUACUGCCAGAGUCUAUGCCAUCCUUCCAAAAGCAUCAGAGACGAGGUUGUUAGAGAACCGUGCCCAGCGGUUAGUCCUCAUCCCCAGCGGGAUGGAGACAGGUCUUGCAGAAUCCGUCAUAAAAGAUGUCAUCUGUGGGAAUAAACCCUGAGUACGAGAAUGUACUCAGCUAGACUUACCCGUCUAGUAAAACAUAAAAGACACCAAGGAUCAUGCAAGGCGAAAUAUCAAGUGGAGCUGGUUGACUCAACUUUUUGGCAAAAGCUUAACUUACAACUAAAUUAUUUAGAGAGCAUCAUAUUUAUUUAUCAUCAGCCUACCACUAGGUUAGCACCUGUACUACAACACAUCACUUGAUUAUUACAAACAAUAAUAACCAUAUCAAAUUCAUCAUAUGUUCUUCUUGCUAUCAUCAUUAUCAUCAACCAAUUUCAUUAGUGAAUGCUACGUUUGCCACUGCUCUGUCAAGUUCUCACUAACCGGGAGUGUCGGUGUUUUCCCCCGGGGGGUCACACCAACGAGUAAAUUUGUAUGCGUGCUCCCUUUCCCGGAUGGUGAUGCAAGAAGACACAGAGAUUUAUCCUGGUUCGGGCAAGAGAAGGCCCUACGUCCAGCGGGGGGGAGAGAGUUUGUAUUAUCUCGCACCUAAGUGCUUGUACAGGGGCGAAUACAAGCGUGGUAUGAAGUGUGGAGCUCUACUACGUAUGAGCGUGGUCUUGUGUCGUGAUCCCCCUGUUCUAUUCCUGAGUCCCUCCUUUUAUAGUUCCAAGGAAGGACCUAGGGUACAUGUAUAGGUGUAGGAAUUGAGUCGAUAGCAGCAUGGAGCGCUGACCUACUCGAGGUUUCCGUACCGGCAUGACCUCGAGCCGUCCCGUCUUAAUAGUCUGGUGAUGAUCACGCGUGCCCCUGCAUUCUGCUCUGCGCGCCGUCUUGGAUUGGUUCGACGGAUGCACGCUUACAUGGCUCGGCGGCAAAUCUGGCGGAGCGGUUACGGCCUGGUCAGUCGACGCCCGACUCGUCUCCAGGAAGGAGCCUGGUGAAGUCGAGGGUCGGAUGCCGUACGAGGUGUCGAUAUCUGGAGCGCUGACCUUGGGUGUCUCGAGGGGGUCCCGAUUAGACGUUCCAUCCUUGUUUCCCGCGUCCUGACACGCCCUGGGUCGUUCGGUGGGAAGGCUGCAAAAAGAACGAUGGGACAGAAGCCUGUUCCCUAUCGCGCCUCCCGUGACCCGUGUGUUAGGUGGGGAAGCGUUAGGUGCAUUAAAUGCCCUGGCUCUCGUGCGCGCGUCAGGCGGCGGACAGUGUCCUUGCGCUCGACGCCUCUCGGUUCGCUCGAGCCCGCUUCCGUAUUCGACGGCAGUUGUCGCUCGAGCCCUGACCGAUUCGCUCGACGCUAUUUCCGUCUUCGAGGCUGCGGCCGUCGAUGGCCGCGCGUGUGUACGGAUGGUCUCGUUAUACGCAUUGGUGAGGGUACCCCUUGUUGAUACCCUCGACAGGGAGAGACGGCAAUUCGAAUCGGAUUCCUAUCCAGCUGGAGGGUUAUUCCUAGCACUCACCCAAGCAUCCCCUGCCGGAGAGCCAACGGGUCACCUUUGGUACAACUCAGGAAUCACGGCUCCGAUCAGAGCCGCACUCCCAGGGCUACCACUCUGCCAGGGAGGUCAGGAAUUUUAACUCACCUGCCUUUGGACUUACGCCAAUGGUCCCCCGCACACCGCACUUCCUCCGGUAGUGCGCACUUUAUACUUGCCGGUCUUCCGGCCUGAGUCAUACUACUCGGCUUCGCGGUCGGAACGAGUUAUCCGGCCAACUAAGUGUUAGGCAUGCGUUCAACAUGACAAGAGGACGUACAACGAUCGGUCCUUAGCUGCCACAGAUGGAGUUACUACAAACUUGCAAAACUCCGCCCGGCUUAAGUCAAUUUAAUCAGGUUCCAUCCACGAUAGCACAUAUAGACCAUCGUGAUCCGACAUAACCCUAUAUCGCGCAGGUGACAGGAUAUCACCCGACUUCUACCGAUUAAAGCAUGGCUAAGCUGCUAUUCGAUCCUAACUCUACAACCAGGGUGUGGUGAGUUAUCUGGACAAGGAUAGAGUAGAAUGCAGCAACAGUUUCAUCACAACUCCUACACGUAAUGCAUCAAUAGAUAUAACAUAUUAAGUAACUUUCGAAAAUAAAGGGAGACUUAGAAUGCUCCGGGGCUUGCCUUUCACGAACGAUGCCGGCUCGUGAUUCGGGCACUCAACUUCUUCUUCGGACUCCUCGAAUCCAGCUUGCUGGACCUCCACCUCUUGGCUGCCCUCUUGACCUUCGGGAUUUACUUGCAGCUCGUAGGAGGCUGUCGCGUCCGAUGCACCUAUUGCAUGCUCGAACAAUAAGAAGAUGCGCAUGCUAACGAUGAAUGCUUGAUAACAUAAGUAACUCACUGGACACUCAUUUACGGAGCAAAAGUGAUACUAGCUCACAAAAGUAAUUAAGUCAACUCAGCCCACAACCUAUCAUGAUACCAAAACAGCAAACAACACAAAACAAGUGCACUCAGUAAAUAAAUCAUAACUAAUGAUAGACAGAUCCAACAAUUAUGAGUGAAGACAUUCUGGAAAGCUUAUGAAAUUGUCCACAACUCAUCUUUAAACAUGACAACAAGAUUCAAAUAUUAAACUAGCCAUUUAAACAAAGUUCCAGGUUCUGUCCCAGAAAAACAGAGAACACCUAUCCCUGGAACCCAACUUGGAACAGCUAUAAUUUUGAAACCACUUGGCCAAAUGACCUCAAAUUUAAACCACAGCUAGUUCAAAAAGUUUAGAACAACUUUGAUUUAGACAAGUUUCACAGAAAGUCAAGUUAUCAUUAAGCAAAGUUAAAUCCUUUCCUUGCUGUCCAGAACAGCCUUUAACCCCUUUAAGUAAUUAUUUAAUGACAUGACCAAAACAUAAACCAUGCCAACCACAUGGCUUAUGAGCACAAACAUAUUACAAGGUUACCAGAACAUCAGAUGGAAACCCCCAAACAUUUACUUAACAAGGCAUUUAUUAAUUAAUUCUAGAUAAGAACAUAAUCACAAGCUAACAGUCAAAGUGCUCAGAAAAAUCUACAAACAUUACAAAAGCACAAGUAUAGCACCAAGACAUCACCAUAAAAAUUUCAGAGAAAUUGCACAUACUAAAUUAAAGAUAUGUAUUUAACAUGUGCCAAGGUACUUAUUUCAUAAAUUCCAAAACAUGACUUAUAUGAUGUCAAACAACAGAUUUCAGAUUAUUUCUGUAUUAGGAAUACCAUAAACAAGUUUACCACCAAGGUGGAACACCAGCAUAAGCACCAAUUAUUUUAUAUGAUUUAAUUAAAGAAACAAGCCACAUUUCAAUCACAAAUUACAUAUCACAACUGCAGUGCUCCAAAAAUCAUGAAAUAUUUAUCAAAUGAUUCUAAUACCAUACAAAGGCUACCAUAAAAUUUUCAGAGCAAACUAAGCAGUAUAACAAGAGAUAUGCAUUUAUCCAUGAAUAACAAGAUUAAAUCCUUAAUAAAUAAUUUCCAAGAAAACAUGGUUCAUUUUAUAUUUUUAUUAAAAACUAGCCAUCUCAAGGAAUACCACAAAAUUUGUUUCAACAUUUUUGGAUCACCAGAACUAGAGAUAUGAUUUUUGCAAAAACAGCUCAAACCCUAGUUUAAACAAAGGAGAAAGAGAGACUGAAAGAGGGGACCCGCAAGUCAAGGGACCCCACCUGCCAGUGACCCGGAAGCAGAGGCGCGGCUUGACCGCCGGAGAUCUCGUCGACGGCGAGGUCUCGGCGCUGGCCAAGGGCACCAUCGUGCUCCCCACUGCAUUCCGCAUCUAGCGGUACCCAAAACCCUAACUCUACCGGCCUCUAGGUACCUUGCCCUCGCAAAUGGAGGCACGGCGGUGGUGCGUGGCCGACCGCCGGCGUCUCUGGCCGGAGAUAGAGCAGAAGAGAAUGCGGACGAGCAACAGCAAGACCUAGCGGAGCUUUUGGGACAAGAAUGAGGAAGAAUGGUGGACUACAGAGCCCUGGCCACGACGCCGGUGGCCAUGGCAGAGCUCCGGCGAGGUAAGCCCGCGACGGAGAAGGCAAUGCGGGCUCACCGAAGCUCGGCAGUCGCAGUCAACUCGACGAUGGUGAAGUGGAGAGGCUGGCGGAACGCUGGGCGGAGUUGCUUGGCCGGAGACACGGAGACACGCGUGCGCGAGCUCGCCGAAACCAUGGCGCCGACGCAGAGACGACGACGCACGUGAGAGGGAGGGAACCGGGAGUGGAAUGGCGCUGUCGACGCGACCGGGGGCGCCGUGGCGAGCCGUAGGACGAGCGGAGGACUGACGAGCGGGGCCAACGGCGACGUACGGACGCCACGGGUCCAGACACGUGGCGUCACCGGCGAGCUCCCCCUGUCUGACGGUGGCUCCAUUCAGUUCCCAAACCGACUGAAACUCGAUUUUGCCCGACGAUUAACUCUCUAACCACUCGAUGAUUUUGCUGGCUAAUUGCUCUAUGCUGGAGAGCUACAUGAGCACUCCAACAUUGCUUACAAGAUCAAAUCUUGAUUCGGCCUAGAAUUCAAACUGGAGGAUGAACAAUACCCCCUCGAGCAAACUGCAGUGAUUCCAGACUUAGAAAAUUUUCCAAGUGUUGGAAACAGCCCCAAAUUUGCCUUGUGGGUCAAAUUUGAGCUAUUUGUGAUCAUUUUCAUGAGAUGGCCAUAAAAGGACUUUUGUUCCUUAUAAAAUUUGCUACAGCUUUGCUGUAGAAAGUUUUGACAUGCAAACAUUUUAUGAAACACUUUUUAAAAGCCUAAGCAAAAGAGGUUUCUAAGGCCUAUUUUCAUAAGUAUGACAUAAAAGCAUAUUUUGGAGAAGUGACCAACAUGAACAUUGUUCCCAAAGUCAAGUUAAGCAUAGAUAAACUAAUUAACAAGGCAUUGAGCACAAACACAAGCAUGGUUCACUCAAUCAUAAGCAUAGGAAGACUAUUUAAGCAAUUUAAACCACAUUUUUGCAUAAAAUAACAUUCAGCUUGACCAGCCGUUUGGGGAUGAUAAGCAGAGCUACGGACUAAAUGAGUACCAAUUUGCUCAUGCAGACAUUCCCAAAAACGAGCAGUGAACUGUGGUCCACGAUCUGAUAUGAUUGUUCGAGGCACACCAUACUGACGAACAAUGUGCUCGAAAUACAACUUUCCAUACUGAUGUGGGCGAUAGUCAGUUCGGACUGGAAUAAAUCGAGCAACCUUGGCCAAACGAUCUACAAUCACCCAGAUGGAGUCAUAACCCUUAACAGAAAUUGGGAGUCCACUGAUGAAAUCCAUGCUGACUUCUUCCCAUUUCCAACUAGGAAUUGAUAAGGGUUGAAGCAAACCAGCUUUCAUGUGAACAGCCUUCACACGACAACAAUUGUCACAACGAGCGACAAAAGCAGAUAUCUCCUUUUUCAUCUUUGUCCACCAAAACAAAGGUUUCAAAUCAUGAUACAUCUUGCUACUACCAGGAUGGAUAGACAAUUUGGAUGAAUGAGCUUCAGAUAGGAUCUGAUUUCGCAGUUCACGGUCUUUUGGGACUACAAGUCGAUCCUUGAACCAAAGGAUUCUGUCCUCAUCAACCCGGAAAUGCUUGGUUUCUUCUUCCUUCGAUUUCCUCUUUAUAUGGUGGAUGCCUACAUCUAUCCGCUGCAAUUCGAUGACUCGAUUGCGAAGGGUACUCUCCAGAGAAGUCUGGUUGAGCACCAGUGGAUGCAUAAGGUGUGACCACAACGGAUCUUCCACUUGGAUUGAGUGACAGUGCGCUUUCCGACUCAAGGCAUCCGCCACUACGUUUGCCUUGCCUGGAUGAUAGUGCACUUGGAGAUUAUAAUCUUUAAUCAACUCAAGCCAUCUUCGCUGCCGCAUAUUCAGUUCAGGUUGACUGAAGAUAUACUUGAGGCUCUUAUGAUCGGUGUAGAUAUUACACAGAUUACCCAGCAGAUAAUGCCUCCAGAUUUUCAAAGCAUGAACAACUGCUGCCAAUUCUAAGUCAUGAGUAGGGUAAUUGACCUCAUGCUUUCGAAUUUGGCGCGAGGCAUACGCGAUAACGCGACCUUCCUGCAUCAACACACAGCCUAAACCAAUGCCUGACGCGUCACAAAAGACAUCGAAGGGCUUCUCGAUAUCAGGUUGAGCUAGGACAGGAGCGGAUGUCAGCAAUGUCCUCAACUUGUGGAAUGCCUCUUCACACUCAGGUGUCCACACAAACUUUUCAUCUUUCUGAAGUAGACGAGUCAUAGGCUUGGAUAUUUUGGAGAAUUCCGGAAUGAAUCAACGGUAAUAUCCAGCAAGACCGAGAAAACUCCGAACCUCGUGUACCGAAGUUGGAACUUUCCAAUCCAGCACUUCUUGCACCUUAGCCGGAUCCACCGAUAUGCCUUCUUCAGAUAAGACAUGGCCCAAGAAAGGUACUUUCUUUAGCCAAAACUCGCAUUUGCUAAACUUAGCAUAAAGCUGAUGUUCGCGCAGACGCGACAACACUAUACGCAAAUGCUCUGCAUGCUCCUCUUCAUUGCAAGAAUAUACCAAGAUAUCGUCAAUGAAGACCACCACAAACUUGUCCAAUUCGGGCAUGAACACUGAAUUCAUAAGAUACAUGAAGUGAGCAGGUGCAUUCGUCAAACCGAAGGACAUGACAAGGUACUCAUACAGCCCAUACCUCGUCGAGAAAGCUGUCUUAGGUACAUCUUCAGGACGGAUCUUGAUUUGAUGGUACCCAGAUCGCAAAUCAAUCUUGGAGAAUACUUUAGCUUUAGACAACUGAUCAAACAAGAUAUCAAUGUGAGGAAGAGGAUAUUUGUUCUUGAUAGUCACCGCAUUUAGGGGACGAUAGUCCACACACAUGCGCAAAGAUUGAUCCUUCUUCUUCACAAAGAUAGCCGGACAACCCCAAGGAGAAGAACUAGGACGAAUAAGACCCUUCUUCAACAACUCAUUUAGUUGGGUCUUAAGCUCAGCUAAUUCAUUGGGUGGCAUUCUAUAAGGUCUUCUAGAGAUAGGAGCGGUAGCUGGAAUCAAUUCAAUUUUGAACUCCACAUCCCGAUCCGGAGGAAGCCCGGGAAGAUCCUCAGGAAAAACAUCCGGAAACUCACACACCACCGGAAUAUCCUGAAUAGCCUUAGAUGUAACUGCAUUCACAGUGCUACGGAUUUGAAUAUCACGAGGGAGUUGCACUAGAAAUGCCUCCUUGGUAUUUGGGUCUUUCAACAUCACUACACGAGUGGUGGUGUCGAUAAGAACUCCAUUGCACCUCAUCCACUUCAUCCCCAGAAUUACAUCUAUGCCCACACCGGGUAGAACAACCAAAUCAGCAAGAAACUGACGGCCUCCGAUUUCCAGAGUUGCCCCCAAAACCACUUGAUUGGUGGAAAUAUCAUUUCCCGCAGCACUAAUACAAUAACUGCCCUUAUCAAGUGUAAUGGCCUUGAUGUUAUGCUUAGACACAAAUUCAGAACUCACAAAGGAAUGCGAUGCUCCAGAAUCAAAAAGCACGAGUUCAUCAUGUUGAUUUACCAGAAACUUACCAGCCGUGACUACCUCACCAGCAGGGAUUGCUUCCACAGUGGUGUAGUGAACACGCCCCUGACGAACGUUCCCUUGGCUGCCCUUCUUCGGUGGGUACGGACAGUUGCUCUGCCAAUGCCCGGUCUGAUUGCAGUUCCAGCACGGACGGUUGGCAGGUGGAGUCUUGGCAUAGUUGGGACCCGUGUUGCCCCUAGGAAGAGCAAUAGAGUAUCCCUUGCGAAAACCCGUCUUCGCCUGAUUCUUCUUCACCGGAGGGUGGUAUCGCUGGUUGGGGGUUGGAGCACGGAAUGGGGGCAUAGUUGCCACUGGAGCCUUGGACUGAGAUGACCCGACACCGGCCUCAAAGGCCCUCUUGCGAGUUUUGGUCGCAGUGUACACAGUGUUAUAGUUCUCUUGAGUGAGAGCAUCACUGACAAACUCAUUGAAAGUUGCACACUUAGUGCGGCCCAUAGUCUUCAGCAAUUUGGGGCCCAAACCCCGCUUGAAGCUAGCAAUCUUUUUCGUCUCCGUGUUCACAAAUUCAGGAGCAUACCUAGACAAAUGAUUGAAAGCAUGCAAAUACUCCUUCAGAGUCUUGUUGCCCUGAGUCAACUGCAUUAACUUGGUAUGCUUCAUCUCCAUAACACCAGGAGGAAUGAAAUUCCCUUUGAAAGCCUCACGGAACAGAUUCCAAUCAAUCACAGUGUCAGCCGGAAGAGCUUCUCGAUACUGAUUCCACCAGAUGCCUGCCGGACCUUGCAGUUGGUGAGCGGCAUACUCUGCCUUCAGACCUUCAGUCAACCGGAGUAAGCGGAACUUUUGUUCCACCGUAUUGAGCCACUCUUCAGCUUGAAGGGGUUCUUCAGCUUCUCUGAAGGGUGGGGGCUUUGUAUCCAUGAAGUCCUUGAAGCUACUGUACUGGUUAGGAGCUGGCCCUUCCUGUGCAUUACGACCACCCUGAUUUGCCAUCCGAUUGAUGGUCUCAGUGAGCAUCCUCUGAUUUUCCACCAUCAUUUGCAUCAGCUCAGCUGGAUUUGGUGGUGGGGGAGGAGGGGGUGGAUUCAUGUUUGCACGCUGUUCCGCACCUCGGGUGCCACGAGACAUCUGUAAAGACACAGUCAGUGAGCAUUGAUGAUGACAAGAUUUGCCGCAGAAGAACUUAUAUUCAUGCCUGAAAGUAUUCAAGAGAAUAGCUUUACAGAAAGGCACAACAAUUCAAUUCCACAAAACAACAUCACCAAUCCAACACAUGACAUAGAUAUCCGCAAUACGCACCACAACAGAAAACAUCGGCAUAGCAUAACGAUCAUAAAAGACUGCACAUUGGGUCCAUAAAGUUAUUACACCAUCACAGUACAUGCCAUGAGUCAAGGUCAAAGUUUCGGGUUACAACAUGGUUACAAAAGCACCACGGCUGACUGGCAUACUACAAAAGAUCCUCGCAUAACACUACCCACUACUCCCUACACUCCAGGCUCAUCGUCCGAGUCAGCGUCGAAGAUCGCCUCUCCAUCCUCGUCGCUAACCGGCUCAAGCUCCUCGUCCUCCACGUCCUCAUGCAAAGGUGGUGCAGCCGCUGCUUGUCCAUCGACCUCCAUACCAUCAUCAUCGGCCACAAUCACCUAAGGUCCCACCUCUGGAUACACGGGUAUAGGGCGAGGAAUAGGGUGUAGAAAGUUGUUGAGACGGUGAAUCUCUACAAGACCAGCCUCAAUCUGAUCCUGCAGAUAGUUCUCCCGCUCAAGCGACUGAACUCGGUGCAUCUCCCAUGCCUGGCGCCUGUUCUCCGACACGCGGAGUGCAGUAUCCCUCUCACGGGUGAGCUGCACCAAGCGCUCCUGUAAGGUCUCCCUCUCUUUGGCUAACUGGCUCAUUUGAUCCUGCUUAGGAUCCCUCUCUCUAAUGGCCUUCACCCACUGCAGCCUACGAUACUCCGCAAUGUCUUCCCAGUCAUUGCGGUCCUUCUGAGCUUGCUCCAGGAGUCUAGCUUGCUUGUGAAACUUGCGAGCACGCUUUUCAGCCUUCCGCUGCAUCUCCUGGGCCCUGCGAACAGCCACCAUCACCUGUGCAUAGGUGCCCUCUUGCUGACUGAUCAGCUUGAGCACAGCCAUCAUAGCACUCAUAGCAGGACUAGAACUCUCAGCCCUCUCUUCCCUGCCUCGAACCAAAGCACAACCGUCAGCCUGUUUCCACUCCGCUGCUGCUGGGUCAGCACUGGGAAUGGAGGCCGCUAGUCCUCCCGUCAGCUCGUCACCACACCUCUGACAGAUAUCGAGCAGGAUAGUCUAGGCUGCAACCUGAGCUGCCUCCCAGGGAGUCUGCCCAUCUGAGCAGCAAGUCCAGCCUGUCCAUGCAGGCUUGUCCCCAUGUGGAGGGACAACUCCCUGCACACCAAACCACUGAAUCCCUCCUGUGCUCUCCAUCUCCCACCAAGAAUACUGAGGUGGCUCAGUGUACCCAACAGUCCGUAACACUCUCCAAAGCAGGGUAGGAGUGCCAAACUCGUGCAAGAAAGUGUCACUGGGAUGGGGUGAAGCGGGUGCGUCCAUCUAUGGAAAGGAAUAGAAAUACCAUGGGUAAAAGAGGAUUAGUUUAAGCAAUCAUUUAUUUAUUUAAAAGGGAUGAAAUUGUAAGAGAAGGAGUAGACAGAAUGUAUGUAUGAAUGCGACAUGAUGCAUGCACGAACCGUACGUCCUCACAAACUUAGAAAAUUAAUAUUCUAACGGAUAUACGGUGGCAUACAUUCGUCUCUCGAUACGAUAACUAUCGGUUUACACGUGCGCUGUUAGAGUACCUGCAGAAAAUUUCAUUUCAGCCCAACAGUUCCCAAUAUAUCACUCAAGAAAGCAGUAAACUAAGUGCACAUUGCUUGGGCAUGCCAACAUGCUCAAACAAUGACACCACAACUACCUGAGAAAUUAAAUACUCCCCAAUUACGUUUCUUUCGUGGUUCCAUGGUUUCGACAUGUAACCACUCCAGAAAACCACCGCGAACACUCCCCUAGACCGCCAUUUGGACGAUCACGCUCUCACAGCUAACACUUACCGGGGCGUAGGUGCGACGUUGCAUAAUUUAAAUCUAGCAACAAAUGUGGCUAAUUCACAUAUGAAGGCUACGUCAACCAUUAGACCACAGUGUAGCAUAGUGCGGUCAUCACACAUCCAUACCUGAGUACUGCCGGAGAUGCAUAAAUAAAACCCCCAAGUCAGUACUUAAAUAGCCACCUAGAGUCCUUAUGUGGGCAAGGAGGAUUCGACCACUGGCAUAACUUAAUUAUUUGUUUUACACCAUUUUAUUUAAAAACUCUUUUGUUUUAAAUACACAAACGCUGCAUUUAUAAUGCUGAACUUGCUCCGAUGCCAGCAGUCACAGAACCGACCAAAUUAUAAGAGUUCAAGUGCAGAAACGAUCGCCUAGCAAUCAAGUUUCCAAACUUGAGCCCAUAUAAUCCCGGUAGUCAAUUGAAAUCACGAAGGACUUCAAACCAACUCGCAACAAACCAAGAUCGUAAUAGUUCAACAUAAACACAACGAAUGUUACAGAGUCAUUCAUUGCCGUCGAAGCGGCACCACAUCGGAGUCAUUAAGUUAUUACAACCCAAGUUCGAAGUAGUGGAAGCAAUAUAGUUACACACACUUGUUCAAAGUUCAGUUCACAAGUUUCUGUUACUGCCAGAGUCUAUGCCAUCCUUCCAAAAGCAUCAGAGACGAGGUUGUUAGAGAACCGUGCCCAACGGUUAGUCCUCAUCCCCAGCGGGAUGGAGACAGGUCUUGCAGAAUCCGUCAUAAAAGAUGUCAUCUGCAACAGGUGACUUACCCGUCUAGUAAAACAUAAAAGACACCAAGGAUCAUGCAAGGCGAAAUAUCAAGUGGAGCUGGUUGACUCACCUUUUUGCCAAAAGCUUAACUUACAACUAAAUUAUUUUGAGAGCAUCAUAUUUAUUUAUCAUCAGCCUACCACUAGGUUAGCACCUGUACUACAACACAUCACUUGAUUAUUACAAACAAUAAUAACCAUAUCAAAUUCAUCAUAUGUUCUUCUUGCUAUCAUCAUUAUCAUGAACCAAUUUCAUUAGUGAAUGCUACGUUUGCCGCUGCUCUGUCAAGUUCUCACUAACUGGGAGAGACGGCGAUUCGAAUCGGAUUCCUAUCCAGCUGGAGGGUUAUUCCUAGCACUCACCCAAGCAUCGCCUGCCGGAGAGCCAACGGGUCACCUUUGGUACAACUCAGGAAUCGCGGCUCCGAUCAGCGCCGCACUCCCAGGGCUACCACUCCGCCAGGGAGGUCAGGAAUUUUAACUCACCUGCCUUUGGACUUACGCCAAUGGUCCCCCGCACACCGCACUUCCUCCGGUAGUGCGCACUUUAUACUUGCCGGUCUUCCGGCCUGAGUCAUACUACUCGGCUUCGCGGUCGAACGAGUUAUCCGGCCAACUAAGUGUUAGGCAUGCAUUCAACAUGACAAGAGGACGUACAACGAUCGGUCCUUAGCUGCCACAGAUGGAGUUACUACAAACUUGCAAAACUCCGCCCGUCUUAAGUCAAUUUAAUCAGGUUCCAUCCAUGAUAGCACAUAUAGACCAUCGUGAUCCGAGAUAACCCUAUAUCGCGCAGGUGACAGGAUAUCACCCGACUUCUACCGAUUAAAGCAUGGCUAAGCUGCUAUUCGAUCCUAACUCUACAACCAGGGUGUGGUGAGUUAUCUGGACAAGGAUAGAGUAGAAUGCAGCAACAGUUUCAUCACAACUCCUACACGUAAUGCGUCAAUAGAUAUAACAUAUUAAGUAACUUUCGAAAAUAAAGGGAGACUUAGAAUGCUCCGGGGCUUGCCUUUCACGAACGAUGCCUGCUCAUGAUUCAGGCACUCAACUUCUUCUUCGGACUCCUCGAGUCCGGCUUGCUGGACCUCCACCUCUUGGCUGCCCUCCUGACCUUCGGGAUUCACUUAUAGCUCGUAGGAGGCUGUCGCGUCCGAUGCACCUAUUGCAUGCUCGAACAAUAAGAAGAUGCGCAUGCUAACGAUGAAUGCUUGAUAACAUAAGUAACUCACUGGACACUCAUUUACGGAGCAAAAGUGAUACUAGCUCACAAAAGUAAUUAAGUCAACUCAGCCCACAACCUAUCAUGAUACCAAAACAGCAAACAACACAAAACAAGUACACUCAGUAAAUAAAUCAUAACUAUUGAUAGACAGAUCCAACAAUCAUGAGUGAAGACAUUCUGGAAAGCUUAUGAAAUUGUCCACAACUCAUCUUUAAACAUGACAACAAGAUUCAAACAUUAAACUAGCCAUUUAAACAAAGUUCCAGGUUCUGUCCCAGAAAAACAGAGAACACCUAUCCCUGGAACCCAACUUGGAACAGCUAUAACUUUUAAACCACUUGGCCAAAUGACCUCAAAUUUAAACCACAGCUAGUUCAAAAAGUUUAGAACAACUUUGAUUUAGACAAGUUUCACAGAAAGUCAAGUUAUCAUUAAGCAAAGUUAAAUCCUUUCCUUGCUGUCCAGAACAGCCUUUAACCCCUUUAAGUAAUUAUUUAAUGACAUGACCAAAACAUAAACCAUGCCAACCACAUGGCUUAUGAGCACAAACAUAUUACAAGGUUACCAGAACAUCAGAUGGAAACCCCCAAACAUUUACUUAACAAGGCAUUUAUUAAUUAAUUCUAGAUAAGAACAUAAUCACAAGCUAACAGUCAAAGUGCUCAGAAAAAUCUACAAAAAUUACAAAAGCACAAGUAUAGCACCAAGACAUCACCAUAAAAAUUUCAGAGCAAUUGCACAUACUAAAUUAAAGAUAUGUAUUUAACAUGUGCCUAUUCCGUAUCACGCUUCUCGUGACUGGCGUGUUAGGUGAGAACGCGACAGGCGCAUUAAAUGACCUGGUUCCCGUGCGCGCGUCAGGCGGCGGGUGGCGUCCUUGCGUUCGACGCCUUCCGGUUCGCUCGAGCCUGUUUUCGUAUUCGACGGUCGUUGGUGCUCGAGCCCUGAUAGAUUCACUCGACGCUCUUUCCGUCUUCAAUGCUGCGGUCGUCGAUGACUGUACGUGUGACUGGUUAGAGCGUCGAGUUGGGGGCCUUGACCUGCGUAUGGGCAACCUCGUUAUGUACAUCAGUUAGGAUAACCCUUAUUGAUACCCUCGACAGUAGCUCCAGAGUCUCCAUUUGAGCGCUGGCGCUCGAGUGGAGGCUUUAUUUUGCGGUUGAGUUUCCGUGGGGGCGCGCGAGGGAAUCCGCGGGGGUAGCCCCCGAGCCCUUGGAGGAGUUUUUGACUCCUUCGAGGGUUAUAUCGCCUAAUUCACAGAAACGCUGUCGACACCAGUGGUGGAAGGUUCUGUUUGGCUCGUUUUGCACAGGGGUUUCGACGUACUCUCGAUAGAGCGAGCGUCAUCCACCCCAGAUUGAGCUCCUAACAGGUAGUCCAAGUGAGAACCUGUGCCCCUUUCGAGGGGGUCAGCUGUAGCCCGGAGGCGUUCUCAUAAAGCGGGGUCGACGUGGUCGGGGAUGCUGGUCUCAUUCGAUAGAGUCCAGUGGCUCGAUGCCUCCCAUCAGGGGGAUUCCUCUUGACUAUCUCGACCCUACCUUGGACAUCCCCAGCGAGUUCUCGAGGCCGGCCUCGAUUUUCAUCUACUCGCCGGGCAUCCCUGACUCUGGUGCUCGAGAUCGGCUGUCGAACUCUUUCGGCGGGUCAGCCCACGACCUCUCGAGGCUUUCGUGGACACGUACCUUGGCUUACAAAGGAAGGAAGAGGCCGUGGUGGUUCACCUUUUUGCCCGUUGGGCGCGUAUUUUCAGGUGGGAGCCGUUGCGAUACUCUAUCGGCGCAGAAUUCGUAGCGUCUCGUCCCGUGGCCCGGUUGCCGUUCUUCCUUCCGCCUUCUGCCUCCAUUCUUGCCUUUGGUCCCUUGCCUUAGCUCCCUUGCCAUCUCACGCCCACGCACCCUCGAGUAGCAGCAAAUCCGCCUUCCUUCCACCCAAGAUGCCUGUGAGACUUGUCACCGCCGACGACUGGCGCCCGUCGUCGAUGACGGAGCGCCGGCUGCUGGAGCUCGAGAGGGAGGGGCUUCUGCGCUCCCAUACUUCAUUGUCGCGGCCGGAGUGGAUUGCACCGGCGGCGGACCACCGGGAGCCCAGGCCGCCCACUGGCUACGUGGUCUCUUUCGCUAAGUUCCACCGCCACCGCCUGGGCGCUCCUCCGAGCCGGUUCAUGCGGGCGCUCUGCCACCAUUACGGGGUGGAGCUUCAGCACUUCUCCCCAAAUGCCAUCACCGUCGCAGCGGUCUUUGCCGCGGUGUGUGACGGCUAUUUGGGGAUGAUGCCCCACUAGGAGCUGUGGCUCCACCUCUACAGGGGUGAGCUCUUCAAUGCCCCCACUGGGACUACAGGCGUGAGGAAACCCAUGCGGGCCGGGUGCCUUAAUCUGGUGCUGAAGAUGGGGAAGACGGAGAGGCCACGUGAGUACAUCCCGGUGGGGUUGUCAUCGAACCAUGCCGGAUGGGACUCCCAGUGGUUCUACUUGAGGAACGACGAUGAUCUCCUUCCUGCCUACACCGGUCGCCUAAUCACGGAGCGCCCGGAGAACUGGACGUACGGCGUCGUCCAAGUCCACCAGUCGCGGCUCGACCCCCUCCCGACGCCUUGAAGAAGUUACGCGUGGAGGGCCUGUCCGCCGCUCUCGUCCUCUCGGCCGUCCAUCAUCGGAGAGUUCUCCCACCGAUGUCUCGGCCGCUGAGGAUGGAUGAGAUGGGGCCUGGCGCUUCGUCCCAGGACCUCGAGGCGUGCCGGAUGUCCAACGAGGCUCCGGCGGACGAUGAAGUCGCGGCCUGGGUCAGGCCGACCGUCGCCAGCGACUUCCAACCGGAACACGUCAAUGGCUUCCCCACGAGGCCUGAUGCAGGCUCAAUCGACCUGGUAAGUUCAUUUCUUGUAUAUGGCUUUGAUUCUGGAUUUCCUUCGAUCCCCUUUUCAAGCCUGUCUUUGUUUUCACAAGGACCGAUCGACGUCCGGUCCUCGAGGCCUCCAGUAAAGGAGGACGGGGUCGACCAUGACAAGCGGCACCAAUCCGCUGAGAAACAGAAGUCCGCCAAGGACAUAGAGAAGAAAGAGAAGUAGAAGAAGAAUCUCGACCGCCAAUCGUUAGAGGCACGUCGAGCCAAGUCUAGGCAAAGGGGGAGCUUGAAGAACAAUCCCCUAGCGAGGAUGAUGGCGGAGACGGCGAUGACGACAGUGACGACUUCGAGGGGAUGGCGUCUCGCCUCGACCGCAUCCUCGAGGGUCCGCCUCGAGGCGAUGUCGACGCCCCGCGGACGGGAGCGCCAAAGGAGGGGCCAGGCGGAUCUCACCGCCCCCGCGCUGACACCCCUCCCAUGCGUGCGCCAAGCCGGGCCGUCCCGCAGCACCAACCUCACCCUGCUCCAAAGGUGGGUGGCCGGGCUAAGCCCCAGGCGACGGGGCCAUUGACCUGUGGCCGCGCCGUGGCCUCUGAAAAGGGAGACACUGGCCGCAGGAGCGCUAGCCCCAGUGCUCGCCAGGUGGGAGAUCUGGACCGAGGCCUGCGCCUGCCCGUGAGGGGCCUGGAGCCUCGACGUGGGGUUGUUCGAGGCCCACCGGUCGAGGAACCAGCAGGCGAGCCGUUCUCCCUGUGGGGUAAGUUCUUCAACGUUGUGAUUCUCAUCCUCCUGUUUCUUCACGUUUUCUCUUAUAACGGUCUCCCUUAUGCCCAUUUCUCUUUCCUCAGGCUAAAGCGGACGCUUGAGCAGGCCCAGCCUUCAAUGGCGAAAAGGCUCUAGGUGGGAGCGGCCUCCAAGGAUUCGGGUUAGUAGCUUAUUCCCGUUGUUAUGGGAGUUAUGUCAUUCUGGUGACGACUGGCGGGUGAGUCUGCCCCGUCGUCGCCGAAACGGGCCGAGGCGCCUCAGCCCCAAGAGCAAGAGGGAGUCCCCGAGCCUCCCCGAUCGGGGGUUGAGGCGGAUCCGAUCACUAUAAGUGAUGGGUCUGGCGGCGACGGGUCUUCGAGGGACGCCCGCCCUAAGAACGAGGAGGUUGAGGCCUCUCCCACCAUGAGACAGACUCCUUGGCCCAUCGGGCUCCACUCUCUCAAAGAGCAGAGGAGGAAAGAGGAAAGAGAGCGUGAGCAGAAGACGCGACAUCAGCCGCAGGAGGAACAACAGCUGCUGCUGAUGGGAGGAGAGGUGGGGCAGUCGUCAGCAGGUCCCCAGCUCGAGGAGCUGCUGGAGCAGGACCGUCGCCAGGAGCCGCAGGAGCCCCAGGGGCAGCAGCAGCAGAGGGGCCAGCAGUCGGAGGGACCGCUCGAGCCGCCUCCCCACAGUCCGCCCCAAUCGGUACUACCGGCGCCGCAAGAGCCCGGGAACCAGGAGGAGGGUCUGCCAGUUUUCGGCCCUCCGACCCUGGCGUGGCUCGGUCUAGGGGCGCCCGCCGCGAUCCCAGCAGAGUCGGGGCGGGCGGACGGCAUGGUGGCGCUUGCCUGCACGAUGCGCACACCCGUCGACCCUGAAUCCGAGAUCAGGAGGACGAUCUACGGCAUGGACGGAUUGCCCCGGGAUUCCUCCGGGAGCGUCGGUCCUGGGAGGAACGUAUUCCCACCGAGGAGGACGAGGCUGGAACGUUGGGCGGUGGUGGAGGCGGUGAAACCGGGACCUGGAAGACGGUGGACGACGAUGGGCAGUUCCCUUCCCUCGUCGACUUGUUCCUGCGCCACGGGGGGUCACUCGAGACUGUCGAGGAGCUCAUCCGCGGCGUCAAGGCGCGGGCUGACCAGGAUAUGGAGAAUUGGUGCCCCGACCGGAUCCGUAUCCGGGCUCCACCGUUCCGUCUGAGCCCAAUAUCUUUCUGGACGAUCAGAGGGAGGCCGAGAAGUGGGAGCACGUCAAGGAGCUUCGCCUCUGGAUGAAGCACAUGGUGGGGCUCCUGUCCGACGUUGUGAACAACGGGCUCGGACUGGCCUACUUUGUAAGUAUUUCCAUGUCUUUUAUUUUUUAUGGAACGUUGGGUUUUGUGUUCUAACUGCUCGAUCACCGGUUCGCAGGACCUAAAAGAGACCUCCCGCAUUAAGUCAAGCUUCAUCCACGCCACGAGAGGCGGCUGGGAGCAGCUCCCCAUCCUCAAGGACCAACUCCUAGAGUCGCAGGAGAAACUCCUCAAGGCUUAUAAAGAGCUCUUGGCGCUCGAGGAGCAGACGAAGGAGAGGGAGGCUGCUCUGGUCGAGGCUCGAGAGGCCUCAAGGAAGGCUGUGGAAGAGGCUGUGCUACUGAGAGAGCGGGCCAUGACGGUCGAGGAAGCCGCGUCCAAAGCUCGGGAGGAGGCCCUGUCCUACAAGAACGUCGUUGCUGACCUGGACAAGGAGAAAGGCCUCCUCAAGACCGACCUAGACUCCAUCCGAGAAUCCUUUCAAAGGAUGAAGGUGGAGGGUGUGAACAGCGAGAUCCCCAGGAGCGCCGCGGAGGAGGCAAAGAAGAAGGCCCUAGAAGACCUCGAGGCAGAACGGGCUCGAUCCCGCAGCCUUUCUGAUGACGUCGACCAUCUAAAGAGAGCGCUGCUGGAAAAAUAUGGGGCCAUCUCGCAAGCCGGCAAGGCGAUCAAAGACCUGCGUGUCGCCAACACCGAGCUAGCGCAGUCCAACAGGGAGGUCGAGAGGAUCAAUACCAACUUGGUCGGCGAGAACAUGGCCCUAGAGGAGAGCAUCCACGGUAUGUCUCUACUGUCAAGUUUCUUUUCUGUGGUGUGCUUGGUGUUAUCUAAUUUCUUCAUGUUGGUCCUUGCAGGACUCAAAGAUGAGCUCCUGGCCACCCAAGUCGAGGCCCGUUCCAUCAAGACUCAGCUCGAGGGGGAGGUCGCCUUGAACGGUUGUCUACGGACUGCGAUAGGCGACCUCUUGGCCUCCAGGGAGCUCGAGCCUGUUGACGAGUCGAGGGAGGAGGCUCGAGGAGAUGCACUCAUCGACCAGCUAUGCUACCUUGGAGCUACACUGAGGGACCGGGUGCGGGACGCUCUUCCCAUCGGAGUGAAGCGGGCGAUGGUGGUAGUUUGCUCAGGCUUCUCCUACGACAUGGAGGUAGUGUCCCACGGCUUCGUCACCGACAUCUCCAAGACUGAUGCGGAGAACGAGGAGAGGCUCCACGCCUUGAUCGAUGACGCAGAGGUUCCUGGGGAGAGGUUGGCUAAGUUGUUUGAGCCAGAAGUACUUCCUCCUGAGACUAGCUCAGUCGCGGGUGAGGAUGGUUAGGGCCGAGACGUGGACUGAGGCCUGUGAGCCUGCACUGGGUGCCUUGGCCCCUUGUACAGUACUUAGCCAAUUUGUUCUUAAGUAAUAUAAUGGCUUUAUGUGGUUGUUAGAUUUCUAUGAAUGUUUGUCCAUCUUUUCGCUCGAGCCUCCUUUGUUUCCUUUUGCACCUAUGUUUGCAUUCCUCGUUUGGUCUUUUGUUUAAGGCGAUCUCGAUUGCCACAAGGGUGAGGAAGUGAGUACAGUUUCCGUUGCCGGGGGGCAUAGGAGUUCUCAGGCUCGUCGUCUCUCGGCCCUUAAGGGCCUCGAGGUGCCUCUACUACUCGACCGUAUGGGAUUACUGAUAGGAACGAAAGGAUUACUUGGUUUUUUCGACAUUUGGGUGGGGGUCACCCCCUUGCUAGCCCCUGAGGGGGUAUCAACUAUGAUGGGUCAUAGUUGGUACUCCCUUCUAAUGUCGAGAUUUCGACUCAUGAAAAAGUAAAUUGCUUUGAGGGAAAGAUCUUAUUCAUUCAUGCAUUCAUUCGUAAGGCCUUGGUACAGAAUGUACAUAGGAACAUAAAGCUUUGAAAUUCUAGGGGUAGAAUCGACGUAGCUGUUCGAUGUUCCACGCAUUGGUGAAGAUCGCCCCCUUUUCAUCUGCGAGCUUGUAUGUCCCCGGCUUCAAGACUUCAGCCACUACACAUGGGCCCUCCCAAGGUGGAGUCAGCUUGUGGCGUCCUUGAUUGCUUUGCCGCCGUCGUAGGACGAGGUUGCCCACGUUCAAGUCCCUCUAGCGCACGUGCUUGUGGUGGUAGCAUCGAAGUUUCUGCUGGUAUCUGGCAGAGUUGAGGAGGGCCAUGUCUCGAGCUUCCUCGAGUUGGUCGACCGCGUUCUCUUGAGUCUCUUUAUUUGAUUGCUCGUUGUAUGCUUUGAGUCGAGGGGAUCCAUACUCGAGGUCCGUAGGAAGCACAGCCUCAGAGCCAUAGACCAUGAAGAAUGGGGUGUAUUUUGUCGCCCUGCUCGGCGUCGUCCUUAAGCUCCAUAGGACCGAGGAAAGCUCCUCGACCCAUUUCUUGCCGAAUUUCUUCAAGCGAUUGUAAAUCCUUGGUUUGAGCCCCUGCAAAAUCAUGCCGUUGGCACGCUCGACCUGGCCGUUAGUUCAAGGGUGGGCCACUACAGACCAGUUCACAUGGAUGUGAUGCUGAUCGCAGAAGUCCAAGAACUUUUUGCCGGUGAACUGAGUGACGUUGUCGGUGAUGAUGACGUUGGGAAUCCCAAACCGGUGGAUGAUGUCGGUGAAGAAAAGGAUGGCCUGCUCGGAGUGGAUGUUGGUGAUGGGUCGAGCCUCGAUCCAUUUGGAGAAUUUGUCGAUGGCCACCAACAAGUGGGUGUACCCCCCUUUUGCCUUUUGUAGAGGCCCUACUAAGUCGAGCCCCCAUACCGCAAACGGCCAUGUGAUGGGGAUCAUCUGGAGAGCGUGGGCGGGCAGGCGCGUCUGUUUGGCGUAGAAUUGGCACCCAUGGCAUGAGCAUAUGAGCUCGACAGCAUCAGCUACGGCCGUUGGCUAGUAGAAGCCUUAUCGGAAAGCGUUCCCUACGAGGGUCCGAGGAGCAGCAUGGUGGCCACAAGCCCCCGAGUGUAGAUCCUCGAGGAGUUUUUGGCCUUCUUCUAUGGUGAUGCAACGCUGCAAGACCCCGUCAGGCUUCGUUGAUAUAGCUCAUUGUUCUCGCCAUAGAUUACAUAUGACUUGGCCCGUCGAGCAAUACGGCGGGCCUCGGAUCGAUCUUGUGGUAGCUCGCAGCGGUUUAGGCAGUCGAGGAACGGCGUGCGCCAAUCAAACGGUUGACUGGGCCGCUGUUCCACCUCCAUUACCUCAGCUGCCAUUAGUAGCGCUUCGACUGUGUCGGUUUGCUGGUAGGAGCGGCUUCGACACCAGCCCCCGAGCCCAAGUCGACGGAUGGCUCUUGUAGAUCUCUUGAGAGCGCGUCAGGUGGCACCGUGCCUCGAGUCGACGCGAUCUUGGUGAGUUCGUCGGCCGCCUCGUUGUAGCAUCGGGCGAUGCGGACAAGCUCGAGGCCGUGGAACUUGUCCUCGAGUCGACGGACUUCCUUGCAGUAUGCUUCCAUUUUCGGGUCGUGGCAGUUCGAGGCCUUCAUCACUUGGUCGAUGACAAGCUGGGAGUCGCCUCGAACGUCGAGGCGUCGAACUCCAAGCUCGAUGGCGAUCUUCAGACCGUUGACGAGGGCCUCGUACUCUGCAACAUUGUUGGACGUGGCAAAAUGUAUCCUGAUGACGUACCUCAUAUGAACACCCAGGGGCGAGAUGAAUAGCAGGCCCGCCCCAGCUCCCGCCUUCAUGAGAGACCCAUCAAAGUACAUCGUCCACAGCUCUACCUGGACCUGAACCGGGGGGAGCUGGGAGUCCGUCCAUUCCGCGACGAAAUCCACUAGGGCUUGUGAUUUGAUAGCUUUUCGGGGCGCAUAAGUGAGGGUCUCACUCAUGAGCUCAACCGACCACUUGGUGAUUCUUCCCGUGGCCUCCCGACUUUGGAUUAUAUCGCCCAAGGGGAAAGACGAGACCACCGUGAUAGGGUGGCCGAGGAAGUAGUGUUGCAGUUUGCGCCGGGCGAGGAUUACGGCGUAGAUUAGCUUCUGGAUUUGCGGGUAACGCGCCUUGGUCUCCAAGAGCACCUCACUGACGAAAUAGAUCGGCCUCUGGACUGGCAGCGCGUGCCCCUCCUCCUGCCUCUCGACCACUACCACUGCGCUGACGACCUGGGUCGUUGAGGCGACGUAUAGAAGCAGAGGUUCUGCAGGUUGAGGCGGGACUAGGAUUGGCGCAGAGGUCAUCGUUUUCUUCAAGUUAUCGAGGGCUUCCUCGGCUUCUGGGGUCCAAGAGAAACGCUCGACUUUCUUCAGAAGUCGAUAUAGUGGCAACGCCUUUUCUCCCAACCUUGACUCUCUGUACGCCCUUGAUGUCUCAGUGCCGCCAAACAUCCCGUGACUCUCUGUACGCCCUUGAUGUCUCGGAUCGGCCCCAUUCUCGUGAUGGCCGAGACUUUCUCGGGGUUAGCCUCGAUGCUGCGCUGGGAAACAAUGUAACCCAGGAGCAUGCCUUGAGGUACGCCAAAAACGCACAUCUCGGGGUUGAGCUUAAUCUGGUUGGCGCGUAAGCAGCUGAAAGCGAUCUCGAGGUCCUAAAUCAGGUCUCCCCGUUGUUUUGACUUGACGACAAUGUCGUCGACAUAGGCCUCGACCGUCGACCCUAUGUGCUUGUCAAAGACGUGGAGCAUGCAGCACUGGUAUGUUGCUCCCACAUUUCGAAGCCCGAACGGCAUGGUUACAUAACAAUACAUUCCAAAAGGUGUGAUGAAAGAUGUCACGAGCUGGUAAUGGAAAAGGAACUUUUGGACAUGCCUUAUUUAAACUGGUAUAAUCAACACACAUCCUCAUUUUCCCAUUCUUUCUCUUAACUAGUAUAGGGUUUGCUAACCAGUCGGGAUGGUGAACCUCCUUGAUGAAUCCGGCCAUCAAAAGCUUGUGGAUCCCCUCACCAAUGAUCUUGCGCUUCUCCUCGUCGAAUCAGUGCAACCGUUGCUUCACUGGCUUGGAACCGGCUCGAAUUUCCAAGGAGUGCUCGGCGACUUCCCUCGGUAUGCCCGGCAUGUCCGAGGGACUCCAUGCAAACAUGUUGGCGUUUGCAUGGAGAAAGUCGACGAGCACAGCUUCCUAUUUGGGGUCGAGGUCGGCGCUGAUCGUCAGCACCUUGCCGUCGGAGUUGUUGGGGUCGAGCGGGUACUUCUUUGUUCCUUCCGCCGGCUCGAAGCUGCCCACGUGGCGCUUGGGCUCUAGAGCCUCAGUGUCCAGGGCCUCGAGCUUCGAGACGAGCUCGGUGGAACUCUCGACCGUCUCCACAUACUCGACGCAUUCGACGUCGCACUCGUACGUGUGCUCGAAGGAGGAGAUGACGGUGAUGACGCCCUUGGGACUGGCAUCUUCAGCUUCAGGUAAGUAUAGUUUGGGAUAGCCAUGAAUUUGGCGUAACCCAGGCGCCCAAUGAUGGCGUGGUACGUACCUCGAAACCCCACCACCUCAAAGGUGAGGGUCUCCUUUCUGAAGUUGGCCGCCGUGCCAAAGCAAACCGGUAGGUCGAUUCGUCCUUCCGGCAACGCCUUCUUUCUUGGUACAACACCAUGGAAGCCACUGGCGCUUGGCUGGAGCUGCGCCCUGUUGAUGCCCAAGAGGUUGAGGAUCUCGAGGUAGAUGAUGUUGAGGCUGCUGCCACUGUCCAUCAGCACCUUUGAGAGCCGGGUGUUGACGAUGAUGGGGUCGACGACGAGCGGGUAGACGCUAGGGGCAACUACCUUGUCGGGGUGGUCCUCUCGAUCGAAGGUAAUGGGGGUGCUCGACCAACUGAGGUAUUGGGGCAUCGCCAUUCUCGCCACGAAGACCUCACGGCGUUCCCUCUUGUGCUGUCUUAUGGUCAACUGCGUCGAGGGCCCCCCAUAGAUCAUGUAGCAUUCGUGGACGGCGGGGAAACCAUCGUUGUCUUUAUUGCCCUCCUUGUUGCCACCCUUCUCCUUCUUUGGGUCGUCGUGCGCGUCCUUCUUGAACCCCAGACCAUCAAAAUGCUUUUUCAGCAUACGAGAGUCCUCGAGCUUGUGGUUGGCUCCUCCCUUAUGGUAAGGGCAUGGCUCCUUUAGCAUCUUAUCGAAGAUGCCUCCAUCUGGAGGGCCUUGAGGCCUUUUGCGUUCCAUGGCGGCGACGAAAUCGUCAUCGAGGUCUUCCCGCUGGAACGGCCGUGUAUUCUUCUUUUUCUCGUUCUUCUUGGGUCCUCGACUGGGGCCCUCAUCAUCGUCGAUGGGCGACUUGCCUUUCCUUCCUUCACAGCUGAAGAAGGCACCGACCGCUUCUUCCCCCGCAGCAUAGUUUGCGACUAUGUCCAUCAGUUCGUCGACGGUCUGAGGGUGAUUCCGGCCUAAUUGCCGCACCAAGUCGCGACUGGUGGUACCAGAGACAAAGGCCAGGAUGAUGUCGUGGUCGGGGAUGUGCGGUAGCUCGGUGCGUUGCUUCGAGAAGCGUCGAGCGUACUCUCGAAGCGUUUCUCCUGGCUUCUGCUUGCACUUGCUGAGGUCCCACGAGUUGCCGGGUCGUAUGUAGGUUCCUUUGAAGUUACCCUCAAACACCCUGACCAAAUUAACCAAGUUGUGGAUCUGGUCGGCCGGGAGAUCUUCGAGCCAUCUGCUGGCGGUGUCAGAGAGGAAAAGCGGCAGCUAUUUGAUGAUGGCUCGAUCGUGCCCUCGAGCGCCUCCUAGCUAACAGGCCAGCCUGAAAUCUGCUAGCCAUAGCUCUGGCUUAGUCUCAUCGUUGUACUUUGCAAUGCUAGUCGGCGGUCGGAACGGGCUGGGCAGCGGCGUGCUGUGGAUCGCCCUGCUGAACACCCUUGGGCCUGGUGGCUCUGGGGCCAUUCGGUCCUCAUCGCUAUCGUACCUCCCACCGCGAUGGGCGCUGUAACCGCGUUCUUUCGCGUCCCCAUAUCGACGGCGACGGUUCUCUUCAAUAUCACGACGUGCAUCGUGUCGUCGUUGGUUGUCGACAGGGAGGAUGAGCGUGGUCUUUUUCCCUCGAGGGGGCGGCUACUAAUGGACUAAUACCUCCUUUUCGUUCUAGGCUGGCUCAUCGCGCUUUUCUGUGGCCGGCCCUCGACGUCGGGAGGCCGAGCUCUCUGCUUGCUGAACUGCUGCCACCUGGAGUAGAGUUUGCACCUUGUCUCGGAUGCGCCGUGCUUGGGAGUUUGAGGGCUCCGGCAUGUUGCGUGACAGCAUCGUUGCCGCCAAAACAUUCUGGCUUGCCCGAGGGAAGCGGCUGACGUGUGGUUCUGGCUCCCCGUCCCCGACGAUCCGUCGGUGCACCUCUCGAGCCCUUCUGCGGACACUUCCGCCAGGAGGGUAUGGCAGGUCCUGCUCAAGGAUCUGCUUGAGCAGGACGAGGCUCUCACGGUCCUCAUCAAGUUUUGUCUUGAGCUCUCGCAGCUGCGCAAGUAGUGCGGCUCUGUCUUCUUGUGGUGGUGGGUCGACCUGUCCGUCGUUCCCAGGCGUCCUGGGGUCUUCCCGUGCUGCAGGGGCUCGACCGCCAGCAACGGCGUCCUGCGUCUCGUCGGUAGUUUCUACUGCCCCGUCGAUAUGGUAACAUUCCCUGGUAGGGUCGUAGCUGUCGGAUUCCGAGCCGGAGUCCGGUUCGGAGGCGUAGAAACAUCCGCGUCCUUGUUCCAGCAGCCGCUGCCUAAGUUAGGUAAUCGUGUACCGCCCAGGGCCUAGGUGGCGGAGGCCUCGUACCUGCGAGAAGUCCGGCAACUCGGAUGUCUGUUGCUGUGCCCCAGGGUCACGAGGGAGGACCAUUUGUCUCUCUACAUACGUCUGGGCGUUUGGGCAUAUCGCCCUGGCGAGCGACGCCACGGCAUUGUUGUGGACGGUCCUUAAUGCUCACAAUUAACCAUCAAUUAAUCAUGGAAAAGGAUCCAAAUGCAACCAACACCUAGACUUAGGGUUUUAUCUGACAUAAUUCCACAAGUUUUGGUGUUUGUCUAUUUCUGCAGGGGGUUAUCAGGAAAUACGGAAGAAAGGCCCACACGUCGGGUUUACAUAGAGAUAUUAACGUGCCACACAAUUUUCUACCAUCUAGAAGACUCCAGAAGCCACGGGAACGAACGGGAGGCCGAUCGGGCUCGGAGGCAGGGCGCCCGCCCAACUCUCCUGGGCGCCCGCCCAGCUACAGUGUCCAAUUCGGACCCGUUUCGCGUAUUAUGCUCCACCGACCUAAAGGAUCAAGGAAAACCGUGCGAUCAAUGUCGGUUUGAUCCGACGACCCAGAUUCACUUGAAGGGACUAUAAAACCAGACCCCCUGGCCCCUGGAGAACAUACCUCUUCUACAGAAUCAAAGCUAGGGUUUCAAUUCUUCAUCCAAGUAGAGAGGAUCCCUCUAGUUCUUCUAGUUCUACCUCUAGUUCAUCUAGUUCUAGUUCUAGUUCAUCUAGUUCUAGUUCUAGUUCUUCUAGUUCUAGUUCUAGUUAGUUCUAGUUGUAAUCUAGAAAAUAGGGAGAGAGAAGAGGAGAGCGGAGGAGGAGCCGGAUUUGUCGGAUCUUCCUCAACAUUGUACUUUUGCAGCAACUGGUUCGUUCUUCAUCGUUCUUCAGGUUCUUCAAUUCAUAACUCCUGAGUUCUCUAAUUACUUUUAUUUACAUUCAAGUUAUUUAUUGGAUCCCCGCUUGCAUCAAGUGCUCUAGUCUUUAUAACGCUAGAGUAGUAAUUAAUAGAUUAGACGUGGUGUUUAGUCUUGCGAUUACCUGGAAUUGCACCCAAUCCCACGGAUUGUUGUGGUAGCCCUAGGGUAGUGACAGCCCUAACGGUCGACGUAUUCCACCACGUUCGGAUCGGUGUUUGUAGGACCGUAGUCAGACCUUCCUAGUCCCCUUCUCAUCUCUUUCUGUGGUUAGUGCUCUGAUGUCCCGAUAUAGAUAAUCUUGAAGUAACUCUUGAUUCUUAGAUCAACUAGAGAACUCUCAGGAAACUUCUUCUCUUCCCACCAAAAAUAAUUAUAUAGUUAUCCUUGGGCGAUCUUGGAUCUUAAUUAGUACACUCACGUUCUCUGUGGAAAAUCGAUACUCUGGAAUACUCCCUGGUGAAAGCUACAUCGGUAUCCGUGCGUUUGCGGAUUUUUCUGUUUGCGUUUAAAAUACCCAACAAGCUUUCUGGCGCCGUUGCCGUGGAACGGUAGCUGUGCUAGUUUCGAACCAAGUCGUCCGUGUAUCCUUUUUCUUUUCCUUUUUUACCACACUCACCUUAUCACUUUCACCAUACCAUAUGGAUUUCACUCUAAGCAUUAAUGAGCAUGGAAUUUAUUUCAUAGCCACUUCAUUUACUCCAUGCUCAUAUGCAACAUCUUCACAAUCCAUUGGUCUCGCCAACAUCACCACAUUCGAGAUCUCCAACCCCCUCAUCCUUUCUAUUUAUAAAAACUUUAAAAGGGCGGUUGUCGAUGCAUAUGUCUAUAUUAAAUAUUGCAGAUCUCGUUGAGUUGAUCUUGAUAUAGGUCAGCGUUGGAGGGGGAACCACUUCGCCGACAUAAAUUGAUGGUUUCCCAAGGACAAGCUUAGUGUCCUAAAACAAGCACUGAUCGGAUUGUAACAUGAGCUUUUAAUUAUUUGCAACAUUACCUUGUGUAUCGAGCAUAUAAGGAUAAUUGUAAAAAUAUUCCUUCGGGUAUUCUUGUCACUAACCUUUCCAGGAUUGGAGCAAGAAGAUCGGAUGAAUGACAAGCACAAGGUAUGUCCAACCAAUCAUCAUACAACAUUGAAUUAUAUUCAUCCAAACUUGAAUUUUGCUAAAUUCAAGCUUGGGGGAGUACUUUACAUAAAAACAUCCUUUACCAUGUUGCUAUGUUGGUUGUCCCUACCUUUGAGACAUGCUCAAUUUGUUAAAUACUAAUCACACUACUUCAUCUCCACUUGAGUAGAUCUCUAUAAAUGCUCUCAUAGUACCUUUAUUUGCUUUAGUAUAUGUCUAGGUUUGGAGUAGUUUCAUUUAUCUCUUAAUUAAGCAUGGUGCUUAGUUUAGGGCUGAUGAUCUUACAUCCAAGGGAGUUUAAAUUAAGCAUGAUGCUUAAGUUAAAAUGCCCUCCUAAAUCAAAUUAGACAUGGUGUCUAGGUUGAUCUUUGAGCCGAUAGUAUGCUAUAGUAGAUAUUGGAUAUUUUGUUGGACUAACCCCUGCAGGAAAACUUUCACUAUCGACCUGGGAAGUCCUGAGAUAAACUCACAUUGGAGACAAAGAGAGACACACAUGAAGUUUAACAAUUUACACAAGGAAGACAUAGCUCACAAGAGAUGAUCCCUGGAGUGUGGCACAAACACGAUGCACAACCGAUAAGAAAGGAAAGCUUUCACAAGGUGAUACUGUACCAUCACUCUUCAAGUAAGGUAACAUCUUAAGGUACUUGACUAUCACUUCUAUAAAGCUUCUCCUUGGUUCUGGCAUUCACAUGAAUAAAAGAGACAAACAUGUAUGAUUUACAACUCUAGAUUAACCAACCCAAUCGAUUCAACAUGUUUAGUCCUUCCACCUUUGUGAUCCUACACUCCUAAUCAUAUAAGCUAAAAUGUUGCACACUCAAUCUUUGGAAGAUAUAUAUAAAAGAAACAACAUAAAUAUAGAUAGAUUAUCUUUCCAUUAGGUUGAGCGAUUUGAUCUGACAAAUGUUUUAAAUGCUACACCCAUGAUCUUGUUAUCCAUCAACUUUGUCUUGCUCACUAUGCUUAAGGUUAGAUAAGAACAAAUACACUUUUGGUUCUGUUGGUGUUUUCCACCAACAGGGCCCAUGCACUUGAUCUCUGCCUUGUCUCUAUGAGCAGGUACACUUCGAGCAAAAUAUGAAGGAGUUUUACAAUUCCCAGACUCCACCAAGUGAAGAACCUAGAUCUACAAGCACACACACACUGGAGAUACUGAGCACUCAGGCAAUCACUGCCCUGAGAUACUUGAGGACGUAACUACUGGAGUAACCCCAUUGUGGAAGUAAUUACUGACCUUCUGCCGGUCAAGAGAGGCGAUCUAGGACGCCCCAUCAUCCCGAUCUCCAUCGGCAUGGUGGACUCCCCAGAAGCACUCUGCGACUUUGGCUUCAGCGUCAACAUUAUGCUCAGGGGAAUAUUGAAGAACCUCUACGUUCGAGUUGGUACCUUGUACGCCCCAGCAGACUUCGUGAUGUUAGAGACUGGUACUGAUGAGAGGGCACCCAUCAUCCUAGGGAGGCCAUUCCUGAACACCUCGGGAGCUGUCAUCUACGCUAGUGCUGCCAAGAUCAGUUUCUACAUCAAGGGGAGGAAGGAGACGUUUACCUUCAAGAAUAAGAUUACACAAAUCUCAAAGCAAUCCCGACAUGAACCAAGGAAGAGGACCAACAGGAGGAACAGAAACAAGCAAAUGUGGACUGAGUUAGCUAAGAUGGUCACUGCAGUUCAAGGAGGUCAAGAUCGUCAACUCAAGUCGCCUUUCUUGUUCAAGAAGGACGACCCUGGUGUUCCAAGCAUCGAGUGCACAAUCAACGGAUAUUCUUUUCAGAAGACACUCUACGAUACCGGAUCUGAUGUCAAUGGCCACAGUCACCUAUCAGCUCCUGUUUAGAACCAUGCCCCUACAACCAAAAUACAUUCAGCUCCAGAUGAUUUGAAGGUUAUUGUCAUGGGAGAAGACGAGUACAAUCCACCCGUCAUCCUUGGAAGAUCGUUCUUUAGCACCAUUAAAGCAAUCAUAUACAUUGGAACCAGAGAAGUCCACAUGCACUUCCCCUCAGAGAAGGUACGCCACUGUUUUACUGACCCUAACUAUAUAGUUGAAGACUCUAAGCAGGUCAGGACAAGAAGACGACGACGCAACCGCAACCAGAGGAGGCAAAUCAUCAAGGACGGAUGGGUAGACUAUGAAGGAGAAGUUGUAAGGUCUGAAGACAUAAAGCUUGAACAGAACUGUCCUGAGGAGACCGUAGCACCGAGUCAGGUGUGGAGAGAGAAGAUAGUUAUACACGAAGACCAGGCACCGCCGGAACCACCGACUACGCCAUCCACCGAAUCCCAGGACGAUUGAGAAAACAGAGAGUCUCGUUCGGAGGACUUAAAAACACCGAACGCCUUGCCAAGAGGUAAACUUGGUAGUUAUCCUUUUCCUUUCAAUUAUUUAAAAUAGUUUGCUUAGUUAAUCAGGUUCAUGCUAUCUUGACAAGAAAAUAAAAAUGUUAAAAAUAGUAAGCCCCAUGUGAGUAUGCUCAUGGCAUAAAACCCAUAAGUACAUUCACUGUGGUGGCGUAAAAAUAAAUAUAUAUAUUCCUGUCCUAUAAAAAUGAAAAUAUAAAAAUAAAUUUAUGAUCCUACUAAAGAGAGUAACAUUUAUUGAGGAGGCUGAACAUGAUAAAGGCUAGAUAUUUAUGCUAACACUUAACUAGUUCCACAAAGCUUUGUUGUCUAUUUGAGCUCCACAGAAUUAAAGGAUCAAAGAAGACUAGUAGACGGAGGACAUCCUAAUCAAUGUCAGGGUGCUACCGACAUUCAAAUACACCUCCGCCACCUGCUACAUCAAAAGGAAUUACGUCAAGAUCCAGCUUGGGGGAGAGCACCUCCAUUUAUCCAGCUAAGUAUUCUACUCACGUUUAUAUUUUACUCAAAUAAUAAAAAGAUGCAUAAUCAUAAAAACCCAAAUAAAGAUUUUGUGCUUAUAUAUAUAUCUUUGCUUAGUUUGCUAAAUAAAUAAAUAAAUAAAAAUUUGCUAUGAACCCUCAUGAUAAGCUCUCACAUGGAAAGAUGAAUAGUUGCUCUACCAUGACUAGUUCUCAAAAUUGAAAUCUCUCUCAAGUUUAGGCAUCACUGUUAUUAAUUAAGAUUUGCUCUAAACCUGAACUUGUGGGAAGAGUACUUGAUCUGAAGUCUAAGUCGUUAACGGAUAUGAUAUGGGAAGGUUGAGCUGCUGUUUAUCUGUUCCUAGAGAUGCUAGAAUUCUGGAGAAUUUUAUCUUUGAAAAUCUUUAAAAUAUCACAUGAUGAGUUCCUGUAUGAUGAGAGUUUAAAUUCCUACCACAGCCAUAUAUACAUGCUUGCUAAACUUUGAGCCACACAUUUACUUUUUACUGCUUAUGAGCAUUGAGUGUGGUCAAGCUGUGUAGACCCUUAGGAGCUUGUCAUGUGGUUAAGUCAAGAUUCACUUGCACGUUCACUCAUACAUGCUACUUCUACUCUGGAAGUACCAUCCACAUAUACCCAUUUCCAUCUCCAGAACCACCCAAAAAUAUUCUACUCCUAAUCCGGAAGAGAAUAGCCAAAAAUAUUUCUAUUUUUUCCCUGUGAAAUAAAUGCUCAAGUUAUCUUGUUACUACCACUUGCUAUAUUAUCUCAUGAGAUGACUGCUCUAAAAAAAGAGAAAAAAAAAGAAGAAUACGAGGAAAUAAAAAGGGGCAAGUGCCCGGAACCUCGAAAGAAAAAAAAAAGAAGAAAAAGUGAGACGAGAGGUAAAAAUGGACAAGUGUCCGAUAGUAGAAUUAGGGGUACAAGAUACCCACCUGAGAGAAAAGAAAAAAAAAGAAAAAGAAAGAAAAAGAAAAUACAGAGCAUCUCAUUCUCCCUGAAAGUUUCAAAAGAGCAAGAAAGGUAUGUAUCCCCUCAAAAGAGCACAAGUAGAAUUAGACUUUCACCAUUGUUAUCACCAUCAUCACCAUAUACUAUUCAUUCGCCACACAUGCACAUCUUGAUUUGACUUAUUGACUUGUUCUUCUGGAUCCAUGGUUUGACUAUGCAAUAAAUGUCUUGUAAGAAUGUAUUAGCUGUCUCCCACCUAUGAGCUCCAGAUAUCAAAGCCUUAUUAGAGUAGGGUGAGAGAGAAGGCAAUGUCACUAUGCCUUAUACUACAAAUACCACAUACUUUGAGAGAAGGCAUAUACCAUUACUGCCUUGGUAAGGAUCCAGAAAUACCUUAAAAGAGAGACUAGAGAGAGUCAUACAAGGAAUCUCUGAGUUUUAUUUGAAAAUCUGCAAAAACUCCAAAGCUAUAGCUGAUCAAGAAUAAGAGACAUGGUGCUUGACUAGACCGUUCUAUCUUUUAACUACUCAAGACAGAAGUGACGGUUACAAGUCCCAUGGUGAAAGGUAAAUGAGUAAGUUUUAAGUCUUAACAGUUUACUCUAAGCAGAGAUGAGAUCUUGUUUAAACGCAUGUGUAUCUUUAAGUUAUGAAACCACUGCAGAAACUCUUGAGUUCAUCUUUGCUCAGGGACGAGCAAAGGUUAAGCUUGGGGGAGCUUGUUGACGGUCCUUAAUGCUCACAAUUAACCAUCAAUUAAUCAUGGAAAAGGAUCCAAAUGCAACCAACACCUAGACUUAGGGUUUUAUCUGACAGAAUUCCACAAGUUUUGGUGUUUGUCUAUUUCUGCAGGGGGUUAUCAGGAAAUACGGAAGAAAGGCCCACACGUCGGGUUUACAUAGAGAUAUUAACGUGCCACGCAAUUUUCUACCAUCUAGAAGAUUCCAGAAGCCACGGGAACGAACGGGAGGCCGAUCGGGCUCGGAGGCAGGGCGCCCGCCCAACUCUCCUGGGCGCCCGCCCAGCUACAGUGUCCAAUUCGGACCUGUUUCGCGUAUUAUGCUCCACCGACCUAAAGGAUCAAGGAAAACCGUGUGAUCAAUGUCGGUUUCAUCCGACGGCCCAGAUUCACUUGAAGGGACUAUAAAACCAGACCCCCUGGCCCCUGGAGAUCAUACCUCUUCUACAGAAUCAAAGCUAGGGUUUCAAUUCUCCAUCCAAGUAGAGAGGAUCCCUCUAGUUCUUCUAGUUCUACCUCUAGUUCAUCUAGUUCUAGUUCUAGUUCAUCUAGUUCUAGUUCUAGUUCUUCUAGUUCUAGUUCUAGUUAGUUCUAGUUGUAAUCUAGAAAAUAGGGAGAGAGAAGAGGAGAGCGGAGGAGGAGCCGGAUUUGUCGGAUCUUCCUCAACAUUGUACUUUUGCAGCAACUGGUUCGUUCUUCAUCGUUCUUCAGGUUCUUCAAUUCAUAACUCCUGAGUUCUCUAAUUACUUUUAUUUACAUUCAAGUUAUUUAUUGGAUUCCCACUUGCAUCAAGUGCUCUAGUCUUUAUAACGCUAGAGUAGUAAUUAAUAGAUUAGACGUGGUGUUUAGUCUUGCGAUUACCUGGAAUUGCACCCAAUCCCACGGAUUGUUGUGGUAGCCCUAGGGUAGUGACAGCCCUAACGGUCGACGUAUUCCACCACGUUCGGAUCGGUGUUUGUAGGACCGUAGUCAGACCUUCCUAGCCCCCUUCUCAUCUCUUUCUGUGGUUAGUGCUCUGAUGUCCCGAUAUAGAUAAUCUUGAAGUAAUUCUUGAUUCUUAGAUCAACUAGAAAACUCUCAGGAAACUUCCUCUCUUUCCACCAAAAAUAAUUAUAUAGUUAUCCUUGGGCGAUCUUGGAUCUUAAUUAGUACACUCACGUUCUCUGUGGAAAAUCGAUACUCUGGAAUACUCCCGGGUGAAAGCUACAUCGGUAUCCGUGCGCUUGCGGAUUUUUCUGUUUGCGUUUAAAAUACCCAACAAUUGUCCAAACCAAACGGCAAUGCUCUUCUUGGGGCGACCAGCCCAUGUGGGAGUAACCUAGCGGCUGGGGAGAGUGCGCGGGGCGCGUCUCCUCCUGUCGUCAUGUGAUCUUCGUGGCGCUGAGCCGUCACGCCCACGGUUCCGGCGCAUGGUGCUAUCGGCUCUCGUGUCACCUUCUUCCUGGCACGAACUGUCGGUCGUGACGAAGCAGAGGGGCGACGGUGGUGCUGUCCACGCCUCUUCUUGGGCGGGGAGGCAUGGUGGCGAGGACGUCUUGGGGCCCUCAACCAUGCUGGCGCAACGUGGGCUCCUCCCGGUCCUUUGAUCGAGUGCAAGAUGAUGUCAUAGCCGGAGCCAGAAGACAUGAACUCGAGACUCCCAAACCAAAUCACCGUGGAGCGCGGAAUCGGCGAAGCGAGAGUGGCCAUCUGGAAAGGAAUGGGAAAUCGGUGAAAAACACGUAGGACCCCUACCUGGCGCGCCAACUGUCGGUGUUUUCCCCACGGGGGGUCACACCAACGAGAAAAUUUGUAUGCGUGCUCCCUUUUCCAGAUGGUGAUGCAAAAAGACACAAAGAUUUAUCCUGGUUCGGGCAAGAGAAGGCCCUACGUCCAGCGGGGGAGGAGAGUUUGUAUUAUUUUGCAGCUAAGUGCUUGUACAGGGGUGAAUACAAGCGUGUAUGAGCUGGGAUGGAGUAUGGAAGUUCUACUACAUAUAAGUGUUGUCUUCCCUCUGUGUAUCGCCUCCUGGGCCUCCCCUUUUAUAGUUCCAAGGAGAAGCCCAGGGUACAAGUAUAGGUGUCAGAGUUGGGGUCGAUAGGGAUAUGGCGCACGGACCUAAUCGAGGCCUCCGUACCGGUGUGGUCUCGAGCCGUCCGGUCCUGAUGGCUUGAUGUUGAUUACACGUGCCCCUGUAUCCUGCUCUGUGCGCCGUCGUGGACUGGUUUAUCUGCUGCACGCCUGUACGUCAUGGCGGCAGAUGCGUCGGAGUGGUUGCAGUGCUGUCUUUCGACGCCCGACCCUUCCCCAAGAAGGAAACGUGUCUGGUCGAGGGUCGGACACCGUGUAGCGCCAUGCUAGCCAGAGCGUUGACCUUGGAUGUCUCGAGGGGGUCUUGAUUGGAUGUUCCGACCCUGCUUCCUGCGUCCUGACAUGCUCUGGGUCGUUUGGUGGGGAAUGCUGCAAAAAGAAUGAUGGGACGGGUGCCUGUUCCCUAUCACGCUUCCCGUGACUGGUGUGUUAGGUGAGAACGCGACAAGCGCGUUAAAUGCCCUGGUUCCCAUGCACGCGUUAGGCAGCGGGCAGCGUCCUUGCGUUCGACGCCUUCCGGUUCGCUCGAGCCUGUUUCUGUAUUCGACGGUCGUUGGUGCUCGAGCCCUGAUUGAUUCGCUCGACGCUCUUUCCGUCUUCGAUGCUGCGGUCGUUGAUGACUGUACGUGUGACUGGUUAGAGCGUCGAGUUGGGGGCCUCGACCUGCGUACGGGCAAUCUCAUUAUGUACAUUAGUUAGGAUACCCCUUAUUGAUACCCUUGACAGAAGUAUUGAUAGAGGCAAGUGAACAUGCAAUAGAUGAUGAGGGGAUGAAGGACCUAAAGACAAAAUUGGACCACCUAAUGUGGAAAAUGAAUGUGGGCUUUGUUUGUGUUGCAGUUGUUCUACUUAGUGUUGUAGUCAAGUACCUGAUCUAAUGAGGUUCGGUAAUGUUUAUGGAUCAACACAGCUUGUAUGUGUUCUAAAGGGAUCUUUUAUUUGUUUAAUUUUCACAGUGUGGUUCAAAAAACACUUGAUUUCGACAUGUAGUAUGUGAAUUCUAUACAUGUUCACUCCCAAACAAAAUCAUAUAAGUAAUCAAAUAAAAAAGUCAUUAUCUCAGGAUUCUACCCCACAAACAAUUGGUGCAACAACUCCAUCGUCAAUGUACGUGUCAUCUUACUCAUCUUCAUCGUCAUCUAAUAAGGCCACAUCGUCUGGUUCAUCAGCUGCUUCGGCCUGCACCUGAGCAAUAAUAGAGACAUCCCCGAUUGUGCCUUGCUUGUCCUAUCUGGUCCAACUUGUUGUCAAAUCCUCCUGUCCACCAAGUAAAUCACUAAUGCCUUGGAAACCCACAUCAAUUGAGUCCUCCCGUUCUAAUUCAGGCAUGGCAAACAAGUCCCUUGGUUUCAUCGCAAUAACACUUCUCCAACCAGGUUUGUUUACCACAUCCAUGUAGAACACUAGUUCUGCCUGUGUCACAAGAAUAUAGGGUUCAUUCUCAUACCUGUUCCGAGUACUAUCGAUAUCAAUAACCCCAAACUGAUCCUUAUUCUAUCCUCUGCCUCUGCUUGUACUGGCAGCAGGCACAUCAUACCAGUCACACUCGAACAAAAUGACUUCUUUUUGUCUAGGGAAUUGUAGUGACAUCUUUCUUUUAAUCACCCCAUACCUGCACAUGUUACCAGUACUAGCAGGGUCUCCAUUACAAGCACGCCACUGUUUUGUGUGACGAGGUUUUUCUCAAUGUCAACUAUGCGAAACAGCCAAUUAUUGAUAUGGCAUCUAUGCAGUAUACGAGCUCAGUUGUCCUUCCACUCAGCAAGUGCAAACAUCUCGGCAAUUACGUUCUGUUUGGCAUAUUGCUCUCUCACCUUACCCUCGAACCGUCUUGCAAAUUGUUCCUCGUGUCGCUUUUUAAGAUUUCUUGUACCACCACGCAUCUGCAAUUCUUCCAUAUGCACACUACACAUAGAAAAGUUAUAUUAAUAAUGUUGGUUUGAAAUAUAAUAUUUAAAAAUAAUGUUGUUUAAUUAAUAUGUAACUUACUCGAUGAAUGGUUUAGUGUCAUCAUAAUUAGAAAUUAUGUAGUGCUAAAUCUUCCGCAUCUCAUCUCUGUCAAGGAGCUUGACAGUCUGUCCUCUCUAGUUGUAAUCCAUUGCAGCAAAUAAGCUCUAACCAGAUGGUGGCUCAUUCACGGCAACACUUUCAUGACGAUCAGCACGAUUCAGUUUGGUGUCCAUGUCCAAGAAUCUAUAGCAAAAUGUAAGGCACUCCUCGAGUAUGUAUCCCUCGGCUAUUGACCCUUCAGGGUGCGCCUUGUUCCUCACGUAUCCUUUUGUAGUAUGUAGGUACCGCUCCACUGGGUACCUCCAUCUAUAACAAACGGGCCCUCCAAGUUUAGUCUCUUCAGCUAGAUGAAUAGGCAAAUGCAUCAUGAUAUCCAAAAAUGAAGGUGGGAAUAACAUCUCUAGUCGGCAUAGAGUGUCAACAAUUGUACUACUAAGUUUGUCCAAGUCUGCUUCCCCCAUCUCCUUGGAACAUAGUGCAUCGAAGAAAUUACUAAGCUGGAUCAAUGCAACGACAACUUGUUGUGGCAAAAUCCUCUGCACCACUAAGGGUAACAGUUUCUAUAGAAUUAGAUGGUAAUCAUGAGAUUUCAAGCCAGACAGCUUAGAUGUGUUUAGGUCAACACAUCUUAUUAUAUUGGAGGAGACCCCAUCAGGCAUUUUCAGUCCAUAUAGAAAUUUGCAUAAAUUAUCCUUCUCAUCAUUAUCUAACUUGUACAAGGCUGCUAGCAAGGUAUACUUAUCUUUAUUGAUCACAGGAUGUUGAUCUGGUCUCAUCCCUAGUUGUUGCAUGUCAAGCCAGGCCUUCUCCCCAUCCUUACACUUACCUUCCAAUUCUAGCAGAGUGCCUAAUAUGGUCUCACAUAUAUUUUUCUCAAUGUGCAUGACGUCUAAAUUAUGCCUGAUGAGCAAAGAAGACCAGUAUGGGAGCUUGUUGACGGUCGUUAAGUACCAAAUAUAAUCAUUAAAUAAAUAAAGAAAAGGAUCCAAAUGCAACAACCACCCAGACUUAGGGUUUUAUCUGAUAGAAUUCCACGAGUUUUGGUGUUUGUCUAUUUCUGCAGGGGGUUAUCAGGAAAUAUGGAGGAAAGGCCCACAUGUCGGGUUUACAUAGAGAUAUUAACGUGCCGUGCAAUUUUCUAUCAUCUAGAAGACUCUAGAAGCCACGGGAAUGACUGGGAGACUGAGCGGGCCCGGGCACAGGGCGCCCGCCCUCCCCCUUUGGGCGCCCGCCCAGGUGUCUCGGCCAAUCAAGCCCCGCCUCAUGAAUUAUGCUCCACCAACCUAAAGGAUCAAGGAAAACCGUGUGAUUAAGGUCGGUUUGAUCCGACGGCCCACGUUCACUUGAGGGGACCAUAUAAGCACGACCCCUGGCCCCUGGAGGAGAGCAAUCCCAUCAUUCAUUAGCAUAUUUUCCAGAGAGGAUUUAGAGAGACAGGUCCCUCUAGGGUUCCAACCUCAUAGGGCUUAGCAUCCAAUGUGAGAUUAGAAUUAGUUCUUAUAGAUUGAGAGAGAUAGAGUGGAGGUGUAGAUCGGAGGAAGCCGGCCUAUCGGUGUCUACUCUAAGGUUGUACCUGCGAGAUCAAGUCUCCUAACCCGAGGCUUGCUCCUAGGAUUCUUCAGUAUUUUAACUUCUAAAUUAUAGUAAGUUCUUUGUUCUUAUUGUUCUUUGGUUUAUGAGUUUACUUUAACCUCUUCCGAUAGAGUUUAGAGUAAUCAUUGCUAGCGUAAACAUGGUGUUUGGGCUAGGGUACUCAUAGAUAUCCCCUAUCUAGCCAGACCGUGGUAGUAGCGAGGAACGUGACAUUUCCGUAGCUACCUUUGUAGCCCACAAUCCUGUUAGCAGGAUCGGUAAGGUUUAUAGGUGCGGGUCGAACAUCCUUUGUGGUGUCUAGAUUCCGUAAGCCUCCCUAAUAGAAUAGUAGAUCAUCAUUACCAAGGUUAGAACGAGAGUGUGGUUGUAGCCUUCUCUAUACAUCGCUCACAUCAAAUCACAUUGUUUGUAGCCUAAAGGGUAGUAGCAAUAGAUUUGGUUAGUCACAUGCACGCUUUUUCCCAGUGGUAAAAAUAUAAAUACGACUCUGGAUAACCUCCCGGGUGAAAUGCUCACCAAUAUCCGUGAGCUUGCAGAUCAUUUCCUUAUGGCGUUAACAAAUAUCAACAGAGCUCAAAAAAAAUACUCUUCUUCAUCCAGUUGUGCCAUCUUUCAUCAUAAUCGUGCUUCCUUUUUUUGUAGACGUCAUUCCAAAACUCACUUGUUCAAAACUUUCAUACUGCUCAAGUACCUGUGCACCAGUUAGUUGUACUGGUGCCUCCCUAGUUUCGACCAUGUUGUUGAAGCUGACCAUGUUCUGGUGCUAAAUAUGGUCCAAGGGUAAGAAACGUCGACUGGCCAUGUAGCAGUGCUUUCUCCCAUGCUUCAACCACAAAAAAUCAGUAUCUUUGUGGCAAUAUGGGCAUGCAAACUUUCCUUUGGUGCUCCAACCAAACAACAUGGCAUAUGCUAGGAAGUCAUUAAUUGUCCAAAGUAAAAUAGCACAUAAUCUAAAGUUUUUACUGGUUUGUGCAUCCCAUGUUCUAACACCCUUUUCCCAAAGCACCUUGGGCUCCAAUAUAAGAGGCCUCAAAUAUACAUCAAUAUCCAUUCGAGGAGAUUUUGGACCAGGGAUCAACAUUGACAUCAUCCAGUUUGAUUGCUUCUAACACAACCAAGGAGGCAAAUUGUAAGGUAUUAGAACAACAGGCCAUAUGGAUUAGGUUGUACUUUGCAUCCCAAAGGGGUUGAAUGCAUCAGAAGCAAGACCCAGCCUAACAUUACGAGCUUCUUUUUCAAACAACCUAUAUUUCUUAUCCACGUGCUUCCAUGCCUUCGAGUCAGCAGGGUGACGCAUUUUCCAAUCAUUGACCCUCUCUUUCUUAUGCCAUUGGAUGUCCUCCGAUGUGCUCUUCGACAUAUACAUUCUUUGCAGCGAGGAAUAAGAGGGAAGUAGCGUAGGAUCUUCACGGGAAACCGUUUCUUGAAAGUAGUACCAUCGGAGGUGUUCUCGACAACUUUCCACAUAGACUCCCCACAUGUGGGGCAUUCCUGCAGAUUUUCAUUUUCCUUAAAAAAUAACACACAAUCAUUCUUGUAGGCGUGUAUCUUGACAUAGUCCAAGCCUAGAUCUCAAACCACUUUUUGAACUUUAUCCAAUGAGUUAGGGAUACAAUGGCCUUCAGGGAGAACCCUUGAGAACAAUUUAAGUAUGGCCUCCAAACAUGCAUUACUAAUACCAUACAUGUACUUUAUCUGAAAAAGUUGCACGAUAAAAGAAACCUCUCUCACACUAACUCUCUCACAGGUGGAAAAUUAUUAUUAUUGUUGUAAGAAUUGUUACCUUGAUAACUACUGUUGGGUAUUUUAAACGCAAACAGAAAAAAUCCGCAAGCGCACGGAUACCGAUGUAGCUUUCACCCGGGAGUAUUCCAGAGUAUCGAUUUUCCACAGGGAACGUGAGUGUACUAAUUAAGAUCCAUGAUCGCCCAAGGAUAACUAUAUAAUUAUUUUUGGUGGGAAGAGAGGAAGUUUCCUGAGAGUUCUCUAGUUGAUCUAAGAAUCAAGAAUUACUUCAAGAUUAUCUAUUUCGGGACAUCAGAGCACUAACCACAGAAAGAGGUGAGAAGGGGGCUAGGAAGGUCUGACUACGGUCCUACAAACACCGAUCCGAACGAGGUGGAAUACGUCGACCGUUAGGGCUGUCACUACCCUAAGGCUACCACAACAAUCCGCAGGAUUGGGUGCAAUUCCAGGUAAUUGCAAGACUAAACACCACGUCUAAUCUAUUAAUUAAUACUCUAAUGUUGCAAAGAUUAGAGCACUUGAUGCAAGCGGGAAUCCAAUAAAUAACUUGAAUGUAAAUAAAAGUAAUUAAAGAACUCAGGAUUAUGAAUUGAAGAACCUGGAGAACGAUGAAGAACGAACCAGUUGCUGCAAAAGUACAAUAUUGAGGAAGAUCCGACAGAUCCGGCUCCUCCUCCUCCGCUCUCCUCUUCUCUCUCCCUAUUUUCUAGAUUACAACUAGAACUAACUAGAACUAGAACUAGAGGAACUAGAACUAGAACUAGAUCUAGAUGAACUAGAGGUAGAACUAGAAGAACUAGAGGGAUCCUCUCUACUUGGAUGAAGAAUUGAAACCCUAGCUUUGAUUCUGUAGAAGAGGUAUGAUCUCCAGGGGCCAGGGGGUCUGGUUUUAUAGUCCCUUCAAGUGAAUCUGGGCCGUCGGAUCAAACCGACAUUGAUCGCACGGUUUUCCUUGAUCCUUUAGGUCGGUGGAGCGUUGUCCGCGAAACGUGACCGAAUUGGUCUCUGGAAGUGGGCGGGCGCCCAAGGGACUAGGGCGGGCGCCCUGUGCCUGAGCCCUCUCGGCCUCCGCUUCGGUCCCGUGGCUUCUGGAGUCUUCUAGAUGAUAGAAAAUUGCGCGGCACGUUAAUAUCUCUAUGUAAACCCGACGUGUGGGCCUUUCUUCCGUAUUUCCUGAUAACCCCCUGCAGAAAUAGACAAACACCAAAACUUGUGGAAUUCUGUCAGAUAAAACCCUAAGUCUGGGUGUUGGUUGCAUUUGGAUCCUUUUCCAUGAUUAGUUGAUGGUUAAAAGUGAGCAUUAAGGACCGUCAACAAGCUCCCCCAAGCUUAACCUUUGCUCGUCCCUGAGCAAAGCUAAAAUCAACAAGAAAACAGGGGUUACUUUUAUGCCUCUUACUACAGGGUUUUUAAGUUAUCAAUAAGGUCUUAAGUGAUUGAAAAACAGAAUGAUCAAGUCAAGCACUAUGUCUCAAGUUCUUCUGUCUUAGCUUUGUUCUGGAGUUUUUUUAUAAGUCUGCAAAAUGAAACUGAGGCAUUGCCUUCUUCUCGAAAGAUAUAUAAGUAGAGCUUUAAAAGUUUUAGCAUACUUACUUUGCAUUUUGCUAUGUCAAUGUUUGGAGCAAGGGAGAGGAAUGUCAUACUCCUAGAUCAAGACCUUUGACCUUUUUGAGAAGUUUGUCAUCUCUUACUGGCAUAUUGCUUAUUAGAGGGACCAUGGGCUAUCAUUUUUUUUCUUUUUUUUUAGUCUCUUUUUUUUUGAGUGGGCAGCAAGUACCCCUGAUUCUACUGUCGGACACAUGUCCAUUUUUUUCCACUCAGGUGGGUAUCUUUGUACCCCUAAUUCUACUUCGGACACUUGUCCAUUUUUACCUCUCGUCUCACUCUUUUUUUUUCGAAUCAAAUUUUUGCAUAGUCCCAUGCCUCUAACGCAAUAAUACUUCGGAAGAGUGAAUCUUUUAUAUUUUAAAACAAAAUGAUCUUGAUCUUGGGAGCAUGAUAAUUCUCUCAACCAAAACUACAAGAAUUAACAAUGGCUUGAACAAAGCAAGUGCCCACAGUUUUAAUAUUUAUAUCUUAUAAGACUCUAGGUAUUAUGAUCUCAUAUAUAUUUUUUUAUGAACUUUUAGAUUUUCAAAAGAUAAAAUCUCCAGAACUCUAGCAAAACUUGGAACAAGUUAAAUAGUAGCUCAGACCUUCUCAUUUCAUGUUUGUCAAUUAUCUAGACUUGAAUCAAACUUUCUUUUUAUUUUAUUUAAAACUUAGGAUUACACAAAACUAUUGUAUAUUACUCAAAAGAAAAACUUUGUUUGGUUUCGUGGUUACGCAUUUUUUUAUUUAUUUCUGAAUACUAGUAAAUAAAACCAAGAAAGAAAAGUAAUACUUAUCUAGAUACACGUGGGGGUGCCUCCCCCAAGCUGGAUGUUGACAUAGUCAUUCACUCUUGUGGCCUACAUGUUCGGUCUCACUCUUCUUAAGCCUCAAAAUCCUGCACAACCCAAAUAGACAACAAAACUUGUGGAACAUGUUAAGGGUUAGGUAAUUGUCUAGAGCUUAUGAGAGCUUAAUAUGAGAAUUCUAUGAACUCAAUCAAAUCAAGUUCCUCUACCAGAUUGUUUUGUGGCUCGAGAUAGAUUUUCAAGCGUUGACCAUUUACCUUAAAAGUGUUACCUGUGUCGUCUUGAAUGGUAAUGGCUCCAUGAGUUGAAGUGUCAAUAACCUUGUAUGGUCCAUCCCACUUACUUCGUAGCUUACCAUGACCAAAGAGCUUAACUCUUGAAUUGAAUAGUAGAACCUUAUCUCCAGGCUUAAACUCCUUGUGCUUGAUUCUCUUAUCAUGCCAUCGUUUUGUUCUCUCUUUAUAGAUCCUUGAAUUGUGGUAGGCUUUCUCUCUCCAUUCUUCUAGCUCAGAUAAUUGCAUCAGACGAUUCUCGCUAGCAAGGUGGAGAUCCGUGUUCCAUUUCUUGAGUGCCCAAUGAGCCUUAAACUCUACUUCCAUAGGCAAGUGACAAGUUUUUCCAUAUACAAGUUGAUAAGGUGACAUGCCUAUGGGUGUUUUGAAUGCAGUUCUAUAUGCCCAAAGUGCAUCAGGAAGUUUGUCCUUCCACCCCUUACCCAUCUCAUCUACGGUCUUUUGUAAAAUAUUUUUGAUUUGUUUGUUAGACGUUUCGGCUUGACCGCUAGUCUGAGGAUGGUAUGGUGUUGCAACGUUGUGUUGAACUCCAUGAUCGGCUAAGUACUUCCGAAAGAUUUUGUCGAUGAAGUGGGAACCUCCAUCGCUUAUAACUACCCGGGGUAUACCAAAGCGAGGAAAGAUUACUUCAUGGAACAUUCUCUUGGCAUGUUUUGAAUCAGCUGAUCGACAAGGUAAGGCUUCUACCCAUUUGGACACGUAAUCCACAGCUACUAAGAUAUACUCGCAAUUCCCGGACAUAGGGAAUGGCCCCAUGAAAUCAAUGCCCCAUACAUCGAAAAGUUCUACUUGAAGAUUAUUUGUGAGAGGCAUUUCAUUUCGUGAGUUAAUAUUCCCAUGUUUUUGACACCGGUGGCAUCUCCUGACAAAGUCCUUUCUAUCUUCAUACAUCGUUGGCCAGAAAAAAACACUUUGCCAAAUUUUAGCAUGUGUCCGAAAUGCUCCAUAGUGUCCUCCAUAUGGCGAGGCAUGGCAUCUUUCCAUAAUUUGAGUAGCCUCAGCCAUAGGAACACACCUUCUCAAGACUCCAUCAGCGCAGACUCGGAAAAGAUAUGGCUCAUCCCACAGGUGGAAACGACUAUCGUGAAGCAACUUCCUUUUGUUUGCACCAGGUGGAACAUAGCCUUUUACUAUAAAGUUUACGAUGUCUGCGUACCAUGGAUCUGCAUGUGUUAUCUUAAGCAGGGUGUCAUCCCUUAGGUAGUCAUUUAUGGGAAGCUCAUCAUGUGUUUCCUUAUAUUGUAGCCUAGACAAGUGGUCGGCUACGGAAUUCUCAACUCCCUUCCUAUCUCGGAUUUCUAUAUCAAAGUCUUGGAGAAGAAGAAUCCAUCGAAUUAUACGAGGCUUAGCAUCUUUCUUAGUGAGGAGGUACUUGAGAGCAGCAUGGUCUGAAUAAAUGAUUAUCUUUGCCCCCACUAAGUAAGAUCUAAACUUGUCUAUAGCAAAGACAACAGCCAAAAGGUCUUUUUUAGUUGUAGUGUAAUUGAGCUGUGGUCCAGACAAGGUUUUGCUAGCGUAGGAUAUGGCAUAAUGCAUUUUAUCCUUGGUUUGUCCUAAAACGGCACCAACCGCAAAAUCGCUAGCAUCACACAUGAUCUCAAAAGGAAGAUUCCAAUCAGGUGGUUGGAUAAUUGGGGCUGAGAUGAGUGCUUUCUUAAGAGUUUGAAAAGAUUCAUGACACUCAUCACUAAAGAUGAAAGGUGCAUCCUUAGCUAGAAGAUUAGUUAGGGGUCUAGCAAUUUGAGAGAAAUUUUUGAUAAAGCGUCUAUAGAACCCUGCAUGUCCCAAAAAGCUACGGAUUCCUUUCACAUUCGUGGGAGGUGGAAGUUUUUCAAUAACUUCAAUCUUUGCUUUGUCCACCUCUAUACCACGUUCGGACACUUUAUGUCCUAGCACUAUUCCUUCCUGAACCAUAAAAUGGCAUUUCUCCCAGUUCAGGAUUAAGUGCUUUUCUUCACAUCGCUGCAAGACUCUAUCUAAAUUCUCCAAACAAUGAUCGAAGGUUUUGCCAUAGACGUAAAAUCAUCCAUGAAAACCUCCAUGAUCUUCUCAAUCAUGUCCGAGAAAAUAGACAUCAUGCACCGUUGGAAAGAAGCUGGAGCAUUGCACAAUCCGAACGACAUUCGUCGGUAUGCAUAAGUUCCAUACGGGCAUGUAAAGGUAGUCUUUUCUUGGUCAUCUGGGUGGAUUGGGAUUUGGUGAUAUCCAGAAUAACCAUCAAGGAAACAGAAGAAAGAGUGGUUUGCAAGCCGUUCCAACAUUUCAUCUAUGAAGGGUAAUGGAAAGUGAUCUUUCUUUGUAGCCUUGUUGAGUUUUCGAUAGUCAAUACACAUACGCCACCCAGUGACAAUUCGUUGAGGAAUGAGUUCAUUCUUCUCAAUCCUAACGACCGUCAUUCCUCCUUUCUUUGGCACUACUUGGACAGGGCUAACCCACUCACUAUGUGGCACAGGAUAAAUAAUCCCAGCACGAUAGAGUUUGAGGACCUCUUUCUUAACAACCUCUCGCAUAGCAUUGUUAAGUCUCCGUUGUGGUUCCCUUGAAGGUGUAGAAUUGGGAUCAAUAGGGAUACGAUGAGUGCAAAGAAUGGGACUAAUGCCCGUGAGAUCCUCGAGAGAGUAGCCAAAUGUUGAUCUAUGUCUUUCAAGAACAGUGACAAGUUGUUGUGUUUCAUAAUUGGAAAGCUUGUCACUGAUAAUUACUGGAGUUUUUGAGUUGUUGUGCAAAAAGACAUAUCUAAGGCCAGAAGGAAGAGGUUUUAAUUCUAUCGAAGGAGGUGAAGGUAGUUCAUUUUUGUCUAGCUCAACGGGUUCUACCAACUCUUCUUCUUCUUGAACAAAGUGUUCAUGAUUAAAGAAUGGUUGGGUCAUCUCCUCUUGAGUCACCAUUAAGAUCUCCUCAAUAGGAUCUGGGUCAAGUUUGGGUUCCACUAUCGUGUUAAUUGAUCUAGCAAGAGGAACAAUAAUAGUAGAAUUCCCAACCUUGAAGUCUAAAUGACCUCGUUGUGGUUGUUCUUGUAUAAGUUUCAUGAUUGGUCUGCCAAUCAAGAGAGGAAUCUCCGGUAUGUCAUAAAUAUGAAAAUCUAGACAUAUUCCAGAGUCCUUGAUUCUAACAAGAACUGCCCUUAAUACCCCAUGGAUUUCUAGAAUUAAUCCAGAUGGACUUUGUAAAAGUUUUUGGGAUGGGGUUAUGGACUCGUUGGGAUAAAGAGUGUCAGCUAACUCCUUGGAAAUAACAUUUAUCCCAACAUAUGGAUUGUAGUGGACUUUCCUAGUGGACCGUCUAAUUUGGUACAGAAGAAUGGUUGAAGGAGUGAUGAUCCGAGCUACCUCAGGAGACAGCUCUGCUUCUGUUAGCCAUUCAUCACUCAGAAUAGCCGAAAGGCUUUUGAUGUGUUCUAUGUCAACAGAUUCUUCUCUUAGAACGGAUUGAGUGGUCCUUGCUAGAGGUCGGAAUUGGUAAGGCUUGUGAACCUAGCCCAAGCUGCUCCUAAAGUUUCCAUCUCUCUUUGUUUGAAUGUAAGAAUUUCGAUUCUAAGGUCAGCGAUUCGAAAGAGUGGGAAGAAAGCGAGACAAAAGUUGUCCCGAAGUUCGUCCCAAUUUCCAUUAACGCCUCCUACAGAAUGAGCAUACCACUUUUUUGCUCUUCCCAAAAGGGAGAACGGAAAUAAUUUCCAUUUAAGGGUUUCUUGUGUCAUGCUAGAAAUAGAUCGGCAAGAGCACAACUGCUCGAAUUCUCUAAGGUGGGUGUAUGGAUCUUCAUCUACUUGCCUAGAGAAGGGUUGCUCCUGAAUCAUGGCUAUUAAAUCAGGGCCAAGGUCAUAGCCAUCUGUAAGAAUUGGAUGUGAUGAUGGUGGUGGCUCUAAUAACUCGCCCUUUGGAGCAAAGAAUUUAUAGAUAGGAGUGAAAUCCAUGUGGUGUGGUGAAAAUGGUAAGGUGAGUGUGGUAAAAAAAGGAAAAGAAAAAGGAUACACAGACGACUUGGUUCGAAACUAGCACAGCUACCGUUCCCCGGCAACGGCGCCAGAAAGCUUGUUGGGUAUUUUAAACGCAAACAGAAAAAAUCCGCAAGCGCACGGAUACCGAUGUAGCUUUCACCCGGGAGUAUUCCAGAGUAUCGAUUUUCCACAGGGAACGUGAGUGUACUAAUUAAGAUCCAAGAUCGCCCAAGGAUAACUAUAUAAUUAUUUUUGGUGGGAAGAGAGGAAGUUUCCUGAGAGUUCUCUAGUUGAUCUAAGAAUCAAGAAUUACUUCAAGAUUAUCUAUUUCGGGACAUCAGAGCACUAACCACAGAAAGAGGUGAGAAGGGGGCUAGGAAGGUCUGACUACGGUCCUACAAACACCGAUCCGAACGAGGUGGAAUACGUCGACCGUUAGGGCUGUCACUACCCUAAGGCUACCACAACAAUCCGCAGCAUUGGGUGCAAUUCCAGGUAAUUGCAAGACUAAACACCACAUCUAAUCUAUUAAUUACUACUCUAAUGUUGCAAAGAUUAGAGCACUUGAUGCAAGCGGGAAUCCAAUAAAUAACUUGACUGUAAAUAAAAGUAAUUAAAGAACUCAGGAUUAUGAAUUGAAGAACCUGGAGAACGAUGAAGAACGAACCAGUUGCUGCAAAAGUACAAUGUUGAGGAAGAUCCGACAGAUCCGGCUCCUCCUCCUCCGCUCUCCUCUUCUCUCUCCCUAUUUUCUAGAUUACAACUAGAACUAACUAGAACUAGAACUAGAGGAACUAGAACUAGAACUAGAUGAACUAGAACUAGAUCUAGAUGAACUAGAGGUAGAACUAGAAGAACUAGAGGGAUCCUCUCUACUUGGAUGAAGAAUUGAAACCCUAGCUUUGAUUCUAUAGAAGAGGUAUGAUCUCCAGGGGCCAGGGGGUCUGGUUUUAUAGUCCCUUCAAGUGAAUCUGGGCCGUCGGAUCAAACCGACAUUGAUCGCACGGUUUUCCUUGAUCCUUUAGGUCGGUGGAGCGUUGUCCGCGAAACGUGACCGAAUUGGUCUCUGGAAGUGGGCGGGCGCCCAAGGGACUAGGGUGGGCACCCUGUGCCUGAGCCCUCUCGGCCUCCGCUUCGGUCCCGUGGCUUCUGGAGUCUUCUAGAUGAUAGAAAAUUGCGCGGCACGUUAAUAUCUCUAUGUAAACCCGACGUGUGGGCCUUUCUUCCGUAUUUCCUGAUAACCCCCUGCAGAAAUAGACAAACACCAAAACUUGUGGAAUUCUGUCAGAUAAAACCCUAAGUCUGGGUGUUGGUUGCAUUUGGAUCCUUUUCCAUGAUUAGUUGAUGGUUAAAUGUGAGCAUUAAGGACCGUCAACAACUACCUGAGUACUUAGGCCUCUGUUGAUUCCAACCUUGAUUUUGUUGAGGAUGGUUGUAGUAGUAGUAGUUGUUGUUGAUGUAGUUUACAUCCUCAAGUAUCUCAAGGCAGUGAUUGCCUAAGUGUCCAGUAUCUCCACACUCCUCACAAGUCAUGCGAGAGUCGUAGAUGUGCAUAACGUAUUUCUUAUCUCCAGCUCUAUCAUCGAGCUUCUUCAUGAGCAGGUCUAGCUUAGCAGAUAGCAUGUCCACCUCCUUGAGCUGAUGCAUACCUCCACCUCUCUUGCGUGUCUGGGUCCUUUCUUCAUUCCAGCUUUGGUAGGAUGCCAUCUUCUCUACAAGAGCUGUGGCUUGUGAUAUGGUAAGUGAUAGGAAUGCUCCUCCAGCUGCAGCAUCCAUGGUCUCUCGGGCACUGUUGCCGAGCCCAUGAUAAAACGUCUGCAUUAAUAGCCAACUCUCCAUUCCAUGAUUGGGACAUUCUAGGAUGUAGUCUCGGAAGCGCUCCCAUGCUUCUGGAAAGGAUUCAUCAUGUUGUUGCUGAAAACUUGUAAUUUUCCCACGGAGAGCAUUGGUCUUGCCCAUGGGAAAGAACUUAGCCAGAAAGUUCGUGGAGAAGAGUGCCCACGUAGUAUUCUUCUCCUUUAUAGCGUAGAACCAUUGCUUCGCUCUUCCUAACAGUGAGAAUGGGAAGAGGCGAAGUAGUAUAGCAUCUCUGGGGACUCCUGAUAUGGUAAAUGUGUUGCAAAUCUCCAGGAAGUGUUGGAGAUGAGCACUAGCAUCUUCGUGUGCCUUCCCACAGAACUGGUUGGAUUGCACCAUGUUGAUAAGUCUAGGCUUGAGCUCGAAGUUCCUGUCGAUAUCUGCAGUAGGUCCAGUGCGGAUGUUGUCCAGAGUGGGAGCUGAGAACUCGUGGAUUGAUCUGUUCGCCAUGGCUUCAAACUCUGAAGACAAGUUUCGGUGAUCUUCUUGAUUGGAUGAAGCUUCUUGCUGAAGUGUUGAUGAUCUCUUCUUGAGCUUGGCUCUUGUUUUUCUGAAUAACGCUUUGGGAUUGUCAACAAAAAUUCCUGGAAGAUGUCUUCUACUCAUACAUUACCCUGCAUAAGAUAAAAUAGUAAAAUAUCGGGGUAAAACUAUAUGAGAGAAUUAAUGAGCUCAAUCAUAUUAGUGAUGCGAAUGAUGACUCAAAAUGCUUGUUGGGUAUUCUUAACGUCAUUACCAAAGUUAGUUUUCUAAUUUUGAUAAUGGCGCCAAAAAUGCCAAACCUAUCCCUCAUACCACUUAAGCCAUGUUGUCAUCCCCAGCAUGACAUGAGAGACGCGGUAUUGAAAUAUGCAAUUGCUCAUCUAAAUAAAUAAUAAAUGGGAUAUGCAAGCGCACAGAUUAAUACCGAUGUAGCAUUUUAACCGGGAAGUAUUCCAAGUAUCGUUAUUUAUAUUUUUACCACUGGGAAGGGAUUAGUAAUCAUCAAUGUUGAUUAUAGAAUGGAAUAUAAGAUUGAGUAUCUAUCAUUGCAUGUAUAAUUGAGAACAUUUAUCUAACUCUUUCAUACAGGGAUAAGUGUCACAUAAAGGAUAUAAAGUAAUGAAUAGUGACAAAGAUAAUUAAUCUGAUCAGCAUAACUUAGCCACAUAUAAAUAUGAUAAGCACCUCAAUUAGAUAUUCUAGCAAGUCAUUAGCAUGGAAUUGGAACGAACUACAAGAAUAUUUCGUAAGUUAUUCUUAACUAUAUAGUUUAGCAUAUUAUAGUUAGUGCAAUUAUACUUGGCAAUCAUUGUGAAACAGGACUACGCCCAUGCAUAGUGAUAUUAGCAAUGAAUAUGAGAAACAUCGUAAUCACUCCCCUGUAAUAAUGUUGCUCUGCCAGCCCAAUACACGAGAGGGGGACUAUAUAAGAAUCAAUGGAGCUGUCACUACCACGAACUACCCCGCGAUCUGGCAUAUAGGGUACAAUCGCAGAUAAAUACGGUAUAAGCACCACGCCUACACAAUAUCUAUCAUUUACCCAUGGAUCAGAUGGAUAAAUGCUAUACGAUCCUAAACUUGUAUAUAAAUCCAAUCUAACUAAGCCAAAUAUAUAACUAUGAUAAACUAAGAACAAUAUAAUUGCGAAUAUAAACAAGUGGAGCAAAGUCAUAAGCAAUAUAUUGAAGUAGACAAAGUCAUAUUCAUAAUAUUGAAGAACAAAGAUGAACAAUUGAAGAACAAUAGAGAAUUACCAAGAAUCCUCUUGACAGAUCCGAAAACCAAUCGAAAAUUGACUCAUUCUAGUUCUAAUCCUAUGUAGCUACGCUAAUCUAGAUAUCUAAUUCAUGUGGUGGCUCUAGGCUUGAUCAGAGGCUUCUUCUCCCUUGAUGAAUAAUGAAUUAGGGUUGAGAGGUCCUCUCCUCCAGGGGCUAGGGGGUCUGGUUUUAUAGUCCUUCCAAGUGAAUAUGGGCCGUCGGAUCAAACCGACAUUGAUUGAACGGUUAUCCUUGAUCCUUUAGGUCGGUGGAGCGUAAUCCUGAAAGAGAGUUCUCAUUGGACUCUAACAGGGGGCGGGCGCCCUGGUCCCUAUGGCGGGCGCCCUGGGCCAGGCUCCGUUUUGCCUCCGCUUCGUUCCUGUGGCUUCUGGAGUCUUCUAGAUGUAAGAUAAUUGCACGGUACGUUAAUAUCACUAUGUAAUCCCGAUGUGUGGGCCUUUCUUCUGUAUUUCCUGAUAAUCCCCUGCAGAAAUAGACAAACACCAAAACUCAUGGAAUUCUGUCAGAUAAAACCCUAAGUCUAGAUGUUGAUUUCAUUUGGAUCCUUUUAUUUAUUUAUUUGUUAAUUAAAUUUGAUACUUAAGAUCGUCAACACUAUUCUCAAGGUUCCUCCACCUGGCCGGUCUUCUGCACUAGGUUGAGGCAGCCGUCCCGCACCGGCUUCCUCACCCCUGUGGCCCCACCAUUGGCACGGAAGAGCUCACCCCGGUAAAGAUGGAGCCACAGGUCCCAGUGCGGCAUCAUCCUCAAGUAGCCUUCACACACUGCGGCAAAGAUCGCCGCGGUAGUGAUGGCGUUCGGCGAAAAGUGCUGGAGCUCCACCCCGUAGUGAUGGCGAAGCGCCCUCAAAAAGCGGCUUGGGGGAGAGCCGAGGCCGUGGCGAUGAAACUUGGCGAAAGAGACCACGUACCCCGUAGGCGGUCUCGGCUCCCGGUGGUCCACCGCCGGCGCGAUCCACUCUAGCCGCGACGAAGAAGUGCGGGGGCGCAGGAGCCCCUCCUUCUCUAGAUCCAACAACCGACGGACGCCAAUCGUCGGCGGCAACAAGUCUCACCGGCAUCUUGGCAGAAGAAGAAAGGUGGCUCUGCUGUUGUGUGCUCGAGGGUGCGAGCGCGUCAAGAAGGCAAGGAGAGCAAAGGCGAGAACAAUGGCAGAAAGCAGAAGGGGUAGCGGCCAAGAGAUUCGGCAAUAUUUAUAGACGUCCAACCCCAACGGGUAGAUCCGACAAAUGUGGUAACCUCCCUAGUAAAUGCGCCGACUAACGGUCUUGUUACUCCCCCUGACAGGACGCUACAAAUUCCACAACGACACAGUGCUGCAACGGCACCCUCCUAAAAAGGUGUGCCCAACGAGCGAGAAAACAAACCGCCAUGGCUCUUCCUUCCACAGCAAGGUAAAAUAGGCGUGCGCCGCCAUAAGAACCUCGAGGGAGCGCGGACUGGCCCACCGGACGGGUUCGACGGUCGCCCUUGAGUACCAGAGUCAGGGACGCCCGGCGAGGGGACGAAAACAAGGUGUGCCUUGAGAACUCACCGGGAGUAUCCAAGGCAGGGGUGAGGGGGUCGAGAGGAAUCCCCAUGGAGGGAGGCAGCGAGCCAUUGGACUCUAUCGAAUGAGACCAGUAACCCCGACCGCACUGACCUCGCUUUAAUGAGAACGCCUCCGGGCUGCAGCCACCCCCCUCGAACGGGGCAAGGGUUCUCACUUGGGUUACCCGAUAGGAGCUCAUCUUGGGGUGAUGACGCUCGCUCCACCAGGAGCAUGUCGCAACACCAACCUCGAAAAGGCAAAACUGGUCAGCAAAGGCUCAAUGCCCUUCUUCCAUAACGAACGUCUUUCGGAGAAAGGGUGUAACAUCCCUGAUGUUACGAACACUAAAACUGGAUCAUGUCAUCAUAAGCAUUGCAAAGCAUAUUUGUUAAGCACAUCAUGAUGCAUCAACUUAAAAUAAGUUUAAUUUGGUUGAAUGUGCUCAGGGAAUUAAAGUGUGAUUAUCUUGUAUAUCGAUGCUUGUGUUGGUUGCUAAAACCCUAGGGUGAAAGAUUUCCGAAAGGCUUAGGGGGGGGGGAACCCUGAUUUUUGAACCCUAGAACUGCCCCCCUUUUGUACAAUUUAAAAAACAAGCAAAAUUUGAGGUUGAGUUCAAAAGCAAAGUUGUAGAUCUUGUCAAGAUGUACAACUUUGGUGUUUUGAGUUUUUGAAGUUUCAAUAUAAAAUUUAAAGUAAUUUUGAAAAUACAGAUUUCCAGAAAUUGUCCUCUUUGCCAACUUGAAUCUCUAAUUCAAAAUCUAUUUGGAAUCCUGAAAAGUGAUCAAAAUGAAAGUGGUAGGGCUAAUCAAAAUGAACAACUUUUAUUUCGGGAGUUUUUCAAGUUGUUGAGAAAAAUCAAAAGUAAUUUUAGAAUUUCUAUUCUGCCCAAUUCAAACCAGUUUUGCCCCCAAAUUGAAUUUUUGAAUUUCAAAAUGUUUUCCUCAAAUUCAUGCCCUUCCACUCAAAAUCAGUUCUGGACUCUUAAAGAUGUUUUGUAGCAUCCAAAAUUUUGAACAACUUUUGUUUUGGCGGAAAUUUGAGUGCUAUUCAGAUUUUGGGAAUAAUUUGGAAAAUGAGGGGGAAGGGAUUAGGGCGAGCUACAGUAGCUCCACCUAUUGCCACCGGCCAGCAUCGCACUCCAGCGCCGUGGUGGACGCGCUGGCGUCCGGCAUGCCCUCCACGCAGCUGUGCGCUUGCUUGCCGUUGCCUAUUCCACGCCAUCCUCAUCCGAAGCGGACGACAGCGUCCUCCUUGCUUCCUAUUUCUUCCCCUGCUGUCCUGCCGCCGCAAGCCAUGGCCGCUGUACGUCACCCCACCGUGACCAGAGCUCUCCAGCGCAGCUCCACUCUAUCCGUUUGGUGUUAUAGCUCCACCUCCAUUCGCUGAUACCUAUGAGCCUCUCGUUUCGUACAACACGGGCUAGAACUCCGUCGUGCCGCCGUGUUGCGGACCGGCAAACCGCCAUGGCAACCUGCGCACGUGGCCAGGAGGCCAUAAACCUUCUCCGGCCAAGCCACACACACCAGAGCGAGCGCGCAAGCCUCAGGGUGCUCCCCAACGCUUUCCCUCGCUGCCAACAAGCGUCCACCGGCCGGAAAUCACUUUUUCUCCGACAUCCUCUGCUCUGGAUUCGCGACUAGGGACUUCGCGCUACAAUUUGAAGUUCUCCAGGGGUCUAAUUGCACAGACUGUGACUCAGGUGAAUAGUGCUAUAAGGACUUGUUUGUAGAUGUUUUGUUGAAUCUUUGAAAAUUCAUAUCUGGAGUUUGGUAACUCCAAUUUUGGUGAAAUAAAUUUUGUUGUGCUCCUUGAGAUGUCUAGUUUUUAUUAAAAAUAUGAAACUGUCCAUGUUCUGUAGUAAAAGAAUUAGUUAUGAUUUAUGCCUUUUAUUUAUGUUUAAAAAGGAGAAAUUCAUAUCUCAUUCUGUGUAGCUCUUAUAGGCCUGAAAUUUUUAUGAUGUUCUCAUGAUGUUAUGUGAGUGUUGCAGUAAAGAUUUCAUGUUCAGUGGAUAAUAUAAGGUUAAGUUAUUAUUUUAUCUUGUUUAGUGCUUAUUAAAUUGUCUAUAAUUAAACUAAAAAUUAAUAAAUGUAAAAUAUGGUUCCUGUACCUUUAUAUGAGGUUGUUAUAUCAUAUAGGUACAUAAUUUAGCUAUGUGUUUGUAGAAAAUGUCGAGUUUCUUAUUUAUCUUGUUGUUACAUGCUUCCUUGUGAUGGAAAUUUAUCUUUUUCAUGGAAAUUGCUAUACUUAUCCAAAUGGCAUGAAAUUUAUACAGUAGACUUUGGAGAGCAUAUAUGAGCUUCUGUAGUUUUCUCAGAAUUUACUAUGUACUUUUGAUAUAUGGUUAUUACUUUGUCUAUUAAUUUAAAUAAAUUAAUAAAGACAUGAAAGGUAUUUAUUUAGGGAUGGCCAUGAUGUUUUCUAGUAUCUCUUUGAUGUAUUUAAACUGUUGGUGAGCUGGGUUUUGCCUAGGUUCAAGUUUGGAACAUAAAUGAAAUGUUAUUUCUCGGUAAUUCAAUUGUUAGUGGUUUCUCGAUAGUUUUUGGAGCAUUAUAAAUUGCUCUAGGUAAAUAAUGUUGGAUAUGAAACUUGUCUACAACAAAGUUGUAUAUAAUUCAUGUAUCUAAUUGGUGUUAAAUUUUAGUGGCAUUUGGCCCUAUAGUUUCUGAGUUAUGCCUGUUUAAAUUUAAGUUUCAGAAAUGGUUUCUCUCUGUCAAAUCCUGGAUCAGUUUCUGUAGUUGUGCAAUUUCGACCUACUAAACUUGUGAAUCAUGCUUUGAUCAUGAAAGAUAAAUUGUAGCAAUUUUCAUAAGCUUUCCAAAAUGUUAUGGAUCAUGACUUUUGGUGAUCUAGAACUCUGGUUAUAGAUGUAUGAAGCUUAAUGUCUCAUUCUGUCCAAGGUCUGGACAGAAUUGUUUAUUCAUACUGUUUGGCCAUUUUAUCUAUUAAAUCAGUUCUCGAAAAUAAUAACAAAGUUGUAGAAAAUUAUCUAAGCUUUCUAGAAAGUCUAAUAUCACCUUUAUUGGAUGCUUGGAUCUCUAAUUAUGGUUGAGUGAAGUUGCGUAUAUGCUGCUGUCCUGGUUAUGUGUGCAAAUAGAGUUGAUUGUUUUUUUUUUUUGCUAGCCUUUACUUAAAUAAUGAGUAGCUUAAUCUGUCAAAUAGGAUUUGAGUGAUUUUGGGAUUGUAUGAUGACCUAAGGUCAUUAACCUUAAUGACCUUUGGCACUUAAUUAUUGUUUGAUGUUAAUACUUAAUUACUGCCACUAAUACUUAAUUAAGAAUUAAUUAAGGUAAAAAGGUUUAAUGGUCAGUUAAUUAAGGAUAAUUAGGAAUUGAGAAAGGUCUUAAUUUACUAAUGCAACCUCUUGGGUAAAAACACUAAGAUGAUAAACAACUUUAAUUACUGUUUAGCCUAUUUUUGCACCAAGAAGGAAAGUUGUACUCAACUCGGUCCUUCUUAAAUAUAUGUCAUACGCAUAUCAUGAGCAUCCAUCAUUUUGCGUAUAGUGCACGUGACCAAAGGAGCGACCGUUGAACCGAACCCCGAGGUCGGUGCUCCGUUCGAGGAAGUAGGAUCCGAGACUUGGGAAGUCUCCGAGGGUCCCUCUCAGCUCUGCAACCAAGGCAAGCCCCGGAUGCAUUAACCCCUCCUUGAAUGUUUUAAAUCUUUUAUCACUUAUGAAUUGAAAAUGCUGCAUUAGGUAGUUGAGAAUUGGGUUAACCUACUUGCUGCAUUUACUACCUUGUUAUCUGUUAUCCUGUCCUUGACACCUAUUUUAUUUUAAAAAUUGCGUAGUGAUGCUUAGCCCUGCUACUAGAUAGGUUUUCAAACAAGAAAGUUUCACGGGUUGUUGUGGAAUACUCUUAUGAUCAAUGAUAUUUCAACUUGAGACCGGUCGGUGGACUUGAUUUAAGAAUGGAGUCUUAAAGUAGUGUCUCCAACUGUGUCGGUUAAGGACCGGUCCGUUGGUGGCCUGAUGGGUUGAGAAUUUAUAGUACUAGCCACUUGCCCUCGGUAAGCCCGGUCUUGUGAUCCCUCGACGCGAACAGCUACUCGCGCACUGGGCGUGGAGCGAUGGCGAGAGUAGUGUGUACCCACCUUACGGAUCUGAGAUGACCGGGAAACAUCUAGAUCGGCUGUAGUAGGGUGGAGUACUGUGCUCUCGGGUGCCGCAAACCUGGUCAAAUUUGGGGAGAGCUUGAUUUGGGUUGAUAUAUGCAAGAUUUGGUUCUACAUAUGUCGGGUGGUUAGGAACUCUAGCUGGAUUGCUAAGCGGUUCGAAUCGUCGUUGCUCCCCGAUUGGGAGACUCAAUCCACUGACCCUCAUCGUAGUUAAAUAUGCAACUAAGUGAUAAAAGAAGAAAGGGGAAAUGUCUCAUGAGGUUCGGAUCCCAAUUCCCGGACUCAGAGUGACAUGAAGCUAUGGCCGUUGGAUGGAUACUACUUUAAUUAAGGACUAGGAACUUACAGACUUGUCUGUGAGAAGCAACUAGAUAGACUGUCCUCGAACUCGACCUCUUAAGGAGAGGAAUUCAUGGAUAAAACUUGAAAAUAAGGAUGCACUAUUAGUAAGCUUUUUGGCAAAACAAUUUGGCUCCUUGCUCAGCUACUCCUUGUCUACCCUAAGCCUGCAUUCCCAAGUUCUCCCUUUUUCCGCCGGGUAAGUCUUGUUGAGUACUCCCGUACUCAGGGUUUUAUAACCCCUGUUGCGGGUGCUGACUUAUGCUGCUAAUGGAGGUCAUGUCGGUGGGCGCGACAUGAUUUAUCCACCUCUUAUACCUUAGAAGCUUCACCUAAGAUGCUUCCGCUACUCUACACACCUUUUGGAAAUUUAGUUGUUUAUAUUCCAUCAUAUGUUGUAAAUUGAGCUAUAAAUCUUCCGCACUCUGAUGUAAGAUAUUUUUGUAAGAAAUGUUGUAAUGUUGUGGAAACUCCAUGUUGCUCCUGUAUGAGUUAAAAUGUGGAUGAUUCGGGGUCCUCUAAGGGCACCGGACAGACUAUCUGGGUUAUAUGACUCUCAUGUGCAGUAAUCAGAGGUCUUAAUGACAAUGAUAGGUGCAUGUGGGCCAUAUAAUUUAGGUGGUUCUGUCAAAGAGUGGUGUGGAGCUCAUACAUGGAUCUUCUACAACAUUACUUGUGAAAAACUUCAAAAGGAAUUUACAAAUUAAAAGUUUUUGAGGACAACAACUUGUAAAUGCUCGUUAACUUUUCUUAUGCUUGCUAUUCAAGUUCUGUGAAGACUAUCUGCUGACUCAAAUAGAAGGCAUUGAAAGGGACUACGAUUCUUCUUCAACAAGCCAAGUGAAGAAUCAAACUACUCCAACAAUGCUUUGUCAAAAGUCUUGCAACAUUCCAUCCAGAGUGAUGAAGAUAGUGUAUAAAAUAAAGCCCUAUAAUCUACUAACAUGAUGAACAUGGAGCACUCUAGCCAUUGAGAAGACGUAUAGGACGAGCAUAUUGCAUAUCAUGCAUAAUUUGAAAAAUAUAAUGAUGCUUAAAACUUCAUCCUUAUGCUUCAAAAAUAGUUAUUAUUCAUUAUAGCUGUUUUAUUGAUGAAUCUCAUCAUGUACCAGGUUUCGUAACCGAUUGAUAAUCUUUUACUCCAUAAGAUCCUAAUCCUUGAUUCUCUUGUUAUGCAUGUGACCCUUCCUUGAUUUCAUCUAACUUGACACAUGCUACCUCCUUGCUGUCAUUUCAUGACAUAUGUGCUGAUUGAAUGACACUAUGAUUGUGUCCUCUUAAGGUACCAUGACUUGUAACUUAGGUAACAAUGUCGAAACCUGGGGUCUCCUAUGGCUCAUGACCAUGAGGAAAUACUGCUGGGUGCUCAUUGUUAUCAAAGUAUAUUAUCAUUGUUGAUAUUUGGUAACGCAAUAAGGAAAUGAUCCGCAAGCGCACGGAUAUCGGUGAGCAUUUCACCCGGGAGGUUUUCCAGAGUAUCGUAUUUAUAUUUUUACCACUGGGAGAAAGGGUGCAUCUGACUAACCAAAUCUAUUGCUACUAUCCCUUUAGGCUACAAAGAAUGUCUCUCGAUGUGAGUGAUCUAUAGAGAAGACUGCAACCGUAGUCUCGUUCUAACCUUGGUAAGGAUGAUCUACUGUUCUAUUGGGGAGGCUCACGGAAUCUAGACAAUACAAAGGAUGUUCGACCCGCACCUUUAACCCUACCCGUCCUACUAACGAGAUGUGAUCUACAAAGGUAACUCGGAAAUGUCACGUUCCUCGCUACUACCACGGUCCAGCUAGUCAGGGGAUAUCUAUGAGUACCCUAGCCUAAACACCACGUUUACGCUAACAAGUGAUUACUCUAAUACUCAACCGGAAGAGGAUUAAAGUAAACUCAUAAACCAAAGAACAAUAAAACAAGAACUUACUAGUAUUAGAAGUCGAAUUACUGAAGAAUCUUAGAAGCAAGCCUCGGGUUAGGAGACUUGAUCCCGUAGGUACAACUCGGAGUAGACACCGUCAGGCCGACCUUCCUCCGAUCCACACCUCCACUCUAUCUCUCUCAAUCUAGUAGAAACUAGAAGAUCUAUUUCUACCUUACAUUGGUUGCUACGCCUAAAAAAGAAAUAUUAUUUAGAGAAGAGGUUUUCCUUCGAGGGCACCCCUCAAUCUCUAUGAUAAUUUCUUGUCUUCUCCAGGGCCAGGGGGCCCUGCUUAUAUAGUCCUCCCCUUCUAUGCGUUUUUGGGUCGAUAGGUGAGGUGGUACUAUGUUUUCCUUGAUCCAAUAGGUCGGUGGAACAUCCCGAGCGAAAGAGUCCUGAUUUGGCUCCAACAGGGGGGCGGGCGCCCUGGGCCUGGCCCAGUUUCGCCUCCGCUUCGGUCUCGUGGCUUCUGGAGUCUUCUAGAUGAUGUAAAAUCGUGCGGUGCGUUGAUAUCUCUAUGUAAUCCCGACAUGUGGGCCUUUCUUCCUUAUUUCCUGAUAACCCCCUGCGGAAACAGAUAAACAACAAAACUCGUGGAAUUCUGUCAGAUCAAACCCUAAUUCUAGGUGUUGGUUGCAUUUGGAUCCUUUUCUUUAUUUAUUUGAUAAUUAAAUUUGAUACUUAAGGACCGUCAACAAACUCCCCCAAGCUUACCUCUUGCUCGUCCCUGAGCAAGGAUAGACUUAGCUAUGGAUCAUAAAUUGUUGCAAUAUUUUAAAAAUUGAUGUUACACAUGCUUUUUAAAUAAAAUCUCAUCUCUGAGUUAGAGUAAACUAUCAAGACUUAAAACUUACUUUACCUUCACCAUGGGACUUGUAACCGUCACUUUUGUCUUGAGAGGUUAAAAGAUAGAACAGUCUAGCCAAGUGCCAUGUCUCUUAUUCUUGAUCAGCUAUAGCUCUAGAGUUUUUGCAGAUUUUCAAAUAAAACUCAGAGAUUCCUUGUAUGAUUCUCUCAGAUCUCUCUUUUAUGGUAUUUUUGGAUCCUUACCAAGGCAGUGAUGGUAUAUGCCUUCUCUCAAGAUAUGUAGUAUUUGUGGUAUGAAGCAUAGUGACAUUGUCUUCUCUCUCACCCUACUCUAAUAAGGUUCUGAUAUCUGGAGCUCAUAGGUGGGAGACAGCUAAUACAUACUUACAAGACAUUUAUUGCAUAGUCAAACCAUGGACCCAGAGAAACAAGUCAAUAAGUCAAAUCAAGAUGUGCAUGUGUGGCGAAUGAAUGGUGUAUGGUGAUGAUGAUGAUAAUAAUGGUGAAAGUCUAAUUCUACUUUUGCUCUUUUGAGGGGAUACAUACCUUUCUUGCACUUUGAACCUUUUUGGGGAGAAUAAGAUGCUCUAUAUUUUCUUUUUCUUUCCUCUCAGGUGGGUAUCUUGUACCCCUAAUUCUACUGUCGGACACUUGUCCAUUUUUACCUCUCGUCUCACUUUUUCUUUUCUUUUGAGGUUCCGGGCACUUGCCCCUUUUUAUUUCCUCGUAUAUAUAUUUUUUUUCUCUCUUCUUUUUUUUUAGAGCACUCAUCUCCUGAAAUAAUGUAGCAAGUGGUAGUAACCAAAAUAACUGGAGCAUUUAUUUCACAGGGAAUAACAGGGAUAGGAAAAUGUUUUUGGCUAUUCUCUCCCGGAUUAGGAGUAGAAUAAUUUUGGGUGAAACUGGAGAUGGAAAUGAGUGGAUAUAUGUGGAUGGUACUUCCGGAGUAGAAGUAGCAUGUAUGAGUGAAUGUGCAGGUGAAUCUUGAUUUUAACCACAUGACAAGCUCCUAAGGGUCUACACAGCUUGACCACACUCAAUGCUCAUAAGCAGUAAAAAGUAAAUAUGUGGCUCAAAGUCUAGCAAGCAUGUAUAUAUGGCUGUGGUAGGAUUUUAAACUCUCAUCAUACAGGAACUCAUCAUGUGUUAUUUUAAAGAUUUUUUUAAAGAUAAAAUUCUCCAGAAUUCUAGCAUCUCUAGGAACAGAUAAAAAGCAGCUCAACCUUCCCAUAUCAUAUCCAUUAACGACUUAGACUUUAGAUCAAGUACUCUUCCCACAAGUUUAGGUUUAGAGCAAGCUUUAAAUUAUAACAGUUAUGUCUAAACUUGAGAGAGAUUUCAAUUUUAAGAACUAGUCAUGGCAGAGCAACUAUUCAUCAUUUCCAUGAGAGAGCUUAUCAUGAGGGUUCAUAGCAAAUUUUAUUUAUUUAUUUAUUUAGAAAACUAAGCAAAGAUAUAUAUAUAAAAGCACAAAAUCUUUAUUUGGGUUUUUCAUAGUUUAAUAUUCUAACAUAAUAUAAGUAUAAAGAUAGGUAGAAAUACUUAGCAAGAUAAAUGGGGGUGCUCUCCCCCAAGCUGAAUUUUGACGUAAUUUCUUCUGAUGUAGCUAGCAGGUGAUGGAGGUGUAUUUGAAAGUCGACAGCACCCCGACAGCGAUUAGGAUGUCUUCCGUCUGCUAGUCUUCUUUGAUCCUUGAAUUCUGUGGAGCUCAAAUAGACAACAAAGCUUUGUGGAACUGAUUAAGUAGCAUAAAUAUCUAGCCUUUAUCAUGUUGAGCCUCCUCAAUAUUACUUAUUUAGCAGGAUCAUGCACUUAUUAUUUUUAUAUUUUUAUUGUAAGAUGAAAACUUAUUUAUUUUAUUUUCAUGCCACCACAGUGAAUGUACUUAUGGGUUUUAUGCCAUGAGCAUACUCACAUGAGGCUUACUAUUUUUUUUAGCAUUUUUAUUUUCUUUUCAAGAUAGCAUGAACCUGAUUAACUAAGCAAAACUAUUGAAUGGAAAAGGAUAACUACCAAGUUUACCUCUUGGCAAGGCGUUCAGUGUUUUUAAGUCCUCCGAACGGGACUCUCCAUUUUCUUAGUCGUCCUGGGAUUUGCCGGGUGGCGUAGUCGGUGGUUCCGGCGGCGCCUCCUCUUCGUGUAUGACUAUCUUCUCUUUCCACACCUGACUCGGUGCUACGGUCUCCUCAGGACAGUUCUGUUCAAGUUGUAUGUCUUCAGUCCUUAUCACUUCUCCUUCGUAGUCUACCCAUCCGUCCUUGAUGAUUUGCCUCCUCUGGUUGCGGUUGCAUUGUCUUCUUCUUGUCCCGACCUGCUUAGAAUCUUCAACUAUAUAAUCAUUAAAGUAGUGGCGUACCUUCUCAGAGGGGAAAUGCAUGUAGACUUCUCCGGUUCUAAUAUAGAUAAUGGCUUUGAUAGUGUUUGAGGAACGGUCUUCCAAGGAUGAUGGGUGGAUCGAACUCGUCUUCUCCCAUGUCAAUGACCUGAAAAUCAUCUUGAGCUGAAUAUAUUGGUUGUAGGGGCAUGGUUCCAUGCAGGAGCUGAUAAGUGACUGCGGCCAUUAUGUUGUCGUUAGAUCCGGUGUCGUAGAGUGUCUUCUGAAAAGAGUAUCCGUUGAUUGUGCAUUCGAUUCUUGAAACACCAGGGUCGUCCUUCUUGAUCAAGAAAGGUGACUUGAGUCGACGAUCUUGACCUCCUUGAACUGCAGUGACCAACUUAGCUGACUCGGUCCACAUUUGCUUGUUCCUGUUCCUCCUGUUGGUCCUCUUCCUUGGUUGAUGUCGGGGUUGCUCUGAACUUUGUGUAGUCUUGUUCUUGAAGGAAAGUCUCCUUCUUCCCCUUGAUGUAGAGACUGAUCUUGGCAGCAUUAGCGUAGAUGACAGCUCUAGUGUUUAGGAAUGGCCUCCCUAAGAUGAUUGGUGCCCUCUCCUCAGUGCCAGUCUCUAUCACCAUGAAGUCUGCUAGAGCAUACAAGGUACCAACUCAGACGCAGAGGUUCUUCAAUAUUUCCUUUGGGAAACUGAGUGUCCGAUCUGCAACCCUGGGCAUAAUGUUGACGCUGGAGCCAAAGUCGCAGAGUGCUUCUGGGAAGUCCACCAUGCCGAUGGAGAUCGGGAUGACGGGGCGUCCUGGAUCACCUCUCUGAGUAAUUAGGCCUCUGUUGAUUCCAACCUUGAUGUUGUUGAGGACGGUUGUAGUAAUAGUUGUUUUUGUUGUUGAUGUAGUUCACGUCCUCAAGCAUCUCAGGGCAGUGAUUGCCUGAGCGUCCAGUAUCUCCAGUGUUUGUGCUCGUAGAUCCUAGUUCUUCACUUGGUGGAAUCUGGGAGUUGUAAAACUCCUUCAUAUUAUGCUUGAAGUGUUCCUGCUCAUAGAGACAAGGUAGAGAUCAAGUGCAUGGGCCCUGUUGGUGGAAAACACCAAUAGAACCAAAAGUGUAUUUGUUCUUCUCUAACCUUAAGCAUAGUGAGCAAGACAAAGUUGGUGGAUCAUGAGUGUAGCAUUUGUCAGAUCAGAUGGCUCAACAUAAUGGAAAGAUAAUCUAUCUAUAUUUAUGUUUUGUUUAUAUCUUCCAAAGAUUGCAUGUGCAAUACUUUAGCUUAUAUGAUUAGGAGUGUGGGGUCACGAAGGUAGUACUAAGAACAAAGAUUAAAGGACUAAACAUGUUGAAUUAAUUGAGUUGGUUAAUUUGGAGUUAUAAAUCAUACAUGUUUGUCUCUUUAUUUAUGUGAAUGCCAGAACCAAGGAGGAGCUUAUAAAAGUGUUAGUCAAGUACCUUAUGAUGUUACCUUAAUUGAAGAGUGAUGGUACAGUAUCACCUUGUGGAAGCUUUCCUUUCUUAGCGGUUGUGCAUCGUGUUUGUGGCACCCUCCAUGAAUCAUCUCUUAUGAGCUACGUCUUUCUUGUGCAAAUUGUUAAACUUCAUGUGUCACUUUCUUCAUCUCUAAUGAGUUUGCAUCUCAGGACUUCCCAGGUUGUUAUUGAAAGUUUUCCUGCAGGGGUUAGUCCAACAAAAUAUACCAAUAUCUACUCAAGCAGUUUUUUAGUUCAGUAACCAAACUAGACUCCAUGUCUAAUCAGAUUAAGGAAGGCUAUUUAACCUAAGCACCACGCUUAAUUUAAAUGCCAUUGGAAGUGUGACCAGUACUUCCAAACUAACACUUACUAGGAUAAACAAAGGUAGCAUGAUGGCUUUUAUAGAGAUCUACUCAAGUGGAGAUGAAGUAGUGUGAUUAGUAUUUAACAAAUUGAGCAUGUCUCAAAGGUAGGGACAACCAACAUAGCAACAUGGCAAAGGAUGUUUUAUGGAAAGUACUCCCCCAAGCUUGAAUUUUGCAAAAUUCAAGAUUGGAUGAAUUUAAUUUAAUGUUGCAUGAUGAUUGGUUGGGCAUACCUUGUGCUUGUCAUUCAUCCGAUCUUCUUGCUCCAAUCCUAGAAAGGUUAGUGACAAGAAUACCCGAAGGAAUAUUUCUACAAUUAUCUUUAUAUGCUCAAUACACAAGGCAAUGUUGCAAAUAAUUAGAAGUGCUUGUUUUAGGACACUAAGCUUGUCCUUGGGAAACCAUCAAUUAACUCAAUGAGAUCUGCAAUAUUUAUUAUAGACAUAUGCAUCGACAACCGCUCUUUUAAAGUUUUUAUAAAUAGAAAAGAAGAGGGGGUUGGAGAUCUCAAAUGUGGUAAGGAUGGAGAGACAAAUUGAUUGGAGAGAUGUUUUAUAUGAGCAAGGACUAGGUGAGGUAUUUAUGAAAUAACUUCCAUGCUCACUGUUGUUUCUCUCAUUCUCAAACUCCAACGAUGAUUCUUCAUGAAUGUUUAAAAUUCCUCUAGGAUUGUCUCUCAAGUUUGUUUUAUCUAACCAUUCAAUGGUGAUAGCACAUGGAUUUUUAAUGCCCUCUAGCCAUUGAUGUUGCUCUUCUCGAUCCUCCUUCUUAUGCAUGGGAUGUCUAGAAAGAUUCAUAGGAUUAUCGGGAGGUUCAAGAGGAAGAGCAUAGUAGAAACUAUUAAGCUCAAGGAUGGGAUGGAUAGCCAAAUCAUGGGAUUGAAAUGUUUGGAAAUCGGCUAUUGAAACUUCCUUUCCUCGUCUGGGAGAUGAUUCCUUCUCUAUCUCUAAGAUUUUUCUAUGAAGACUAGUACAAGAAGGAUGUCCACAAAUGAAGACAUACCUUCCUUUACUAAUAGAUAAAGAAAGAAGGACUCUACCAAAGGUUAUAUGAUUAAGACCAAUGUGAAAAUAUUUAGGAAAAACAUGGUCUUGUAGGGCUAGGUCUAAACCAGAAUUUAUAGAAAGAUUAACAAAUUCUCUAGGUGUAGCUAGAAGUGCAUUAUCUUUUUGAUUAAAAGAUAGGACCUCGGCUAUAGAAAAGGGUUGGUUUUGACCUAUUGCAAUCAACUCCGGACACAGAUCAUAAUUACGGGCAGGACGUGUUGACUCCCAUGGUCUAUCGCUGGUCUCCGAAGGUGCAAAGAAUUCAGUAAUAGGUAUGGAAUAUAAGUUAUCCAUAAAGAUAAAAAUAAAAAGAUAAAAGAAUAAAAGUAUAAAAGUAUAAUACAAGAUAAUAGCAAGACUCAAAGUUAUCUCGGCAAACCGUCUUUCUCCCCGGCAACGGCGCCAGAAAUGCUUGUUGAUAUUUGGUAACGCAAUAAGGAAAUGAUCUGCAAGCGCACAGAUAUCGGUGAGCAUUUCACCCGGGAGGUUUUCCAGAGUAUCGUAUUUAUAUUUUUACCACUGGGAGAAAGGGUGCAUCUGACUAACCAAAUCUAUUGCUACUAUCCCUUUAGGCUACAAAGAAUGUCUCUCGAUGUGAGUGAUGUAUAGAGAAGACUGCAACCGUAGUCUCGUUCUAACCUUGGUAAGGAUGAUCUACUGUUCUAUUGGGGAGGCUCACGGAAUCUAGACAACACAAGGGAUGUUCGACCCGCACCUUUAACCCUACCCGUCCUGCUAACGAGAUGUGAUCUACAAAGGUAACUCGGAAAUGUCACGUUCCUCGCUACUACCACGGUCCAGCUAGUGAGGGGAUAUCUAUGAGUACCCUAGCCUAAACACCACGUUUACGCUAACAAGUGAUUACUCUAAUACUCAACCGGAAGAGGAUUAAAGUAAACUCAUAAACCAAAGAACAAUAAAACAAGAACUUACUAGUAUUAGAAGUCGAAUUACUGAAGAAUCUUAGAAGCAAGCCUCGGGUUAGGAGACUUGAUCCCGUAGGUACAACUCGGAGUAGACACCGUCAGGCCGGCCUUCCUCCGAUCCACACCUCCACUCUAUCUCUCUCAAUCUAGUAGAAACUAGAAGAUCUAUUUCUACCUUACAUUGGUUGCUACGCCUAAAAAAGAAAUAUUAUUUAGAGAAGAGGUUUUCCUUCGAGGGCACCCCUCAAUCUCUAUGAUAAUUUCUUGUCUUCUCCAGGGCCAGGGGGGCCUUGCUUAUAUAGUCCUCCCCUUCUAUGCGUUUUUGGGUCGAUAGGUGAGGUGGUACUAUGUUUUCCUUGAUCCAAUAGGUCGGUGGAACAUCGCGAGCGAAAGAUUCCUGAUUUGGCUCCAACAGGGGGGCGGGCGCCCAGGCUACCAGGGCGGGCGCCCUGGGCCUGGCCCAGUUUCGCCUCCGCUUCGGUCUCGUGGCUUCUGGAGUCUUCUAGAUGAUGUAAAAUCGUGCGGUGCGUUGAUAUCUCUAUGUAAUCCCGACAUGUGGGCCUUUCUUCCUUAUUUCCUGAUAACCCCCUGCGGAAACAGAUAAACAACAAAACUCGUGGAAUUCUGUCAGAUCAAACCCUAAUUCUAGGUGUUGGUUGCAUUUGGAUCCUUUUCUUUGUUUAUUUGAUAAUUAAAUUUGAUACUUAAGGACCGUCAACAAUCAUGAUCCCUUAUAGUCCACAAUUAGGGUGUUUCAUUCGUUGGACACUCCUUAGGGAUUCAAAUUUGUCCUUUUGAGUUCCCUAAACACCUUGUGGUUGUGAUCGACUUUUGAUCUCAGUUACAUUCUUGGUAUUGUGAGACAUGGGUUCUUGUUGUGGUGCCCUAUAGUGGUGCCAUGUCCCGUGACCACGGUGCCGCGUCGGAACCUAGAGUCUUUUGUGUGUCCGGAUGACACAAAUUUCUACUGGGCGCGUGUAGGUAUCGAGGUUAUGGACAUGAUCCAUUAUAGCCCCACAACUAAGGUGCCCUCGCUCUUUGAGCCCUAUCAUGGGAACCCAUGCCCAUAUCUUUGUGGGAAUUACCUAAAACCCUUGACUUGGAUAACCGUCAUAGGUUGAUUGAAAGCUAUUGUAACCGUACUCUAUAGUAGGUACCAUGAUCCGUGAUCACGUUAUAGUGUCGAACCUUGUAGUCUCCUGUGGAACCGUGGCCAUAAGGAAAUACUACCAGGUUCUCGUUAAACAUCGGGAUCUCUGGUCAUGCUCCACUAUAGUCUACAGUUAGUAUGCUUUCAUUCUCCUUGGAAGCUCAUUUGAAGAUUCAUAUCUUCUUAUGAGUUCUCUAAAAUUCCUGGUUGAUUACAACUUUCUGUUGAUCUUAGCUGUAAUUCUCAGACCAAUUGUAAUUGUUUUAUGAACUUCUCAGAAGUUAAUGUGCUUGACACAUUUCCUUUUCCAUUACUUAACCCCAUGGGUUUUAGUACCCUGGAAAUCUCGGGACGAGAUUUCUUUAAGGGGGAAGGGCUGUAACAUCCCUGAUGUUACGAACAUUAAAACAGGAUCAUGUCAUCAUAAGCAUUGCAAAGCAUAUUUGUUAAGCACAUCAUGAUGCAUCAACUUAAAAUAAGUUUAAUUUGGUUGAAUGUGCUCAGGGAAUUAAAGUGUGAUUAUCUUGUAUAUCGAUGCUUGUGUUGGUUGCUAAAACCCUAGGGUGAAAGAUUUCCGAAAGGCUUAGGGGGGGGGAAACCCUGAUUUUUGAACCCUAGAACUGCCCCCCUUUUGUACAAUUUAAAAACCAAGCAAAAUUUGAGGUUGAGUUCAAAAGCAAAGUUGUAGAUCUUGUCAAGAUGUACAACUUUGGUGUUUUGAGUUUUUGAAGUUUCAAUAUAAAAUUUAAAGUAAUUUUGAAAAUACAGAUUUCCAGAAAUUGUCCUCUUUUCCAACUUGAAUCUCUAAUUCAAAAUCUAUUUGGAAUCCUGAAAAGUGAUCGAAAUGAAAGUGGUAGGGCUAAUCAAAAUGAACAACUUUUAUUUUGGGAGUUUUUCAAGUUGUUGAGAAAAAUCAAAAGUAAUUUUAGAAUUUCUAUUCUGCCCCAAUUCAAACCAGUUUUGCCCCCAAAUUGAAUUUUUGAAUUUCAAACUGUUUUCCUCAAAUUCAUGCCCUUCCACUCAAAAUCAGUUCUGGACUCUUAAUGAUGUUUUGUAGCAUCCAAAAUUUUGAACAACUUAUGUUUUGGCGGAAAUUUGAGUGCUAUUCAGAUUUUGGGAAUAAUUUGGAAAAUGAGGGGGAAGGGAUUAGGGCGAGCUACAGUAGCUCCACCUAUUGCCACCGGCCAGCAUCGCACUCCAGCGCCGUGGUGGACGCGCUGGCGUCCGGCAUGCCCUCCACGCAGCUGUGCGCUUGCUUGCCCUUGCCUAUUCCACGCCAUCCUCAUCCGAAGCGGACGACAGCGUCCUCCUUGCUUCCUAUUUCUUUCCCUGGUGUCCUGCCGCCGCAAGCCAUGGCCGCCAUACGUCACCCCACCAUGACCAGAGCUCUCCAGCGCAGCUCCACUCUAUCCGUUUGGUGUUAUAGCUCCACCUCUAUUCGCUGAUACCUAUGAGCCUCUCGUUUCAUACAACACGGGCUAGAACUCCGUCGUGCCGCCGUGUUGCGGACCGGCAAACCGCCAUGGCAACCUGCGCACGUGGCCAGGAGGCCAUAAACCUUCUCCGGCCAAGCCACACACACCAGCGCGAGCGCGCAAGCCUCAGGGUGCUCCCCAACGCUUUCCCUCUCUGCCAACAAGCGUCCACCGGCCGGAAAUCAGGUUUUCUCCGACAUCCUCUGCUCUGGAUUCGCGACCAGGGACUUCGCGCGACAAUUUGAAGUUCUCCAGGGGUCUAAUUGCACAGACUGUGACUCAGGUGAAUAGUGCUAUAAAGACUUGUUUGUAGAUGUUUUGUUGAAUCUUUGAAAAUUCAUAUCUGGAGUUUGGUAACUCCAAUUUUGGUGAAAUAAAUUUUGUUGUGCUCCUUGAGAUGUCUAGUUUUUAUUAAAGAUAUGAAACUGUCCAUGUUUUGUAGUAAAAGAAUUAGUUAUGAUUUAUGCCUUUUAUUUAUGUUUAAAAAGGAGAAAUUCAUAUCUCAUUCUGUGUAGCUCCUAUAGGCCUGAAAUUUUUAUGAUGUUCUCAUGAUGUUAUGUGAGUGUUGCAGUAAAGAUUUCAUGUUCAGUGGAUAAUAUAUGGUUAAGUUAUUAUUUUAUCUUGUUUAGUGCUUAUUAAAUUGUCUAUAAUUAAACUAAAAAUUAAUAAAUGUAAAAUAUGGUUCCUGUACCUUUAUAUGAGGUUGUUAUAUCAUAUAGGUACAUAAUUUAGCUAUGUGUUUGUAGAAAAUGUCGAGUUUCUUAUUUAUCUUGUUGUUACAUGCUUCCUUGUGAUGGAAAUUUAUCUUUUUCAUGGAAAUUGCUAUACUUAUCCAAAUGGCAUGAAAUUUAUACAGUAGACUUUGGAGAGCAUAUAUGAGCUUCUGUAGUUUUCUCAGAAUUUACUGUGUACUUUUGAUAUAUGGUUAUUACUUUGUCUAUUUAUUUAAAUAAAUUAAUAAAGACAUGAAAGGUAUUUAUUUAGGGAUGGCCAUGAUGUUUUCUAGUAUCUCUUUGAUGUAUUUCAACUGUUGGUGAGCUGGGUUUUGCCUAGGUUCAAGUUUGGAACAUAAAUGAAAUGUUAUUUCUCGGUAAUUCAAUUGUUAGUGGUUUCUCGAUAGUUUUUGGAGCAUUAUAAAUUGCUCUAGGUAAAUAAUGUUGGAUAUGAAACUUGUCUACAACAAAGUUGUAUAUAAUUCAUGUAUCUACUUGGUGUUAAAUUUUGGUGGCAUUUGGCCCUAUAGUUUCUGAGUUAUGCCUGUUUAAAUUUAAGUUUCAGAAAUGGUUUCUCUCUGUCAAAUCCUGGAUCAGUUGCUGUAGUUGUGCAAUUUCGACCUACUAAACUUGUGAAUCAUGCUUUGAUGAUGAAAGAUAAAUUGUAGCAAUUUUCAUAGGCUUUCCAAAAUGUUAUGGAUCAUGACUUUUGGUGAUCUAGAACUCUGGUUAUAGAUGUAUGAAGCUUAAUGUCUCAUUCUGUCCAAGGUCUGGACAGAAUUGUUUAUUCAUACUGUUUGGCCAUUUUAUCUAUUAAAUCAGUUCUCGAAAAUAAUAACAAAGUUGUAGAAAAUUAUCUAAGCUUUCCAGAAAGUCUAAUAUCACCUUUAUUGGAUGCUUGGAUCUCUAAUUAUGGUUGAGUGAAGUUGCGUAUAUGCUGCUGUCCUGGUUAUGUGUGCAAAUAGAGUUGAUUGUUUUUUUUUUGCUAGCCUUUACUUAAAUAAUGAGUAGCUUAAUCUCUCAAAUAGGAUUUGAGUGAUUUUGGGAUUGUAUGAUGACCUAAGGUCAUUAACCUUAAUGACCUUUGGCAUUUAAUUAUUGUUUGAUGUUAAUACUUACUUACUGCUACUAAUACUUAAUUAAGAAUUAAUUAAGGUAAAAAGGUUUAAUGGUCAGUUAAUUAAGGAUAAUUAGGAAUUGAGAAAGGUCUUAUUUUACUAAUGCAACCUCUUGGGUAAAAACACUAAGAUCAUAAACAACUUUAAUUACUGUUUAGCCUAUUUUUGCACCAAGAAGGAAAGUUGUACUCAACUCGGUCCUUCUUAAAUAUAUGUCAUACGCAUAUCAUGAGCAUCCAUCAUUUUGCGUAAAGUGCACGUGACCGAAGGAGCGACCGUUGAACCGAACCCCGAGGCCGGUGCUCCGUUCGAGGAAGUAGGAUCCGAGACUUGGGAAGUCUCCGAGGGUCCCUCUCAGCUCUGCAACCAAGGCAAGCCCCAGAUGCAUUAACCCCUCCUUGAAUGUUUUAAAUCUUUUAUCACUUAUGAAUUGAAAAUGCUGCAUUAGGUAGUUGAGAAUUGGGUUAACCUACUUGCUGCAUUUACUACCUUGUUAUCUGUUAUCCUGUCCUUGACACCUAUUUUAUUUUAAAAAUUGCGUAGUGAUGCUUAGCCCUGCUACUAGAUAGGUUUUCAAACAAGAAAGUUUGAAGGGUUGUUGUGGAAUACUCUUAUGAUCAAUGAUAUUUCAACUUGAGACCGGUCGGUGGACUUGCUUUAAGAAUGGAGUCUUAAAGUAGUGUCUCCAACUGUGUCGGUUAAGGACCGGUCCGUUGGUGGGCUGAUGGGUUGAGAAUUUAUAGUACUAGCCACUUGCCCUCGGUAAGCCCGGUCUUGUGAUCCCUCGACGCGAACAGCUACUCGCGCACUGGGCGUGGAGCGAUGGCGAGAGUAGUGUGUACCCACCUUACGGAUCUGAGAUGACCGGGAAACAUCUAGAUCGGCUGUAGGAGGGUGGAGUACUGUGCUCUCGGGUGCCGCGAACCUGGUCAAAUUUGGGGAGAGCUUGAUUUGGGUUGAUAUAAGCAAGAUUUGGUUCUACAUAUGUCGGGUGGUUAGGAACUCCAGCUGGAUUGCUAAGCGGUUCGAAUCGUCGUUGCUCCCCGAUUGGGAGACUCAAUCCACUGACCCUCAUCGUAGUUAAAUAUGCAACUAAGUGAUAAAAGAAGAAAGGGGAAAUGUCUCAUGAGGUUCGGAUCCCAAUUCCCGGACUUAGAGUGACAUGAAGCUAUGGCCGUUGGAUGGAUACUACUUUAGUUAAGGACUAGGAACUUACAGACUUGUCUGUGAGAAGCAACUAGAUAGACUGUCCUCGAACUCCUCGACCUCUUAAGGAGAGGAAUUCAUGGAUAAAACUUGAAAAUAAGGAUGCACUAUUAGUAAGCUUUUUGGCAAAACAAUUUGGCUCCUUGCUCAGCCACUCCUUGUCUACCCUAAGCCUGCAUUCCUAAGUUCUCCCUUUUUCCGCCGGGUAAGUCUUGUUGAGUACUCCCGUACUCAGGGUUUUAUAACCCCUGUUGCAGGUGCUGACUUAUGCUGCUAAUGGAGGUCAUGUCGGUGGGCGCGACAAGAUUUAUCCACCUCUUCUACCUUAGAAGCUUCACCUAAGAUGCUUCCGCUACUCUACACACCUUUUGGAAAUUUAGUUGUUUAUAUUCCAUCAUAUGUUGUAAAUUGAGCUAUAAAUCUUCCGCACUCCGAUGUAAGAUAUUUUUGUAAGAAAUAUUGUAAUGUUGUGGAAACUCCAUGUUGCUCCUGUAUGAGUUAAAAUGUGGAUGAUUCGGGGUCCUCUAAGGGCACCCCACAGACUAUCUGGGUUAUAUGACUCUCAUGUGCAGUAAUCAGAGGUCUUAAUGACAAUGAUAGGUGCAUGUGGGCCAUAAAAUUUAGGUGGUUCUGCCACAAAGGGGGGAUCGGGAGCGAACUCAUCAGAAAAAGCAGUAUAGCCUUUUAAGGAGCCCAAGACUCCUUAAAAGACACGGGGGCUACCCCCACGAGGGUCGCUCGUGCGACCCCACGGAAACUCGACCAAUGGAAAAGCCUCUACUCGAGCGCAAGCACUCGAGUAGAUACUCGGGGGCUACUGUCGAGGGUGUCAGUAAGGGGUAUCUCAACCGACGCUCAUAACGAAAGGACCCAUACAUAAGUCGAGGCCCAAACUCGACGCCCUCGCUUACACUCGUGAUCACCAAAGCUCAAUGUCGACCAUAGCCUCGAACACGAAAAUAAGGUCGUGCGAAUUGACAGAGGCUCGACUAAACAACAACCGUCGAAUACGGAAGUGGCUCGGGCGAAUCGACAGGCCUCGAGCGCAUAGGCGCCGUCCGCCGCCUAUCGCGGGUAUGGGAGCCAGGGCAUUUAAUGCGCCUGCCAUGCUCUCACCUACCCCGACAGUCACGGGAAACAUGAUAGGGAACAAGCACCGGUCCAAUCCCCACUUUUCACAGCUUUAUCCCCCUUAUAAGCAAGAGUACAACCAAGCACAGUGUGACAGUCGAGACGUCACGUCACGGUGUCCCUCGAGGCACCGAGAGUCAGCGCACCGCUCAACGAAGCCAUACGCAGUACCGAACCCUCGAGCAAAUACGUUCCUUCCUAGGGAAGGGUUAGGCGAUGAAUGUCAGCGCUUCAACCACCCUAGACGUGACCACUGCCACGACGUACAGGCACGCUCGAGACUAAGCCAAUCCGAGACAAUGUAUAGGGGCCAAACCUAGAAGCACGCGUGAUCAUCACCAAAGUACCCAAUAACAUGACGGCUCGAAGCCACGCCGGUACGGAGGCCUCGAGUAGGUCAGCGCGCCAUGCCCCUAUCGAUCCCUAUUCUGUUGCCUACGACUUGUAAUCCAGGUCUCCCCUUGGAACUAUAAAAGGGGACACCGAGGAAGAGAUACGGGCAAGGAGACACUACACGUAGAACAACCUUCCAUACACCCCUGUACAAGCACUUAGCUGCAUGAAUGUAGAAGAUCUCCCCCCCGGUGGACGUAGGGCCUUCUAUUGCCCGAAACAGGAUAAAUAAUUGUGUCACUCUUGUAUCACCAUCUGGAAAAGGGAACACGCACACAAAUUCACUCAUUGGUGUUACUCCUCGGGGUCAAAACACCGACAUAGAGCUGCUCUGUCGGCAAUACACUGAGCAGCCUUUUGAUAUUGGAGUUGGCGGCUUUCUAGAUGACUAGUUUGGAAGAGUGCUUUGUUGACACCAGAAGUGGCAAACGGUUAUACCGCAAGCGUACGGUAGUCAAUGUAGCCUUCACCGGGAGUAUUCCAGGUAUCGUGAUUUCCACGGGGAACGCGAAGUGAAUUAACUAGGCUUUAGAUCGUUAGGUGAUGAUCAAAGGGUCUAGGAUAAUGGGGUAGAGAGGUCUAACUAGUUAAUGCCUGGUCUUGGUAAUUAAGUAUAGUCAAGGUUUUUCACCUAACUCUUUACUGAGGGCGAUACCCGAAAAGGAGGAUUGAGUUAACGAAGUUUUUCACCUCCUCGUCUCCUAAGCGACUACCCUGCUCAGCCCAACUAUUAUUUGCAACUUGCCUACAACAGAUGCGAGGAACUUUCCGCCUAGCGAGGACUGUCACUCUCACACUACGUGUCUACACAACUGCGACAAGGAGUCCACACUGGCAAGAAGUAGUCUAGACACCACGUCUAAACUAGCUCUUGCUACCCUAAGCUUAGCUAAAGCUAAGAGCACUCAAGAUCAAGCAAUGUGCCAGUAAAGGAUUCUUAUACUUAAAGUACCAGACCAAAUAUUAAAUACUAGAAAAGACUCAGAAGUAAGACUUACAAGAAGACCUGCUUCCGCUGAGGUGCUCUGCGAAGAAGACUCCCGACAGGCCGGGACUCCUCCUUGGAACUCCUCACUCUCUACUCACUAUGAUAGCACUAAGCUACUAAAGUAGUUUACUCCUAAGAUACAUGACUCUUAAGUGAAGGAAUAGGGGGGUAUUUAUAGUGGGAGAUGGAGUAGGGGCUACUCCGGUGCCACGUCAGCGAUCCGCGUCAUCUUCAUCAUGCACCAUUGGAUCAAACCGACUUCACAACCGCCAUCUGAUCAACGGUAGAGGCAAACUAACAUGUGCAACAUGUGGGCAAGGUCGGUGGGAGGCCAACCGACCCUGGAACCGCCAUGAAGUGGGGUCGGCCGACCCCCUAUCUGGCUGGUUGGGCCCACCUGCAGUGUCCUGGAGGCUCUCUGAUGUCGGUGGAGUUGAGCUGACCUGUGGGACCCACCAAAGUGGGGUCGCCCGACCCCAAUUCUAUGGGGUUAGGGUGUCAGCCCUGUCCUACAUGUCUUCCUCUUCAUGACUAUAAUGUUGUCUUGGUUACUGGUGUCACUGAUCUUUAGUUAUUCACCCCUUCUUAGUGUUUGGACCCUUGAAAAGUACCUGUUCUUACUCCUGCAACCAAAUAGUAGCAUGUACAUGUGGAACUAGGUUAUAUGUACCUAUAUUACUACUUUGUUUGGUUGUUUUCUCCCAAAAUGAGUCUUAUGUUGACGGUUAUGAUAGUAGAAAACAUGGUAUAAAUACCGUCAACAAGACCCCCCACACUUGAGUCUUUGCUCGUCCUCGAGUAAAGGUUAAAAAUGAGUGAUCAAUGGUUUCUAACUUAAGAUAGUAGUGAGCAUAAAAUGCUAGUUCGAACAUAGUUCAUCCAAAUGGGUUUUUGUGUAAGUGUCUAGCAUAUAUCCUUCAGAGGUUGAGAAAAGGAACAACUCUCAGAACAAGAUCAAAUUCCAAUUUCAUAUUCUUGGUACUUAGAGUUUUUAUGACACUUUUUAAAAUAAGUCACAUAGUUCAAUCCUACUCCUCAUUUAGCGCUCUAGAUCACUCAAAGUUUUUUUUUUUAGUAGUCCUCACCAAGGCAUGAAUGCCAACUUGUUUCAUCCUAUAACUAUAGGCUUAUAUGGGGCUUGGUAGGGAUAAACAAGGUAGCAUACUCUACUUUGCAAAUAUUGUUAAGUCAAAAACAAGGAUCCAAAGAGAGGAGUGUCAUAGUCAUAGAUCAAGAUGUGCAAGUGUGUUAUAUGGUGGACUAGGUUGCUCCUUUAUUUGCUACACUCUCUCUACUUGUAUAUUGAGACAUGGCUAGAUUUUCUUUUUCUUCGAGCUUUAUGUGCUCAAUUUUUUUUUUAAAUACUUCAUGGACUUGCACAUGUCCAUUUUUUUCUUUUUCUUUUAUUUUGCCAAGCCUUUUAUGUCUCAUUUUCUAAACAAUAUUUAGAGAGGUGUUCUAACACUUAGAGUAUGGAGCAACCUAUUUAGUGGAUGCACAAUACAUGUGGUUGCGUACUUCCAGUGUAGAAGCAGCAUAUAUAUAUGUGGUGUGUACGUGAUCUUGAUCUUGUGACUAUGAUACAACUCUCACUAGGGUCAACAAGGUUUUGACAAAACUCAUUACAAAAGCAGGUUGCAUUUCAUAAAAUGGUUACUUGAAUAUCUAAGUGUAUGGCUUUUGGUGGGAAUUUCUUGCUAAUGAGGAGUAAAUGAUACUAUGGUUUUGUGAUAUUUUUGAAACAAAUCUCUAAGUACCUUGAAUAGAAAUGUUAUGAAUUCUUAGCCAAGAGUUAUAUCACUUUCAUCAACAACUUAGUCAAUAUGGUUCCUAUAGAUUUUUACCCAUGAGGAUGAACAAUUGUAAGAACUAUACUUUAUGUCACAAUUUCUCUUAAAUCAUGAACCAGUUCACUUUUUAUUUUGCAAACAAGUUUAAACUAUCAAAUUUUAUUUUAAUUGUGACACAAAGGUAGAGAAUUGGACAGACUGAGAGGGGGAAGAGUUAGCAAACCGGGCAGGAAAGAUGUGUUUCGUCGUAUAGAAGCUUCCUGGUGGGCCCAGGGCUCUAUGGAGGGGUCGGCCGACCCCACCUGGAGGUUCCUGGCCCUGCCACUCGAUUCUACGUCCCUCGGGAAGUCUUUCUGCACUUGUGUCGUUUCCUUUUGCCAUAGAAAGGGGGUCGGGCGACCCCCUCAUCGCGCCUGUUUUUGGUGCCAUGACGUGCCAAGGUGUAUGCAGUGUUGUUCCAUGCUCACGGCAGUUCAGAGAUGAAGUUGGGGGGUCGGGCGACCCCCCCACACUUGCAGUUUUCGUGCAGCUGAACUUAAAACAGAGAGACGAUCAAAUGCAGAUGUCCUGCUGGUGGCAACACACCAGCAGGACCAAAAACGACUCCAUUAAAUCAAAUUUCAAUUGUAUAGGCACUUUUACAUUGCGAAAUUCAAAGUGACAAACUGAAAAAUAAAAUUGAGUAAUCAAACCUAAAUAAUCAAAUAGUGCCUAUAACCUAAACUAACUAAUUUAUUUAGGGAGAUGGAGGUUUGAGGAGAUCCUCCCGCCCAAUUGCUUGCGCCUAACGCUUGAUUUUAGCGCUGGUGCUAAUGCGCAGGUGGCGGAAGUGAUCUUCUAACUCAAGAUUCUCCAUCCUGAGCUCCGACACUGUCUCCUCUAAGAUCCUAUUUUUCUUUCUAAGGCUAGCUGUGACUUCCAGGAGCUUCUCGAUGUCGCCUUUUUCUGGAUCUUCUUCGUAUUUGCCAGGCGCACCGUUGAUCGGAGGUGGAUCCAUCUUCCGCCGGAUGGAUGGACUUGCUGACGAGUCAAAGGACUCCCGCAACUCCAUCUUUUCCUUAGAGUUCAGCGGCGGGAUCAGCACCUUCCCCUUUCCCGGCCCACUGCCCACCACUUGGUGGUUCCUCCAAAAGGUUGGGGUGGACGGCGAGUAGGAAGAGGUGUGGAUCGUGUCGGAGGAGAUGGUGAUGGCCUGCUUGGUGGCCAUCGGCGCCUUCUCCCGCAGCGCAAGUUGGCCCGUGGUAGGUCGAAUCGGCGUUACGGCUCGAGUAGGGGACUUGCCGAUGCCCCUGCGCGGUGUGAGCGAACGAGAGGCCGACGCGGAGCGCUGGGUCACCCGGGGCGAGGUCGGGCGACCCCUCUUGGGGUCGGGCGACCCCCACAUGGGGCCCGUCGGCCCUCCAGCCGGCGGCACCAUGGCUAGUGGUUCAGGCUCCAGCACGUUGACGGCUAGGGCAAGCUCCAGGCUCUCAGUUAGAGACCUUUGCGGACGUGGGGAGUUGGAGCGAAUGGCUUGGUUGGAAGAUUUAGUUGGAGGAGCCAUGGAGAUGAAUCUCUUGGCAAGGAAUGGAGGCUAGGAGAGUCUGGUUCGAGGUGAAGAUGAGAAGGAAUGAAUUGAGAGGAGGAAGAAGAAGAAGAGGGGGGAUAAAUAGAUGUGUUUGGAGCCUGAGAGUUUGAAUUUUGAAAAGGAGCGUCGUGGAACGUUUGAGGGACGAUCCGAGACUCCAGGGGAUUUCAAAACUCAAAAUAUUGGGGUCGGGCGACCCCUAUAUUUCAGGAUUUUGAAUUUUGAAUUUCAGCACCGAACUCUAUUCAUUCCCCUCUUUCUAAACCUAUCCCCCCUUGGGCCAAAACCCCUAGAAGAGGGGUCGGCCGACCCCCAUUUGGGGUGUUCGGCGGCCCAACUUUGAUCCUACGUCAUCUAAAACCCUUUACAAACCUAUUUCAAAACAAAAAGGAACUAAAUAUAUUGAUUUAGCAAUUAUUUAAACAAAAAGGGGGUAAAAAGAAGGACAUGUGGAUUUUAAGACUUUGUGUCAGAUUCAAAUUCUAUCAUAUCAACUUCUUCUUCUAAAGGUUCAUGUUCAUGGAAAACUUUAAGACGAUGACCAUUUACCUUAAAGGUGUUGCCGUCGUCGUCCCGCAGCGUUACCGCUCCAUGAGUCGCGGCGUCAACAACGAAGAAUGGUCCUUCCCAUUUGCUCCUUAGCUUUCCAUGGCCAAAUAACUUGACCCUUGAGUUGAACAUGAGAACCUUAUCCCCAGGAUGAAAUUCCUUUUGCUUGAUCCUUUUAUCAUGCCAUCUUUUUGUUCUCUCUUUGUAGAUCCUGGCAUUGUGAUAGGCUUUAUCUCUCCAUUCUUCUAGUUCGGAGAUUUGGAGCUUUCUAUUUCUUCCGGCCGAGGGCAAAUCCAUGUUCCAUUUCUUGAUUGCCCAGUGAGCUCUAUGCUCUAGCUCUACCGGUAGAUGGCAUGUCUUACCGUAUACAAGUUGGUAUGGUGUCAUACCAAUUGGGGUCUUGUAUGCGGUCCUGUAUGCCCAAAGUGCAUCUGGUAGAUGGCUUUUCCAGCCGGUUCCCAUCUUAGUGACAGUCUUCUGCAGAAUGUUCUUGAUUUGUUUGUUAGAUGUUUCUGCUUGUCUGCUCGUUUGAGGGUGAUAGGGUGUUCCAAUGUUGUGCCUUAUCCCCACUUCAGCUAAGAACCGUCGGAAUCUUCUGUCAAUGAAGUGGCUCCCUCCAUCACUGAUAACUAGUCUGGGGGUGCCGAAGCGUGGAAAUAUGACUUCCUUGAACAUCUUUAUCGAAUGUGUAGAGUCGGCUGCUCUGCAGGGCAUUGCUUCGACCCACUUGGACACAUAGUCUACUGCCACUAGGAUGUACUCACACCCUUGUGACAAAGGGAAUGGCCCCAUGUAGUCUAUGCCCCAAGCAUCGAAUAUCUCGACUUGUAAGUUGUUUGUGAGUGGCAUUGCAUCACGAGUAUUGAUGUUCCCAUGCUUCUGACACCUUGCACAUCUCCUCACGAAGUUCUUUGUAUCUUCGUACAUGGUAGGCCAGUAGAAUCCACUCUGCCAUAUCUUGGCAUGGGUCCUGAAUGCUCCAUAGUGGCCUCCGUACUCUGCCCCAUGGCAUUUUUCCAUUAUUUUUACUGCUUCGUCCAUGGGAACACAUCUCCUGAGUAUGCCAUCUUGACAGACUCUGUAGAGGUAAGGAUCGUCCCAUAGGUGCACCCUACUCUCUUUAACAAGCUUCUUCUUGUCUACCCCAGAUGGUAUGUAUCCGGACGCCAGGUAGUUGACUAUGUUUGCAUACCAUGGGUAGGCUUCUGAAACUCGGAGGAGUGUGUCGUCUCGAAGGUAGUCGUUGAUAGGUGGAUCCUGUUUAUCCUCGAUUUGCAUCCUAGACAAGUGAUCGGCUACCGAGUUUUCUACUCCCUUUUUAUCUCUAAUUUCUAAGUCAAAUUCUUGGAGUAGUAGGAUCCAUCUUAUUAAUCUUGGUUUAGCAUCUUUUUUAGUGAGCAAGUAUUUUAGAGCUGCGUGAUCGGAGUAAACAAUCACCUUUGCUCCAACUAAAUAAGAUCUAAACUUGUCUAUAGCAAACACUACAGCCAACAGUUCUUUUUCAGUUGUUGCAUAAUUCAGCUGUGGUCCUGUUAGUGUUUUGCUAGCAUAAGAUAUUGCGUGAUGCUUCUUAUCUUUAGUCUGUCCUAAGACAGCACCUACAGCGUAAUCACUAGCAUCACACAUUAUCUCAAAAGGUAGCGACCAAUCAGGGGGUUGAAUGAUUGGUGCAGAGAUAAGUGCUUUCUUAAGAUAGUAAAAGGAAUCCAAGCACUCAUCAUUAAAAUCAAAGGGUGCAUCCUUUGCUAACAGGUUUGUUAAAGGUCUAGCAAUUUGAGAGAAAUCUUGUAUGAACCUUCUAUAAAAGCCUGCAUGGCCAAGAAAGCUACGGACGCCCCUAACAUUUGUGGGAGGAGGGAGCUGUUCUAUAACUUCAAUUUUAGCUCUAUCUACCUCUAUCCCACGUUCGGACACUCUAUGUCCUAACACUAUCCCUUCUCGAACCAUAAAAUGGCACUUUUCCCAGUUCAAGAUCAAGUGCUUCUCUUGGCACCUUUGUAAGACUCGGUCCAGGUUCUUUAGGCAAUCAUCAAAAGUUUUCCCAUAGACGGAGAAGUCGUCCAUGAAAACUUCCAUGAUUUCCUCGAUCAUAUCGGAGAAGAUGGACAUCAUGCACCUUUGAAAAGAGGCAGGAGCAUUGCAUAGGCCAAAAGACAUGCGCCUAUAUGCAUAUGUUCCGUAGGGGCAUGUGAAUGUAGUCUUACUUUGGUCGUCGGGAUGGAUUGGGAUUUGAUGGUAACCCGAAUACCCAUCAAGGAAGCAGAAGAAAGAGUGUUUGGCUAACCGUUCCAGCAUCUCAUCGAUGAAUGGCAACGGAAAGUGGUCUUUCUUAGUGGCCUUGUUAAGUUUUCGGUAGUCUAUGCACAUUCUCCAUCCCGUGACAGUCCGUUGAGGAAUGAGUUCAUUGUUGUCAUUUUUAACGACCGUCAUUCCUCCUUUCUUAGGAACUACUUGAACGGGGCUGACCCAUUCACUGUUCGGAACAGGGUAGAUUAUGCCCGCAUGCAAUAGUUUUAAGACCUCUUUCUUCACAACUUCUCUCAUCGCAUUAUUUAGCCUUCUCUAAGGCUCCCUGGAAGGUAUAGCAUCGGGUUCGAUAGGGAUGCGAUGAGUGCAGAGUGCAGGACUAAUUCCCUUAAGGUCUUCUAACGAGUAUCCUAAGACAGAGCGGCGUUCUUAUAAGACGAUGAUGAGUUUGGUGACUUCUUCUUCUGUCAGUUGAUCACUAAUGAUUACCGGAGUCUCUCUAUCAUCAUUAAGGAAGGCGUACUUAAGUCCAGAGGGAAGUGGCUUAAGUUCUAUAGAGGGUUUUGGUGGUGGUUUAGAUUCAUCCAAGUCUAAUGGUUCUUCUAAUUUGUUCUCUUCUUCUUGGAUGAAGUUUUCGGCGUCUUCUUCUAAGUCAGGCUGAGAAGCGUCCAGAAGAGAUGCCGACAUCACCUCCUUUAUUGGGUCAGGCUCGGGCGGGGUCUCGGCUUUAGAAUUAAUAGAGCCGGCAAAAGGCAUAGAAAGGUCUAAGCCCUUCCCGAGGUUACCCUUGAGACGCCCUUCAUGAAAUCCAUUUAGGAACCUCAUGAUGGGGUGCCCGAUUAACAAGUCAACUUCUUUCAUAUCAAAGAUAAAGAAGUUUAGCAGAAUGUUGACUUUGUUAAUGGAGACAGGAAUAUUCUGUGCAAUCCCACAACUCUCGACCAUUUCCCCAGAGGGUAAUUUAAGAAAUUUGCUGGUCGGGGUUAAUGGUUCCUCGCCUAGGAGUGUCAGUACUAAUGAUUUGGACAUUAGGCUUACUCCUACAGCAGGGUCAUAAAGGGAUUCUAUAGGAGUGGAGUUUAUGACACAGGGAAUGGGUGUAAAACUCGAGACAAGUUUGAUGACAUCAGAUGAUGUCUCAGCUUCUCUAACCCAUUCAUUACUCAUAAUAGCCGUGAGUUCUUGGGCAGUUGCCCUGAGGUAACCAGCCUCAAGAUGAGCUGGGAUAUGGCUAUUCGGAGCUCUGCGUGCUGUAGAUCUCCUUUGCACAGGUUGAUUCGAGACAUUGCCAAAAUCGGCAAAUAGAUCAGUCUCGAUGUUAAGUGGGUAAUCCAAGGGAUGAAUUACUUCUUCCCUUGGAGGUGCUUGUGGUAUUGGUUCAGGUUCGACAGCUUGGGUUGCGGCUAAAGGAGUUUUGGCUGUCGAAGGUUCAUCCCUAGGAGUUCGAUCUUCCUCAGGAGCUUCAAUAUGAUCAUCAGUGUAAGGGGUAUUCUCGAGAAUAGUCCCAAGAAUGGCCUUACCUUCACUGAUAGGUAAAUGAAGGAAUGCUCCCUUGGAGGCUAAAUCAAGGAAUUGUGCGGAUUGUUGGCUAAGUCCGAGGUAAAAAUGUUGCAUAAGAAUUGGCUCGGUUAUACCUAAGUCUGGGCCAGAUGAUGUUAAGUCGGUGAGACGCGCCCAGGCCGCACCUAGAGACUCCUUCCCUUCUUGCUUGAAGUCUAGGACUUCUCUACGGAGACGAGCUAUUCUAGAGAUGGGAAAGUAGGUGAGGCAGAAUUUGGCUUGCAGCUUUUCCCAUUCUCCUCCUACACUACCUACAUAGCGAGUGUACCACCGUCUGGCCUUUCCCGUCAAAGAGAACGGAAAGAGCUUCCACUUGAGGGUAACUCGCCUCAUCCCUUGGAUGUGGAUGCAUGAACAAAGUUGUUCGAAAUCUCGUAGGUGUGUGUAAGGAUUUUCAUCUCCUUCUCCCGAAAAGGGAUUCUCCUGAACCAUCGCUAUGAGACUCGGGCGAAGCUCAUAGUGACAGGCCAAAAUGGCUUUUGAUGAACUCGCUGGCUCCAACUCAGCGCCCGUUGGAGCAGCGUAAUCGAAGAGGGUUGUUUGAUCCAUUUGGAUAUGUGUAUAAAGUUUUAAAUCAAACAAAGAUAACUUAACGAUUUUUUUUCCUAGUUAAAACAGCUACCGUUCCCCGGCAACGGCGCCAGAAAGCUUGUUGACACCAGAAGUGGCAAACGGUUAUACCGCAAGCGUACGGUAGUCAAUGUAGCCUUCACCGGGAGUAUUCCAGGUAUCGUGAUUUCCACGGGGAACGCGAAGUGAAUUAACUAGGCUUUAGAUCGUUAGGUGAUGAUCAAAGGGUCUAGGAUAAUGGGGUAGAGAGGUCUAACUAGUAUUAAUGCCUGGUCUUGGUAAUUAAGUAUAGUCAAGGUUUUUCACCUAACUCUUUACUGAGGGCGAUACCCGAAAAGGAGGAUUGAGUUAACGAAGUUUUUCACCUCCUCGUCUCCUAAGCGACUACCCUGCUCAGCCCAACUAUUAUUUGCAACUUGCCUACAACAGAUGCGAGGAACUUUCCGCCUAGCGAGGACUGUCACUCUCACACUAGGUGUCUACACAACUGCGACAAGGAGUCCACACUGGCAAGAAGUAGUCUAGACACCACGUCUAAACUAGCUCUUGCUACCCUAAGCUUAGCUAAAGCUAAGAGCACUCAAGAUCAAGCAAUGUGCCAGUAAAGGAUUCUUAUACUUAAAGUACCAGACCAAAUAUUAAAUACUAGAAAAGACUCAGAAGUAAGACUUACAAGAAGACCUGCUUCCGCUGAGGUGCUCCGCGAAGAAGACUCCCGACAGGCCGGGACUCCUCCUUGGAACUCCUCACUCUCUACUCACUAUGAUAGCACUAAGCUACUAAAGUAGUUUACUCCUAAGAUACAUGACUCUUAAGUGAAGGAAUAGGGGGGUAUUUAUAGUGGGAGAUGGAGUAGGGGCUACUCCGGUGCCACGUCAGCGAUCCGCGUCAUCUUCAUCAUGCACCAUUGGAUCAAACCGACUUCACAACCGCCAUCUGAUCAACGGUAGAGGCAAACUAACAUGUGCAACAUGUGGGCAAGGUCGGUGGGAGGCCAACCGACCCUGGAACCGCCAUGAAGUGGGGUCGGCCGACCCCCUAUCUGGCUGGUUGGGCCCACCUGCAGUGUCCUGGAGGCUCUCUGAUGUCGGUGGAGUUGAGCUGACCUGUGGGACCCACCAAAGUGGGGUCGCCCGACCCCAAUUCUAUGGGGUUAGGGUGUCAGCCCUGUCCUACAUGUCUUCCUCUUCAUGACUAUAAUGUUGUCUUGGUUACUGGUGUCACUGAUCUUUAGUUAUUCACCCCUUCUUAGUGUUUGGACCCUUGAAAAGUACCUGUUCUUACUCCUGCAACCAAAUAGUAGCAUGUACAUGUGGAACUAGGUUAUAUGUACCUAUAUUACUACUUUGUUUGGUUGUUUUCUCCCAAAAUGAGUCUUAUGUUGACGGUUAUGAUAGUAGAAAACAUGGUAUAAAUACCGUCAACAUGCUUCUUUGACACUGGCAGGGAUUUAGCCAUAGAUUGUUUUAAAAAUAACAUUUGUCGGGUCAGAGUCAUCCACCAGUUGAGCUGUAUCUUGCUGCAAUAAGACCAACAGGUCGUCCAGCUUGGAUCUAACUUCUGCCAAUAUUGUCCCAGGCACCAAUGAAGAGCUUGCCUCUUCCCCUUCGUCAUCAGGAAUAUCGAUGACAAAGGAGAAUAGGCUAUCAGGAGAGUCUUGUUCCUAAAAGGAGAGAGAAUGAGUCAGUUGGGAGUGAUCAUGAAUAAGUGCAAAUUGGUCAAAACGGAUAAGCUUACUUGUUUCAAAGCAUUGGCUGGAGGUAUAGUCUGAAUUAUGUCAUGGUGAGAAUCGACUGGGUCUGCCAAUGGAAUAACUUCAGCUGCUAUUGGUAUAAAUUAACUGCACUCCAUUUAAAUAAAUUUAAGUAGGAUUAUCCGCAAGUGCACAGAUAUCAUACCACUAUCACAUUUUACCUGGAGGUUUUAAAUAUCGAAUCCAUAGGGAAUAGUUGUGAUGAUGACAUAGUAUAUAGACUUAACCCUACAAUUAGGCUAGAUCAUAUCAAGAAAAAUGAAAUAACUAAUGCACUCUGGUUCCGACUCCAGUAAACUUUGUAUAAUACCGUUUUAUCGGGCAAGUAACCCGAAUAGGGGAAGAAUCAAAGUAAUCCCCUAUCAGGCACCUAUAAGCCUAUCAAUCCUAUCAAUGGGAAGUGGACUAUAGAGGAAUCAACGCAGUUGUCACCUACGCGAACUACCACUGUCCGGUUGAUCACGGGACAUUCACAAGUAAACCUAACCUAGGCACCACACCUACACUAUGAAAUACUACUUCAACCAAGUUAUGACCAAGAUCAAAGCACUCAAUAUGAGUUGUGAACCAAAGAGCAAAUAAGAACAAGUUGCUUACUUAAACUAGAAGGGUAAGUACAAAAGUACCUCAAAACAAAGCUCCAGGCGAGGGAACUGAAUCCAGAAGAACUAGUCUCUCCUAAUUGCUACAUCUAGACGACACUACAAGGUUUUGACCCAUUAGCCACAAAACACUUAGGCAACACCACUCAUUUGGUUGCAAUUCGGGGGUACUAUGACACCCAAACACUAAAUUGGUAGUAAUAGGGGUACAUAUUGCUACACUUUUAUUGUGUUGUGAUACUGUUUUUUUAGUUGCAACUAGUUCAUGAUAAUGCACCCAUUUUAAGGAUUUUUGUUGCAAUUUGCGUGUUGUCCAGCUACACAAAUUUUGAGUUGCAUUAGCAUUUCGUGUGUUGCAAAUGAAUGGUGAUAUGGCAACCAUAUUAUCUUUGGUUGCUUAUGAAGGGCACAAUCACGAUGAUUGAUUUAGGUUGCAACAUGCUUUCGUUCCUUGUGGUAAUAUCUAGAUGACAAUUGCAUCCUUUCUUGCUGCGAGAUGCAAUAUAUAUACGUAUUACCACUAUUGAUGUGUGGUAGUAAUACUGGCCAUAGACGUGGCAACUGUUAUACGUCUAUUGCAACGAAGGCUUACUUGGUUGCACUUUAAUUUCUAUUCCUCUAUAAAUAGGUGGGUCAGUAGUUCCCAAUCCGCAGGCCACAUAUCUUCCUUCCCAAAUCUGCCCACCGCCGCCGCCAUCAUCCCCCCUGCUCGCUCGAUCUAGGUAUGGCGGCGCAUAGAGAAGGUAACUCGUCUAGUGGGAGUAGGGUAUCGAGGAGGGAGGAAUGACGAGCGCAAGCACCAUAUCCGAUAGGUCAACAAACUGGGCUGCCUCUAGUUAUGUGUCCAAAUUGCAAGCUCGCUCAUGUGAUCGAACUUCGCGUCAUGUCAGAGACUAAAAACAAGGGCAGGAGCUUUAUCAAGUGUCUGAGGAAUGGGGUCAGUGAAGUUUUCUUGUAAAUAUUAUUGUCAACCAUCAUGAUUGUUUGCAUAAAUCUUUGUGUUAACUAUUGUAGUUCCAACUUUUUGUAGAAUCCCAAAUUAUGUGGCUACUAUAAGUUUCAGAAGGAGUACUUAGAUGACUUGAUUGAUAUGAAGGUGUUUGUCAUCAUAUGUGAGGAGCUUGAGGAGCUGGAAGUUGUCGGUGUUUUCCCCACGGGGGGUCACACCAACGAGUAAAUUUGUAUGCGUGCUCCCUUUUCUAGAUGGUGAUGCAAAAAGACACAAAGAUUUAUCCUGGUUCGGGCAAGAGAAGGCCCUACGUCGAGUGGGGGAGGAGAGUUUGUAUUAUUCUGCACCUAAGUGCUUGUACAGGGGUGAAUACAAGCGUGUAUGAGCUAGGAUGGAGUAUGGAUGUUCUACUGCGUAUGAGUGUUGUCUUCCCUCUAUGUAUCGCCUCCCGGGCCUCCCCUUUUAUAGUUCCAAGGAGAAGCCUAGGGUACAAGUAUAGGUGUCAGAGUUGGGGUCGAUAGGGAUAUGGCGCGCGGACCUACUCGAGGCCUCCGUACCGGCGUGGUCUCGAGCCGUCCCGUCCUAAUGGCUUGAUGAUGAUUACGCGUGCCCCUGUAUCCUGCUCUGUGCGCCGUCGUGGACUGGUUUAUCUGCUGCACGCCUGUACGUCAUGGCGGCAGAUGCGUCGGAGUGGUUGCAGUGCUGUCUUUCGAUGCCCGACCCUUCCCCAGGAAGGAAACAUGUAUGGUCGAGGGUCGGACGCCGUGUAGCACCUUGCUAGCCAGAGCGUUGACCUUGGAUGUCUCGAGGGGGUCUUGAUUGGACGUUCCGACCCUGCUUCCUGCGUCCUGACAUGCUCUAGGUCGUUUGUUGGGGAAGGCUGCAAAAAGAAUGAUGGGACGGGUGCCUGUUCCCUAUCACGCCUCCCGUGACUGGCGUGUUAGGUGAGAACGCGACAGGCUCAUUAAAUGCCCUGGUUCCCGUGCGCGCAUCAGGCGGCGGGUGGCGUCCUUGCGUUCGACGCCUUCCGGUUCGCUCGAGCCUAUUUCCGUAUUCGACGGUUCGCUCGAGCCUAUUUCCGUAUUCGUCGAGUUGGGGGCCUCGACCUGCGUACGGGCAAUCUCGUUAUGUACAUCAGUUAGGAUACCCCUUAUUGAUACCCUCGACAGUAGCAACAGAGUCUCCAUUUGAGCGCUGGCGCUCGAGUGGAGGCUUUAUUUUGCGGUUGAGUUUCCGUGGGGCGCGCGAGGGACCCCGCGGGGGUAGCCCCCGAGCCCUUGGAGGAGUUUUUGACUCCUUCGAGGGUUAUAUCGCCUAAUUCAUAGAAACGCUGUCGACACCAGUGGUGGAAGGUUCUGUUUGGCUCGUUUUGCGCAGGGGUUUCGACGUACUCUUGAUAGAGCGAGCGUCAUCCACCCCAGAUUGAGCUCCUAACGGGUAGUCCAAGUGAGAACCUGUGCCCCAUUCGAGGGGGUCAGCUGUAGCCCGGAGGCAUUCUCAUAAAGCGCGGUCGACGUGGUCGGGGAUGCUGGUCUCGUUCGAUAGAGUCCAGUGGCUCGAUGCCUCCCGUCGGGGGGAUUCCUCUCGACUAUCUCGACCCUACCUUGGACAUCCCCAGCGAGUUCUCGAGGCUGGCCUCGAUUUUCGUCUACUCGCCGGGCAUCCCUGACUCUGGUGCUCGAGAUUGGCUGUCGAACUCUUUCGGCGGGUCAGCCCACGACCUCUCGAGGCUUUCAUGGACACGUACCUUGGCUUACAAAGGAAGGAAGAGGCCAUGGCAGUUCACCUUUUUGCCCGUUGGGCGCGUCUUUUCAGGUGGGAGCCGUUGCGACACUGUAUCGGCGCAGCAUUCGUAGCGUCUCGUCCCGUGGCCCGGUUGCCGUUCUUCCUUCCGCCUUAUGCCUCCAUUCUUGCUUUAGCUCCCUUGCCUUCUCACGCGCACGCACCCUCGAGUAGCAGCAAAUCUGCCUUCCUUCCACCUAAGAUGCCUGUGAGACUUGUUGCCGCCGACGACUGGCGCCCGUCGUCGAUAACGGAGCGCCGGCUGCUGGAGCUCGAGAGGGAGGGGCUUCUGCGCUCCCGUACUUCAUUGUCGUGGCCGGAGUGGAUUGCGCCGGCGGUGGACCACCGGGAGCCCAGGCCGCCCUCAGGCUACGUGGUCUCUUUUGCUAAGUUCCACCACCACGGCCUGGGCGCUCCUCCGAGCCGGUUCAUGCAGGCACUCUAGCACCAUUACGGGGUGGAGCUUCAGCACUUCUCCCCAAAUGCCAUCACCGUCAUGGCGGUCUUUGCCGCGGUUUGUGAAGGCUAUUUGGGGAUGAUGCCCUGUUGACGGUCCUUAAGUAUCAAAUUUAAUUAUCAAAUAAAUAAAGAAAAGGAUCCAAAUGAAAUCAAGAUCUAGACUUAGGGUUUUAUCUGACAGAAUUCCAUGAGUUUUGGUGUUUGUCUAUUUUUGUAGGGGGUUAUCAGGAAAUACGGAAGAAAGGCCCACAUGUAAGGAUUACGUAAAGAUAUUAACGUGCUGCGCAAUUAUCUUACAUCUAGAAGACUCCAGAAGCCACGAGACCGAAGCGGAGGCGAAACGGGGCUAGAGGCAGGGCGCCCGCCCUGUCCUACUGGGCGCCCGCCCCCUGUUGGAGUCCAAACAGGACUCUGCUUUGCGGGAAGUCUCCACCGACCUAAAGGAUGAAUCUAAACCAUACAAUCUAUGUCGGUUUGAUCCAAGGGCCCAUAUUCACUUGAAGGGACUAUAAAACCAGACCCCCUGGCCCCUGGAGGAGGGAGCCUCUCAACCCUAAUUCAUUGUUCCAUCAAGGGAGAAGAAGCCUCUGAUCAAGAUUAGAGCCACCACAUCAAUUAGACAUCUAGAUUAGCAUAGCUACAUAGGAUUAGAACUAGAAGGAGUCAAUCUUCGAUUGGUUUCCGGAUCUGUCAGGAGGAUUCUUGGUAAUUCUCUAAUUGUGCUUCUAAUUGCUUUCUAAUUAUCUUUGUUCAUCAAUAUUAUGAAUAUGACUUUGUUCUACUUCAAUAUAUUGCUUAUGACUUUGCUCUACUUGCUUAUAUUCAAGAUUAUAUUGUUCUUAGUUUAUCAUAGUUAUGUACUUGGCUUAGUUAGAUACGAUCUAUAUACAUGCUUAGGAUCGUAUAGCUUUUAUCCAUCAGAUCCAUGGGUAAAUGAUAGAUAUUGUGUAGGCGUGGUGCUUAUACCGUAUUUAUCUGUGAUUGUACCCAAUAUGCCAGAUCGUGGGGUGGUUCGUGAUAGUGACAGCUUCAUUGAUUCUUAUAUAGUCCCCCUCUCGUGUAUUGGGCUGGCAGAGCAACAUUAUUAUAGGGGAGUGAUUGCUAUGUUUCUCAUAUUCCUUGCUAAUAUCACUAUGCAUGGGCGUAGUCUUGUCUCGCAAUGAUUGCUAAGUAUGCUUGCACUAACUAUGAUAAUGCUAGACUAUAUAGUUAAGAAUAACUUAGGGAAUAUUCUUGUAGUUCGUUCUAAUACCAUGCUAAUGACUUUCUAGAGUAUCUAAUUGAGGUGCUUAUCAUAUUUAUUAUGUGGCUAGAUCAGAUUAGUUAUCCUUGUCACUAUUAUUAUUUCAUAUAUCUUUUAUGUGACACUUAUCCCUGUAUGAAGAGUUAGAUAUAAUGUUCUCAAUUAUACAUGCAAUGAUAGAUGCUCAAUCUCAUAUUCUAUUCUGUAAUCAUUAGUGAUGAUUUCUAAUCCCUUCCCAGUGGUAAAAAUAUAAAUAACGAUACCUGGAAUACUUCCCGGUUAAAAUGCUACAUCGGUAUUAAUCUGUGCGCUUGCAGAUCCCAUUCAUUAUUUAUUUAGAAGAGCAAUUGCAUAUUUCAAUACCGCGUCUCUCAUGUCAUGCUGGGGAUGACAACUUGGCUUAAGUGGUGUGAGGGAUAGGUUUGGCAUUUUUGGCACCGUUGCUAGAUUUAGAACUUAGUCUACUUUUAGUAAUGAUGUUAAGAAUACCCAACAAGCAUUUUUGGCGCCGUUGCCGGGGAAGGUUGAUUACCAAUCGGGAAUGGAAUAAAAGAUUUUGAGUUAUCAUUCGCAUCACUAAUAUGAUUGAGCUUAUCUAUUCUCUCAUACAGUUUUACCCCGAUAUUUUUCUAUUUUAUCUUAUGCAGGGGAAUGUAUGAAUAGAAGAUAUCUUCCAGGAAAUUUUGUUGACAAUCCCGAAGCAUUAUUCAAGAAGACAAGAGCCAAGCUAAAGAAAUCAUCAACACUUCACGAAGAAGCAUCAUCCAAUCAAGAAGAUCACCGGAACUUGUCUUCAGAGUUCGAAGCCAUGGCGAACAAAUCGAUCCGCGAGUUCUCAGCUCCCACAACGGACAACAUCCGCACUGGACCUGCUGCAGAGAUCGAUGGCAACUUUGAGCUCAAGCCUGGACUUAUCAUCAUGGUGCAAUCCAACCAGUUCUGUGGGAAGGCACACGAAGAUGCUAGUGCUCAUUUACAACACUUCCUGGAGAUUUGCAACACAUUCACUAUAGCAGGAGUUUCCAAAGACGCUAUACUACUUCGCCUCUUCGCAUUCUCACUGUUAGGAAGAGCGAAGCAGUGGUUCUACGCUACAAAGGAGAAGAAUACUACGUGGGCACUCUGCUCAACAAACUUCCUCGCUAAGUUCUUUCCCAUGGGCAAGACCAAUGCUCUCCGUGGGAAGAUUACAAGUUUUCAGCAACAAAAUGAUGAAUCUAUUCCAGAAGCAUGGGAGCGCUUUCAAGACUACAUCCUAGAAUGUCCCCAUCAUGGAAUGGAGAGUUGGCUAUUGAUGCAGACGUUUUAUCAUGGGCUCAGCAACAGUACCCGAGAAACCAUGGAUGCUGCAGUUGGAGGAGCAUUCUUAUCACUUACUAUACCACAAGCCACAACUCUUGUGGAGAAGAUGGCGUCCAACCAAAGCUGGAAUGAAGAGAGGACCCAGACACGCAAGAGAGGUGGAGGUAUGCAUCAGCUGAAGGAGGUAGACAUGCUGUCUGCAAAGCUAGACCUGCUCCUGAAGAAGCUCGAUGAUAGAGCUGGAGACAAGAAAGAAGUUAUGCACAUCUACGACUCUCACAUGACUUGUGAGGAGUGUGGAGACACUAGACACUCAGGCAACCACUGCCCUGAGAUACUUGAGGAUGUGAACUACAUCAACAACAACAACUACUACUACUACAACCGUCCUCAACAAAAUCAAGGUUGGAAUCAACAGAGGCCUAACUACUCAGGUAAUUAUCAAGGUAAUAAUUCUUAUAACAACAAUAGUAAUUUUCCACCUUUGAGAGAGUUAGUGUCUAAUCAAGGAAAGCUAAUGGAUAACCUAUCUAAGAAAUUGGCAUCUAAUGAUAAAAUGCUAGAAAAUAUAAAUAAUAGAAUGGAUAAUUUUUCUACUGCCAUCAAGAAUCAAAUUAGCUUUAAUAAAAUGAUUGAAUCUCAGUUAAAUCAAAUAGCUACUGCUGUUCCUACUACUAACCCCGGUAUACCAUCACAACCGGAAGGAUUAGAAUCUGCAAAUCUUGUAGACGUGUUUGAUGCAGGUAAUUGGAGUAACCCCGUCACUGAAUUCUCUACUGACAUUAUGCCGGUCAAGAGAGGCGAUCGAGGACGCCCCGUCAUCCCGAUCUCCAUCGGCAUGGUGGACGUUCCAGAAGUACUCUGCGACUUUGGCUCCAGUGUCAACAUUAUACCCAGGGUACUCUAUGAAAAAAUCUUUACAUAUCCUUUAUUAGAAACAACCAUGUGUUUGCAGUUUGCAGAUCAGACGAUAACUUUUCCAAAAGGAAUCGUGAGGAACCUUUGUGUCCGAGUUGGUACCUUAUAUGCCCCAGCAGACUUCGUAGUGGUAGGGACCGGAAAUGAUGAGAGAGCACCUAUCAUCCUAGGGAGGCCAUUCUUGAACACCACGGGAGCUAUCAUCUACGCCAGUGCUGCCAAGAUCAGUUUCUUCGUCAAAGGGAAGAAGGAGAUAUUUUUCUUCAAGAACAGGACUACACAAAUUCAAGAUCAAUCCAGACGUGAAUCAAGGAAGAGGACCAAUAGGAGAAACAGGAACAAGCAAGUGUGGACCGAGUCAGCUAAGAUGGUCACUGUAGUUCAUGGAGGCCAAGAUCAUCAACUUAAAUCACCGUUUUUGACUAAGAAGGACGACCCAGGAAUGCCAAGCAUCUACUGCUCCAUAAAUGGAUACAACUUCUACAAGACGAUUUGCGACACCGGAUCAGGCGUCAACAUAAUGGCCGCAGUCACUUAUCGGCUCUUGUUCGGGACCAUGCCACUAAGACCAACAUACAUUCAACUCCAGAUGGUAGAUCAGACAUUUCGAGAAGUUCAAGGAAUAGUAUCUGAUGUCCCAGUCAAAAUAGACGAUCACUUUGUCUACACAGACUUUCAAGUUGUUGACAUGGGAGAAGACGAGUAUGAUCCACCCGUCAUCCUUGGAAGACCGUUCCUCAGCACCGUUAAAGCAAUUAUCUACAUUGGAACCGGAGAAGUCCAUAUGCACUUCCCCUCAGAGAAGGUACGCCGUUAUUUUACUGACCCUAACUAUAUCAUUGAAGAAUCUAAGCAGGUAAGAAAGGGACGCAAUCGCAACCAGAGGAGGCAGAUCAUCAAGGACGGAUGGGCAGACUAUGAAGGAGAAGUUGUAAGGUCAGAAGACAUAGAGUUUAAACAGAAUUAUCCAGAGGAGAUUGAAGCACCGAGUCAGGUAUGGAAAAUGAAGAUAACUAUACAAGAAGAGGAGGCGCUGCCGGAAGUACCGACUACGCCACCCAACGAACCUCAGGACGAUUAAGAAAAUGGAGAGUCCCGUUCGGAGGACUUAAAAACACCGAACGCCUUGCCAAGAGGUAAACUUGGUAGUUAUCAUUUCCCUUUCAACUAUUUCAAAUAGUUUACUUAGUUAAUCAUAUUCACACUAUCUUAAAAAGAAAAUAAAAAUGUUAAAAACAGUAAGCCCCAUGUGAGUAGACGAGUGGCAUGAAACCCAUAGGUACAUUCACUGUGGUGGCAUAAAAAUAAAAUAAAUAUUUUUCUGCUUUAUAAAAACAAAAAUAUAAAAACAGGGAGUAAUAAUUAUUAAGAAGUCUCAACAUGAUAAAGGCUAGAUAUUUAUGCUAACACUUAAUCAGUUCCACAAGCUUUGUUGUCUAUUUGAGCUCCACAGAAUUUAAGAAUCAAGAACACUAGCAGAUGGAGGACAUCCUAAUCGCUGUCAGAAUGCUGCUGACUUUCAAAUACACCUCUGCCACCUGCUAGCUACACCAAGAGAAAUUACGUCAAAAUUCAGCUUGGGGGAGAGCACCCCCAUUUAUCCCGAUAAGUAUUUCUUUCUAUCUAUCUUUAUACUUAUAUUAUUUUAGAAUAUAAAUAACUAUGAAAAAACCAAAUAAAGAUUUUAUGCUUAUAUAUAUGCCUUUUGCUUAGUGUGUUUAAUAAAUAAAUAAAGUGGCUAUGCUAAUCUGUAUCUAAAUAAAACUUAAGCAUGGAUAUGAUAAAUAGUUGCUCUGCCUAAUUUGCAAAUUUUAAGUUCUCUCUCAAGUUUAGAUAUAACUGUUAUAAUUUAAAUCUUGCUCUAGACCUAAACUUGUGGGAUGAAAACUUGAUUUGAAGUCUAAGUUGUUAACGGAUAUGAUAUGGGAAGGUUAAGCUGCUGUUUAUCUGUUCCUAGAGAUGCUAGAAUUCUGGAGAAUUUUAUCUUUGAAAAUCUUUAAAAUGUUGCAUGAUGAGUUCCUGUAUGAUGAGAGCUUAAAUUCCUACCACAGCCAUAUAUGCAUGCUUGCUAGACUUUGAGCCACACAUUUAUUAUUUACUGCUUAUGAGCAUUGAGUGUGGUCAAGCUGUGUAGACCCGUAGGAGCUUGUCAUGUGGUUAAAUCAAGAUUUCACUUGCACGUCCACUCAUAUAUGCUACUUCUACUCCGGAAGUACCAUCCACAUAUAUCCAUCCAUUUCCAUCUCCAGAAUCACCCAAAAAUAUUCUAUUCCUAAUCCGGGAGAGAAUAACCAAAAAUAUUUCUGUUUUUCCCUUGUCAAAUAAAUGCUCAAGUUAUCUUGUUACUACCACUUGCUAUAUUAUCUCAUGAGAUGAGUGCUCUAAAAAAAAGAGAUACGAGGAAAUAAAAAGGAGCAAGUGCUCGGAACCUCGAAAGAAAAAAAAAGUGAGACGAGAGGUAAAAAUGGACAAGUGUCCGACAGUAGAAUUAGGGGUGCAAGAUGCCCACCUGAGAGACAAGAAAAAGAAGAGCAUCUCAUUCUCCUCAUAAAGUUUCAAAAGCAAGGAAGGUAUGUAUCCCCUCAAAAGAGCAAAGUAGAAUUAGACUUCCACCACCAUUGUUUCCACCAUUGUUAUCACCAUUAUCACCAUACACCAUUCAUUUGCCACACAUGCACAUCUUGAUUUGGCUUAUUAAUUUGUUUCUUUGGAUCCAUGGUUUGACUAUGCAAUAAAUGUCUUGUAAGUAUGUAUACUUUAUCUCCCACCUAUGAACUCCAGAUAUUAAAGCCUUAUUAGAGUAGGGUGAGAGAAAAGGCAAUGUCACUAUGCCUCAUACCACAAAUACUACAUAUCUUGAGAGAAGGCAUAUACCACCAAUGCCUUGGUAAGGAUCCAAAAAUACCACAAAAGAGAGACCUGAGAGAAUCAUACAAGGAAUUUCUGAGUUUUAUUUGAAAAUCUGCAAAAACCCCAGAGCUAUAGCUGAUCAAGAAUAAGAGACAUGGCACUUGACUAGACUGUUCUAUCUUUUAACCACUCAAGACAGAAGUGACAGUUACAAGUCCCAUGGUGAAGGUAAAGUAAGUAAGUUUUAAGUCUUGACAGUUUACUCUCACUCAGAGAUGAGAUCUUAUUUAAAAAGCAUGUGUACCGUCAAAUUUUAAAGAUAUUGCAACUACUUCUGGUCCAUAGCUGAGUCUAUCCUUGCUCAGGGACGAGCAAGAGGUAAGCUUGGGGGACUUUGUUGACGGUCCUUAAGUAUCAAAUUUAAUUAUCAAAUAAAUAAAGAAAAGGAUCCAAAUGAAAUCAAGAUCUAGACUUAGGGUUUUAUCUGACAGAAUUCCACGAGUUUUGGUGUUUGUCUAUUUCUGUAGGGGGUUAUCAGGAAAUACGGAAGAAAGGCCCACAUGUAAGGAUUACGUAAAGAUAUUAACGUGCUGCGCAAUUAUCUUACAUCUAGAAGACUCCAGAAGCCACGAGACCGAAGCGGAGGCGAAACGGGGCCAGAGGCAGGGCGCCCGCCCCCUGUUGGAGUCCAAACAGGACUCUGCUUUGCGGGAAGUCUCCACCGACCUAAAGGAUGAAUCUAAACCAUACAAUCUAUGUCGGUUUGAUCCAAGGGCCCAUAUUCACUUGAAGGGACUAUAAAACCAGACCCCCUGGCCCCUGGAGGAGGGAGCCUCUCAACCCUAAUUCAUUGUUCCAUCAAGGGAGAAGAAGCCUCUGAUCAAGAUUAGAGCCACCACAUCAAUUAGACAUCUAGAUUAGCAUAGCUACAUAGGAUUAGAACUAGAAGGAGUCAAUCUUCGAUUGGUUUCCGGAUCUGUCAGGAGGAUUCUUGGUAAUUCUCUAAUUGUGCUUCUAAUUGCUUUCUAAUUAUCUUUGUUCUUCAAUAUUACGAAUAUGACUUUGUUCUACUUCAAUAUAUUGCUUAUGACUUUGCUCAACUUGCUUAUAUUCAAGAUUAUGUUGUUCUUAGUUUAUCAUAGUUAUGUACUUGGCUUAGUUAGAUACGAUCUAUAUACAUGCUUAGGAUCGUAUAGCGUUUAUCCAUCGGAUCCAUGGGUAAUGAUAGAUAUUGUGUAGGCGUGGUGCUUAUACCGUAUUUAUAUGUGAUUGUACCCAAUAUGCCAGAUCGUGGGGUGGUUCGUGAUAGUGACAGCUUCAUUGAUUCUUAUAUAGUCCCCCUCUCGUGUAUUGGGCUGGCCGAGCAACAUUAUUACAGGGGAGUGAUUGCUAUGUUUCUCAUAUUCCUUGCUAAUAUCACUAUGCAUGGGCGUAGUCUUGUCUCGCAAUGAUUGCUAAGUAUGCUUGCACUAACUAUGAUUUUGCUAGACUAUAUAGUUAAGAAUAACUUAGGGAAUAUUCUUGUAGUUCGUUCUAAUACCAUGCUAAUGACUUUCUAGAGUAUCUAAUUGAGGUGCUUAUCAUAUUUAUUAUGUGGCUAGAUCAGAUUAGUUAUCCUUGUCACUAUUAUUAUUUCAUAUAUCUUUUAUGUGACACUUAUCCCUGUAUGAAGAGUUAGAUAUAAUGUUCUCAAUUAUACAUGCAAUGAUAGAUGCUCAAUCUCAUAUUCUAUUCUGUAAUCAUUAGUGAUGAUUUCUAAUCCCUUCCCAGUGGUAAAAAUAUAAAUAACGAUACCUGGAAUACUUCCUGGUUAAAAUGCUGCAUCGGUAUUAAUCUGUGCGCUUGCAGAUCCCAUUCAUUAUUUAUUUAGAAGAGCAAUUGCAUAUUUCAAUACCGCGUCUCUCAUGUCAUGCUGGGGAUGACAACUUGGCUUAAGUGGUGUGAGGGAUAGGUUUGGCAUUUUUGGCACCGUUGCUAGAUUUAGAACUUAGUCUACUUUUAGUAAUGAUGUUAAGAAUACCCAACAUGCCCCACUGGGAGCUGUGGCUCCACUUCUACAGGGGUGAGCUCUUCAACGCCCCCACUAGGACUACAGGCGUGAGGAAACCCGUGCGGGCCGGGUGCCUUAAUCUGGUGCUGAAUACGGGGAAGACGGAGAGGCCACGUGAGUACACCCUGGUGGGGUUGUCAUCGAACCACGCUGGAUGGGACUCCCAGUGGUUCUACUUGAGGAACGACGAUGAUCUCCUUCCUGCCUACACCGGCCGCCUAAUCACGGAGCGCCCGGAGAACUGGACGUACGGCGUCGUCCAAGUCCACCAGUCGCGGCUCGACCCCCUCCUCGACGCCUUGAAGAAGUUACGCAUGGAGGGCCUGUCCGCCGCUCUCGUCCUCUCGGCCGUCCAUCAUCGGAGAGUUCUCCCACCGAUGUCUCGGCCGCUAAGGAUGGAUGAGAUGGGGCCCGGUGCUUCGUCCCAGGACCUCGAGGCGUGCCGAAUGUCCAACGAGGCUCCGGCAGACGAUGAAGUCGCGGCCCAGGUCAGGGCGGCCGUCGCCAGCGACUUCCAACCGGAACACGUUAAUGGCUUCCCCAUGAGGCCUGAUGCAGGCUCAAUCGACCUGGUAAGUUCAUUUCUUGUAUAUGGCUUCAAUUCUGGAUUUCCUUCGAUCCCCUUUUCAAGCCUGUCUUUGUUUACGAAAGGACCGCUCGAUGUCCGGUCCUCGAGGCCUCCAGUAAAGGAGGACGGGGUCGACCGUGACAAGCGGCACCAGUUCGCUGAGAAACAGAAGUCCGCCAAGGACAUAGAGAAGAAAGAGAAGAAGAAGAAGAAUCUCGACCGCCAAUCGUUAGAGGCGCGUCGAGCCAAGUCUAGGCGAAGGGGGGAGCCUCAAGAACAAUCCCCUAGCAAGAAUGAUGGCGGAGACAGCGAUGACGACAGCGACGACUCCGAGGGGAUGGCAUCUCGCCUCGACCGCAUCCUCGAGGGUCCGCCUCGAGGCGAUGUCGACGCCCCGCGGACGGGAGCGCCAAAGGAGGGGCCAGGCGGAUCUCACCGCCCCCGCGCUGACACCCCUCCCAUGCCUGCGCCAAGUCGGUCUGUUUUGCACCACCAACCUCCCCCUGAUCCAAAGGUGGGUGGCCGGGCUAAGCCCCAGGCGAUGGGGCCAUUGACCCGUGGCCGCGCCGCGGCCAUCGAAAAGGGAGACACUGGCCGCAGGAGCGCUAGCCCCGGCGCUCGCCAGGUGGGAGAUGCUAGACCGAGGCCUGCGCCUACCCGUGAGGGGCCUGGAGCCUCGACGUGGGGUUGUUCGAGGCCCACCGGUCGAGGUACCGGCAGGCGAGCCGUUCUCCCUGUGGGGUAAGUUAUUCGACGUCGUGAUUCUCAUCCUCCUGUUUCUUCGCGUUUUCUCGUAUAACGAUCUCUCUUAUGCCCAUUUCUCUUUCCUUAGGUUGAAGCGGACGCUUGAGCAGGCCCAGCCUUCAAUGGCGAAAAGGCUCUAGGUGGGAGCGGCCUCCAAGGAUUCGGGUUAGUAGCUUAUUCCCAUUGUUAUGGGAGUUAUGUCAUUCUGGUGACGACUGGCGGGUGAGUCUGCCCCGUCAUCGCCAAAACGGGCCAAGGCGCCUCAGCCCCAGGAGCAAGAGGGAGCCCCCGAGCCUCCUUGAUCGGGGGUUGAGGCGGAUCCGAUCACUAUAAGUGAUGGGUCUGGCGGCGAUGGGUCUUCGAGGGACACCCGCCCUACGGACGAGGAGGUUGAGGCCUCUCCCACCACGAGACGGACUCCUUAGCCCAUCGGGCUCCACUCUGUCAAAGAGCAGAGGAGGAAAGAGGAAAGAGAGCGUGAGCAGAAGACGCGACAUCAGCCGCAGGAGGAACAGCAGCUGCUGCCGAUGGGAGGAGAGGUGGGGCAGCCGUCGGCAGGUCCCUAGCUCGAGGAGCUGCUAGAGCAGGGCCGUCGCCAGGAGCCGCAGGAGGCCCAGGGGUAGCAGCAGCAGAGGGGCCAGCAGUCGGAGGGACCGCUCGAGCCUCCUCCCCACAGACCGCCCCAACCGGUACUACCGGCGCCGCAAGAGCCCGGGAACCAGGAGGAGGGUCUGCCAGUUUUCAGCCCUCCGACCCCGGCGUGGCUCCAUCUAGGGGCACCCGCCGCGAUCCCAGUAGAGUCGGGGCGGGCGGAUGGCGUGGUGGCGCUUGCCUGCAUGAUGCGCACAGCCGUCGACCCCGAAUCCGAGAUCAGGAGGACGAUCUACGGCAUGGACGGAAUCGCCCCGGGAUUCCUCCGGGAACGUCGGUCGUGGGAGGAACGUAUUCCCGCCGAGGAGGACGAGGGUGGAACGUCGGGCGGUGGUGGAGGCGGCGAAACUGGGACCUGGAAGACGGUGGACGACGAUGGGCGGUUCCCUUCCCUCGUCUACUUGUUCCUGCGCCACGGGGGGUCACUCGAGACUGUCGAGGAGCUCAUCCGCGGCGUCAAGGCGCGGGCUGACCAGGAGAUGGAGAAUUGGUGCCCCGACCGGAUCUGUAUCCGGGCUUCCACCGAUCCGUCUGAGCCCAAUAUCUUUCUGGACGAUCGGAAGGAGGCCGAGAAGUGGGAGCACGUCAAGGAGCUCCGCCUCUGGAUGAAGCACAUGGUGGGGCUCCUGUCGAACGUUGUUAACAACGGGCUCGGACCGGCCUACUUUGUAAGCAUUUCCAAGUCUUUUAAUUUUUAUGGAACGUUUGGUUUUGUGUUUUAACUGCUCGAUCACCGGUUCGCAGGACCUAAAAGAGACCUCCCGCAUUAAGUCAAGCUUCAUCCACGCCACGAGAGACGGCUAGGAGCAGCUCCCCAUCCUCAAGGACCAACUCCUGGAGUCGCAGGAGAAACUCCUCAAGGCUUAUAAAGAGCUCUUAGUGCUCGAGGAGCAGAAGAAGGAGAGGGAGGCUGCUCUAGUCGAGGCUCGAGAGGCCUCAAGGAAGGCGGUGGAAGAGGCUGCGCUACUGAGGGAGCGGGCCAAGACGGUCGAGGAAGCCGCGUCCAAAGCCCGGGAGGAGGCCCUGUCCUACAAGAACGUCGUUGCUGACCUGGACAAGGAGAAAGGCCUCCUCAAGACCGACCUGGACUCCAUCCGAGAAUCCUUUCAAAGGAUGAAGGUGGAGUGUGUGAACAGCGAGAUCGCUAGGAGCGCCGCGGAGGAGGCAAAGAAGAAGGCCCUCGAAGACCUCGAGGCAAAGCAGGCUCGAUCCCGUAGCCUUUCUGAUGACGUCGACCAUCUAAAGAGAGCGCUGCUGGAAAAAGAUGGGGCCAUCUCGCAAGCCGGCAAGGCGAUCGAAGACCUGCGUGUCGCCAACACCGAGCUAGCGCACUCCAACAGGGAGGUCGAGAGGGCCACUACUGUCGAGUUCCUUUUCUGAGGUGUGCUUGGUGUUAUCUAAUUUCUUCAUGUUGGUCCUUGCAGGACUCAAAGAUGAGCUGCUGGCCACCCAAGUCGAGGCCCGUUCCAUCAAGACUCAGCUCGAGGGGGAGGUCGCCUUGAACGGUCGUCUACAGACUGUGAUAGGCGACCUCUCGGUCUCCUAGGAGCUCAAGCUUGUUGACGAGUCGACGGAGGAGGCUCGAGGCGACGCACUCGUCGACCAGCUAUGCUACCUUGGAGCUACGCUGAGGGACCGGGUGCGGGACGCUCUUCCUGUCGGAGUGAAGCGGGCGAUGGCGGUAGUCUGCUCAGGCUUCUCCUACGACAUGGAGGUAGUGUCCCACGGCUUCGUCACCGACAUCUCCAAGACUGAUGCGGAGAACGAGGAGAGGCUCCAUGCCUUGAUCGAUGACGCAGAGGUUCCUGGGGAGAGGUUGGCUAAGUUGUUUGAGCCAGAAGUACUUCCUCCUGAGACUAGCUCAGUCGCGGGUGAGGAUGGUGGGGGCCGAGACGUUGACUGAGGCCUGUGAGCCUACGCUGGGUGCCUAGGCCCCUUGUACAGUACUUAGCCAAUUUGUUCUUAAGUAUUAUAAUGGCUUUAUGUGGUUGUUAGAUUUCUAUGAAUGUUUGUCCAUCUUUCUGCUCGAGGCUCCUUUGUUUCCUUUUGCACCUAUGUUUGCAUUCCUCGUUUGGUCUUUUGUUUAAGGCGAUCUCGAUUGCCUCAAGGGUGAGGAAGCGAGUAGAGUUUCCGUUGCCCGGGGGCGUAGGAGUUCUCAGGCUCAUCGUCCCUCGGCCCUUAAGGGCCUCGAGGUGCCUCUACUACUCGACCGUACGGGAUUACUGAUAGGAACGAAAGGAUUACUUGGGUUUUUUCGACAUUUGGGUGGGGGUCACCCCCUUGCUAGCCCCCGAGGGGGUAUCGACUAUGAUGGGUCAUAGUUGGUACUCCCUGCUAACGUCGAGAUUUCGACUCGUGAAAAAGUAAAUUGCUUUGAGGGAAAGAUCUUAUUCAUUCAUGCAUUCAUUCAUAAGGCCUUGGUACAGAAUGUACAUAGGAACAUAAAGCUUUGAAAUUCUAGGGGUAGAAUCGACGUAGCUGUUCGAUGUUCCACGCAUUGGUGAAGAUCGCCCCCUUUUCAUCUGCGAGCUUGUAUGUCCUCGGCUUCAAGACUUCGGCCACUACGUAUGGGCCCUCCCAAGGUGGAGUCAGCUUGUGGCGUCCUUGAUUGCUUUGCCGCCGUCGUAGGACGAGGUCGCCCACGUUCAAGUCCCUCUUGCGCACGUGCUUGUCGUGGUAGCAUCGAAGUUUCUACUGGUAUCUGGCAGAGUUGAGGAGGGCCAUGUCUCGAGCUUCCUCGAGUUGGUCGACCGCGUUCUCUUGAGUCUCUUUAUUUGAUUGCUCGUUGUAUGCUUUGAGUCAAGGGGAUCCAUACUCGAGGUCCGUAGGAAGCACAGCCUCAGAGCCAUAGACCAUGAAGAAUGGGGUGUAUUUUGUGGCCCUGCUCGGCGUCGUCCUUAAGCUCCAUAGGACCGAGGAAAGCUCCUCAACCCAUUUCUUGCCGAAUUUCUUCAAGCCAUUGUAAAUCCUUGGUUUGAACCCCUGCAAAAUCAUGUCAUUGGCACGGUCGACAUGGCCGUUAGUUCAAGGGUGGGCCACUGCAGACCAGUUCACACGGAUGUGAUGCUGAUCGCAGAAGUCCAAGAACUUUUUGCUGGUGAACUGAGUGACGUUGUCGAUGAUGAUGACGCUGGGAAUCCCAAACCGGUGGAUGAUGUCGGUGAAGUAGUGUGAUUAGUAUUUAACAAAUUGAGCAUGUCUUAAAGGUAGGGACAACCAACAUAGCAACAUGGCAAAGUAUGUUUUUAUGUAAAGUACUCCCCCAAGCUUGAAUUUUGCAGAAUUCAAGUUUGGAUGAAUUUAAUUCAAUGUUGUAUGAUGAUUGGUUGGACAUACCUUGUGCUUGUCAUUCAUCCGAUCUUCUUGCUCCAAUACUGGAAAGGUUAGUGACAAGAAUACCCGAAGGAAUAUUUUUACAAUUAUCCUUAUAUGCUCAAUACACAAGGUAAUGUUGCAAAUAAUUAAAAACUCAUGUUACGAUCUGAUCAGUGCUUAUUUUAGGACACCAAGCUUGUCCUUGGGAAACCAUCAAUUUAUGUCGGCGAAGUGGUUUCCCUUCCAACGCUGACCUAAAUCAAGAUCAACUCAACGAGAUCUGCAAUAUUUAUUAUAGACAUAUGCAUCAACAACCGCCCUUUUAAAGUUUUUAUAAAUAGAAAGGAAGAGGGGGUUGGAGAUCUCAAAUGUGGUGAUGUUGGAGAGACCAAUAGAUUGGUAAGAUGUUGCAUAUGAGAAUGGAGUAAACAAAGUGGCUAUGAAAUAAAUUCCAUGCUCAUUAAUGUUAUCUUCAUCUCCAAUCUGAAUGUUCAGAGUUUUUCUUGGAUUGGUCUCACUUAUGUCCUCUUCUAUAGUUGGAUGAAUCCCAUCUUCAAAGGGAGUCAAGAACUCACCAUUUGAAAUUGAACCAAAGUCAGAAUUCAUUAAGGCUUCUUCCUUAUCCAUCCAUUCUACACAUUCUAGCCAUUUAGAACUUGUGAUCAAGAAAGGGGAGGUGUUAGAAUUUUCAAUAUGGCUUAGCUCUCCUUCACUUGAUAUGUCAUCCUCGACUUCUUCAUAAAAGGAACCAGGACAUUCUCUAAGAGAACCAUUAUUGUGAGGAUUUGAAUUAUCCCUGCUUGAAGGUCUCUUAUGGAACCAGAAGUCUAAACCAUCAGCAUCUGAAAGAUUUAAGGUCGGAAUUCCUUCCUCCCUUGGAGAAUUUUGGGGUAUUGAUGGUUUAGGAUCGAUACCUAAAGGUUGGGAUUGAAGUGUUUGUGAUCUGGCUAUCGAAACUUUUUCUUCUUGUCUAGGAACUGGUUCUGUCUCUUUCUCAGGGAUAUAAAAGCUAGGAGACUUUCCACUUAAUAAAUCAAUCAAAUUUCAAGCUUCACUAGCAGGUAGGUGAUAGAAGGAUCCUCUAGAGGCUGUAUUCAAGGUUUGCUUAUCUUCCCUACUAAGGCCCUCAAAAAAGUGAAUUAGAAGAACUUCUUCUAGAAUAGAAAGCUUUGGGCCAGUGAGAGUAAGGUUAAUAAAGCGGUCUCAUGAUUUGCCAAGAGAUUCUUCUUCUAGUUAUCUAAAAGAAAUAAUCUCACGCCGAAGUUCCGCCACUUUAGAGAUUGGAAAAUAUUUUAAAAGAAAACUAUUAUGUAACUCCUUCCAAUCUCCAUGAACACUCCCUACUUUGAGUUUGUACCAAUGUCUAGCUUUUCCUGUUAAAGAGAACGGAAAGAGCUUCCAUUUGAGAGUCUCAUCGGACAUUCCUUCUAUGCGAAGGAGGUCACAGACUCGAUAAAACUCUCUUAGGUGUUGUUGACGUUCCUUAAUGCUCACAUAUAACCAUCAAUUAAUCAUGGAAAAGGAUCCAAAUGCAACCAACACCCAGACUUAGGGUUUUAUCUGACAGAAUUCCACGAGUUUUGGUGUUUGUCUAUUUCUGCAGGGGGUUAUCAGGAAAUACGGAAGAAAGGCCCACACGUCGGGUUUACAUAGAGAUAUUAACGUGCCGCGCAAUUUUCUACCAUCUAGAAGACUCCAGAAGCCACGGGAGCGAACGGGAGACGUAACGGAGCCGGGCACUGGGCGCCCACCCUCCCUUACUGGGUGCCCGCCCUCCCCCCUGGACCAAUCGGGGUGAAGCUCGGGGAUCAUGCUCCACCGACCUAAUACUUCAAGGAAAACCACACGAUCAAUGUCGGUUUGAUCCGAUGGCCCAGAUUCAUCUGAAAAGACUAUAUAAACAAGGCCCCCUGGCCCCUGGAGAGCAUACCUCUUCUACAGAAUCAAAGUUAGGGUUUCAAUUCUUCAUCCAAGUAGAGAGGAUCCCUCUAGUUCUUCUAGUUCUACCUCUAGUUCAUCUAGAUCUAGUUCUAGUUCAUCUAGUUCUAGUUCUAGUUCCACUAGUUCUGGUUCUAGUUAGUUCUAGUUGUAAUCUAGAAAAUAGGGAGAGAGAAGAGGAGAGCGGAGGAGGAGCCGGAUCUGUCGGAUCUUUCUCAACAUUGUACUUUUGCAGCAACUGGUUCGUCCUUCAUCGUUCUCCAAGUUCUUCAAUUCAUAUUUCCUGAGUUCUUUAAUUACUUUUAUUUACAUUCAAGUUAUUUAUUGGAUUCCCACUUGCAUCAAGUGCUCUAGUCUUUAUAACGCUAGAGUUGUAAUUAAUAGAUUAGACGUGGUGUUUAGUCUUGCGAUUACCUAGAAUUGCACCCAAUCCUACGGAUUGUUGUGGUAGCCCUAGGGUAGUGACAGCCCUAACGGUCGACGUAUUCCACCACGUUCGGUUCGGUGUUUGUAGGACCGUAGUCAGACCUUUCUAGCCCCCAUCUCAUCUCUUUCUGUGGUUAGUGCUCUGAUGUCCCGAUAUAGAUAAUCUUGAAGUAAUUCUUGAUUCUUAGAUCAACUAGAGAACUCUCAGGAAACUUCUUCUCUUCCCACCAAAAAUAAUUAUAUAGUUAUCCUUGGGCGAUCUUGGAUCUUAAUUAGUACACUCACGUUCUCUGUGGAAAAUCGAUACUCUGGAAUACUCCCGGGUGAAAGCUACAUCGGUAUCCGUGCGCUUGCGGAUUUUUCUGUUUGCGUUUAAAAUACCCAACAAGCUUUCUGGCGCCGUUGCCGGGGAACGGUAGCUGUGCUAGUUUCGAACCAAGUCGCCCGUAUAUCCUUUUUCUUUUCCUUUUUUACCACACUCACCUUAUCAUUUUCACCGUACCACAUGGAUUUCACUCUAAGCAUUAAUGAGCAUGGAAUUUAUUUCAUAGCCACUUCAUUUACUCCAUGCUCAUAUGCAACAUCUUCACAAUCCAUUGGUCUCUCCAACAUCACCACAUUCGAGAUCUCCAACCCCCUCUUCCUUUCUAUUCAUAAAAACUUAAAAAGGGCGGUUGUCGAUGCAUAUAUCUAUAAUAAAUUUUGCAGAUCUCGUUGAGUUGAUCUUGAUAUAGGUCAGCGUUGGAGGGGAAACCACUUCACUGACAUAAAUUGAUGGUUUCCCAAGGACAAGCUGAGUGUCCUAAAACAAGCACUGAUCAGAUUGUAACAUGAGCUUUUAAUUAUUUGCAACAUUAACUUGUGUAUUGAGCAUAUAAGGAUAAUUGUAAAAAAAUUCCUUCGGGUAUUCUUGUCACUAACCUUUAUAGGAUUGGAGCAUGAAGAUCGGAUGAAUGACAAGCACAAGGUAUGUACAAUCAAUCAUCAUACAACAUUGAAUUAAAUUCAUCCAAACUUGAAUUUUGCAAAAUUCAAGCUUGGGGGAGUACUUUAUAUAAAAACAUCAUUUGCCAUGUUGCUAUGUUGGUUGUCCCUACCUUUGAGACAUGCUCAAUUUGUUAAAUAGUAAUCACACUACUUCAUCUCCACUUGAGUAGAUCUCUAUAAAAGCCAUCACGCUACCUUUGUUUAUCCUAGUAAGUGUUAGUUUGGAAGUACUGUACAUACUUCUAUUGGUUUUUAAAUUAAGCAUGGUGCUUAGGUUAAACAGCCUUCCUUAAUCUAAUUAGACAUGGAGUCUAGUUUGGUUAUUAAACUAAAAACUGCUUGUGUAGACAUUGGUAUAUUUUGUUGGACUAACCCCUGCAGGAAAACUUUCAAUAUCGACCUGGGAAGUCCUAAGAUAAACUCACAUUGGAGACAAAGAGAGACACAUGAAGUUUGACAAUUUACACAAGGAAGGCAUUGCUCACAAGAGAUGAUCCAUGGAGGGUGCCACAAACACGAUGCACAACCACUAAGAAAGGAAAGCUUCCACAAGGUGAUACUGUACCAUCACUCUUCAAGUAAGGUAACAUCUUAAGGUACUUGACUAUCACUUUUAUAAACUUCUCCUUCGUUUUGGCGUUCACAUGAAUAAAAGAGACAAACAUGUAUGAUUUACAACUCUAGAUUAACUAACCCAAUCGAUUCAACAUGUUUAGUCCUUCCACCUUUGUGAUCCUACACUCCUAAUCAUAUAAGCUAAAAUGUUGCACACUCAAUCUUUGGAAGAUAUAAAAAACUACAUAAAUAUAGAUAGAUUAUCUUUCCAUUAGGUUGAGCGAUUCGAUCUGACAAAUGUUUUAAAUACUACACUCAUGAUCUUAUUAUCCAUCAACUUUGUCUUGCUCACUAUGCUUAAGGUUAGAGAAGAACAAAUACACUUUUGGUUCUGUUGGUGUUUUCCACCAACAGGGCCCAUGCACUUGAUCUCUGCCUUGUCUCUAUGAGUGGGUACACUUCGAGCAAAAUAUGAAGGAGUUUUACAACUCCCAGACUCCACCAAGUGAAGAACCUAGAUAUAUGAGCACAAACACGCUGGAGAUACUGGACACUCAUGCAAACACUGCCCUGAGAUGCUUGAGGAUGUAACUACUAGAGUAACCCCGUUGUGGAAGAAAUUACUGACCUUCUGCCGGUCAAGAGAGACAAUCUAGGACGCCCCGUCAUCCCAAUCUCCAUCGGCAUGGUGGACUUCCUAGAAGUACUCUGCGACUUUGGCUCCAGCAUCAACAUUAUACCUAGGGAAGCCAUUCCUGAACACCUUGGGAGUUGUCAUCUACGCUAGAGCUGCCAAGAUCAGUUUCUACAUCAAGGGGAAGAAUGAGACGUUUUCCUUCAAGAAACAAGACUACACAAAUCCCAGAGCAAUCCCGACAUGAACCAAGGAAGAGGACCAACAGCAGGAACAAGAACAAGCAAAUGUGUACCGAGUCAGCUAAGAUGGUCACUGCAGCUCAAGGAUGUCAAGAUCGUUAACUCAAGUCACCUUUCUUGAUCAAGAAGGACGACCCUGGUGUCCCAAGCAUCCAGUGCUCCAUUAAUAGAUACAACUUCCAAAAGACGCUUUGCGACACCAGGUCAAGCGUCAACAUAAUGGCCGCAGUCACCUAUCAGCUCCUAUUUGGAACCAUGCCCCUAAAAUCGACAUACAUUCAGCUCCAGAUGGCAGAUCAGACAUUCCGAAAGGUUGAAGACGAGUACGAUCCACCCAUCAUCCUUCGAAGACCGUUCCUUAGCACCGUUAAAGCAAUCAUCUAUAUUGGAACCAGAGAAGUCCACAUGCACUUCCCCUCUGACAAGGUAUGUUGCUAUUUUACUGACCUUAACUAUAUAGUUGAAGACUCUAAGCAGGUCAGGAUAAGAAGAAGACGACGCAACCGCAACCAGAGUAGGCAAAUUAUCAAGGACGAAUGGGCGGAUUAUGAAGGAGAAGUGGUAAGGUCUGAAGACAUACAACUUGAACAGAACUGUCCUGAGGAGACCGUAGCACCGUGUCAGGUGUGGAGAGAGAAGAUAGUUAUACAUGAAGACCAGGCGCUGCCGGAACCACCGACUACGCUAUCCAGCGAAUCCCAGGACCACUGAGAAAACGGAGGGUCCCGUUUGGAGGACUUAAAAACACCGAACGCCUUGCCAAGAGGUAAACUUGGUAAUUAUCCAUUCUCUUUCAAUUAUUUAAAAUAGUUUGCUUAGUUAAUCAGGUUCAUAUCAUCUUAAAAAGAAAAUAAAAAUAUUAAAAAUAGUAAGCCCCAUGUGAGUAUGCUCAUGGCAUAAAACCCAUAAGUACAUUCACUGUGGUGGCAUAAAAAUAAAAUAAAUAUAUUCCUGUCCUAUAAAAAUAAAAUUAUAAAAAUAAAAUUAUGAUCCUACUAAUGAGUAACAUUUAUUGAGGAGGCUCAACAUGAUAAAGGCUAGAUAUUUAUGCUAACACUUAACUAGUUCCACAAAGCUUUGUUGUCUAUUUGAGCUCCACAGAAUUCAAGGAUCAAAGAAGACUAGCAGACGAAGGACAUCCUAAUCGCUGUCAGAGUGCUGCCGACAUUCAAAUACACCUCCGCCACCUGCUAGCUACAUCAGAAGAAAUUAUCCAGCUUGGGGGAGAGCACCCCCAUUUAUCCAGCUAAGUGUUCUACUCACGUUUAUACUUUACUCAAAUAAUAAAAAGAUGCAUAAUCAUAAAAACCCAAAUAAAGAUUUUAUGCUUAUAUAUAUCUUUGCUUAGUUUGCUAAAUAAAAAAACAAAUAAUAAAUCAAGAUAAGUAUUAUUUUUCUUUCUUACUAGUAUUCGGAAAUAAAAAAAGGCAUAACCAUGAAACCAAACAUAGUUUUUGUUUUGAGUAAUAUAUAAUAGUUUUAUGUAAUACUAAGUUUUAAAUAAAAUAAAAAGAAAGUUUGAUUCAACUCUAGGUAAUUGACAAACAUGAUAUGAGAAGGUCUGAGCUACUAUUUAACUUGUUCCAAGUUUUGCUAGAGUUCUGGAGAUUUUAUCUUUUGAAAAUCUAAAAAUUCAUAAAAAAUAUAUAUAUAUGAGAUCAUAAUACCUAGAGUCUUAUAAGAAAUAAAUAUUAAAACUGUGGGUACUUUCUUUGUUCAAGCCAUUGUUAAUUCUUGUAGUUUUGGUUGAGAGAAUUAUCAUGCUCCCAAGAUCAAGAUCUUUUUGUUUUAAAAAUAUAAAAGAUUCACUCUUCCGAAGUAUUAUUGCGUUAGAGGCAUGGGACUAUGCAAAAAUUUGAUUCGAAAAAAAAAGAGUGAGAUGAGAGGUAAAAAUGGACAAGUGUCCAAAGUAGAAUUAGGGGUACAAAGAUACCCACCUGAGUGGAAAAAAUGGACAUGUGUCCGACAGUAGAAUUAGGGGUACUUGGUGCCCACUUGAAAAAAAGAGACUAAAAAAAAGAGAAAAAAAAGGAAAAAAAUGAUAGCCCAUGGUCCCUCUAAUAAGCAAUAUGCCAGUAAGAGAUGACAAACUCUUCAAAAAGGUCAAAGGUCUUGAUCUAGGAGUAUGACAUUCCUCUCCCUUGCUCCGAGCAUUGACAUAGCAAAAUGCAAAGUAAGUAUGCUAAAAUAUUUAAAGCUCUACUUAUAUAUCUUUGGAGAAGAAGGCAAAUGCCUCAGAUUUAUUUUGGAAACUUACAAACAACUCCAGAACAAAGGUAAGAUAGAAGAACUUGAGACAUAGUGCUUGACUUGAUCAUUCUCUAAGAGAACCAUUAUUGCGGGGAUUUGAAUUAUCCCUACUUGAAGGUCUCUUAUGGAACCAGAAGUCUAGACCAUCAGCAUCUGAAAGAUUUAAGGUCGGAAUUCCUUCCUCCCUUGGAGAAUUUUGGGGUAUUGAUGGUUUAGGAUCGAUACCUAAAGGUUGGGAUUGAAGUGUUUGUGAUCUGGCUAUCGAAACUUUUUCUUCUUGUCUAGGAACUGGUUCUGUCUCUUUCUCAGGGAUAUAAAAGCUAGGAGACUUUCCACUUAAUAAAUCAAUCAAAUUUCAAGCUUCACUAGUAGGUAGGUGAUAGAAGGAUCCUCUAGAGGCUGUAUUCAAGGUUUGCUUAUCUUCCCUACUAAGGCCCUCAAAAAAGUGAAUUAGAAGAUCUUCUUCUGGAAUAGAAAGCUUUGGGCCAGUGAGAGUAAGGUUAAUAAAGCGGUCUCAUGAUUCGCCAAGAGAUUCUUCUUCUAGUUGUCUAAAAGAAAUAAUCUCACGCCGAAGUUCCGCCACUUUAGAGAUUGGAAAAUAUUUUAAAAGAAAACUAUUAUGUAACUCCUUCCAAUCUCCAUGAACACUUCCUACUUUGAGUUUGUACCAAUGUCUAGCUUUUCCUGUUAAAGAGAACGGAAAGAGCUUCCAUUUGAGUCUCAUCGGACAUUCCUUCUAUGCGAAGGAGGUCACAGACUCGAUAAAACUCUCUUAGGUGUUGUUGACGUUCCUUAAUGCUCACAUUUAACCAUCAAUUAAUCAUGGAAAAGGAUCCAAAUGCAACCAACACCCAGACUUAGGGUUUUAUCUGACAGAAUUCCACGAGUUUUGGUGUUUGUCUAUUUCUGCAGGGGGUUAUCAGGAAAUACCUAAGAAAGGCCCACACGUCGGGUUUACAUAGAGAUAUUAACAUGCCGCGCAAUUUUCUACCAUCUAGAAGACUCCAGAAGCCACGGGAGCGAACGGGAGACGUAACGGAGCCGGGCACUGGACGCCCGCCCUCCCUUACUGGGCGCCCGCCCUCCCCCCUGGACCAAUCAGGGUGAAGCUCGGGGAUCAUGCUCCACCGACCUAAUACUUCAAGGAAAACCACACGAUCAAUGUCGGUUUGAUCCGAUGGCCCAGAUUCAUCUGAAAAGACUAUAUAAGCAAGGCCCCCUGACCCCUGGAGAGCAUACCUCUUCUACAGAAUCAAAGUUCGGGUUUCAAUUCUUCAUCCAAGUAGAGAGGAUCCCUCUAGUUCUUCUAGUUCUACCUCUAGUUCAUCUAGAUCUAGUUCUAGUUCAUCUAGUUCUAGUUCUAGUUCCUCUAGUUCUAGUUCUAGUUAGUUCUAGUUGUAAUCUAGAAAAUAGGGAGAGAGAAGAGGAGAGCGGAGGAGGAGCCGGAUCUGUCGGAUCUUCCUCAACAUUGUACUUUUGCAGCAACUGGUUCGUCCUUCAUCGUUCUCCAGGUUCUUCAAUUCAUAAUUCUUGAGUUCUUUAAUUACUUUUAUUUACAUUCAAGUUAUUUAUUGGAUUCCCGCUUGCAUCAAGUGCUCUAGUCUUUAUAACGCUAGAGUAGUAAUUAAUAGAUUGGACAUGGUGUUUAGUCUUGCGAUUACCUAGAAUUGGACCCAAUCCUACGGAUUAAUGUGGUAGCCCUAGGGUAGUGACAGCCCUAACGGUCGACGUAUUCCACCACGUUCGGAUCGGUGUUUGUAGGACCAUAGUCAGACCUUCCUAGCCCCCUUCUCAUCUCUUUUUGUGGUUAGUGCUCUGAUGUCCCGAUAUAGAUAGUCUUGAAGUAAUUCUUGAUUCUUUGAUCAACUAGAGAACUCUCAGGAAACUUCCUCUCUUUCCACCAAAAAUAAUUAUAUAGUUAUCCUUGGGCGAUCUUGGAUCUUAAUUAGUACACUCACGUUCUCUGUUGAAAAUUGAUACUCUGGAAUACUCCCGGGUGAAAGCUACAUCGGUAUCCGUGCGCUUGCGGAUUUUUCUGUUUGCGUUUAAAAUACCCAACAGGUGUGUGUAUGGGUUUUCCUCACCUUCUCCUGAGAAAGGUUGUUUUUGAACAAAUUCUAUGUAUUCGGGGUCUAUCUCAAAACUAGAUGCAAUGAUAGGCUUUGAAGAUUUUGGUGGUUCAAGAUGUGUGCCUGUAGGUCUAUGAAAUUCAUAGAUAGACAUGUUUGAAUUCAUGAUAGACCAGAGAUCAAGGAUUAGAUAAGAAGAAAGAUUAGCAGAGAUGAGGCAAAGGAUAAAAGGAAUAUAUAUAUAUAAUUUUUUUUUAUUUUUUAGAAAAUGAUUAAGCUAGUUCGUAGUCAACUCAGCAACCAUUUCCCCGGCAACGGCGCCAAAAAUGCUUGUUGACACUUGCUAACACCACUUGAAUACUAGGUUGUCAUCCCCAGCAUGGCACUAGAGUGUACUAUGGUAUUUAUACACACACAGAUAAUCUGCAAGCGCACGGAUACCGUUGAAGCUUUUACCCGGUUAAAGGUUUUAUCGUAUCCACAGGGAAACGAGAGAACCAACUAUGCUCUAACUUAACCAAGAUAGAUAGAUAGGUGUAAAUAGGAAAGAUGGUAGAAUUGAAUAAGAACAAUAUUAAAGGUAAGAUAACAGUGAGUGAUAAAAUGGGAAUAUAGAAUAGAGCAAUUCUAGUAUAUGGGCGAUGGUAGCAGAAUAGAGAGGAUAACUAUGGUUUCUCUACUUCAAAGGGGUAUGUCUAUGUCUGGGACAAACCACGUGAUAAGAGUACACCACAAAGGAUGCUUAUCCUUAAGCCGAUAAACCCUACCCGUCCUGCUAACAAGAGGUGGACUACAUGGGACCAACGUAACUGUCACCUACGCGGCCUACCACACGAUCCAGCUAGACAGGGGAUAUCCACAAGUAAUCUAGGUCUAAGCACCUCGCUUACACCUAUACUACAACUCUCACCUAUAGCGUCCUAUAGAUUAGAAGUACUCAAAAGAGUUGUGAACCAGAACAUACAUAAUUAGUAAUUGCAUAAUGAAUUAGAAGUAGAUUACCAGAGUCAUCCCAUGAGCAAGCUUUAUUAGAGCUUGAUCAUGAUGAAGUACAACCAGAGGAAGAACCGACGGGCCGGCCUCUCCUCUAAUCCUCCUUCGCUCUCCAUCUCGCUACUAUCUAGAUCUACUCUAGUUUAGAGAAGAGAGGAGAGCUCUCAUCUCUAAACCCUAGCUUUUGCUCUAUCUAUGAAUAAUGAAUAAUGAUCAAGGGGUGCCUCCUCCAGGGGCCAGAGGGUCUGGUUAUAUAGUCCCCUCAAGUGAACCUGGGCCGUCGGAUCAAACUGACAUUGAUUGAACGGUUAUUCUUGAUCCUUUAGGUCGGUGGAAAAUAAUCCGCGAGGUUGAACAUGAUUGGCCACUGUAGCUGGGCGAGCAACCUAAGGACUUGGGCAGGCGCCCAGGUCCUGGCUCCGUUCGGCCACCGCUUCCUUCCCAUGGCUUCUGGAGUCUUCUAGAUGUAAAAUAAUUGCGCGGCACGUUGAUAUCUCUAUGUAAUCCUGACGUGUGGGCCUUUCUUCCGUAUUUCCUAAUAACCCCCUGUAGAAAUAGACAAACACCAAAACUCAUAGAAUUCUGUCAGAAAAAACCCUAAGUUUAGAUGUUGGUUGUAUUUGGAUCCUUUUCUUUAUUUAUUUGAUAAUUAAAUUUGAUACUUAAGGACCGUUGACAAUGGCGCGCGGACCUACUCGAGGCCUCCGUACCAGCGUGGUCUCGAGCCGUCCGGUCCUGAUGGCUUGAUGAUGAUUACGCGUGCCCCUGUAUCGUGCUCUAUGCGCCGUCGUGGACUAGUUUAUCUGCUGCACGCCUGUACGUCAUGGCGGCAGAUGCGUCGGAGUGGUUGCAGUGCUGUCUUUCGACGCCCGACCCUUCCUAGGAAGGAAACAUGUCUGGUCGAGAGUCGGACGCCGUGUAGCGCCUUGCUAGCUAGAGCGUUGACCUUGGAUGUCUCGAGGGGGCUUGAUUGGACGUUCCGACCAUGCUUCCUGCAUCCUGACAUGCUCUGGGUCGUUUGGUGGGGAAGGCUGCAAAAAGAAUGACGGGACGGGUGCCUGUUCCCUAUCACGCUUCCCGUGACUGGCGUGUUACGUGAGAACGCGACAGGCGCAUUAAAUGCCCUGGUUCCCAUGCGCGCGUCAGGCGGCGGGCGGCGUCCUUGCGUUCGACGCCUUCCGGUUCGCUCGAGCCUGUUUCCGUAUUCGACGGUCGUUGGUGCUCGAGCCCUGAUCGAUUCGCUCGACGCUCUUUCUGUCUUCGAUGCUGCGGUCGUCGAUGACUGUACGUGUGACUGGUUAGAGCGUCGAGUUGGGGGCCUCAACCUGCGUACGGGCAAUCUCGUUAUGUACAUCAGUUAGGAUACCCCUUAUUGAUACCCUCGACAGAAGUAUUGAUAGAGGCAAGUGAACAUGCAAUAGAUGAUGAUGGGAUGAAGGACCUAAAGACAAAAUUGGACCACCUAAUGUGGAAAAUGAAUGUGGGCUUUGUUUGUGUUGCAGUUGUUCUACUUAGUGUUGUAGUCAAGUACCUAAUCUAAUGAGGUUCGGUAAUGUUUAUGGAUCAACACAGCUUGUAUGUGUUCUAAAGGGAUCUUUUAUUUGUUUAAUUUUCACAGUGUGGUUCAAAAAACACUUGAUUUCGACAUAUAGUAUGUGAAUUCUAUACAUGUUCACACCCAAACAAAAUCAUAUAAGUAAUCAAAUAAAAAAGUCAUUAUCUCAGGAUUCUACCCCACAAACAAUUGGUGCAACAACUCCAUCGUCAAUGUACGUGUCAUCUUCCUCAUCUUCAUCGUCAUCUAAUAAGGCCACAUGGUCUGGUUCAUCAGCUGCUUUGGCCUGCACCUGAGCAAUAACAGAGACAUCCCCGAUUGUGCCUUGCUUGUCCUAUCUAGUCCAACUUGUUGUCAAAUCCUCUUGUCCACCAAGUAAAUCACUAAUGCCUUGGAAACCCACAUCAAUUGAGUCCUCCCGUUCUAAUUCAGGAAUGGCAAACAAGUCCCUUGGUUUCAUCGCAAUAACACUUCUCCAACCAGGUUUGUUUACCACAUCCACGUAGAACACUAGUUCUGCCUGUGUCACAAGAAUAUAGGGUUCAUUCUCAUACCUGUUCCGAGUACUAUCGAUAUCAAUAACCCCAAACUUAUCCUUAUUGUAUCCUCUGCCUCUGCUUGUACUGGCAGCAGGCACAUCAUACCAGUCACACUCGAACAAAAUGACUUCUUUUUGUCUAGGGAAUUCUAGUGAUAUCUUUCUUUUAAUCACCCCAUACCAGCACAUGUUACCAGUACUAGCAGGGUCUCCCUUGACAAGCACACCACUGUUUUGUGUGACGAGGUUUUUCUCAAUGUCAACUGUGCAAAACAGCCAAUUAUUGAUAUGGCAUCUAUGCAGUAAACGAGCUCAGUUGUCCUUCCACUCAGCAAGUGCAAACAUCUCGGCACUUACGUUCCGUUUGGCAUAUUGCUCUCUCACCUUGCCCUCGAACCGUCUUGCAAAUUGUUCCUCGUGUCGCUUUUUAAGAUUUCUUGUACCACCACGCAUCUGCAGUUCUUCCAUAUGCACACUACACAUAGAAAAGUUAUAUUAAUAAUGUUGGUUUGAAAUAUAAUAUUUAAAAAUAAUGUUGUUUAAUUAAUAUGUAACUUACUCGAUGAAUGGUUUAGUGUCAUCAUAAUUAGAAAUUAUGUAGUGCUUAAUCUUCCGCAUCUCAUCUCUGUCAAGGAGCUUGAUAGUCUGUCCUCUCCAGUUGUAAUCCAUUGCAGCAAAUAAGCUCUAACCAGAAGGUGGCUCAUUCACGGCAACACUUCCAUGACGAUCAGCACGAUUCAGUUUUGUGUCCAUGUCCAAGAAUCUAUAGCAAAAUGUAAGGCACUCCUCGAGUAUGUAUCCCUCGGCUAUUGACCCUUCAGGAUGCGCCUUGUUCCUCACGUAUCCUUUUGUAGUAUGUAGGUACCGCUCCACUGGGUACCUCCAUCUAUAACAAACGGGCCCUCCAAGUUUAGUCUCUUCAGCUAGAUGAAUAGGCAAAUGCAUCAUGAUAUCCAAAAAUGAAGGUGGGAAUAACAUCUCUAGUCGGCAUAGAGUGUCAACAAUUGUACUACUAAGUUUGUCCAAGUCUGCUUCCCCCAUCUCCUUGGAACAUAGUGCAUCGAAGAAAUUACUAAGCUGGAUCAAUGCAACGACAACUUGUUGUGGCAAAAUCCUCUGCACCACUAAGGGUAACAGUUUCUAUAGAAUUAGAUGGUAAUCAUGAGAUUUCAAGCCAGACAGCUUAGAUGCGUUUAGGUCAACACAUCUUACUAUAUUGGAGGAGACCCCAUCAGGCAUUUUCAGUCCAUAUAGAAAUUUGCAUAAAUUAUCCUUCUCAUCAUUAUCUAACUUGUACAAGGCUGCUAGCAAGGUAUACUUAUCUUUAUUGAUCACAGGAUGUUGAUCUGGUCUCAUCCCUAGUUGUUGCAUGUCAAGCCAGGCCUUCUCCCCAUCCUUACACUUACCUUCCAAUUCUAGCAGAGUGCCUAAUAUGGUCUCACAUAUAUUUUUCUCAAUGUGCAUGACGUCUAAAUUAUGCCUGAUGAGCAAAGAAGACCAGUAUGGGAGCUUGUUGACGGUCGUUAAGUACCAAAUAUAAUCAUUAAAUAAAUAAAGAAAAGGAUCCAAAUGCAACAACCACCCAGACUUAGGGUUUUAUCUGAUAGAAUUCCACGAGUUUUGGUGUUUGUCUAUUUCUGCAGGGGGUUAUCAGGAAAUAUGGAGGAAAGGCCCACAUGUCGGGUUUACAUAGAGAUAUUAACGUGCCGCGCAAUUUUCUAUCAUCUAGAAGACUCUAGAAGCCACGGGAAUGAACGGGAGGCUGAGCGGGCCCGGGCACAGGGCGCCCGCCCUCCCCCUUUGGGCGCCCGCCCAGGUGUCUCGGCCAAUCAAGCCCCGCCUCAUGAAUUAUGCUCCACCAACCUAAAGGAUCAAGGAAAACCGUGUGAUUAAGGUCGGUUUGAUCCGACGGCCCACGUUCACUUGAGGGGACCAUAUAAGCACGACCCCUGGCCCCUGGAGGAGAGCAAUCCCAUCAUUCAUUAGCAUAUUUUCUAGAGAGGAUUUAGAGAGAGAGGUCCCUCUAGGGUUCCAACCUCAUAGGGCUUAGCAUCCAAUGUGAGAUUAGAAUUAGUUCUUAUAGAUUGAGAGAGAUAGAGUGGAGAUGUAGAUCGGAGGAAGCCGGCCUGUCGGUGUCUACUCUAAGGUUGUACCUGCGGGAUCAAGUCUCCUAACCCGAGGCUUGCUCCUAGGAUUCUUCAGUAUUUUGACUUCUAAAUUAUAGUAAGUUCUUUGUUCUUAUUGUUCUCUGGUUUAUGAGUUUACUUUAAUCUCUUCCGGUAGAGUUUAGAGUAAUCAUUGCUAGCAUAAACAUGGUGUUUGGGCUAGGGUACUCAUAGAUAUCCCCUAUCUAGCCAGACCGUGGAAGUAGCGGGGAACGUGACAUUUCCGUAGCUACCUUUGUGGCCCACAAUCCUGUUAGCAGGAUCGGUAAGGUUUAUAGGUGCGGGUCGAACAUCCUUUGUGGUGUCUAGAUUCCAUAAGCCUCCCUAAUAGAAUAGUAGAUUAUCAUUACCAAGGUUAGAACGAGAGUGUGGUUGUAGCCUUCUCUAUACAUCGCUCACAUCAAAUCACAUUGUUUGUAGCCUAAAGGGUAGUAGCAAUAGAUUUGGUUAGUCACAUGCACGCUUUCUCCCAUUAGUAAAAAUAUAAAUACGACUCUGGAUAACCUCCCGGGUGAAAUGCUCACCAAUAUCCAUGAGCUUGCAGAUCAUUUCCUUAUGGCAUUAACAAAUAUCAACAGAGCUCAAAAAAAUACUCUUCUUCAUCCAGUUGUGCCAUCUUUCAUCAUCAUCGUGCUUCCUUUUUUUGUAGACGUCUUUCCAAAACUCACUUGUUCAAAACUUUCAUACUGCUCAAGUACCUGUGCACCAGUUAGUGGUACUGGUGCCUCCCUGGUUUCGACCAUGUUGUUGAAGCUGACCAUGUUCUGGUGCUAAAUAUGGUCCAAGGGUAAGAAACGUCGACUGGCCAUGUAGCAGUGCUUUCUCCCAUUCUUCAACCACAAAAAAUCAGUAUCUUUGUGGCAAUAUGGGCUUGCAAACUUUCCUUUGGUGCUCCAACCAGACAACAUGGCAUAUGCUAGGAAGUCAUUAAUUGUCCAAAGUAAAAUAGCACAUAAUCUAAAGUUUUUAUUGGUUUGUGCAUCCCAUGUUCUAACACCCUUUUCCCAAAGCACCUUGGGCUCCAAUAUAAGAGGCCUCAAAUAUACAUCAAUAUCCAUUCCAGCAGAAUUUGGACCAGGGAUCAACAUUGACAUCAUCCAGUUUGAUUGUUUCUGACACAACCAAGGAGGCAAAUUGUAAGGUAUUAGGACAACAGGCCAUAUGGAUUAGGUUGUACUUUGCAUCCCAAAGGGGUUGAAGGCAUCAGAAGCAAGACCCAGCCUAACAUUACGAGCUUCUUUUUCAAACCACCUAUAUUUCUUAUCCACGUGCUUCCAUGCCUUCGAGUCAGCAGGGUGACGCAUUUUCCAAUCAUUGACCCUCUCUUUCUUAUGCCAUUGCAUGUCCUCCGAUGUGCUCUUCGACAUAUACAUUCUUUGCAGCCGAGGAAUAAGAGGGAAGUAGCGUAGGAUCUUCACGGGAAACCGUUUCUUAAAAGUAGUACCAUCGGAGGUGUUCUCGACAACUUUCCACCUAGACUCCCCACAUGUGGGGCAUUCCUACAGAUUUUCAUUUUCCUUAAAAAAUAACAAACAAUCAUUCUUGCAGGCGUGUAUCUUGACAUAGUCCAAGCCUAGAUCUCAAACCACUUUUUGAACUUUAUCCAAUGAGUUAGGGAUACAAUGGCCUUUAGGGAGAACCCUUGAGAACAAUUUAAGUAUGGCCUCCAAACAUGCGUUACUAAUACCAUACAUGUACUUUAUCUGAAAAAGUUGCACGAUAAAAGAAACCUUAGAUUGGACGGUUAUCCUUGAUCCUCCAGGGGCCAGGGGGUCUGGUUUUAUAGUCCCUUCAAGUGAAUACGGUCCGUUGGAUCAAACCGACAUAGAUUGAAUGGUUAUCCUUGAUCCUUUAGGUCGGUGGAGAUCUUUCCCGAAAGAGUGUCCUGAUUGGACUCCAACAGGGGGCAGGCGCCCAGGGCAACAGGGCAGGCGCUCAGUGCCUGGCCCCAUUCGGCCUCCGCUCCCUUCCUGUGGCUUCUGGAGUCUUCUAGAUGUAAGAUAAUUGCACGGCACGUUAAUAUCUCUAUGUAAUCUCGACGUGUGGGCCUUUCUUCCGUAUUUCCUAAUAACCCCCUGCAGAAAUAGACAAACACAAAAACUCGUGGAAUUCUGUUAGAUAAAACCCUAAGUCUAGAUGUUGAUUUCAUUUGGAUCCUUUUCUUUGUUUAUUUGAUAAUUAAAUUUGAUACUUAAGGACCGUCAACAAACUCCCCCAAGCUUACCUCUUGCUCGUCCCUGAGCAAGGAUAGGCUUAGCUAUGGAUCAUAAGUUGUUGCAAUAUCUUUAAAAAUUAACGGUACAUAUGCUUUUAAAUAAGAUCUCAUCUCUGAGUUAGAGUAAACUGUCAAGACUUAAAACUUACUUACUUUACCUUUCAGCAUGGGACUUGUAAUCAUCACUUCUGUCUUGAGUGGUUAAAAGAUAGAACAGUCUAGUCAAGUGCCAUGUCUCUUAUUCUUGAUCAGCUAUAGCUCUGGAGUUUUUGCAGAUUUUUAAAUAAAACUCAGAGAUUCCUUGUAUGACUCUAUCAGAUCUCUCAUUUGUGGUAUUUCUGGAUCCUUACCAAGGCAGUGAUUGUAUAUGCCUUCUCUCAAUAUAUAUGGUAUUUGUGGUAUAAGGCAUAGUGACAUUGCCUUCUCUCUCACCCUACUCUAAUAAGGCUUUAAUAUCUGGAGCUCAUAGGUGGGAGAUAAAGUAUACAUACUUACAAGAUAUUUAUUGUAUAGUCAAACCAUAGAUCCAAAGAAAAAAAUCAAUAAGUCAAAUCAAGAUGUGCAUGUGUGGUAAAUGAAUGGUAUAUGGUGAUGAUGGUGAUAACAAUGGUGAAAGUCUAAUUCUACUUUGCUCUUCGAGGGGAUACAUACCUUCCUUGCUUUCUGAAAGUUUUGAAGAGAAUGAGAUGCUCUAUAUUUUCUUUUUCUUUCCUCUCAGGUGAGUAUCUUGUACCCCUAAUUCUACUGUCAGACACUUGUCCAUUUUUACCUCUCGUCUCACUCUUUUUCUUUUCUUUCGAGGUUCUGGGCACUUGCCCCUUUUUAUUUCCUCGUAUUCUUUUUUCUUUCUUCUGUUUUUUUCUUUUUUAGAGCACUCAUCUCUUGAGAUAAUAUAGCAAGUGGUAGUAACAAGAUAACUUGAGCAUUUAUUUCACAAGGGAAAAACAGAAAUGUUUUUGGCUAUUCUCUCCUGGAUUAGGAGUAGAAUAUUUUUGGGUGGUUCUGGAGAUGGAAAUGAGUGGAUAUAUGUGGAUGAUACUUCCAGAGUAGAAGUAGCAUAUGUGAGUGAACGUGCAAGUGAAUCUUGAUUUAACCAUAUGACAAGCUCUUAAGGGUCUACACAGCUUGACCACACUCAAUGCUCAUAAGCAGUAAAUAGUAAAUGUGUGGCUCAAAGUCUAGCAAUCAUGUAUAUAUGGCUGUGGUAGGAAUUUAAACUCUCAUCAUAUAGAAACUCAUUAUGCAAUAUUUUAAAGAUUUUCAAAGAUAAAAUUCUCCAGAAUUCUAGCAUCUCUAGGAACAGAUAAACAGCAGCUCAACCUUCACAUAUCAUAUUCGUUAACAACUUAGACUUCAGAUCAAGUUUACUUCCCACAAGUUUAGGUUUAGGGAAAGCUUUAAAUUAUAACAGUUAUGUCUAAACUUGAGAGAAAACUUAAAAUUCGUAAAUUAGGCAGAGCAACUAUUCAUCAUAUUCAUGCUAGAGUUUUAUUUAGAUAUAGAUUAGCAUAGCCACUUUAUUUAUUUAUUAAACACACUAAGCAAAAGAUAUAUAUAUAUAAGCACAAGAUCUUUAUUUGUUUUUCCAUAAUUAUGUAUAUCUAUAUUUUAAUAUAGUAUAAGUAUAAAGAUAGAUAGAAAUACUUAGCGGGUUGAAUGGGGGUGCUCUCCACCAAGCUAAAUUUUGACGUAAUUUUUUUCUUGAUGUAGCUAGCAGGUGGCAGAGGUGUAUUUGAAAGUCGGCAGCACCCUGACAGCGAUUAGAAUGUCCUCCGUCUGCUAGUCUUCUUUGAUCCUUAAAUUUUGUGGAGCUCAAAUAGACAACAAAGCUUGUGGAACUGAUUAAGUGUUAGCAUAAAUAUCUAGCCUUUAUCAUGUUGAGACUCCUUAGUAAAUAUUACUCCUAUUUUUAUAUUUUCAUUUUUAUAGAGCAGAAAAAUAUUUAUUUUAUUUUUACGCCACCACAGUGAAUGUACUUAUGGGUUUUAUGCCACUAGUCUACUCACAUGGGGCUUACUGUUUUUCAACAUUUUUAUUUUCUUUUUAGGAUAGUAUAAAUAUAACUAAUUAAGUAAACUAUUUUAAAUAAUUGAACGGAAAAAGAUAACUACCAAGUUUACCUCUUGGCAAGGCGUUCGGUGUUUUUAAGUCCUCCGAACGGGACUCUUCUCUUUCUCAAUUGUCCUAGGAUUCGUUGGGUGGCGGAGUCGGUACUUCCGGCAAUGCCUCUUCUUUAUGUAUAGUUAUCUUCUCUUUCCAUACCUAACUCGGUGCUACGGAAUAGUCUGGAUCAUUUUGUUUAAACUAUACGUCUUCUGACCUUACAACUUCUCCUUCAUAGUCUGCCCAUCCAUCCUUGAUGAUUUGCCUCCUCUGGUUGCAGUUGCGUCGUUUUCUUACCUGCAUAGAUUCUUCAAAGAUGUAGUUAGGGUCAGUAAAAUAACGGCGUACCUUCUCUGAGGGGAAGUGCAUAUGGACUUCUCCAGUUCCAAUGUAGAUUUUUGCUUUAACGGUGCUGAGAAACGGUCUUCCAAGGAUGAUGGGUGUCGACGAAAGCUGGUCAGCAGUCUACCUUGGGGUAUACCCACGGUAGUAGUUUAUCGGUAGACGGUGCGCAAACUACGAACUCGAUGGUGACGCAAGACACAGGCGAGCUUUUUAUCCAGGUUCGGCCGCCGAGUUGGCGUAAUACCUACGUCCUGCGUCUGAUUGCAUUGGUUUGGAUUGAGAGAAUAAUGUGUGUAUGACUUGUCCUCUAGGGGAUCCCUGCCCCUCUUUAUAUAUCCUGAAGGGACAGAGUUACAAGCAAAGUAUCCUAUUUGGUACAAAAUCUUGUAGCCUUGCGGUGCACGCCGACCAGUCGUGCGCCGCACGUCUUCAUCUUGUGGGCCGAGCCACCUCUGAUGGUGCGGCCCAUAUAGGCCCAUGAGGGUAUAAGGGUUUAUACCCCCACAGCUAGUCCCCGAGCACCAUGUAUUAUGAUGUAACACGCUGUCUUGAGCUUCUUCGAUCAGUGAGGCUUGACGUCUUCAAUAAGCAGGAAUGUCGCCCAAACGGUUGCAACGGUAUUUUGACCAACUCAAAAGACAGUUGAUCAACAUUGACCUCAAAGAAGCAGGUUGUUCGAAGAAUGCAUGGUGCUCCAAAUUAAAAAAGAUUUCUUUCCUGGUGAAGUGUGCCCACUUUACUUUUUCUGAAAAGUAUAGACCUCAAAAAAGCAAGCAUAUUCACCGCAAGGUGAAGUGUGCCCACUUAGUCCCCGAGCCUGGUAGUAGGUGACGUAGGCACAUGAUGCCAGGGUCAAAAGAAAAGUCCUCAAAGAAAUUCUGAAACUGAGAUGCAUCGCCAGAUGCAUCGUACCGAUGUAGUCCCCGAGCUUGCUGGAAGACGAAGUAUGAGCCUUGUAGCAAGGUCUAAAAAAUUGAAUUUACCAGUCCGUCUGCAAUUGAAUAGACUAAUCGACCAGUCCCCGAGCAUAUAACGCUCGGUGGUCGGUACAGUCCCUGAAUUCUCAAAUUGGUGGGCUGGUCGACCAGUCCUCGAGCGUAUAGUGCUCGGUGGUCGGUACAGUCCCAAAAUUCUCAAAUUGGUGGGCUGGUCGACCAGUCCCCGAGCGUAUAGUGCUUGGUGGUCGGUACAGUCCCAAAACUCUCAAAUUGGUGAGCUGGUCGAACAGUCCCCGAGCGUAUAGUGCUCGGUGGUCGGCACAGUCUUCGAGCACAGCAUAGAGAGUAGUCGACAAGUCCCCGAGCGUGGUUGGGAACGUAAACGUGCUCGGUGGUCGGAGCAGUCCCCGGGCAUAGCAUAGGGAAUAGUCGACGAGUCUCCAAGCGUAGCUUGUCGACUGGGCCAAACUCCUGAAAAAUAAAUAUAAAGAAUUGGUAGUACAUGAUGUAUAAAUAACCUUUAGAUAAAAAAUCAGUACUAAGAUAAGUUUUAGAUUUGUUCUUAUAAAAUUAGCACGAGUAGUUAAUUCAUCCUAGAGCUUUAACCAGCUCUGGUCUAGCCAACAAUCAGCAUGAGGUGCGGAACCUAGGCACGCGUAGGAUUGUCAGCCACGUCAGAGAGCUACUGCCGACCACCCGGAACGCAGAGGGCGGAUCUCGUGCACGUGUAGGGAGGCGUCGGAGACAGUACCGGCUCUGGAAAGCUCGUGUAGGAGAAAAAACUAGUCGGCUAAAAAAGUUGUUUUGAAGAAUAAUAAUCUUAAAAAUAUUAUGCCAAAAAUAAAUAAAAUAUUAGAAUUGUACUUAUCUUUGGACGAAAGUCUGGUUGGGAGAGUUGCUUGACUUGUUGUCGUGAUGGUGGUCGCGGCUGUCGUAGCGCCAUUCUUCACGGCGAUUAUUAUUGCGACUCGUGGUGAGAGCAAGUAGGCCAAACAACUUGGUCGAUAGCCUGAGCAGGUCGGUGUCGUUGAUCUGCCUCCCUUUGUAGCAAAGAAGCGGGUGACGCGUUGUCGGCGUGGUCGGAGACGUUGCUGGAGUAGUUGGAGUCGUAGCCAGCGUGGUUGAAGCCGCCGCCGACGUCGAUGAAGAAGUGGUUGGUGCAGAUCGGAUCCACACCUCCUCUGUGGUCGUGGCGGUGUAGCUGUUGAAGCUGACGGUGAACGUGAAGUCGCCUGCCAUGGCCACGAAGUCAGGGAUGAUGACCAUCUCGUUCGUCGGGAGAGCUGUACGCGUACCCCCUACCUGGCGCGCCACUGUCGACGAAAGCUGGUCGGCAGUAUACCUUGGGGUAUACCCACGGUAGUAGUUUAUCGGUAGACGGUGCGCAAACUACGAACUCGAUGGUGACGCAAGACACAGGCGAGCUUUUUAUCCAGGUUCGGGCGCCGAGUUGGCGUAAUACCUACGUCCUGCGUCUGAUUGUAUUGGUUUGGAUUGAGAGAAUAAUGUGUGUAUGACUUGUCCUCUAGGAGACCCCUGCCCCUCCUUAUAUAUCCUGAAGGGACAGAGUUACAAGCAAAGUAUCCUAUUUGGUACAAAAUCUUGUAGCCUUGCGGUGCACGCCGACCAGCCGUGCGCCGCACGUCUUCAUCUUGUGGGCCAAGCCACCUCUGAUGGUGCGGCCCAUAUAGGCCCAUGAGGGUAUAAGGGUUUAUACCCCCACAAUGGGUGGAUCGUAUUCAUCUUCUCCCUUGUCAAUAACCUGAAAGUCUGUGUAGACAAAAUGAUCGUCUAUUUUGACUCGGACAUUAGUUACUAUUCCUUUAACCUCUCGAAAUGUCUGAUCUGCCAUCUGGAGCUGAAUGUAUGUUGGUUUUAGGGGCAUGGUUCCGAACAAGAGCCGAUAGGUGACUGCGGCCAUUAUGUUGACGCCCGAUCCGUUGUCGCAAAACGUCUUGUAGAAGCUGUAUCCAUUUAUGGAGCAGUAGAUGCUUGGCAUUCCUGGGUCGUCCUUCUUGGUCAAAAACGGCAACUUAAGUUGUUGAUCUUGACCUCCAUGAACUGCAGUGACCAUCUUAACUGACUCGGUCCACACUUGCUUGUUCCUGUUCCUCCUGUUGGUCCUCUUCCUUGAUUCAUGUCUGGAGUUAUCUGGAAUUUGUGUAGUCUUGUUCUUGAAGGAAAAUGUCUCCUUUCUCCCUUUGAUGUAGAAACUGAUCUUGGCAGCACUGGCGUAGAUGACAGCUCCCGAGGUGUUCAAGAAUGGCCUCCCUAAGAUGAUGGGUGCUCUCUCAUCAUUACCGGUCUCUAUCACCACGAAGUCUGCUGGGGCAUACAAGGUACCAACUCGGACACAAAGGUUGUUCAGUAUUCCUUUUGGAAAACUUAUCGUCUGAUCUGCAAACUGCAAACACAUGCCGAUGGAGAUCGGAUGACGGGGCGUCCUGGAUCGCCUCUCUUGACCGGCAGAAGGUCAGUAGAGAAUUCAGUGACUGGGUUACUCCAAUUACCUGCAUCAAACAUGUCUACAAGAUUUGCAGAUUCUAAUCCUUUCGGUUGUGAUGGUAUAUCGGGGUUAGUAAUAGGAACAGCAGCAGCUAUUUGAUUUAACUGAGAUUCAAUCAUUUUAUUAAAGCUAAUUUGAUUCUUCAUGGCAGUAGAGAAAUUAUCCAUUCUAUUAUUUAUAUUUUCUAGCAUUUUAUCAUUAGAUGCCAAUUUCUUAGAUAGGUUAUCCACUAGCUUUCCUUGAUUAGACAAUAACUCUCUCAAAGGUGGAAAAUUAUUAGUAUUGUUAUAGGAAUUAUUACCUUGAUAAUUACCUGAGUAGUUAGGCCUUUGUUGAUUCCAACCUUGAUUUUGUUGAGGACGGUUGUAGUAGUUGUUGUUGUUAUUGUUGAUGUAGUUCACAUCCUCAAGUAUGUCAGGACAGUGAUUGCCUGAGUGUCCAGUGUCUCCACACUCCUCACAAGUCAUGUGAGAGUCGUAGAUGUGCAUAACUUCUUUCUUAUCUCCAGCUCUAUCAUCGAGCUUCUUCAUGAGCAGGUCUAGCUUUGCAGACAACAUGUCUACCUCCUUGAGCUGAUGCAUACCUCCACCUCUCUUGCGUGUCUGGGUUCUCUCUUCAUUCCAACUUUGGUUGGAUGCCAUCUUCUCCAUAAGAGCUAUGGCUUGUGAUAUGGUAAGUGAUAAGAAUGCUCCUCUAGCUGCAGCAUCCAUGGUCUCUCGGGCACUGUUGCCGAGCCCAUGAUAAAACGUCUGCAUCAAUAGCCAACUCUCCAUUCCAUGAUGAGGACAUUCUAGGAUAUAGUCUUGAAAGCGCUCCCAUACUUCUCGAACAGAUUCAUCAUUUUGUUGCUGAAAACUUGUAAUCUUCCCACGGAGAGCAUUGGUCUUGCCCAUGGGAAAGAACUUAGCUAGGAAGUUUGUUGAGCAGAGUGCCCACGUAGUAUUCUCCUCCUUUGUAGCGUAGAACCACUGCUUCGCUCUUCCUAACAGUGAGAAUGGGAAGAGGCGAAGUAGUAUAGCAUCUCUGGGGACUCCUGAUAUGGUGAAUGUGCUGCAUAUCUCCAGGAAGUGUUGGAGAUGAGCACUAGCAUCUUCGUGUGCAUUCCCACAGAACUGGUUGGAUUGCACCAUGUUGAUAAGUCCAGGCUUGAGCUCAAAGUUGACGUCGAUCUCUGCAGCAGGUCCAGUGCGGAUGUUGUCUGUAGUGGGAGCUCAGAACUCGCGGAUUGAUUUGUUCGCCAUGGCUUCGAACUCUGAAGACAAGUUCUGGUGAUCUUCUUGAUUGGAUGAAGCUUCUUGCUAAAGUGUUGAUGAUCUCUUCUUGAGCUUGGCUCUUGUUUUUCUGAAUAAUGCUUCGGGAUUGUCAACAAAAUUUCCUAGAAGAUGUCUUCUAUUCAUACAUUACCCUGCAUAAGAUAAAAUAGAAAAAUAUCAGGGUAAAACUGUAUGAGAGAAUAGAUAAGCUCAAUAAUAUUAGUGAUGCGAAUGAUAACUCAAAAUCUAUAUCCAUUCUUGAUUAGUAAUCAACCUUCCCCGGCAACGGCGCCAAAAAUGCUUGUUGGGUAUUCUUAACAUCAUUACCAAAAGUAGACAGUUUUGUAAUUCUAGUAACGGUGCCAAAAAUGCCAAACCUAUCCCUCAUACCACUUAAGCCAAGUUGUCAUCCCUAGCAUGACAUGAGAGACACGGUAUUGAAAUAUGCAAUUGCUCUUCUAAAUAAAUAAUGAAUGGGAUCUGCAAGCGCACAGAUUAAUACCGAUGUAGCAUUUUAACCGGGAAGUAUUUCAGGUAUCAUUAUUUAUAUUUUUACCACUAGGAAGGGAUUAACAAUCAUCAAUAUUGAUUACAGAAUAGAAUAUGAGAUUGAGUAUCUAUCAUUGCAUGUAUAAUUGAGAACAUUUAUAUAAUUCUUUCAUACAGGGAUAAGUGUCACAUAAAAGAUAUAUGAAGUAAUGAAUAGUGACAAAGAUAAUUAAUUUGAUCAGCAUAACUUAGCCACAUAUAAAUAUGAUAAGCACCUCAAUUAGAUACUCUAGAAAGUCAUUAGCAUGGAAUUAGAACCAACUACAAGAAUAUUUCCUAAGUUAGUCUCAACUAUAUAGUCUAGCAUUAUCAUAGUUAGUGCAAGCAUACUUAGCAAUCAUUGCAAGACAAGACUACGCCCAUGCAUAGUGAUAUUAGCAAGGUAAAUGAGAAACAUAGCAAUCACUCCCCUAUUAUAAUGUUGCUCUGCCAACCCAAUACACGAGAGGGGGACUAUAUAACAAUCAAUAAAGCUGUCACUAUCACGAACUACCCCACGAUUUGGCAUAUUGGGUACAAUCGUAGAUAAAUACGGUAUAAGCACCACGCCUACACAAUAUCUGUCAUUUACCCAUGGAUCCGAUGGAUAAACGCUAUACGAUCCUAAGCAUGUAUAUUGAUCCAAUCUAACUAAGCUAAGUACAUAACUAUGAUAAACCAAGAACAAUGUAAUCUUGAAUAUAAGCAAGUAGAGCAAAGUCAUAAGCAAUAUAUUGAAAUAGAACAAAGUCAUAUUCAUAAUAUUGAAGAACAAAGAUGAUUAGAAGAACAAUUAGAAGCAUAAUUAGAGAAUUACCAAGAAUCCUCCUGACAGAUCCGGAAACCAAUCGAAGAUUGACUCCUUCUAGUUCUAAUCCUAUGUAGCUAUGCUAAUCUAGAUGUCUAAUUGAUGUGGUGGCUCUAAUCUUGAUCAGAGGCUUCUUCUCCCUUGAGGAAUAACGAAUUAGGGUUUAGAGGCUCUCUCCUCUAGGGGCCAGGGGGUCUGGUUUUAUAGUCCCUUCAAGUGAAUAUGGGUCGUUGGAUCAAACCGACAUAGAUUGAACGGUUAUCCUUGAUCCUUUAUGUCGGUGGAGAUCUUUCCCGAAAGGGUAUCCUGAUUGGACUACUACAGGUGGCGGGCGCCCAGGGCAAUUGGGCGGGCGCCCAGUGCCUGGCCCCGUUCGGCCUCUGCUUCCUUCUCGUGGCUUCUGGAGUCUUCUAGAUGUAAGAUAAUUGCGCGGCACGUUAAUAUCUCUAUGUAAUCCCGACGUGUGGGCCUUUCUUCCGUAUUUCCUGAUAACCCCCUACAGAAAUAGACAAACACCAAAACUCGUGGAAUUCUGUCAGAUAAAACCCUAAGUCUAGAUGUUGAUUUCAUUUUGAUCCUUUUCUUUGUUUAUUUGAUAAUUAAAUUUGGUACUUAAGGACCGUCAACACCUACAGACUACUCUACAGACCUACUGCUCGGGCUGAUCACCCGCAUGGCUCGCUUCUCCCGCCGAAGGCGUCAGGGCCACCGGCGCCUGGCUGGUUGAGACUGCAGGCGUCGACCGCCCAUAUCCGGCAAUCGAUGCCCCCGACAAGUCCCUGGCCGACCUGUCUGAUCCCGGCUGAUCGGGGGGAGUUGAUGUCCCGCAGAGAUUUAUAUCGCUGAUCAUUGUCGACGAUAGGUCCAGCAGAUUGACGCGAAGGUCAUCCGCCUCCCUUGGACCAACUCAUUUGGAUAUCCCCGCUCAAGCCGGAACAAAUCAACCAGGGGUAGUGGGCGCGUACCAUGCUGAGGACGUGCGCUCAGGCAAACUCACCAGCAUCCUUAACAAAUUCCUGAAGCCAGCCCCACGCGUGCGGCGCCUUUUCGACUAGGGUUAGCUUCAGCGCGCGGGGCUGGUCCUCGGGGAGCUCGGGACUAAUCAGGUCAAGUACCGGAGCUACUCCUUUCCAGAUCAUGAUGCAGUUGGUCUUCCAGGAGUCCCGUUCCUUGACCAGCUCGUCCAGGUGCUUCUUAGUGUUGACUUUGAGCACUACGAUUGAGUUUUCAAGAAAAACCAAGCAAACAGUCAGUUUAAACAAGAGGAAAAGAAAACCGCGUGGUCGAAAAGGGCGAAACGGUUCUUACCAGCCAGCUCCCGACUCUUGUUCCUCAGCUCCUCGCCAGCCUUCCGCUUGGUAUCCAGCGCACCGGCACGCUCCUUCUCGUGAUCAUUAUCGGCUAGUCGCCGAUUCAGAUCCAGCAGGCGUUCUUCCUGAGCUGCCUUCUCAGCCGCCUCCUUCUCGGCCUCCAACUGAAGGCGGUCCACCUCAUCGGUCAGGGCCUUGUUCUCGGCAACUAUACCCUCAAUUUGGUCGAAGCACCUCUUCCGGUACUUCGCCAUUUUCAUUGCACCCUACAAGAAAUAUACAUGUCAUACAGUGAACAAGCAACAGUACACACAUAUUCUGGCAGAAUACUAGACCACUUACCUUAACUUCGUCAACGAGCCGCUUAGCAGCGCGCUCUACCCUCGCCGCCUCCUCAGUCUCGGCGAGCUCUUCGUGGCCGGCCCUGUGGUCCCCACCCUGGCGCCACACAUAAACGUGUUGGCGACCAUCGCAGGGACGCCCCUGGAUCUCCUCCACUUCAUCAUUAGAGGCCGCUUCGGCCUCGAUGCCCUCCCCGCUACCCCCGGCCAUGGUAACAGGUAUCAUCGGACCAUUACCCCGGUUAUGGGAGCCCUCUGGCGUGCAAGCAUCUGCCGGGACUGGAGUUGGGGCCCUCUCUGCUUCAGUAGGAGGGGGGGUCGGGACCUUGUCUCCCUCCUCCGCAACACUGCUUGGGGGAGGCAUCCUUUCCGUCUCAUCAGCCCUUGUCGGGGUCCUCGCCCCAGCCUUGUCUCAAGCCGGGUCCUCCUCGGUGGUCUCCGUCACGGACACAGCCGCAGGCUGCUCCACGGGCCGCUCACAAGCAGUCUGCCCGGCGGCAUCCUUGUCAGCAACGGCCGGCUCGGUUGUUCUCAAGCCGCCAAUGUUGCUCGGAUCAACGUCCGAGGCCGCACUAACAAGAAAGAGCCGAUGCAAAUUCCCAUAACAACAGUAUACUUUGUAAAAACAAAGAAAGUGCAGAAGACAUGUUUUAGAACUCAAAGGUCGGAGCUCCUGUGCGUCGCCGCGAAGAACCUUCUCCUGGUCCUCCCAGCUGCCGCUGCUGCUUCUGCCCCUCCAAGUCGUAUUGGCUCGGUGUGCAGGCUAGGAGGAUCACUGGUUACCUGACCAGCGUCAAUCGGUGCGACGUCAGGGCGGCUGGGCGGUCUUCGGACCAAAGAUGGCGCAGCCUCGUCCUCUUCAUCCUCGUCAUCGGCGAUCCUGAUGAGCCAACGACACUUCGGGGCUUGGCUGGUCUCCGUCGGCAUUGCCUCCGUGGGGGAUGGCUCCACAGCCAUUGGCCUUUUCCCCGCCACCCUGUCUUCAGUAGUUGGUGCCGGUCGGUUCUGGUCUUCCUCGCUGCUGGUGUGUUGGAGACACCGAGUAGCAUUGUCCGCCGGCGGGUCCACCCCUGCAGGAUGAUCCAUACCGGGUGCCAGCGACACGUACAACGAGCACCGGUCAAUAUCUCCUAUCUGCGAUACAACAGCGACAAGUCAUCAGUCAAAAGUCAUCAGUCAACAGGCAACAGUAUUCACAUAGCAAUACAAAUAAAUAAUGGUAUUCAUUUACCUUAGGAGCUGGUUGGCCCAGCUUGUAGGCAGGCAUCCGGUCAUCACUUCGAACGAAGUUAUCAUCAAUAAGGUUGAAUAACUCGUUCAUCAACCGCUGGACCUCUGCCUUCUCCAAACCGUCCCAGUGCAUCCUGGUCGGGUCUUGGCUUCCUGCGUACUCGUACGCCGAGUGCACCCUCCUCUGGCAGGGCAUUACUCGUCGCACGAGGAAGUUCCCGACCACUCCUAGUCCGUCCAGGCGGGACCAGUCGAUCAGGGUCAUCAUCUCCGACACUUGACCGGUGUACUCAGGCCGAUCUGUCCAGCUGACCAUCUUCUCGGGAAUAUAUCCAACGUUGCAAAAAGUGGCGCUGCCCGGUUCUUCCCUAAUGUAGAAGAACCUCUUGUACCAUUCGAUGAGGGAGGUGUUCGACGGGCAACUGAGGUAACAGUUUUUCAUCCCGUCACGAAGAUUGAGGUAUACUCCAACUGCAAUCUUGGAGCCUCCAACUGCUACCUUCUUCCCCAAGCAGAAUAAAUAACGGAAGAUAUCAAAGUGCGGCUCUAUCCCGACAUAGGCCUCGCACAAAUGUAUAAAAGUGGAAACGAGAAGAAUAGAGUUCGGGUGCAGGUUGCAGAUCCCGAUCUCAUAGUAAAGAAGAAGGCCUUGAAGGAAAGGGUGAACUGGAAUCCCAAAUCCCCUCUUGAAAAAAUCUUUGAAAACUACGAUCUCACCGGCGUGAGGUCGGGGUAGCUUUCCCCUUCCAGUGCUCUCCAGCCACCGAGCUCCUGAUUGUGCAGGAGCCCCAUCCCGACGAGGUCGUUGAGGGAUUUUGUGUUGCUUUGGGACUUCUUCCAUUCCUUGGCCAUCAUCUCGGCCCUCUUCUUGGCGUCGCUCUUCGCCAUUUCCUUCCUGUGGAAAGCUUCGAGCUCAGAUUUGGGGUUUGAAGGGGCUGAGGAAGAUGAAGGCUGGGCAAUAGUAUGUGACUGCUGGGUAAAGAACAAGGGUGCGACCUUGGGCUUUUUAUAACAACAGCCCCACCUCUACCACUUCCCGCAUUCUGGGGAAGUGGGCGGAUCUUGCGGCAGCUGCGGCGUUUCGGUUUUCAAUAGUUAUCACAGUUAUUUUGGUGGCUUUUCUGCAUAAUUGAUGAUUUCCUUUUCUUGGACCGUGCAAAGAGCGGCUACAUAGUUACCAGGCGCAUCUUUUUACGCAACAGCCUGACAAAGUUGCAGGAUACCCCGUCACAUCGCACAUUAAUACGACGAUACGAUUUUUUCAAAAAGAGAAGUAGGACUUUUGGUCAGACAGACAUGAUAUACUUGGUGCCUGUACUGACCACCGAGCAUGACAUGCUCGGGGACUGGUCGAUCGAUCUGCCCAUUCGACAUCUCGGUGACUGUACCGACCACCGAGCAUGACAUGCUCGAGGACUGGUCGAUCGAUCGGCCCAUUCCACUUCUCGGGGACUGUACCGACCACCGAGCAUGACAUGCUCGGGGACUGGUCGAUCGAUCUGCCCAUUCGACAUCUCGGGGACUGUACCGACCACUGAGCAUGACAUGCUCGUGGACUAGUCGGCCAGUCUGCCCAUUCGAUACACUCGGGGACUGUACCGACCACCAAGCAUAAUAUGCUCGGGGACUGGUCGACCAAUCUGUACUCUCGACAACCUGUUGAUUGCACCGACCACCGAGCACGCGAUACUCGGGGGCUGGCUGAUUAGUCUCAUCUUUUGAAAGUCUGGGGAUUGUGCCCAAUCUCGAGCAUGACGCACUUAGGGAUUGGUUAAUCGGUUCUCUCAGACACAAAAAAAAGUGCAACACGAUCUUGGCAUUAAAAAAGCAAAUGCAUAACGGCUGCUCAGAUAAUCCUAAUUUUUUAGACCUUUUUACAAGGCUCAUACUUCGCCUUCCAACAAGCUCGGGACUACAUCGGUACGAUGCAUCUGGUGAUGCAUUUCAGUAUCAGGUUUUCUAUGUGGUUUAUCUUUAGACCCUGGAACCACGUGCCUACGUCACCUAGUACUAGGCUGAGGGACUAAGUGGGCACACUUCACCUUGUGGUGAAUAUGCUCGCUUUUUAAAAGAUUAUACUUUUCAGAAAAGUAAAGUGGGCACACUUCAUCAGGAAAUAAAUCUUUUUUGAUUAAGAGCACCAUGCAUUCUUUGAACAACCUGCUUCUUCGAUGUUAAUGUUGAUCAACUGUCUUUUGAGUUGGUUAAAAUACUAUUGCAACUGUUCGGACGACUUUUCUGCUUAUCGAAGACGUCAAGCCUCACUUGUCGAAGAAGCUCAAGACGGCGUGCUACAUCACAAUACACGGUGCUCGGGGACUAGCUGUGGGGGUAUAAACCCCUAUACCCUUACGGCUAGACUUGGGCCAGGAGGCUUGGCCCAUCACAAGAUAGUUCGAGGCUUGAUCCAAUUGCUCGGAGUUUUGCGCAAGGAAACAAGACGUGGAGAUCAAGUAGGAUUCUAGUCGGUUGGAAUAGGAAUUUAUAUUGUACUAUCUAUGGCAAUUGUAACCGACUAGGAUUAGUUUUCGAAUCUGUAACCCUGCCCUCUGGACUAUAUAAAGAGAGGCAAGGGACCCCCCUAGGACAUAUCAUCUCAACUCAACACAACCCAAUACAAUCAGACGUAGGACAUAGGUAUUACGCCCACACGGCGGUCGAACCUGGAUAAAAACCUUGUCCGUGUCUUGCGUCACCGUCGAGUUCAUAGCUUGCGCACCAUCUACCGAUAAACUACUACCAUGGGUAUACCCCAAGGUAGACUGCCGACUAGCUUUCAUCGACAGAAACCUAGAGCCACUAUAGUUCUUCCACAUAAUUAAAUGAUAGACAUCAAUGAGAUCCAAAUACUGAAAUUAAAGAACCAAAUCGUCACUUGCAUAUAUGAUGAAUAGUAGAAGAACCUACCAUGGGUUCCUCGAGGGAGGGAUGUUGUGCCGCCGCCGGGCCCUGACUCACGUUGUGGUCGUGCAUUCUAGGUGCAGGAGGGAGAUCGGGACGCCUCGGCGCCGCUACCGCCACCGCCGUAUUGACAUUGCAUCGUCGUAUCCCUAGCGUCGUUUGGCUCGGCUUGCGCACGAACCUACCCCUACUUAUCGCGCGGCUGCUGGUUGGAGUGGUGCUUUGAUGGCGGCGAGGCUAGUGCAGCAGGGGAGCGGGAAGGUGCAGCAGGGGAGUGGGGAGGCUAGUGGUUGCUGUGGGUUUUGCAAGCGCUGGCCAUUUCGCCAAUGGAGAGGUUGCGCUCUUUGCGGGCGAGACGAGAGCGAAACGAGGAGGAAGUCGAUGGGAUAGUUUGGGGUCAGUGGACAUGAAUACCUGUUUUCAUGGUAGUAUUUACGUGUGGGCUCGACCAUCAAUAGUCCCUGGUGUUAUUUGAAAGUUGUGCUACACAUCCCUUAUAUGUCUAUGUACAUGUACCUCAUUGCACGCCUAGAACAUGUGGGAGAGAUGAGGCCCUCUACGAGCACGUGCAUGACCACUUUCUGAGAAUUGACUCAAACUUUUUUCUCAACACUAUACAGCUAAAUUAUGUGACCAUGCAAGUUUUAGAUUUUUCUAAGCACCUCAGGCAUUUUUCCAUUUUUUCAUUAGAAAAUCAACAAAUAAUUACAAAAAUAGGUAAAAAUAGUCCAAAAAUUGCCUAGGUGCACACAACAUCAUCCCUCACCUACACAAACAUCCUAAAAAAGUUUCAAGUGGUUUGGUGAAAGUUGUGCUACACAUCCCUUAUAUGCCUAUGUACCUCAUUGCAGAGUGACUAGGACAUGUGGGAGGGAUGAGGGCCUCUGCGAGCACGUGCAUGACCACUUUCUCAGAAUUGACUGAAACUUUUUUCUGAACACUACACAGAUAAAUUAUAUGACCAUGCAAGUUUUUAGAUUUUUCUAGGUACCUCAGACAUUUUUUCCAUUUUUUUCUUUAGAAAAUCAACAGAUAAUUUCAUAAAUAGGUAAUCUUUGUCCAAAAAUUGCCUAGGUGCACACAACAUCAUCCCUCACCUACAUAAACAUCCUCAAAAAGUUUCAAGUGGUUUGGUGAAAGUUGUGCUACACAUCGCUUAUAUGCCUACGUACCACAUUGCAUAGUGACUAGGACAUGUGGGAGAGAUGAGGUCCGCUGCGAGCACGUCCAUGACCACUUUCUCAGAAUUGACUGAAACUUUUUCCUCAACACUACACAGCUAAAUUACGUGACCAUGCAAGUUUUUCGAUUUUUCUAGGCAACUCAGGCAUUUUUUUCAUUUUUUCUUUAGAAAAUCAACAAAUAAUUAUAGAAAUAGGUAAAAUUUGUCCAAAAAUUGCCUAGGUGAACACAACAUCAUCCCUCACCUACAUAAACAUCUUAAAAAAGUUUCAAGUGGUUUGGUGAAAGUUGUGCUACACAUCCCUUAUAUACUUAUGUACCUCAUUGCAUAGUGACUAGGACAUGUGGGAAUGAUGAGGGCCUCUGCGAUCACGUGCAUGACCACUCUCUCAGAAUUGACUGAAACUUUUUCUUCAAAACUACACAGCUAAUUUAUGUGUCCAUGCAAGUUAUUAGAUUUUUCUAGGCACCUGAGGCAUUUUUUCCAUUUUUUCUUUAGAAAAUCAAAAAAUAAUUAUAGAAAUAGGUCCAAAAAUUGCCUAGGUGCACACAACAUCAUCCCUCACUUACAUAAACAUCCUAAAAAAGUUUCAAGCGGUUUGGUGAAAGUCUUGCUACACAUCCCUUAUAUGCCUACGUACCUCAUUGCAUAGUGACUCGGACAUGUGGGAGAGAUGAGGGCCUCUGCAAGCACGUGCAUGACCACUCUCUCAGAAUUGACUGAAACUUUUUCCUCAACGCUACAGAGAUAAAUUAUGUGAUCAUGCAAGUUUAUAGAUUUUUCUAGGCACCUGAGAUAUUUUUUCCGUUUUUUUCUUUAGAAAAUCAACAAAUAAUUACAUAAAUAGAUAAAUUUGUCCAAAAAUUGUCUAGGUGCACACAACAUCAUCCCUCACCUACAUAAACAUCCUCAAAAAGUUUCAAGUGGUUUGGUAAAGGUUGUGCUACGCAUCCCUUAUAUGCCUAUGUACCUCAUUGCAAAGUGACUAGGACAUGUGGCAGAGAUGAGGGCCUCUGCGAGCAUGUGCAUGACCACUCUCUCAGAAUUGACUGAAACUUUUUCCUCAACACUACACAACUUAAUUAUGUGUCCAUACAAGUUUUUAGAGUUUUCUAGGCAGCUCAGGCAUUUUUUCCUUUUUUCUUUAGAAAAUCAACAAAUAAUUACAUAAAUCGGUAAAAUUUGUCCAAAAAUUGCCUAUGUGCACACAACAUCAUCCCUCACCUACAUAAACAUCCUCAAAAAGUUUCAAGUGGUUUGGUGAAAGUUGUGCUACACAUCCCUUAUAUGCCUAUGUACCUCAUUGCAUAGUGACUAGGAGAUGUGGGAGAGAUGAGGGCCUCUGCGAGCACGUGCAUGACCACUCUCUCAGAAUUGACUGACACUUUUUCCUCAACACUACAUAGCUAAAUUAUGUGUCCAUGCAAGUUUUUAGAUUUUUUUAGGCAGCUUAAGCAUUUUUUCCAUUUUUUUCUUUACAAAAUCAACAAAUAAUUACAGAAAUAGGUAAAAUUUGUCCAAAAAUUGCCUAGGUGCACAGAACAUCAUCCCUCACCUACAUAAACAUCCUAAAAAAUUUCAAGUGGUUUGGUGAAAGUUGUGCUACACAUCCCUUAUAUGCAUAUGUACCAUAUUGCAUAGUGACUAGGACAUGUGGGAGAGAUGGGGGCCUCUGCGAGCACGUGCAUGACCACUCUCUCAGAAUUGACUAAACCUUUUUCUUCAACACUACACGGCUAAAUUAUGUGUCCAUGUAAGUUUUUAGAUUUUUCUAGGCACCUCUGGCAUUUUUUCCAUUUUUUUUAUAGAAAAUAAACAAAUAAUUACAGAAAUAGGUAAAAUUUGUCCAAAAAUUGCCUAGGUGCACAAAACAUCAUCCCUCACCUACAUAUACAUCCUAAAAAUUGUUCAAGUGGUUUGGUGAAAGUUGUGCUACACAUCCCUUAUAUGCCUACGUACCUCAUUGCAUAGUGACAAGGAUAUGUGGGAGAGAUGAGGUCCGCUGCGAGCACGUGCAUGACCACUUUCUCAGAACUGACUGAAACUUUUUCCUCAACACUACACAGCUAAAUUACGUGACCAUGCAAGUUUUUCGAUUUUUCUAGGCAACUCAGGCAUUUUUUCUAUUUUUCUUUAGAAAAUCAACAAAUAAUUACAGAAAUAGGUAAAAUUUAUCCAAAAUUUGCCUAGGUGCACACAACAUCAUCCCUCACCUACAUAAACAUCUUAAAAAAGUUUCAAGUGGUUUGGUGAAAGUUGUGCUACACAUCCCUUAUAUACUUAUGUACCUCAUUGCAUAGUGACUAGGACAUGUGCGAAUGAUGAGGGCCUCUGCGAUCACGUGCAUGACCACUCUCUCAGAAUUGACUGAAACUUUUUCUUCAAAACUACACGGCUAAUUUAUGUGUCCAUGCAAGUUAUUAGAUUUUUCUAGGCACCUGAGGCAUUUUUUCCAUUUUUUCUUUAGAAAAUCAACAAAUAAUUAUACAAAUAGGUCCAAAAAUUGCCUAGGUGCACACAACAUCAUCCCUCACUUACAUAAACAUCCUAAAAAAGUUUCAAGCGGUUUGGUGAAAGUCUUGCUACACAUCCCUUAUAUGCCUACGUACCUCAUUGCAUAGUGACUCGGACAUGUGGGAGAGAUGAGGGCCUCUGCAAGCACGUGCAUGACCACUCUCUCAGAAUUGACUGAAACUUUUUCCUCAACGCUACAUAGAUAAAUUAUGUGAUCAUGCAAGUUUAUAGAUUUUUCUAGGCACCUGAGAUAUUUUUUCUGUUUUUUUCUUUAGAAAAUCAACAAAUAAUUACUUAAAUAGUUAAAAUUUGUCCAAAAUUUGUCUAGGUGCACACAACAUCAUCCCUCACCUACAUAAACAUCCUCAAAAAGUUUCAAGUGGUUUGGUAAAGGUUGUGCUACGCAUCCCUUAUAUGCCUAUGUACCUCAUUGCAAAGUGACUAGGACAUGUGGCAGAGAUGAGGGCCUCUGCGAGCAUGUGCAUGACCACUCUCUCAGAAUUGACUGAAACUUUUUCCUCAACACUACACAGCUUAAUUAUGUGUCCAUACAAGUUUUUAGAGUUUUCUAGGCAGCUCAGGCAUUUUUUCCAUUUUUUCUUUAGAAAAUCAACAAAUAAUUACAUAAAUCGGUAAAAUUUGUCCAAAAAUUGCCUAGGUGCACACAACAUCAUCCCUCACCUACAUAAACAUCCUCAAAAAGUUUCAAGUGGUUUGGUGAAAGUUGUGCUACACAUCCCUUAUAUGCCUAUGUACCUCAUUGCAUAGUGACUAGGAGAUGUGGGAGAGAUGAGAGCCUCUGCGAGCACGUGCAUGACUACUCUCUUAGAAUUGACUGACACUUUUUCCUCAACACUACAUAGCUAAAUUAUGUGUCCAUGCAAGUUUUUAGAUUUUUCUAGGCAGCUUAGGCAUUUUUUCCAUUUUUUUCUUUAGAAAAUCAACAAAUAACUACAGAAAUAGGUAAAAUUUGUCCAAAAGUUGCCUAGGCGCACAGAACAUCAUCCCUCACCUACAUAAACAUCCUAAAAAAUUUCAAGUGCUUUGGUGAAAGUUGUGCUACACAUCCCUUAUAUGCAUAUGUACCAUAUUGCACAGUGACUAGGACAUGUGGGAGAGAUGGGGGCCUCUGCGAGCACGUACAUGACCACUCUCUCAGAAUUGACUAAACCUUUUUCUUCAACACUACACAGCUAAAUUAUGUGUCCAUGUAAGUUUUUAGAUUUUUCUAGGCACCUCAGGCAUUUUUUCCAUUUUUUCUACAGAAAAUAAACAAAUAAUUACAGAAAUAGGUAAAAUUUGUCCAAAAAUUGCCUAGGUGCACAAAACAUCAUCCCUCACCUACAUAUACAUCCUAAAAAUUGUUCAAGUGAUUUGGUGAAAGUUGUGCUACACAUCCCUUAUAUGCCUACGUACCUCAUUGCAUAGUGACUAGGAUAUGUGGGAGAGAUGAGGUCCGCUGCGAGCACGUGCAUUACCACUUUCUCAGAACUGACUGAAACUUUUUCCUCAACACUACACAGCUAAAUUACGUGACCAUGCAAGUUUUUCGAUUUUUCUAGGCAACUCAGGCAUUUUUUCUAUUUUUUCUUUAGAAAAUCAACAAAUAAUUAAAGAAAUAGGUAAAAUUUAUCCAAAAAUUGCCUAGGUGCACACAACAUCAUCCCUCACCUACAUAAACAUCUUAAAAAAGUUUCAAGUGGUUUGGUGAAAGUUGUGCUACACAUCCCUUAUAUGCUUAUGUACCUCAUUGCAUAGUGACUAGGACAUGUGGGAAUGAUGAGGGCCUCUGCGAUCACGUGCAUGACCACUCUCUCAGAAUUGACUGAAACUUUUUCUUCAAAACUACACAGCUAAAUUAUGUGCCCAUGCAAGUUAUUAGAUUUUUCUAGGCACCUGAGGCAUUUUUUCCAUUUUUUUCUUUAGAAAAUCAACAAAUAAUUAUAAAAAUAGGUCCAAAAAUUGCCUAGGUGCACACAACAUCAUCCCUCACUUACAUAAACAUCCUAAAAAAGUUUCAAGCGGUUUGGUGAAAGUCUUGCGACACAUCCCUUAUAUGCCUACGUACCUCAUUGCAUAGUGACUAGGACAUGUGGAAGAGAUGAGGGCCUCUGCGAGCACGUGCAUGACCACUUUCUCAUAAUUGACUAAAACUUUUUCCUCAACACUAGACAGCUAAACUAUGUGAGCAUGCAAGUUUUUAGAUUUUUCUAGGCAUCUCAGUCAUUUUUUCCAUUUUUUCUUUAGAAAAUCAACAAAUAAUUACAGAAAUAGGUAAAAUUUGUCCAAAAAUUGCCUAGGUGCACACAACAUCAUCCCUCACCUACAUAAACAUCCUAAAAAAGUUUCAAGUUGUUUAGUGAAAGUUGUGCUACAUAUCCUUUAUAUGCCUAUGUACCUCAUUGCAUAGUGACCAGGACAUAUGGGAGACAUCAGGGCCUCUACGAGCACGUGCAUGACCACUUUCUUAGAAUUGACUGAAACUUUUUCCUCAACACUACACAGAUAAAUUAUAUGACCAUGCAAGUUUUUAGAUUUUUCUAGGCACCUCAGACAUUUUUUUCCAUUUUUUUCUUUAGAAAAUCAACAAAUAAUUACAGAAAUAGGUAAAAUUUGUCCAAAAAUUGCAGAGGGGCACACAACAUCAUCCCUCACCUACAUAGUCAUCCUAAAAAAGUUUCAAGUGGUUUGGUGAAAGUUGUGCUACACAUCUUAUACUCUUAUAAAGCUAAACCCCACUAGAGAUUUCUCUCAACAUGCAAGCUAUUCACAUCAACAAUCCACUAAAAUUUGCAAUUAUAUCCAACUAGCACAUGUAAUUAUGAUAGUCAUCUCUUUAUCUACUAACAUACAUUUAGCUGUUCAUAUUGAUGUGUCAAAUCAUUCAACAAAAUUAAUUUAAGAUAAUUUCAUUCAUAUAAAUAUAAAUAUAAAUAGUCUAAUUUAUUUUUAAAUUAUCUGAAAUUCCUGUAGCAACGCGUGGGGUAUUCUCCAAGUUCCUUAUAUGCUUAUGUACCUCAUUGCCCAAUGACUAGGACAUGUGUGAGAGAUGAGGGCCUCUGCGAGCACGUGCAUGACCACUUUCUCAGAAUUGACUAAAACUUUUUCCUCAACACUACACAGCUAAAUUAUAUGAGGAUGCAAGUUUUUAGAUUUUUCUAGACACCUCAGGCGUUUUUUCCAUUUUUUUAUGUAGAAAAUCAACAAAAAAUUAUAGAAAUAAGUAAAGUUUGUCCAAAAAUUGCCUUGGUGCACACAACAUCAUCCCUCACCUACAUAAACAUCCUAAAAAAGUUUCAAGUGGUUUGGUGAAAGUUGUGCUACACAUCCCUUAUAUGUCUAUGUACCUCAUUGCAUAGUGACUAGAACAUGUGGGAGAGAUGAGGGCCUCUGCGAGCACGUGCAUGACCACUUUCUCAGAAUUGACUAAAACUUUUUCCUCAACAAUACACAGCAAAAUUAAGUGACCAUGCAAGUUUUUAGAUUUUUCUAGGCACCUCAAGCAUUUUUUCCAUUUUUACUUUAGAAAAUCAACAAAUAAUUACAAAAAUAGGUAAAAUUUGUCCAAAAAUUACCUAGGUGCACACAACAUCAUCCCUCAUAUACAUAAACAUCCUAAAAAAGUUUCAAGUGGUUUGGUGAAAGUUGUGCUACACAUCCCUUAUAUGCCUAUGUACCUCAUUGCAUAGUGACUAGGACAUGUGGGAGAGAUGAGGGCCUCUGUGAGCACGUGCAUGACUAGUUUGUCAAAAUUGACUGAAACUUUUUCCUCAACACUACACAGCUAAAUUAUGUGAGCAUGCAAGUUUUUAGAUUUUUCUAGGCACCUCAGGCUUUUUUUCCAUUUUUUCUUUAGAAAAUCAAAAAAUAAUUAUAGAAAUAGGUAAAAUUUGUCCAAAAAUUGCCUUGGUGCACACAACAUCAUCCCUCACCUACAUAAGCACCCUAAAAAAGUUUUAAGUGGUUUGGUGAAAGUUGUCCAACACAUCCCUUAUAUGUCUAUGUACCUCAACUCAUUGCAUAGUGACUUGGGCGUUGGAAAGAUGAGGGCCGCUGCGAGUGUUGACGGUCCUUAAGUACUAAAAUUAAUAAUCAAAUAAACAUGAAAAAGGAUCAAUAUGAAACAAACAUCUAGAAUUAGGGUUUUAUCUGACAGAAUUCCACGAGCUUUGGUGUUUAUCUAUUUUUGCAGGGAGUUAUCAGAAAAUAUGGAAAGAAGGCCCACAUGUCAUGUUUACAACGAGAUAAUUACGUGCCGCGCAAUUUUCCUCAAUCUAGAAGGAUCCAGAAGCCACGGGAACGAACGAGAAGCGAAUCGGGCUCGGGAGCUGGGCGCCCGCCCUGGCCAAGAGGCCAAUCAGGACUCUGCUUCGGGACAAGACUCCACCGACCUAAAGGAUCAAUCUAAACCAUACAAUCUAUGUCGGUUUGAUCCAAUGGCUCACGUUCACUUGAGGGGACUAUAAAACCAGACCCCCUGGCCCCUGGAGGAGAGGAGGAGAAAUCAUUAUUCAGAGGUAGCCAUAAAAAGUUAGGGUUUAGAUCUCUCUCCCACAGAGAAUUAGAAUUAGCUACUCCCUAAUCCUUCAAGUUUAGAGGUUGAUUAGAUAGCAAUUAGAGAAGUAGAGCACUACGCUCUGGAUUCGGAUCUUCGGUAAUAAAGAUUGGUAUUAUUCAUAUCUUUCUCUAAUUCUAUUGUUCUAAUUGCAUUGUGUCUCUAAUUAUUAUGCUCUUAGUUUGCUCUAGUUCUAUAUUUGAUAUAGUUCUAAUUGAUAAUGAGUUUAUGUAUAAGUUUGCAAAGCGCUUAGCUCUUGACGCGAGGGAGUUAGGUGACAGAUCACAUGUGAGCGUGGUGCUUAGAUGUUAUUUAUCUGCAAAUGUAUCCUAUUGGCCGAGUCGUGUGGUAGUUCGCGAUAGUGACAGCUUCGUUGAUUCUUAUAUAGUCCACCCUCCGUUGAUAGGACAGGCAGAACCGGUAUUGUGGAGUAAGUCAUGCGAUGUUCUCAUUUACUUUAUCAAUGUUCCUUAUACAUGAAUGAAGAGUCUUUUAUGCUAUAUAUGAUCUUGUAGAUAACUAGAGUAGAUUAUGACUUAGUAGUUAGUAGAUAACUUAGAAUCCAUUCUCUAGCUAAUCCGACAUCACCUACAUAUAUGAGGAGUAGUCUAUUUUCUAAUCGCUGUGCUAUUUAUCCCAUGAACUUAUACUUUAUUAUCAUUAUCUUUAUGGUUUACCCCCUGCUAAAGUAUGUGACUGUGUGACGAGUUUCUUAUUAGUAAUCAUGUUCUUGCAAGUUUAUCUCUAGUCUAUGCCUUGAUAGAUUUUGUCCCUUGAUUUAAUUCCAUCUCCUUAGAUCCCUAGAGCAAAAUUAUAAAUAACGAUACCUGUAAUACUUAUCCUGGUGAAAUGCUACAAUGAGGUGUUUUAUCUGUGCGCUUGCGGAUAGAAUGGAUUAUUUUCUAAAGAGCCUUUACAUUUAUAAAUACUUUUGUACACUCUGGCGCCAUGCUAGGGAUGACAACCUAGUAUCUAAGUGGUGUUAGCUAGUGUUAACAAGCAUUUCUGGCGCCGUUGCCGGGGAACUUAUAGGAAUUAUACGAAUCUCAGGAAUAAGUCAUAAAAGGGAACAAAAGGGUAAUAUUAAGGAAGCCAGAAAAUCAGUCAAGGUUAUUCAUAUAAAAUAUUAGACUAGACUAUAGAGAAAUAAUUGCAUAAAACAGCUACUAAGUGAGAAAUCAUAACAAGGCACCUCUGCUUUGGCAGGUUCACCCUGUUGUUUUUCUAUGUUUAUAUUUUUAUACAGGGUAUAACAGGAUUGACUUUGGGUACAUUCAACUCUUCAUCAUCAGAACCAAAGCAAUCAAGAGAAGAAGAAGCUAGCUACCAAUUGUUGAAGCUAUGGCACACAAGACCUUGCAAGAAUUCUCUGCUCCAAGUCUUGAGAACAUUCCAACUGGUCCAAGAUUUGCAGUAGAAGAAGGAAUACCCGAGUUUGAGCUCAAGUCAAGCCUCAUCAAUUUGGUACAAGCUACACAAUUCAGUGGAAAUGCACAUGAAGAUGCCAGUGCACACUUGCAGAAUUUCUUAGAAAUUGGAAGCACAAUCCACAUCAACGGAGUUGACAAAGACGUCAUACUACUUCGCCUUUUUCCAUUCUCACUAGAAGGGAAAGCGAGGAAGUGGUUCUACACUCAUCAAGAUAACAUCAACAACUGGACGAAGUUGUCAGAUGCCUUUCUAUCAAAGUUUUUCCCUAUAGGCAAAACAACUGCCUUAAGAGGAAAUAUUGUCAGUUUCCAACAGCAGAAGACAGAAGCCAUUGCAGAAGCAUGGGAGCGUUUUCAAGGAUACAUAUCAGAUUGUCCUCACCAUGGAAUGGCUACAUGGUUACUUAUGCAGACCUUCUAUCAUGGAUUAACCCAUAAGACUCGUGAGUGCCUAGAUGCAUCUGCUAAAGGAUCAUUCUUGGAGCUUACAACUAGAAAAGCAGAGAUACUUUUGGAUAAGAUAGCAGAAAACCAAUGUUGGUUCCAAGAUAAAGCUCAACAAUGUCAUCAAACUGAAGAAAUACCAGAAGAAGUAAAUGCACUAUCAACUAAGAUGGAAAAUUUGCUCCAUUGGAUUGACCAGAGGGCCAAGUUCAAAGAAGAUCAAAGGGCCAUUGAGACAGCAUACAAAUAUCAACCAACUUCGAGUCAACCCAAUAGCAAAGGUAAAGAAUAUAACUACUAGAGGAGGCAAAGCCACCAGAGAUCCACCAUACCCAAAAGAGAAACAAAGAACAUCAGCACCAGUGCAACCAGCAGUGAUAGAAGAAGAAAGCCCAGUUGAAGCAGAAGAUCUGCUACAACUACCAAGAAAUGGAGAAAUGAGGAAAGAUUUUUACGACACCAACUAUUUGCCAUUUCCCAGAAGAAACAGAGGAUUGCAGUCGGAUGAGCAGUUUGGUAAGUUUGUAGAGGUCAUUCAGAAUAUGUCAACAUACCUCUGCUCGAUGCCAUACAGGUACCUACAUAUGCAAAGUACAUCAGAGAUAUUCUUAACAAGAAGAGACCACUGCCCACCACUGGGGUUAUCAAGCUGACAGAAGAAUGUAGUGCGGCCAUCCUCAACAAACCACCAAAGAAGAAGGAAGAUCCAGGAUGCCCCACUAUUGAUUGCUCGAUUGGAAACCAACACUUCAACAAUGCACUUUGUGAUCUCGGAGCAAGUGUCAGUGUGAUGCCAGCAUCAGUCUACAAAAAGCUUGAUCAUGCAACCUUAGAACCAACAUCAAUGUGCCUACAACUAGCGGAUCAAUCGGUUCGACACCCGUUGGGCAUCGCCGAGAACAUUCCAGUCAAGAUCAGAGAUUUCCUGGUGCCAGUAGACUUCGUAGUACUGGACAUGAGUCCUGACUCGAAGGUGUCCAUCAUCCUUGGAAGGCCAUUUCUGAGCACUGCCAAUGCCCACAUUGAUGUCGGGAAGGGAGAAAUCAAGUUCAACAUAAACGGUCAAGAAGAACACUUCACAUUCAAACCCAGACCAGAGAAAGACUCUACACUGAAGGAAGUUCAUGAAGAACCACUGGAGACACCAUCUCCGGAGGAAGGUAACUCACAAGAUUAAAAGAUUUGGAGGUCCAGCUUGGGGGACCUAAAAAUCCCAAACCCUCACCGGGAGGUAAAUCGGUAUUUACCUGCAUUAUUAAGUUUCUCAUAUUUAAAUUCUUGCAUAGUUAAAUCUUGCAUUAGUCAUAUUUAUUCAUAGCAUUAUUAUAAUAAUGAAAAGCCCCAUAUAAAUAAUAUUCAUGGUGUGUAACAACCCAUAUUUAUUAAUUAUUGUGGAGGCACAAAAAUAUUUUCCAUUAUCAUUUUCAAUAAGUUUCAAUUCUCAUAGAUUUUCCUGCAUUAUAUUUAAUUAUAUUGAUCUUCUAGAAGCAUGACCCACACUCCUUGGGUCCCACAUGUCAUACACUUCACCUCACAUACAUCCCAUCACAUAAUUUCAUCCACCAAUAUGUUUCCACUCACUUGACAUCUUUCCACCGUCCAACCACCACCAACACAAUAUUAUUCUGCGUGAGAUCAAAGCAAGGAAGCAAGUGGAGGAGGCACACCCAGGAUGGACACCAGGGGUGGGCGCCCGCCCACCUACCUUGGGCGCCCGCCCUGUCCCCUGCUCAGCCUAUAAAAGGCCACCUCCAGCUCCCCUUCUCUUCACACAAACACUUCAGAAAACCACACAAAUCUCAGUUUCCCGAGAAGGAGCUUUUGUAGAGAGAAAGAGGAGAGUGGAAGGGAAGGUUGGAAUUCUUUUGAGAGAGUGUUUAUCACCUAGCAAGUAGUGAUCCCGUUGUCUAAGCGGAAGUAAAAGUUGUUUAGGGGAGGCUCUACCAAAAUAGAAACUUGUCUUGAACGAUUAACCCCUGGACUACUGAUAUUCCGGACAGCUGACCACUAACAUUUUCUCUCACAUUUUCCACCAGUUGUGUUUUUGCCAACUUUUGUUUGCAGGAUGUUUAAGAAGGUGAAGAAUGCAGGGAAGGCUCUCAAGAACAUUGGUACAAGGAGUUCAUCCCGACACUGCUCACAGCCAUCAGAGAUGAACGUCGAUCCGACACCCACACAAGCUCCAUCAUCUUCAUCAGGUCAGCAAGUUAAGGUCCUUCUCAAGAUAGGAGACCUAGGACUGAAGACCCGAAGAGAGAAGGAGGUCUAUCAGCAAUUGAAGAAUAAAGAUUUCAUUCACACCCCUACUCUCGAUCCAACCCUACUACAAGAAACAGGUAUGGACACUGAAUUUGACUUAAUUUUUUCAGAUGAUGGGUUGGACAAAUUUUUGGAAUAUAACUGAGCUGGGUUCUCGUCUUCUCACCCUCGAAUUUCUUUGCACCUUACAAUACUAUGAGGGGGGAAUUGUUUUUCGGAUGUUUAAACAGGAAAUUAUGUUAUCUUGGAGAGAGCUGAGCGACCAUCUUGGUUUCUCUUCAAGAUGCAUCCUGAACAUUGACUCCGAUUUACCCAACUUUGAGAGACACCAGUUUUGGAGAGAAAUAUCUAGAGAUAAUUUUUAUAGUCAAGCCCGAACCAGUGACAUGGAACACCCCACUCUUAGGAUGUUUCACAAAUGGCUUGGGUACAAUCUUUUCUAUCGUGACGAUAUUAGGAAAGUAAGAGUAGGAGAUUUACAACUUUUAUAUGCUGCUAUUAGUAAAGUACCCACUUCAUCUGUUACACUAUUAGUUUCACAUUGGCUUAGUAUACCUAGUCUGCAGGGACCAGUAGGGUGUACUUCACUUAUCACUCGUCUAGCCUCUAAUCUUCACUUACUAGAAAAUUCAUUGUUAGACUUCAUAGAAGAAUUAAGAAUUUAUCAUGGCUAUGACACAUUUAGACAAGCUCAGAUGUUAAAGAAAGAGGGGAACAUAAUAUAUAUGCUGUAUGAUGAUAAAGGCAAGAUUCGGUUACCUAACCCGAACCUUGGCCUCUACUCUGUGCAAAACUUUUUGAUUGAAAUUGCAGCAACACCAGUGAACCAGAGAACUCCACAGCGAGUGGCAUCUGAAAGGAUAACCACUCACCGAGAACGCACUUGGUAUGGAGCUGACCCUGGACCAGAAGAAGCAGCGCACCUGCAUUAUUGCGAUUACAACCCUCGAGUCUUUCGAGACCCAUGGUCUCGUCAUGCGCAACCACAAGAGCCAACAGAGGAGACAUGGCCGGAGAGACAAGAUCACCAGUGGACAAACCCGCCUUUUCAUACGGGCAGGUACUCCACUGAUCCAUAUGGAGCUUCAGGAUCCAGACCUCCACCCCAAGUUGAUGCAGGACGAUACUCCGAUGCCUCCUUCGCCUUCAUGAAUGACUAUUACCAAGAGGCCGGUGCUUUCUUCACUCGUACCGACAACACCCUCCUCGACAUCCAGAACACGCAAGCAGAACAUGGAAGACUCCUGGAAGAGCAACAAAAAUAGAACCAGGACCAUGCAGCUGCAGUAGAAGAGCCGAGACAAGAUACAACAACAAUGAACGACAACAUCACAACCAUGAUGCGGUUCUGGAACAUCGGGUAAGACCGACGUCAACAUCCAGCUUGGGGGAGUUUCUCCCCAAUUUAUCAAGUAAGUUUCUAUUUGCUCUUCUUAUUUAUUCUAUUCUGUCUUAGUAUUUAAUUUAUCUUAAAAGGAAAAAAACUUAGAAAACCAAAUAAAUAUUUUCUUGCUUUAAUUUACUGCACUUUAUAAACAUGAAAACAAAAUAAAAAGAGUGUGUAGAUAAGUGUGCUUUAUUUACCUGCUAAGUUCAAUCUCUAGAAAAAAAUAAAAAGACCAAAAAUAUGCAUGAUGGAAAUGAUGAACAGUUGCUCUGUUUGCUUACUUUCAAGUACCUAGCUUUUAUAUUAGAAUUCUUCCAGGAAUUACUAAAACUGAAACUUACUAUCUUUGGGAAGCAUAAAACUAAAGUCUAGGUAAGAGAAAGGCAUGAUAUAAAGUUGAGCUACUGUUUAUCUUGUUCCUACUACACUAAGUUCUAGAGAUUUAUUUUGAAAACUUACAAAUCACAUGAUGAGUUCCUAGCAUUGCAAACUACCUACCACAGCCAUACUUGCUAUAACAUCUUUUACUAUAUUCACAUUGAGUUUGAUCGAGCUGUGUUGACCCUUAGGAGCUUUUCAUGUGGUUAAAUUAAGAUAUUCACUUGCACACAUCUACCACAGCAUUCAUCACCAAUCAUUAAAAUUGCUAAAAAUAUAAUCACUCACUGUCCCGAAUAUUGUUAUUCUCUCUCUAAAAAGAUUUAAUGCAGAAGAGGCAUGGGUUAUGCAAAAAUAUACGAGGAAAUAAAAAGGGGCAAGUGCCCGGAACCUCGAAAAAGAAAGAAAAAGAGUGAGACGAGAGGUAAAAAUGGACAAGUGUCCGGAGUAGAAUUAGGGGUACAAAGAUGCCCACUUGAGCGGAAAAAAUGGACAAGUGUCCGACAGUAGAAUUAGGGGUAUCUACUACCCACCUUAAAAAAAAAGAGAGAAGAAGAAAAAGAUAGCCCAUGUUCUCCCAAAGCAAAGAUCAAAGAAGAGGAGAGAUAGCAAUAUAAGGAGCAAUGAGAACUAAAUUUUAUUAUUAUCACUUAUGCAUUUUCACCAUCACUAUCAUUUACUCCAUCACACAUGCACAUCUUGAUUUAAUUAUAUGCUGAGUUCCUUUGGAUCCAUGGCUCGAUUAGACAACAUAUGUAUGAGCUGUUUAUCACUCCUAUGAGCUCCACUUAAAUAUUCCAUUAGCUAUAGGUAAGUGAUAUUAUGGUAAGGAUCCAUAAAUACCACAUAUAGAGAGACUUGAGAGAAUCAUUGCUGGGAACUCUGAGUUUUAUUUUGAAAACUUAUGAAAAACUCUGGAACAAAGGUGAAGUAUAGACAGGAGGGAUAGUGCUUGACUUAACUAUUUUGUCUUUUGAUUACUUAAGAUUUAAGUGCAGGUACUAAACUCCAUAACACUUCACUCUAAUCUGGAAUAAUUUUUAUAUAAAAGCAUGUGUGCCUGUCAGGAAAGAAAACAUUGAAGCAACUCCUGAUCCGUCUGAGUUUAGCUGUUUGCUCAGGGACGAGCAAAGGGUAAGCUUGGGGGAGUUUGUUGACGGUCCUUAAGUACUAAAAUUAAUAAUCAAAUAAACAUGAAAAAGGAUCAAUACGAAACAAACAUCUAGAAUUAGGGUUUUAUCUGACAGAAUUCCACGAGCUUUGGUGUUUAUCUAUUUCUGCAGGGAGUUAUUAGAAAAUAUGGAGAGAAGGACCACAUGUCAUGUUUACAACGAGAUAAUUACGUGCCGCGCAAUUUUCCUCAAUCUAGAAGGAUCCAGAAGCCACGGGAACGAACAGGAAGCGAAUCGGGCUCGGGAGCUGGGCGGCCGCCCACCCCCCUUGGGCGCCCGCCCUGGCCAAGAGGCCAAUCAGGACUCUGCUUCGGGACAAGACUCCACUGACCUAAAGGAUCAAUCUAAACCAUACAAUCUAUGUCGGUUUGAUCCAAUGGCUCACGUUCACUUGAGGGGACUAUAAAACCAGACACCCUGGCCCCUGGAGGAGAGGAGGAGAAAUCAUUAUUCAGAGGUAGCCAUCAAAGUUAGAGUUUAGAUCUCUCUGCCACAGAGAAUUAGAAUUAGCUACUCCCUAAUCCUUCAAGUUUAGAUGUUGAUUAGAUAGCAAUUAGAGAAGUAGAGCACUACGCUCUGGAUUCGGAUCUUCGGUAAUAAAGAUUGGUAUUAUUCAUAUCUUUCUCUAAUUCUAUUGUUCUAAUUGCAUUAUCUCUAAUUAUUAUGCUCUUAGUUUGCUCUAGUUCUAUAUUUGAUAUAGUUCUAAUUGAUAAUGAGUUUAUGUAUAAGUUUGCAAAGCGCUUAGCUCUUGACGCGAGGGAGUUAGGUGAUAGAUCACAUGUGAGCGUGAUGCUUAGAUGUUAUUUAUCUGCAAAUGUAUCCUAUUGGCCGAGUCGUGUGGUAGUUCGCGAUAGUGACAGCUUCGUUGAUUCUUAUAUAGUCCACCCUCCAUUGAUAGGACAGGCAGAACCGGUAUUGUGGAGUAAGUCAUGCGAUGUUCUGAUUUACUUUAUCAAUGUUCCUUAUACAUGAAUGAAGAGUCAUUUAUGCUAUAUAUGAUCUUGUAGAUAACUAGAGUAGAUUAUGACUUAGUAGUUAGUAGAUACCUUAGAAUCCAUUCUCUAGCUAGUCCGACAUCACCUACAUAUAUGAGGAGUAGUCUAUUUUCUAAUCGCUGUGCUCUUUAUCCCAUGAACUUAUACUUUAUUAUCAUUAUCUUUAUGGUUUACCCCUGCUAAAGUAUGUGACUGUGUGACGAGUUUCUUAUUAGUAAUCAUGUUCUUGCAAGUUUAUCUCUAGUCUAUGCCUUGAUAGAUUUUGUCCCUUGAUUUAAUUCCAUCUCCUUAGAUCCCUAGAGCAAAAUUAUAAAUAACGAUACCUGGAAUACUUAUCCUGGUGAAAUGCUACAAUGAGGUGUUUUAUCUGUGCGCUUGCGGAUAGAAUGGAUUAUUUUCUAAAGAGCCUUUACAUUUAUAUACCUUUGUACACUCUGGCGCCAUGCUAGGGAUGACAACCUAGUAUCUAAGUGGUGUUAGCUAGUGUCAACAGCGAGCACGUGCAUGACCACUUUCUCAGAAUUGACUGAAACUUUUUCUUCAACACUACACAACUAAAUUACGUGACCAUGCAAGUUUUUAGAUUUUUUAGGCACCUCAGGCAUUUCUUCCAUUUUUUCUUUAGAAAAUCAACAAAUAAUUACAGAAAUAGGUAAAAUUUGUCCAAAAAUUGCCUAGGUGCACACAACAUCAUCCUCACCUACUUGAACAUCUAAAAAAGUUUCAAGUGGUUUGGUGAAAGUUGUGCUACACAUGUCCUAGUCACGCAGCGAAGAGGUCUCCAUUUAAAAAUGAACUCAACUGUAUUCGUGAGAAAAUGAACUCAACUCAACUUCAUUAAUGUGCAUCGGUGAGGGUUAUUUUCGUAACUAGCCAGCCCAUAUUAAGCACGGGCACCUACUCGGUGCGCGGUUUCACUCUUCUCGGCUUGCUCAUCUCUUCUUCUUCCACAGUCGGUUAGGCGAGGGAUUUUGGCAAGGUGGAUUGCGCGGUGGCGAGGCCUAGAGAUGGAGCGUGGAACCCAUGGCGAUGGCGACACUAGCCGGAGGAGGCUCCCUCAUCACGAGGCAACAGAGGUGGUGAAGAAGCCAAGGUGCAACACCCACUGUUCCUUGGGUGGCGGUCUCAUGGAGUCCAAUACUGAUUCCAUGGAGGCGGCGGCGUCCACCUUCACACGCCCAGCCGUCGGCAAGGAGAAGACCCUCAUCGACGAGGGCGGCAACCAGAAGGGCCACAUAUGCUCCACCGCGAUACCUCGCCCAAUCCCAAGGGGUUACGGUUUAUUAAAGUUUUGCCUUAUAUGUUUACAACACUGAUGCUUUCAUUAAUUUCAUAUUUUAUAUGAUUUAUGCUUAAAUUAAUUAGGUUAAAAUCAAAUUAAUCUAGUUUUGUCGUAAUUAAUGUAUGUUUAUCAUAUGUUUGUUGCAUUCGAUAAGCUUAAAAUUCAACAUAUCAUCAAUGUUAGUUUCGCAUGGUCAUAUUUAAUUGUUUAUCAAUGAUUGUUGCAUAUGAUCGAUUAUAGGAGCCGGCAAAACUAGAAGCUACUUUCUGCUUUUGGGCUGAAACUACAAAGCAUCAGAUGCAAGAAGACAUGGAGGACCUCUUUGAGAAGAUGAAUAAAGAGCUGCAAACCAGGGAAGACAGUGUAACAAUCUGUGAUAAGAUGAAGCAGGAGGUGAAGACCUAGAUUGAUCAUAACAUGGAGCAGAUGUGGAUGAAGCUGCUUUGGGAUUACAAUAUGUAUGGGCACCUUUGGGCUAAUGACUUAGAAUUUGAACUAGUAGGACUGUGGUGGUGCUGUUGGGAAGAAAAACUUUAAUUAACUAUAUAGAUAUUAGUACUUUGUAAAUAUAUAACUAAGUAUUGUGGUACCUUUUAAAUAUGUAAUACCCGAUUUUAAGGACAAAACCAGAUAUGCACCAUAUGUGAGUUUUAGAAGUCAAAUCCCACAUAUAGCUACAAAUAAGGGAUAAUAUCAAAAGACAAUUCACAAAUAUAUAACACACUUAAUAUAAAAGGGAUAACCUUUGAUAGCAAACAACGGAUAGACAACUCCAACUUCAGGUAUUAACUUCUCUCCACAGGAUCCAACUGACUGGUUGAUCACAAGUCCAAAACUUCUCCUGAGGUGUGGGGGAAAUUGCAAGAGUGAGCACAUAUCGUACUCAACAGGUAUAACCAGGGGUUCAUGAGGCUCAAAUAGCUAACACUGGUUUGACUGCAUUUAGCUUUUAUAUGUAGAUAGCAUAUUUAUAUUUAGAUAGCAAAUGUCAAGGUAGCAUAAUUAAAUCCCAUAACCACAUGAUCAAUGUAUACAAGAAUUAAGAAUAACACAUAUAAACAACAUAAUAAACCAUCAUUUAUCAUCAUUAAUCAUGUUUAUCAGUGUCCAUCUAUUCCGUCAGUUUUCCGGGCCGCCCGUAUCCAUGGGCACGGCUAGUAUACUAGAUUUAACACUCUGUAGAGGUUGUACAUCUUUACCCAUGAGUCAUGAUUUACCCUUUCACCCGAGGCCCGUCGACCCCUUAGCUCACUUCCAAGGAAAGCCGGCAGGGUUCACUAUGAAGUCUUUCAAAAGUUCGUCUAACAAGUUAGGGCCGCUUGGUUUCAUUAGUCAGUCCAUGUGAUUCACCCGCAGGAAUCCACGGUCUGCUAUUCCCCAAUUGCGCCACAAUGGGUAACCGCUAAUGAGCUAGAAAAAUUACUCAUACUUUGACUAAAGCCAGAGCCAUAUAGCCCUCAUGGUUGUACGAGUUGUCCUAGCUUUUGCCAACGGAUAAGUCCUUAUGGAGGGUCAAGAUCAAUCUAGCAAAAGCCAAAGUUCUUUCCACCCUUUAUAUUCAAGUUGCUAGAAAGCUUAUUUUAUUGUUUAUUGUAUAUCCAAACAUUCAUGUUACAAGAUCAUCGAUUAUAAUCAAGUACUAGCAAGAACUACCCCAAAUGCAUAUCCAAAUAGGUAUCAAGGAAUUCAAGAUAGCAAUCAUCUAUGAUUUUACUAGGGUUGUCAAGGUGGACACAUGCAUAUGAUAUAUGUAUUAAAGUGUGUAGGUAACAAGGAUGAUCCCAAGUUAUACUUGUCUUGAUCGAAGCUUUCCUGAGCCUGCUACUGGUCUUCAAAAGAUUGACCUUGAUCACCAACGUAUCGCUCACCGUCUAUACCCGAUCAUCAAUCAACAACACGCAUUCCAAUGGACAAUCAUACAUGAAGCAAACAAGCUAUAAUUAGAAUAAUACACCAAACAGUGGUAAAACAAAGAUAAAAGUUUAUGAAAAUAUUCUACGUAGCGCUACGAUCGCACAAAUGUAAAGAUCACGAAAAUCAGAAUUGAAACGGUGAAAUUAUGAAUUUUCUAAGAUUUCCUAUAGAUAAAUAAUUAAUUAAAUAGGGUCACAAAAUUAAAAAGUUUCAAACUGGGAAAACAAAGUUACUAACAUGUAGAUCUUUCGAAAAAAAAUCUAACGCAAUUUGAAUGAGUCAAAACGGAGUUCAAAUGAAUAUUUUAUAGCCAAAACAAACUCAGUGGCAAUUUUGUGAAUACCGGAAAGCGUAUUCUUAAAACGUGCUUUGGGCUGCGGGUUCUAUUAUCAAAAAGGGGAGGGGCUCUUUAGAAAUUAUGCCAGCCGAAAGGGUAUCUUCGUUUGGGAGCCGUUGAUCUCAGAUUGAAUGGCACAGAUUAGAGCUGGGGGAGAGGGGAAGCAGCUGUCGGCCGAAACAGGGGAGACACCCAGCGGAGCCAUGGCCUGGGUCAAGCUUACCUCGCUGGAGUAGAUGGAGAGGGCACUAGAACGCUCGGUUUUCAAUGGGGAAAGUACUGGGAGAAAGACAGGAUCGAGACGAACUCACCUAGGGCCUCUUCGCGAUCAGGGAUGGCUCGGAGAAGGCCAGCGUCGAGAGAUGGCGGGCAAAGGCUUCUACAAGAGUUCGGCAACAUGGACUGAGCAAACAGAAACUAAAAACAACGGGAAAAGAGGUGCAGGGACUUCACAAAUCCGUUAUGAAGCCCGACAUCAAGCUUACGGAAGCACAAACGUGGUGGAAGCGUUGAUCCGUGUUCGGCGUCAAUCUAUGGAGUGGCGGCGGCGCUUGCAAGCUGGGCUAGGGAAAACCGACGCUAAGGGAGGUGAAAAGGAGGUCGAGGAAAGGCGUUGGAGGCUUUAUAGGAGCAUAGGCGUGGGGAACAAGCCGAAACGUGAGAGAAUCGGAUCACCGGGACGGAUUCCUUUCCUGGGGAGAGUCCGGUCUCCAUACUGUUGGGAGGAAGAAGAUGGGCGAUGCCCGGUGGGUCCUACCCAUGAGCGAGGGAAGGAGGGGGAAAGGCGGGUGCGUAGCCAGGCUUGUGCUGGGCCGUGGCUCUGUUGCUGGGCUUCGGCCGGGGAGCUGGGAAAAGUGGGGGCUGGGCCGCGCGAGGGGAGAGGGAAACAGGCCGCGGGGGGGAAGGCCAGGGGGCUGGGCCGAGCUGGGGUUUGUCUUUCUCCCGCUUUUUUUGUUUUUCUUUUCUUUUCCAAAACCUUUUUCCAAUUAGGCUUUUGAGCAAAACAAGUAAAGAUAAAAACAGAAACAAUAGUCACAAAAUUUCUAUACCCCAGCAUGAAUGCAAAAACAUGUUUCUAAAACUUAUGAUAAAUUUUAUUUUUCACCAAAAAUUAUUUAUUCACUAAAUUAAAUGCUCACAAAAUACUUUAAAUAAAUCCAAUUAAACCCUAUUAAUUGAAAUCCAAUUUUUGGGUGUUACAAAAUAUGUGUGUGCUAAUGAUAUUUUGUGGCUUAUGUGUGUCACCAGUUCAUUCUAAGACUGCUGCUAGGAGGGCUGCUGGCCGGCUUCCUGGUGCUGGGGGUGCCUAUGGGUGUGUUUGUUUAUUUCCUACAUAAGCCUGGCUAGCAAAACUAAGCCUGGCUAACUCUAGCCUGUCUAUAGCAAGACAAAACCUGUUUGUUUGGUUGUGUGUGUUGUUGAGUCUGGCUAGGAUAAGUUUGUGUUUGGUUGGUUGGCUUAGUUUGUAUACAGUCACCUCUUCUUUGAGCUGGUAAGUUUACCUUCUCUGAGGCAUUUUGUAGAACAGCUGGUGGGCAUGUUCUUGGGCUCCCUGUAGCCACCACUACAAACGGUCGCAUCAAAGAGCUGGCUCACCCUUCCACUGUCCACUCCGACUGCACGCUCCGCGACACGAUGGCCGUGCUCCGCCUCGCCUCCUUCACCCUCUGCGCCACCACCGCCGCGGCUUCCGCCUCCUCCACCUCCUCCGACAUCGCCAUGGGGACCUCAUCAGGCCCCACAUCGAGGCAGCGAGGGAGAGCUAUGCAUCCGCGCUGUCGGACGCCGCGGCGGAGAGCUACGCAUCCGCGCUGACGACCGGAGAAGCUGCAGAAGAUCUACCACCUCGCGUGCCCCAUGUCGCCCGUGCAAGGAGAAGCUGACGGCCGGAUCUACCACCUUGCGGGCCGCACGUCACCCGUGCAAGGAGAUGAGGAGCUCGCCAGGGCAAAACAAGGAAGGCGGCGUCAGGAGGCGAGGCACUGGGGACAGAGCGAGGAAGGCGGUGUGCGGAGCGGUGACAAGAACUGGCCAGACGGCUGGCCAGGGAAGUAGCUAGACAAUGGUACAGUCAGAAGGUAAGUCAACAACGAGGUGAAUGGGGAGUUUUACGAGCCAACUUUUGUCUAGAUUUUUAUUCCCUCGACCGUAUCGGCGACCUUAGACUCGAAGUCCUAUCUUUUAAACAAAAAGAUAAUGAAACUUUGGGAAAAUCCUGGAAACAUUUUUCUGAUCUUUUAGAAUAUGGUCCAAACCUUAAUCUUGAAAACCCUGUUCUUUUAUUUCACUUUUUCAAGGUCUUCAGAAAGAUCAUAAACAAAUGCUACAUACAAUGUCUAGAGGUUCUUUCUUCCGCAUCCCUACUGAUGAAGCUAGAGUGAUCUUAGAUAGAAUCCUAGAAGCUGAGAUGGAUAAUACCCUUCAUGAUGAAACCUACGAAGCCGAAGUAGACACUCUGCCAAAUUCUUCAUCUACUUUAGCUAUCCCAAGUUCUGAGCCACAAAAGGAAGAAAUUCCACCACCGGACUUCAUGCUGGAUAUAGAAUCUGAUCUUUUUGCUGAUUUUGGAAACAUUUCAAACUACCAUUCUAUUGACAAACCCCAAAACAGCCAGUUUAGCAUUUAUUUGCCAAGUGAAUAUCAAUUAAGAGAGCUUAUCUCAGUCAUGAGUAGCGAGUGGUUGGAGGAAUCAGAGCUUUCCUCUGAUGUAAUCCGUUUUGACACACUCUCUAUAACUAUACACUGUGCUUAUAAUUCUGAUUGAUUUGAUGCUCUCUAUAAUCCUAUUGUGGGGAUCAACAUCAUGUCUGAAUCUUUUGCACUUAAACUAUUUAAAAACUUGUUCUUAACCCCCACAACAAAGGUCUUAAAGGAAUCUUCGGGACGAUUAGUCCCCAGUCUUGGAAUUAUUAAUGUCCUACAUCUUACAGUAGAAGGCUGCAUGUUUCAUUUGAACUUCUAUAUCUUUGAUACAUGGGACUUUGACCUAUUGAUAGGGCAACCUUUUAGAAGACUCCUUUAUGAAGGUCAUACUGGAAAGCUACACAUUUCUUUUGGAAAAGCCUUUAAAUUUCCAAUAACAGUUUCACACACCUUAAACAAUAAGGCCGAGUCAUAUCUUUUGCCUGAUCCUAUGGAGGAGGUAAAGGCUGCAUCUCUAGAACUUUUAGAUGAAUCAGACUUAGAAGACGAAACUCCUUUCUUCACAGAAGAAGAAGCUAAACCUUCUGAACCUGAACCCUUGGAUGAGUUUGUAGAAACACCUAGACCCCCCAUAGAGCUUAAAACUUUAUCACCCGGUCUUACCUAUGCUUUCCUAAACAAUAAUGACCAUUCUUGAGAAACUCACUCAGGAGCAAACUCUGCGAUUAAUGACCAUUCUUGAGAAACAUCACUCAGAUUUUGGCUACUCACUCCAAGAUCUUACAGGAAUCAGUCCUAUGAUUUGUACCCAUCGUAUUCCGACAUAUCCUUUUGUUUCAGCUUCUUGAGAACCCCAACGUAGACUUAACAACACUAUGAGAGAGGUAGUUAAAAAGGAAGUUAUAAAGUUGCUGCAUGUAGGGAUUAUAUAUCCUGUGCCGCAAAGUGAGUGGGUGAGCCCAGUUCAAGUUGUGCCUAAAAAGGAGGCAUGACUGUUAUUAUGAAUGAAAAGAACGAGCUAAUUCUGCAACGCACCGUCAUAGGAUGGCGGAUGUGCAUAGACUAUAGAAAACUAAACAAAGCCAUGAGAAAGGAUCAUUUUCCUUUACCUUUCAUAGAUGAGAUGCUAGAGCGAUUAGCGAACCAUUCGUUCUUCUGUUUCUUAGAUGGAUAUUCAGGGUAUCACCACAUCCCAAUCCAUCCUGAUGAUCAAAGCAAAACCACUUUUACAAGCCCAUAUGGAACUUAUGCUUACCGUAGAAUGUCUUUUGGAUUAUGUAAUGCACCAGCUUCUUUUUAAAGAUGCAUGAUGUCUAUAUUUUCUGAUAUGAUUGAAGAGAUUAUGGAAGUUUUCAUGGAUGAUUUCUCUGUUUAUGGAAAAACUUUUGAUAGUUGUCUUAAAAACUUAGACAAGGUAUUGCAAAGAUGUGCAGAAAAGGACUUAAUCCUUAAUUGGGAAAAAUGUCAAUUCAUGGUUAGGGAAGGAAUAGUGCUAGGACACCUAGUGUCUGAAAGAGGUAUUGAGGUAGACAAAGCUAAAAUUGAAGUAAUUGAACAACUACCUCCACCGGUGAAUAUAAAAAGAAUUCGAAGCUUUCUUGGCCAUGCUGGUUUUUAUCGCAGAUUUAUAAAAGAUUUUUCAUUUAUUGCUAGACCACUUACUCUUUUGCUAGCCAAGGAUGCUCCUUUCGAAUUUGAUGAUGCAUGUCUAACAUAUUUCAAUCGAUUAAAGAAAGCACUCAUCUCUGCACCAAUUAUUCAACCUCCUGAUUGGUCGUUGCCUUUUGAAAUUAUGUGUGAUGCUAGUGAUUAUGCUGUGGGGGCAGUUUUGGGACAAACUAAAGAUAAGAAGCAUCAUGCAAUUGCUUAUGCCAGUAAAACUUUGACAGGAGCUCAACUUAACUAUGCAACCACUGAAAAAGAGCUUCUAGCUGUUGUCUUUGCCAUUGACAAAUUUAGAUCUUAUUUAGUUGGAGCUAAAAUAAUUGUUUACACUGAUCAUGCUGCAUUAAAAUAUUUGCUCACUAUAAAAGAUGCUAAACCUCACCUGAUUAGAUGGAUCUUAUUACUUCAAGAAUUUAACUUAGAAAUAAAAGAUAAAAAGGGAGUAGAAAAUUCUGUUGCUGAUCACUUGUCUAGAAUGUAUUUUAAGAAUCCACAGGAAACCCCCAUCAAUGAUUCACUCCGGGACGACAUGUUCUACCGGAUUAACAGGUCUGACCCCUGGUAUGCAGAUAUUGUUAAUUUUAUGGUUUUAGGGUAUGUACCACCAGGAGCAAACAAGAAGAAGCUUAUUCAAGAAAGUCGUUCACAUAUAUGGGAUGAGCCAUACCUCUUCCAAGUAUGCUCUGAUGGCUUACUCAGGAGAUGUGUGACCACUGAGGAAGGAUGGAAGAUCAUCGACAGAUGUCAUUCAUCACCAUAUGGAGGUCAUUAUGGAGCAUUCCAUACACAUUCAAAGAUCUGGCAGUGUGGAUUCUACUGGCCUACAAUGUAUGAAGACACAAAGCAAUAUAUCAGAAGAUGUGGGCCAUGUCAAAGGCACGGAAACAUAAACACAAGGGAUGCCAUGCCACUCACCAACAACCUUCAGAUUGAGCUCUUUGAUGUAUGGGGAAUAGACUAUAUGGGUCCAUUUCCUCCAUCAAAGAAGUGUGAAUACAUCUUGGUGGCAGUUGACUAUGUCUCCAAGUGGGUAGAGGCACUACCUUGCAAGCAUGCCGACAACAUCAGUUCAAAGAGGAUGUUUGAAGAAAUUAUAUUUCCAAGAUUUGUAGUCCCCAGAGUAGUGAUAAGUGAUGGAGGAGCACACUUCAUCGACAAACGCUUCAAGCAAUAUCUAUCAAAACACGGAAUCCGUCACAACAUCGCUACUCCCUAUCAUCCUCAGACAAGUGGCCAAGCAGAGACUUCCAAUAAGCAAAUCAAGAAUAUUCUUCAGAAGACAGUGAAUGAAAUGGGAACGGUAUGGAAAGACAAGUUACCCGAUGCACGCUGGGCAUACCGGACAGCAUACAAGACCCCAAUUGGAAUGUCUCCAUACCAAUUGGUGUACGGGAAGACUUGCCACCUACCUGUUGAACUAGAGUUCAAAGCACACUGGGCCAUAAAGAGAUGGAACAUGGACCUAGAUGUUGCUGGAGAUCAUAGAAGAAUGCAACUAUCAUAAUUGGAAGAAUGGCAAGAGAAAGCAUAUCACAAUUCGAAGAUCUACAAAGAAAGAGUCAAAAGGUGGCAUGACAAGAGAAUCAAGAAGAAGGAGUUCACACCUAGAGAUAAGUGUUGACAUUUGCUAACACCACUUGAAUACUAGGUUGUCAUCCCCAGCAUGGCACUAGAGUGUACUAUGGUAUUUAUACGCACACAGAUAAUCCGCAAGCGCACGGAUACCGUUGAAGCUUUUACCCGGUUAAAGGUUUUAUCAUAUCCACAGGGAAACGGGAGAACUAAUCUACACUCUAACUUAACCAAGAUAAGUAAAUAAGUGUAAAUAGGAAAGAUGGUAGAAUCGAAUAAGAACAAUAUUAAAGGUAAGAUAACAGUGAGUGAUAAUAUGGGAAUAGAGAAUAGAGCAAUUCUAGUAUAUGGGCGAUGGUAGCAGAAUAGAGAGGGUAACUAUGGUUUCUCUACUUCAAAGGGGUAUGUCUAUGUCUGGGACGAACCACGUGAUAAGAGUACACCACAAAGGAUGCUUAUCCUUAGGCCGAUAAACCCUACCCAUCCUGCUAACGAGAGGUGGACUACAGAGGACCAACGUAACUGUCACCUACGCGGCCUACCACACGAUCCAGCUAGACAGGGGAUAUCCACAAGUAAUCUAGGUCUAAGCACCACGCUUACACCUAUACUACAACUCUCACCUAUAGCGUCCUAUAGAUUAGAAUACUCAAAAGAGUUGUGAACCAGAACAUACAUAAUUAGUAAUUGCAUAAUGAAUUAGAUGUAGAUUACCAGAGUCAUUCCAUGAGCAAGCUUGAUUAGAGCUUGAUCAUGACGAAGUACAACCGGAGGAAGAACCGACAGGCCGGCCUCUCCUCUAAUCCUCCUUCGCUCUCCAUCUUGCUACUAUGUAGAUCUACUCUAGUUUAGAGAAGAGAGGAGAGCUCUCAUCUCUAAACCCUAGCUUUUGCUCUGUCGAUGAAUAAUGAAUAAUGAUCAAGGGGUGCCUCCUCCAGGGGCCAGCGGGUCUGGUUAUAUAGUCCCCUCAAGUAAACCUGGGCCGUCAGAUCAAACUGACAUUGAUCGUGUGGUUUUCCUUGAAGUAUUAGGUCGGUGGAGCAUGAUCCGCGAAGUUGAAGCUGAUUGGUUACUGUAGCUGGGCGGGGACCCAAGGGACUUGGGCGGGCGCCCUGCCCCCAGGCCCGAUCGGCCUCCCGUUCGUUCCCGUGGCUUCUAGAGUCUUCUAGAUGGUAGAAAAUUGCGCGACACGUUAAUAUCUCUAUGUAAACCCGACGUGUAGGCCUUUCUUUCAUAUUUCUUGAUAACCCCCUGCAAAAAUAGACAAACACCAAAACUCGUGGAAUUCUGUCAGAUAAAACCCUAAGUCUAGAUGUUGAUUUCAUUUAGAUCCUUUUCUUUGUUUAUUUGAUAAUUAAAUUUGAUACUUAAGGACCGUCAACAAACUCCCCCAAGCUUACCUCUUGCUCGUCCCUGAGCAAGGAUAGACUCAGCAAUGGAUCAGAAGUUGUUGCAAUAUCUUAAAAAUUUGACGGUACACAUGGUUUUAAAUAAGAUCUCAUCUCUCAGUUAGAGUAAACUGUCAAGAACUAAAACUUACUUACUUUACCUUUCACCAUGGGACUUGUAACCGUCACUUCUGUCUUGAGUAGUUAAAAGAUAGAACAGUCUAGCCAAGUGCCAUGUCUCUUAUUCUUGAUCAGCUAUAGCUCUGGAGUUUUUGCAGAUUUUCAAAUAAAACUCAGAGAUUCCUCAUAUGACUCUCUAAAUCUCUCUUUUGUGCUAUUUCUGGAUCCUUACCAAGGCAGUGAUGGUAUAUGCCUUCUCUCAAGAUAUGUGGUAUUUGUGGUAUAAGGCAUAGUGACAUUGCCUUCUCUCUCACCCUACUCUAAUAAGGCUUUAAUAUCUGGAGCUCAUAGGUGGGAGAUCAAGUAUACAUACUUAUAAGACAUUUAUUGCAUAGUCAAACCAUGGAUCUAGAGAAACAAGUCAAUAAGUCAAAUCAAGAUGUGCAUGUGUGGCGAAUGAAUGGUGUAUGGUGAUGAUGGUGAUAACAAUGGUGAAAGUCUAAUUCUACUUUUGCUCUUUUGAGGGGAUACAAACCUUCCUUGCCUUUUGAAACUUUAUGAGGAGAAUGAGAUGCUCUUCUUUUUCUUUCCUCUCAGGUGGGUAUCUUGUACCCCUAAUUCUACUGUCGGACACUUGUCCAUUUUUACCUCUCGUCUGACACUUUUUCUUUUCUUUCGAGGUUCCGCGCACUUGCCCCUUUUUAUUUCCUCGUUUAUUAUUUUUUUUAGAGCACUCAUCUCUUGAGAUAAUAUAGCAAGUGGUAGUAGCAAGAUAACUUGGGCAUUUAUUUCACAAGGGAAAAUAGAAAUAUUUUUGGCUAUUCUCUCCCGGAUUAGGAGUAGAAUAUUUUUGGGUGGUUCUGGAAAUGGAUGUGGAUGGUACUUCCGGAUUAGAAGUAGCAUAUAUGAGUGAACGUGCAAGUGAAACUUGAUUUAACCACAUGACAAGCUCCUAAGGGUCUACACAGCUUGACCACACUCAAUGCUCAUAAGCCGUAAAUAAUAAAUGUGUGGCUCAAAGUCUAGCAAGCAUGUAUAUAUGGCUGUGGUAAGAAUUUAAACUCUCAUCAUACAGGAACUCAUCAUGCAAUAUUUUAAAGAUUUUUCAAAGAUAAAAUUCUCCAGAAUUCUAGCAUCUCAAGGAACAGAUAAACAGCAGCUCAACCUUCCCAUAUCAUAUCCGUUAACAACUUAGAUUUCAGAUCAAGUUUUCAUCCCACAAGUUUAGAUCUAGAGCAAGCUUUAAAUUAUAAC